AAACAUGUUAGGGUAAAAAAAUUAUAGAAUGAUAUUCUAUACAAAUGUUAUCCAAAUAUUAAUACAUGUUAUACAUUUAUAUCAUCAGAAGUUUAAUGUAUGUCAAGUUUUUGCAUCACUGGACAGAUAACAAAUCCUUGAACCUUAUCGUUUUGGAAACAUUAAAUGGUUUGAAGUUUAAGUGCAUGAAGUUCGGUUAACCCAAGCAAAUACAGUGGUGUUAGAUUUUUUUUUUUUUUGAAAAAUUUUUACAAGAGAAGGUAGUCAAAUAUAAGGGACAAAAAAUGAGUGUGAUUACAUACAUUCAUAUGGUAAUUUUGAUGUAAAUUAAAUAGAUUAAGGAGUGUAUAUAAUUCAGAGGUAUGUGGUAAUUUUAGAAUUUUUAUAGUGAAUCAACCCUUUUUUGUAUGUUUAUUUAAUAUCCUUACCUCUCGUCUGGUCCACAGUAAUGUCCAAAAUAAAAUGGUCAUUUACCCAAAAUGGCAGAAUUAAAUAUUAGUAUCAUUCUAGUGUAUGACACAUAAGUCAUAAUGGAAUUUUGAUUCAUUUUUGAAUAUUCACUAUGAUCAAUAUUUAGAUGUCAGAAUAGAAUACAACUAAUACAUAUUUGACUUAAUUAUCCUAUAUAUGCUUAUGACUUUUAUUUUAUUUGCUCUCCUAUUUUAAUUUUUUGUUUACAUGGAAUUUUUAUUAUGUAAAACAUAAAUUAUAUGAACCAAAGGAAUAUCAUAUAAUUUUUAUUUUUAUUAUGUUAUCAUUUUUUAUAUGUAAUUCAAAAAUAUUCCAAACAACUAUUCAAAAGUCAAAGAAUAAAGUAUCUCAAAACAUUUGUUUACUUGUAAAAAGAAAAUUUUAUUUAAAGUAUAAGAAAAAUUUUAUACAUUCAAUUAUUAAUUAGGCUCACAAAUGUCUUAAGAUAGAUUUAUAAGGAUAAACUUGACAUUCUGCUAUAUUGGGUUUUUUAAGAUGAAGUUGGAAAGAACUUUUCUUAAAGUUUUCUUAGAAAUAGAAUUCUAGGAAAAAGUUGGAAUAAACAUUUCAAGAAGAAUAGACUUUCCAUUUAAAUGAUCUAUGUCAAACCAAUGAAAUAGAUAAGUUAUAAAAGCCUUUUCUUUCGAGACUAUUCCUACAUGCCAAACAUAGUUUUAGGGUACAGAAUGAAAUCGAUGUUUUCAAAAGAUGAUUAGACUGAACUCGUUUGGUUGACUGAUUGAACGAAGAAUCAACUUAGAAUAAUAAAUAUUUAUCAUUCAAAAUGAUCUAUAGCAAUUUAGGUUGACUAUGGAAAGAGUAUUCCGUUUAAAUGAUCUAUACCAAACUUAGAAUGGAAUGACUAAGUUAUAAAGUUUUUUUUAGGCUAUUCCUGCAUACCAAACAUAUGGUUAAGGUACGGAAUGAAAUUGAUGUUUUCAAAAUAUGACUAGACUGAACUAGUUAGGUUGACUGAUUGAACCAAGAAUCGGGUCUGUCACCAGAUUUUAGGUUGAAGUAAGAAAAAAUAAACAAUGAGUCAAACUCAGACAUAAACCGAUCAAAUUGGACAAAACUGAUAAAACUCCAACAGUUGAACAGGCUAGCCACUAGAAAUUUUUUCGCUUUAUAUAUUUUGUAUCAUUCAAAAUUUCUAAUUAUAGACUAAAUAUAAAAAAUGGACUUUUAAUUGAACUAGUGCUCUCCCUGGGUUAGCUCUUCUAGUAGCAAGCGCCUCUUCAGAGGGAUUAGUCGGGUCGAAGGUCCGGAUACCCUUUGUGUCUGAAAACAAAAAUUUGAACUAGUGGUUGAACCAUGAAGGCAUGAACCAAAAGAUCAUUUGGUUCAUUCAACCAUCCGAGUUUAAUAAUAUUGAGUUCAGUAAACCUUAAAAACCAAAUAGAUUUUGAUCUUGCACAUCGGAGUAAAGGAGGAGGAUGCCAUUUAAUAAGUUGUCACGUCCAAGUCAUCUAAACUAAAAAACAUUUGUAUGAUACUACCAAACAAAAUCUAAACCUUCCAGCCUAGUGCAAGUCACUGCCUUCAAAACUAGUACUAGAUGAUUUAUUACCAAUAAACAAAAUUCUUUUCAGAGUUGAAACUAAUUAUAACUUCUCAUAGUGCGAUGCAAUUAAAGAGAUGGAGAGAGAUCUAAUUUACCAGGAUGAUAGCUUUCAUAUCAUCACGGCCAAGAGCGAAGCCGAUGGAGUUUGUCGUAUUAAUCUCGAUCAGAAUGUCCACAAAGUCUAGGUAUCUUGCCACAACGGAAUGGUCAUUUUCAGCCUCACCUUUCCUCUUAUUUAUGUGCUCUUCUAUUACACCGUCAAGAAAUUCAUCAGUCAGUUUAACAAAUUUCUCCACUUUCAAGUCCAAACCGUUGAAACGAUUAACCCAUGCAAGCCAAGGAAUGUAGUCUCCUACAUCAAAAACACCCAUUAACUCAACAAAAACCCUCAAAUUUUCCAUAAUUUUCCUCCCUUUUUCUUCCUCACAAUACUUCCUACCCAGGGCAACCCUACAAAUUAUAUCAUUUGUGAGAGUUACAAAUAUUUCGGUUAAGUUUACAGGUGAAGAAGAACACAUCUGGCCGAUCUUUUCGAUCAUGAGUGAAGUCUCUUCUUCUCUAACAUGCUGAUAUGACUGAACCCUUUUGUUACUCAAAAGAUGCAGCACACAAAUGCUUUUGGCUUGUCUCCAAUACUCACCGUACGGUGUAAAUGCUACGUCCCUACUUCCGUAGAAUAGUCUAUUUAUAACGCUCGAUUUAGGCCUGUUUGAAAAAACCAGAUCAUGGGUUUUCAUGAUCUGGCUAGCUGCAUCAGAGGAAGAGGCAACCAGCGCUGGCUUGCUUCCAAAAUGAAGUAGCAUGAGUGGGCCAUAUUUUCUUGACAAUGAUUGGAGGGAUCUGUGUGGAAACAAGCCAAGCUGGUGAAUAUUUCCAAUAAUUGGGAGCUUUGGUGGAGAUGGUGGUAGCCUUUUUUGGGGUUUAGAAGCGGCAUCGAACCAUUUCAAAAGGGCUAGAAGGAAUACAACUGAGGAAACUGAGAAACAUACAAGAUCAAAAGAGAACGCCAUGAGUCAUAUGAUCUUGUGUUUGCCUAUUAAUGGGCUACUCUUCUUAUCUAAUGACAACAUCAGGACCACCGAUGAAUAUUUAAUUAUUAAAUACAAGGGAUGAUUUAAGCCCGCACGUUACAUAGGACAAAACUAUAUCGUAGGACAAAUUGAUUGGUCUCUGAUCUAUCUUUUGGAGCUAUGGUAUUCGAAUCAUGGAGAAAACUCCAGUAUGACUCAUGAGAGAAUAACCAUUCACAUUUUGCAAAAUUUUUUACCCCAAGAAAGAGGAAAAGACAUUUAGCAUAGCAUAACUUUUCAAACGUCAAACAUCUUUCGUCCAUAGCCCACAGCUGGCAGUUGAUUCUCCCUGUUGCCACGUACGUCUUGUCAAAUUAUGUUACAAAAUUUCAACGGUUAGGUCCAAAAACAGGUAACUCCGUCUAGGUUGCCCAAUCAAUUAUGGCCAUCAUUUUGGGUCUUUGACGAAAAUUUGACAUGCAAUUUUCAUAAUCUUAAGUUUGAAAAAAAAAAAAAAAAAAAAGUUUGAACUAAUGUUUAAUAGUACAAAUGCACCAUAUGCUUGUGACUUGUGACUUCUGAGUUUGAAUUUUCUUUCGGCAUUUUGAGGAACUAAUAUUUGGAAGCUUUAUUAAUUAACUUUUUCUACCAUGGCACGAUAUUCUUCAACUCUAAAAAUAUUCGAAUAUAAAAUGUUACCUCAUGAAAUGUUUUACCAGGAGCUGAUUAAGAUGUAAUUAGUUUAUGCUCAUACUGGCUUCUGUAGGUGAGUGUGAUGGGAUCAUUAAAGAUCUAACCACGUGAUUUGAAGGUUAUGAGUUUUAUCUAUAGUAAAUUUGGCAAUUGUUAGGCCUUUUAAAACUAAUGAUUAGUCUAACUCGUUGGAUGAUCAAAAGAUUUUGCUUUGACUUUGUUUUAUGGGAUAAUAACUGAAACCUCCCACAAGGUUUCUCUUAAUAUCAUUUAACACCUCUAAAGUUUUGCAAAGAAAUUUGAAAAAUAGAAAAGAUAUUUGCAAAGAAAUAUAUUAGCAUAAGUUAACUCUAUAUGCUCAAAACUAAUUUCUUAUGAACCUUAUAUUUUCUUCCAACUUAUUCUCAAUUCGUACCCAAACCUUUAAAUUGUAUUGAUCAUUAUAAAAAUCAAUUCAAAAUAAUCAAAGAAAUCAUAUCCUACUCUAUCACAAUCACAAAAUGUAAAAGACAAAUAAAAUUCAAUUUACUACAACUUAUAAAUAAAAAAUUGUAUAGUCAUCUAAAAAAAAGAAUAAGAGAGAAUGUUGGAGAAAGAAGAAAUAGAAGAAAGUGAAUUUUGUUUCAUUUUUUAAAUUUUUUUGAACUCCAUUUAUUUGAUAUGUGAAUUAUGUAUUGCCUUUUUGCAAUUAUUAGGGGAGAUAGGUGAUAUUUUUAAAAUCUCAAGGGUGCCAAGUGAUAUUUGGAGAAACCUCAAGGGAGAUUUCUGAUAUUAUCCCUUGUUGUAUUUGUUAUACAAUAAAAUUUCUGCCCCAAAAACCUAUACGUAGCAUUUGAAGCUAUGCUAUGAUGGAAUUGUCCCUUGGCCACUCUCUCUGCACUCUUAAUAUUGGCCCUCUAAUAUCAUAGAGUAAUCAAAUCAUCAAACCAUUCACAUUUUGCAUAAUAGUCCCCAAGAAUCAGGAAAAAAUCAGGUAUUUGAUCCAUAUCCAAAAUUUAUUAAUUAGUUUAUCCAAUGUGUUUGUCUAAAUAAAUUUAGAUAAGAUUAAAGUGACAGAACCACUCAAAUAAUAAAGAGAUCAACUAUAAAACAUCAUCAUUUUUAACAGAUUACACAUUUUAUAAUUUUGCUAGCCAAAUACAUUAACCAAAUUCUUCAAGAAAGGAAGUUAAAUAAACAGCAAACAAUGAUAGCAAGAGGCCCAAUAUUUUGGUGAGUAAAAAUAGCAUACCAUAUAGAUGUAACUAAUUAAAUAUUAUAAAAAAAAACCCUACAAUUUUAAAACUUAUGCUAAACUCAAAUAUGCGGGUACAAGAUCGGAUAUCUAUGGAUAUUCAAAAAUAAAACACGUAUCCGUAGAGCUUUGCAUGGACUUUAGCUUCACAAGUUUCAUAGAGCGUGCCAACGCCAUAUCGAAAGUAAUCUUCUGGAAAAUUUUUUUAAGAUAAUUUUUACCUCAAACUCCUGUACACAUCACCAAAUACAAAGUAUACACAUUAUUUUACCAAAAUCAACAGAAAAUAUUCACAAAUAGAAUACACAAUUAGAUCUCUAUCAUGUGUAAAAUAAGCUAUCUUUUGAUUUUGUUCCAAAUGUCUAGCAGCCAAAUGGGUACCACGGAUAAAAAGCUUCAGGAUCACUUCGUAAUUUGAUGUGUCUAUACGUAAAUGAUAAAUAUCAUAAUUUAAUUAUAGGAUCACUUUUUAAUUUGAUGUGUCUAUCAUGUGAAGAAACUUUGUUUAACCUAAACGGUUCAAAUUGCAGAAAUAGACACUCUACGUAAACUGUUGCAUAUGCAUGAGUCACAUGACUAAUGUCUUUGUGAUCACCAUUCCUUUUUCCAGAAGCCUGUUGGGGAAAUUGGGUAUUUUCCCACUCAAAAUUACAACUAGUGAUUAAACCGAUUCAGUAAUUCCCAGGAAAGAUCGUCAAAACAAUCUCCUUAGACAGAAUUACCAUUCCAAGUAAAUUCUCAGGAAAGGCUGGAGGGGUCACAAGCGGUCCCACUUAAAACCCAGUCUCCUAGACAGAACUUACGUGCACGGUGUAUUAUCACAACUAUACCCGUGUAUACAUAAAUAAUACGUACACACGAAUAAGAAAAAUACACCCAAAUGAACCGUAUAAAACACUACAAAUAUACCCGACAAAUAUAGACAAAUAUAUUGAAUACCAUACUACAAUAGAAAAGAAACUAAUAAAUAAUGCGGAACAAAUAAAAGAGAUAAGGAAAGAACGCACCCGAAAAAUUGAUAACGGAGUUCGGCCAAUUUUGCCUACUCUCCGAGCACCACUCAAGCGACCUGCUUUUAUAAUUUAGGAGAGGAGAAAGAAUACAAAGAAUUACAAAAUCCUUAUGGGUAAUUCUUUGUUGUUCUUGGUACAUUUUAAUUGGAAAGACUUGAGAGCUAUUUAUAGUUCUCAAGCUAAGCUUCUUCCAAUAACCCAACCGAUGUGGGAUUAAAUUGUGCCAAAGAGAAGUCAACAAUGUUGGCUUCCAAAUUCAAGAAUUGAGGCAGCCAACAUUUGUUGAAACUCAACAAAUCUCCACCUUGGCAUAAUUUCUAAUCCCACCAAAAAUACAAAUCUUUUCACCCAAAAUAACAAACGGUCCUUGUGGCACUUCCAAAUUUGCGCGCUCAGGCGCCAACUCAAAUAUGCAGGAUAUUGACCAAGUUUAAACAAUGUUCAAACUUGGACCUUGUAACCACCUUGGUCAGCAUAUCUGCAGGAUUCUCCGUAGUCCGAAUCUUCUGGAGAAAAAUCUCAUCUUCUUCGAGAAUUUCCCGCACAAAGUGAUAGCGAACAUCAAUAUGCUUCGUUCUUGCAUGAAAGACCUGGUUCUUUGCUAAGUGAAUAGCACUCUGACUGUCACAAAACACGUCAAUGUGUUUUUGACCAACUCCCAAGUCUUCAAGCAAUCCUUGAAGCCAAAUUGCCUCCUUCACAGCUUCUGUAAUCGCCAUAUACUCUGCCUCCGUUGUAGACAAAGCCACCGUUGACUGCAAAGUAGACUUCCAACUAACUGGCGCCUUGGCAAAUGUGAACAAGUAGCCAGUUGUAGAACGUCGCUUAUCCAAAUCACCUGCAUAGUCAGAAUCACAAUAUCCAACUACACAUUGACCAAGUGAUUUAUCCUGCUCAAAUACUAAUCCAACAUCUACGGUAUUUUGGAUAUACCGUAGAAUCCAUUUCACAGCUUGCCAAUGACCCUUGCCCGGAUCAUGCAUAAACCUGCUUACCACACUAACUGCCUGUGAAAUGUCGGGUCUCGUACACACCAUUGCAUACAUCAAGCUACCAACUGCAUUAGCAUACGGGACUUUCGCCAUGUAUGCUCGCUCUUCAUCUGUCUUUGGAGAUAAUAGACUACUAAGUUUCAAAUGAGGAGCAAGCGGAGUACUUACAGGUUUUGAAUCUUCAUUCAUGCCAAAACGUUGUAGUACCUUCUUCAAAUACUGCUUCUGUGUCAGACAAAGCUUGCCUCUCGUUCUAUCCCUGCUUAUCUCCAUGCCGAGAAUUUUCUUGGCUUCUCCCAAAUCCUUCAUCUCGAACUCUUUACUCAACUGAGCCUUCAAUUUAUCAAUUUCAACUUGGCUCUUUGAUGCUAUCAGCAUAUCAUCAACGUACAAGAGUAAGUAGAUGUAGGAAUCAUCUCGUAGCUUGCGCAAAUACACACAGUGAUCGUAUUUGCUUCUUGUGUACUUCUGACUCAUCAUGAACUGGUCAAAUCGUUUGUACCAUUGUCUCGGUGAUUGUUUCAAUCCGUACAACGAUUUGCUCAGUUUACAAACCCAAUUUUCUUUAGCAGCAACUUUGAAUCCAUCUGGUUGAGCCAUAUAGAUUUCCUCCUUCAAGUCACCGUGAAGGAACGCAGUUUUCACAUCAAGUUGAGCUAGCUCCAAAUUCAACUGCGCUACCAAGGCCAAUAAAAUUCUAAUAGAGGAAUGUUUAACAACUGGAGAAAAUACCUCAUUAUAAUCAACUCCCUCCUUCUGAGCGUAGCCCUUAGCCACCAAUCUUGCCUUGUAACGAACAUCAUUCUUGUCAGGAAAUCUUUCUUUCUUUACAAAUAUCCAUUUGCAUCCAAUUGCCUUCUUGUCCUUCGGUAGUUGUGUCAACUUCCACGUAUUGUUCUUCUGAAGAGAUUGCAUCUCUUCUUCCAUAGCAUCUUUCCAUCUAUCAUUUUCUGUAUUUCGAACUGCUUCAGAAAAUGUGGAUGGAACAUCAUCAACAACUGGAAGUGCAUAGGCCACCAUGUCAACAAAACGAGCAGGUUUAUGAAUUUCUCAUCUUGCCCUAUUGAUGGCAAUUGACUCUUGCUGCUGUUGAGGUUCUUGGGUUGAAACCUCUUCCUCAUCUGACUCCUCUUCUGCCAUGGGAGAGUCACUGAUGGUGCUGUUUGCUGGACUCACCAUUAUUUGCUCAAACUCCACCUGCUUUGGCGUACACUCCACCUGUUGCGGAGUACCAUUGGUCCCAUCUUGUGAUACCUUAUUCAACAUGGCAGAUUCGUCAAAGGUAACAUCCCUGCUGAUAAUGGUUUUCUUUGCUUCUAGACACCACAACCGAUAUCCCUUAACUCCAGCACUAAAGCCCAUAAAGAGAGCCUUCUUUGCACGUGGAUCCAAUUUUGAUUCAUUUACAUGAUAAUAUGCAGUAGAACCAAAAAUACGCAAAGAAUCAUAAUCUGUUGCAAUUUUUCCAGACCAUACCUCUAAUGGAGUCUUGCCACCGAUUGCAGAUGAUGGCAAGCGAUUGAUGAGAUGUUGAGCGUAUGUCACAGCCUCAGCCCAAAAUUUUCUGCCUAACCCAGCAUUAGACAGCAUGCAACGUACUUUCUCCACUAGUGUCUUGUUCAUACGUUCUGACACCCCAUUCUGCUGCGGUGUUUUUCUAACUGUGAAGUGCCGAACUAUGCCACAUUCUUGGCAUAUCUUCUGGAAGGGAUCACUCUUGUAUUCUCCACCGUUGUCUGUUCGGAGGAUCUUGAUCUUUCUUCCCGUCUGGUUUUCAACCUGAGCUUUCCAUUUAAGGAAAAUCUCUAGCACCUCAUCCUUGCUCUUCAUAGUAAACACCCAAACUCUUCUGGAAAAAUCAUCAAUAAAAGUGACAAAAUAAUACCUGCCACCAAGGGAUGGAGUCUUGGCAGGUCCCCACACAUCUGAGUGCACAUAAUCCAAAAUACCCUUGGUAUUAUGGAUACCAGUGCCAAAUUUCACUUUUCUUUGUUUUCCCAGAACACAAUGCUCACAAAAUUCUAAUUUGCAAACUUUCGUACCUUUCAAUAAUCCUUGUUUGGCAAUAUUUUACAAGGAUUUUUCACCAGCAUGUCCCAAUCGCAUGUGCCACAACUUUGUUGCUUCCGCAUCCUUCUUGCUACUGGAAGAUGUUGCUGCUGCUGCUGUCCCAACAACUGUACUACCUUGGUAGUAAUACAGAUUAUUCUUCCUCACACCUUUCAACAUCACAAGUGCUCCUGAAGUUACUUUAAGAAUUCCAUCUCGCAUCUUCACUUCCAGGCCUUUUGACUCCAAGAGUCCCAAGGAGAUGAGAUUCCUCUUCAAAUUGGGCACGUACCGAACAUCCUUCAAGAUUCUAGUGGAACCAUCAUGAUUACGCAGCUUGAUUGAACCUAUCCCAACUGUUUUACAUGGAUUGUCAUUUCCCAUGUACACAACUCCACCAUCAAGUUCUUCAAAUUCAAAGAACCACUCCCGCAUGGGAGUCAUAUGGUAGGUACAAGCUGAAUCCAAAAUCCACUCAUCUGGAUGGGAUGUUAAAGGUGAUACAGCCAAAGAGAAAUCUGAUUCCGCAUCACUUUUGCAUUCUGCAACAUUUACGUCUUGCGGAGCUUUCCCUUUCUUCUUUAACUUUGGACAGUCUUUCUUCCAGUGCCCUUUCUCACGACAGAAAGCACACUCAUCUUUGGCAACUCUACUUUUCGAUUUGGACCUUCCUCUUCUCCCCUUUGAUUGGCUUUGUUGACGACCUCUUGCCACUAACGCUUCAUCUGCUGCAGCUACUUUCUUUUUCAUUUUAUCCUGCUUUCUCAAUUCACGACUAUACAAAGCAGAACAUACAGCAUCUAAAGACACAUUUUCCUUCCCAUGAAGUAACGUAGUUUCCAAAUGUUCAAAUUCAUCAGGAAGGGAUGACAACAACAUCAAAGCCAAAUCUUCAUCUUCAAAAUUUAUAUCUAAAUUUAACAGGUCUGCUACUAAUUGAUUAAACAUAGUGAUGUGUUCAUUCAUAAUAGUACCUGGUUGGUAAUCAAAUCGGAACAAUCUUUUCUUCAUUAGGAGUUUAUUCUGACCACUCUUCUUCAGAAAUUUCUCCUCCAAUGCCCUCCACAAUUUCCAUGCACAAGUCUCGUUUUUGAAAGCAUAUUUUUGCUCUUUGGACAAACACGAUCGAAUAGUUCCGCAUGCCAACCGAUUUAUGGUACUCCACUCCUUCUCUUCUAUGUCAUCUGGUUUCUUUUCUUCAAUGGCAAUGUCAAGACCCUGUUGGAAAAGGGAGUCCAUGACUUCGCCUUGCCAUAUGCCGAAAUGGCCAGUACCGUCAAAUGUCUCCACCGCCACCUUUAAACUUGACAUUGGAAUUCUCGACCAUGUGGACGAGGAAGCCGAUGCCCCAGAUACAAUUCUUGACGUGGAAUUGUCAGAUGCCAUUACAGACUCAAAUGAUAGUAUUCAAUAUAACAAACUACAAACAAGCCAAAGGACUAACCUUCGGCUCUGAUACCACUUGUUGGGGAAAUCGGGUAUUUUCCCACUCAAAAUUACAACUAGUGAUUAAACCGAUUCAGUAAUUCCCAGGAAAGAUCGUCAAAACAAUCUCCUUAGACAGAAUUACCAUUCCAAGUAAAUUCUCAGGAAAGGCUGGAGGGGUCACAAGUGGUCCACUUAAAACCCAGUCUCCUAGACAGAACUUACGUGCACGGUGUAUUAUCACAACUAUACCCGUGUAUACAUAAAUAAUACGUACACACGAAUAAGAAAAAUACACCCAAAUGAACCGUAUAAAACACUACAAAUAUACCCGACAAAUAUAGACAAAUAUAUUGAAUACCAUACUACAAUAGAAAAGAAACUAAUAAAUAAUGCGGAACAAAUAAAAGAGAUAAGGAAAGAACGCACCCGAAAAAUGGAUAACGGAGUUCGGCCAAUUUUGCCUACUCUCCGAGCACCACUCAAGCGACCUGCUUUUAUAAUUUAGGAGAGGAGAAAGAAUACAAAGAAUUACAAAAUCCUUAUGGGUAAUUCUUUGUUGUUCUUGGUACAUUUUAAUUGGAAAGACUUGAGAGCUAUUUAUAGUUCUCAAGCUAAGCUUCUUCCAAUAACCCAACCGAUGUGGGAUUAAAUUGUGCCAAAGAGAAGUCAACAAUGUUGGCUUCCAAAUUCAAGAAUUGAGGCAGCCAACAUUUGUUGAAACUCAACAAAGCCAACAGUUAAUUAAGCAUAAAUUAGAGAGGCUGGAAUAAGUUUCUACAACCACAAGAAACUACCAUAUUAAUUAUGUUAAACAAGCUAACUUAAAGAGUGCGGUUUAUUUUAGGGAUAAUUUUAGAAACCUCCCCUGAGGUUUCUAACAAUUUCACUGAGCUUCCCUGAUGUUUGAAAAAUUAUAGAUACCUUCCUUGUCAUUUAAAAUGACAAUUUUACCCUUACAUCCUUAUACUAUAUGAGAAUGAGUUGUGGUCUAAGGUUGUGUUUGAAUUUCAACCGCAAGGCCAGGGAGAGUUUGGAAAUAUGAAAAUAUUUGGAGUAUCAUUAGAGCAUUUGAUAAAAGUCAUGACAGUUUUAAAUUUGUUGUAAUCACUGCAAUGACCUUUUAGAUAUUUAAGGUUGAGAGAAGUUUAGAAAUAUGAGAAUGUUUGGACUGUGAUUGGAGCAUUGGGUACAAGUCAUUCUAACUCUUAUUUAGUUGUAAUUACUUAAAUGUUGUUUUCAUCAUUAAAUAUAAGAGUAAUGCUUUUUUGCCGUUUAGUGAUUGAAUUAAUAUCUUGUUAUUUUUGAGUAACAGUUUUCGACUGUUACGCAGAUCUGUUCUAAUGGUUACUUCUCUACCUUCUUCCGUUAGAUUUUCUUCAUCUUCUAUAUAUAUAUAUAUAUAUAUAUAUACUUGUAAAUAUUGGUAUUCGCUACAAAAAAAAUUCUACAAUAGAUUAACUGCAAAGCGGUUUGUUAUAAAAGCCUAUAAAUUUUAGCAACCGCAAAAGCAUAUAAUCUAUAGCUGAAACUUAUGAAACUAGGCACAAAGGAGCUAUACUCCUCUACUAUAGAAUGCUACCCUACAUGAUGGAAUGGAACUUACGGUAUGUGUUUUAGGAUUCUUUUCCUACUAACUUUACUUUUCCUGCCUGUUGAAUAAGUUGUACAUGAAGUUCUAGACUGAUCUUAAUAUCCUUUAUUGAUAUGAGUUCCUGAGAAAACCUUUUAGAAAAUUAGGUGAAAUCCUUGUUGUUACCAUCUUAAUAUAUAUUCUUAUACUACAUAAAAAUGAGUUGUGGUCAAAGGUUGUGUUUGAAUUUCAACCACAAAGCUAGUAAGAGUUUGGGAAUAUGAGAAUAUUUGGAGUAUCGUUAAAACAUUGGGUACAAGUCAUGACAACAUUAAAUUUGUUGUAAUCACUGAGAUGACCUUUUACACAUGUAAGGUUAAAAGAAAUUUGGAAAUAUGAGAAUGAGUUGAAUUAAUAUCUCAUUAUUUAGAUUCUCUUCAUCAAACAUAUCAAGAAAAUCUCCUCUGCUUACGCCAUCAGCUGUCUCACCACUUGAUCUGCAGGAAUGUUUUUCCACUGCACCAUCCAACCUUUCUUGGACCACGCCCUCCAAGAACUCAUCAAUUUCUCUAGCAACACGAUCCACUCUGGCAUCGUAACCAUUAACUCGAUUAAUCCACUUGAGACAGGGCACAAAUUCAAAUAAACUUCCUUCAUUCAGUAACUUCAAGAAUUCAUCCAACAGCUGCUUGAAUUUCUUUCCAAUUUCACCUUCACCAUAUUUCCUCCCAAAAGCUGAUCUGCAUACAAUAUCAUUAGUCAGUGAAAAAAAAAUUUUGCUCAAAUUCACAGGUGUUGAAUCCAAAGAAGCGUCUUUAAUCUUCUGCAUCAUAAUCGACAUUUCCUGUUCCCUUAUAUUGCGAAAUGAAUGAACUUUUUGGUUGCUCAGGAGCUGAAGAACACAAAUGCUCUUUAACUGUCUCCAAUACUCGCCAUAGGGUGCGACCGAUAUACCCUUCAUGUUAUAGAGAAGUUUACUAAUAGUGCUCGAAAAUGGCCUAUUGGAGAAAAUCAAAUCAUCCUGAUUAGGCUAGCUCCAUCAGCUGAUGAAACGACAACCGUUGGAACACUACCAAAUUUAAGAAACAUGAAUGGACCAUAUUUUUGGGCUAAGGAGUAGAGGGAAUGGUGAAGCAGUGAGCUUAGCUGAUGAAGAUUUCCAAUAAUUGGAAGUCCUGGUGGCGAUGGUGGCUCAUUUUUCCUCGAAGUUGAAAAUAAUUUGAAGAGAAACCACAGUAAGAUUAAAGGAAAAAGCGAAAAGAAGAUUGGAUAAAACAUAAAUAUAUCAAUCUUUAGCUCCGAUACCAAGCCUGAUGAGCUUGCCAUUGCUUUUAAUCUCCCUUGUAUUUUGCUCAGUAUACAAUAAGACUAUGAUUUUGGACCAAAACAGGAAAAGAAGUAUGGGACAAGUUUGUUUCAGUUGGCAGUCUAAAGAGGCUGCAGGGCUUGGUAUCUGUAUGGAUAGAUUUGCAGAAAUGAGACAAAGGAGGAAUCGAAAAAUAAGGACAAAUCGUCACGGAAACCUCUUCGGACAUAGUAACAUAUGAGAACAAGGACUCCUACUUAAGAUUAAGUAUUCAUCAAUGGGCUAUUAGUCAAUAUUAUUCAAUUUCUAUUAUGUCUCCAAUAAUGUUCCUAUAUGAUAUUCUUACAGAAAGGGAUAUCUUUGGAAACGUGUCCUGAGGUUUUCGAUAAUUGCUGAUAUAUAGUUCUCCUCCAAUUUCAGUAGUUAUAGUUACACCCUUAUUUUCAUAUGUUUUUGUGACCAAUACAAAAUUGAGUUUGUUUGAUGUGAGCCAAAAAUACCUGUUAAAUAUUAUAAAGAGUCAACCUAUAAAAGGCAACUGAAAAUUAUGAUAUUUCUAAAUGACAAUCGACAUGCACAAAUAUAAGAAUUCUAAAAUCAAGAAGAUAAGAUCAUUUUUUAGUUUGAUUUUAUCAAUUAAUUCGUAUGUGGUUUAGUGUAAAAUUCUCCUAUCCUGAAAUGCCCCUUAUAAACCAUCAUCACCUACAUCCAAUUAAUCCUCGCAUGAUUCUCUACUAUAGUUAGUGCCAACAUCCUCUAUCACCACCACAACUAUUGCCAAUUGCCUACAGAUAGGGCAAUAGUGUGAGUAUAUUUAGUUUAUCUUUUUCUGUUUUUCAUGAAAAAAUGAAAUAAAACUUGUAUACAUUCAAGGGUAGGAUAGUCAUUCAAAUUCCUCAAGGGAAACAAGUCUAAUUAUCUCAAGUAACUUAAACGACAGCUACUUUUAUUUUAAAAAAUUGAAGGAUUGUUUCUAAAUUUAUCCCUAAUAAAUUUGCUGCCUUUUUGGCUUGUUACUUGCAAUAUGUGACAUUAGAAUAAUUAAUUUCAAAUUUAACUUUGAAAAUAUCCAUUCACUAUCAUAGUAAAUUGAAAGUUUAGUAGCAUAAAAUAAAAUCACUACAACAUGAGAAAUGGUUUUUCCCUCUUUUCUUCUUUUGAGGAAAAAUGACCAAUUUAGUUCCUAAAAUUUUUUGAUAGUGCCGAUUCAGACCCUAACUUUUAUUCCUAUCCAAUUUGAUACAUGAACUUAGUUUGUGAUUUUAAUUAAGGACCUCUAUGUUGGCACGACCACAUAAAAUUGAUCGAACUCCUAAUUGAUGAACUAAAUGGGGUAUUUUGAGAAUGUCACUCACGUGGUUUUAAUAAAUCAAGAAAAUCAUGUAAAAAAAAUCAUAAGAUUAAACAUUACGAAAGUUUUAUUCGGAGAAUUUUUACACGAUUUAAAAGUUUUAUCUAGUAGUUUUUUUACACAAUUUAGUUGCUCUAUUACAAUCCCAUGAGUAACCUCUAUCUAGUUAAUCAAUUAGGAGCCAAAUUAGAUUUAGGUAAUCAUGCCAUCGCGAAGGUCCUUAAUUGGAAUUGCAACAUAAAUUCAAGUAUCAAAUUGGUCAGAAAUAAAAGUUAAGGCCUAAAUUGAUAUCAUGAAAAAAGUUUAGGAAUGAAAUUAGCUAUUUUUCCUUAAGCAUUUGAAGAAAAUUUUUUCCCAGUGAGCAAACAUGUACGCGUUGACCUUUUCUUUUUUUUUUUUUUUUUUCUAGACCAGUUCUUUUAGGCAAAAGCAAAACAAGUAAAGAUUAUGAAAGAGAACCAAUUUUAAUCUAUUCUAAAUUGAUAAUCAUACAACUUAAAUUGAAUAUAUAGUUGGAUUUGGAUUAGGAAUAAAGAGAGAUUAAACAGCAUGUACGAUUUCAAGAGGAAUUAAAACACAUUUAAGUCAACUAUAUCAAUUAAUUUAGAAAUAUGUAACGAUAUAUAACAGAACAUGGAAUACCACCAUAAUCCUUUAUACGCAAAUUACUUAAGAAGAAAAUAUAUUAUGCUUCAAGAUUUUAUUUGGAAUGAAGUAAAUUUAUUAUCAGAAUAUACACUACAAGAAAUUUGGUCAUCAGUGACAACAUUUCUUAGUGACAACAGAAAAGUUGUCACAAAAUGAGGUCCUCUACCAACAACUUUGAAAGUCGUCACAAAUGUCUCAUAGAGCUAACUAAUUAGUGACGACUUGUAUUUGUCAUCACAAACAUAUUCCCUCUAACAAGAUCCAAGAGAGCCGGAGUUGUUGGUGAAUACUUUUAGUGACGACUUGAUGAAUAUCAUCACUAUUACUAGCUCUAUUUUUUUUUUGACAACUUUGCAAUGUCGUCACUGAAGCUUGUGUACUUUCGUUACUGGCAACUCUCUGUUGUCACUAUAAUAAUGGAUAGCUUUAGUGAUAAUUAUAUGUUGUUACUAAACUAUCUUAGAAUUUUUACAACUUUGGCAAUAUAUUAAUAUUAAUAUUGAUUUGUUUCUAAUGAAACCGUUUGACUAUCAUACAAUUUCGAGCCUCUUGAUUUUCAUAUGAAUUCGCAAUUUGACUAGUUUAGUCAAAUUGGUCAUAUUAAUUUGUCAAAGAAUGACUUGUUAAAGGAAAAAAGACUAAAGAAAUUUUGUAGUUAAUUUCCCAAUACCUGAAAAAUGUUAAGCUGUAAGAGUUUGUAAAUUGAACUAGUUAUUAAAGCAAAUAAAUCCUAAACUCUUUAGUUAAUUAAUUAAAUCAAUUUAUUGCUUUAAUUAUUUAUUUUUUAGUCAAAGGUAAUAAAUUAAAUGUGAAGUUUUAUGUUUGACUAAUAGUAAAUGAAUUAUUUAUGAAAAAAUAUUUUUCCUAUCUAAUUGAUCUUUUUUUAAAAAAAUUUUUAAUAAGAAAGAGUUGACUUUAAGAACUACGGUAUUGCAAAAGGUACUUUUUAUGACAAGGUAAUUUUUUACAAAAGUCUAAUUCACUGCAAAAAGUCAUGUUUUAUGACAAGUUUCAGGUUAUCGUACAAUAAUUUAAAGCAAGAAUAGCCAUCAAAAUUCGUGCUUCUCAAUGUAAAAUAAUUGAAAAUACUACUGUACUAUUAGGCUAAAAUAAUGAAAGAAACAUAAAUAAGUUGUAGUAAUUUCACAAUUUCUAGACAAUGACGUGAAUAUUAACACUGGAUGAGCUAUUUGAUAUCAUGAAAAAGCGAACUAUUUGAAGUAGAAAAAUGUACAUUUACCACUAGUAUUAAUGCAGCAAAUUUCUCAUCCUUUAUGAAUAGUUUCAAAAAAGCAUAAACAAAUAGAAAUUAAUAAUAUAUUACUAAAAUUAUACUUCAACUAAAAAGUAAAACUAAAAAACUUUAUUUGAAAUUUUGCAACUAAACAAGAAAGGGGGGAAGCUAAGGAAUUGAAAUUUCAUUAAAAGUGAGUAAACAAAGAAGAGGCGCGGGUGUACAUAAAACACUUAGAAAUCAAGACCGGCUCCUAGUACUCUUUCACUAUACACUAUACGCCCAACACUUAGAACCAAAAUGAGUUUCUCCCUCUUCAUCUCUUCAUCUUUGCCAAACAAAAUAGAAGAACUUCUCCUCCUUAUAUCUGUUGAUUGAUUAUGGCUCUGCAGUGCUGAAUCGAAGACUUCCUCUACCACCAACGCUCUACAAUAGAAGGUCCGCCCUUUCUCUUUUUUCUCCUGAAAUUUUUCCCAAAUUUUUUGCCCUAAUUAAUUUUUUGCUAAAAAUUUCUCUCCAAUUUUUUUGGGUUUCUUUUGAUUUAUGGAUGGAGUCAUCUCAUGAUUGUGGAAUUUGUUUUGUUGUGGAUUUCUACCCUAAAAUUUUUUCCCAACUUUUUCUUAUACAAGACAAGGGGCUUUAGAGAGAUUCGAUUGUGGGUACAUACCGAUUUGUGAUGGGCCUAGGAGGGCAAAUUUAGUGUUUCAUUUUUUGUGUUAGUAAAAUGGAAGAGAAUUAGGAGUGAUUUUGUGAAUUUUUUGCUAGUGAGUGGUUGCAUGCGAGGAAACUAGUUGGUAGAAUGGUGUUGGGUUAAGAGGGAAAUGAAAAAUAGUGAUUCGGGAUUUAAUUAAGUGGAUAAGUAGCUCAAGAUCUAGGUACAAGGUUUGGUGAAAAUUUUUGUACUGUCAAAGAUAUCUUUUGUUUUGUUGAAAUUUGGUUAACUGUAAUGGGAAUUUCACCAAUAAACUAUUUAUUUAGUUGGAGUGUGCUUUCUCCUUCACAUUGCCAAAGCGUGUAUGGCCCUGUUUCUUGUUUGUUUGAUUUGGAGUGGUAAUUUUUUCCUAUUUCCCAAAAAGCGAUCUCAUUAAGAAAAAAAGGAAAAAAUAGAUUUUUGUAAGAUGGAUUUGAUGGUGGGCUUUAUGAUACUAACUUCAACCAUUACCAUACCAGUUCUUUGUGUUCCGCCUGUUGUUCUAAACAUCUAAAUAUAUAGUCAAAUUUGUCACUUCACUUAAUAGUUAGGUCAAUCUGCAUUAUGUCUACCAUACGAGUCCUUUGUGUUCCUAUUACUGCAUUAUGUCACUUCACUUAAAAGAUGUUGGAAAUGAUACAAGGAAAGGCAAUUGCUAUAGACCUAUGGCUAUCCAAACAAUAUUAAGUGAUCAUGAUAAUCUGCUGAUUCAUCUGGGGUCUUAUGAACUUAAAAGAAUCACUUGAAAUAGUCUUGACAAUAGGAAAAUAGUGGAGCUGAUAUGGAAUUAGUCACAUUUUAGUUGGGUCUUAACUUGUAUGCCUUGAUACAAGAAAAGCUUGAGCACAUUAACCUAAAAUGGAAAGCCAGUUAAAAGCUUUCACAAGUUAGUUCAAUUUAGUAUUUACCUACUAGGAGUUUGGCUUGUUAUUUGAGAUUGAUAUAUAGUGCUGCUGUAAUUUCACUGUGGAUAAUUAACCAACUCAGAUUGAAUCACUUAAGAAUGAGGCAUGAAGUUUAAGAUGAGAUGACUUUAUAGAUAGAUACAUACAUAGUUGUGUCUUAUAGGUGGAUCAUGGAGUUCACCUUUGCAUAUUCUGAGCGGUGAAAAAUUCAUCCUUAUCUUAUUUUUCAUUAAUUAAUUGAGAGCUUAUCAGCUCAAUAGCUUUUCACUUAACUAUUAGGUACUUUUUAGUCUUAGGAAAGCAAAGUUAAUUUGUUACAACUCUAUACCAGAGUAAAGUGAUAUAUGCUAAGUGGCAACUAGAACGGCUAUCUAUUUAUUUAAUGUAAUACAGCUUUGAACAGAAUUUUUGUAGAAAAGUUGCAUUGUAGUAUAGACUUUCAUGUAAUUACGUAUGAUGCCUGACCUUUGCAUAAUCAAUUAAUCCACCGGCUUCUUGUACAGAUUGGAUCACUGAGUUGAGUAAUUCUCUGCAAUUAACUUGUCCAUUUUCUGCUGUAAAUUUAGCUUCAGUCAACGAGCGACUUAUGGACAAGGCCUACAAAAUACCAUGAAGAGCAAAAGGUAUUGGUACCAGGACAUGCCUUGAUUUGGUUUUGACAGAUUAAACUAAGCACAAAUAAGUUGUGCAAUCCAUCUAUUUACUCUUAAUUUCUAAAAAAGUUGUGCAAUCCAUCUAGCAACUUGUUUGGUCUAUUUUGUCUCAUUUAAUCCUCUAAAUGUUCUAUUUUUUGCUUGUUAAAAAGACAUCUCUGGAGCAUAGAUUAUUUUGAUUAGUUGAAAUAAUCUCUAGAGCAUAGUCAUCCCUAGUUAAUAAAAAUCAUUUACGACUGGUUAGCUCAAAUAUAGAUUACGCUUGACUAAAGUUGAUUGUAAUGACUAUGCUUGACUAUCUUUUAAUUUUUGAGCAAUAAUGCUCUAUUCAGAUUGAUAGUUGUAGGUAUUGCUAGAUCAAUCUGCAUAUGUACAAUUUGAUGUGAAUUAAACUCCCAAAACUUAAAUUGUUUGUACUGUGAUUAUUAGCUUUUGCAGUGAUUGAAGCUACGGACAUAGGUUCAAUGUCUCACUAGGAGAUUGUCAUAUAGCUGCAUUUUUUACUUUAAGGUGAGUUAAUACGAACUCUCUUUUUUUCCUUUUUCCUUUGUUUUUGUGAUCACAUGCGCACUUAAUUGGAAAUGACUAUCCAAUCUCAGCAGCAACUGAUGGAAACACUUGUGAGCCAACAAACUUAGAUGCAGAAACAGCAGAAUGAAAUGCAGAGCCUGCUUAAAUCUCUAAACACAACUGGAAGCUAGGCAGCAAGGUAAUGAGAGCACAUAUGCUCGAAAUUCAUGGCAAAACCUUUUUCUGAUCAUACUUUUAAUAAGGUAGAUUUGUAAUAGUACAAAUCAAGUGCAAUAUGAAUCAUGGACAUAAUUUUCUGCCCAAUUGACUUAAUGAGGGCAUUUAUAUAGAUGGUUUAAUUUUGGGUAGUAAGCUAAUUUAAAAUAACCUUUUACGGGUUGAAGAAUGAACUUAAUCAAGUUAUUGUAGCACAACAAUUUGCAGCGAAUCAUUGUUUUAUGUUAUCCAUGGCUAAUUUUUAUAAGUAACAAUCCUUUGUCUUCAGUAGAACAUAUAGAAUAUAAAUAAGUUAUUGACAUUACUAAUACUUCAAUAGCUAACUUUUGAGUUCAUUUGGGAUAUUGUUCUUGUUAUGACAAUUAAUCACCUUCUUUAUUCUUUUCCUUACUAAUUUCCUACUCAUUAUUUGAGUUUGUGAUAAGUAAAUCUAAGAUUUUUUUCCUUUUCAAAAUGCUUGUUACUUACUAUUGUUAUACUACUUUAUGCAGACAAAUGCUACUAUGUCAGAUUUUGUGCAAAAUUCAUAGCUACUAAGUGGACUCAAGAAGGAUGAAGAUAAAGCUGCUUUUUUGGCUCGUGAAGUGUUUUGGAAGUUUUUAUGACUUUUCAGGCUCGGAUGCUUUUUGUAAACUUGAUUGACUUUGCAUGAACAAUUUGGGUUACACAGUACCACUUCUAUUGUAGUAUUUGUAGGAUGACAUUGAACUUAAACAUUAUAUUUUGGUCCUUUGUAGCAUAAUGGAUGCUUUUAGCUAUUAAUUAGCAGGCCUUUUAUGGUUCUUUUGAUUUGAUGAAUUGUUGGAUUCCUUUUUAGUAUAAUGGAUGCUUUUAGAUAUUAAUUAGCAGGCCUUAUAUGGUUCUAAUUUGAUGUAUUGUUGGAUUGGUUGCUUUUAGGACAAUCGUUUGUAUCAGGUUUCAUAGUGACAAUAUAUUGUUACUAAUCAGAUUUCUCCACUAACAACAAAAAGUUGUCACUAAAUAGGGUGUAUAACAAAAAGGUAUAUAGUGAUGAUAAAUGUUGUCAGUAAAGAGCCAUUUUUAGUGACGACUCUAAAGAGUUGUGAGUAACCAAUCAAUACCAACGGCAACUAUGAAAAGGAUUUUACUGACGACACUACUACGAGCAUCAUUGAUAAGGUGAAAUGUCGUCACUAUAUAUGUAUUUAUUAUUGACAAAAAAUAUUGUCACUAAUGAAUAACAUUUACUGACGACAUUUAAUGUUGUGACUGUGUACCUUUACCGACAGAGAUUCACUGACGACUUUGUGACAACUAAAAUGUUGUCAGUAAAACACGUUAGUGACGACUUUUACAUUUUCUGUGAUAAUAAUCAGUUGUCACUGAUGACCAAAUUUCUUGUAGUGAUAUUGGAACUCAUUAGAAUUGAAGAGAAUAGUUGACUGGUGAAUCUGAUUGAUCAUUCCACCUAUCCUUCAGUUAAAAUUCCAGCACUCGUAUGCCUUAUUAAAAUUUCCCGAGCCAGUAGCAAAGGGUUUUAGCCCAUAGGAUAAUAGUAGGGACUAUCAUUAUUUUUUGGCAAAAAUGUAAAAUUCUUAAUUACGGAAUGGGGAUUGGGUAUCUAAAUUUUACAGUGGGCUUUUACUCUCCUUUUGUGUGCUUACAUAGUGUCCUAAUUUGGGUGUGCUCAUAUUGACAGGUUGUCAGCCUGUGCAAUAAUAAAAACCUGCUCAACUAAAGUUAAUUUCUGUAGAUAGUGGUAAGUAGGGUCGAAUCCACAGAGAUUAGGUGUAACUGUUUCUUUUCAAAUUCACAGUAACAAAUGGGGUGUUUUUGUGCAGAAGGUGAUAAUCAAAGAAUUUCAAAUAAAAUCUAAGAAGCUACUAAAAAUUAAAUAACAAAUUACUAAAAUCAAAUUGGUGAUAAUUAAGAAUCUAACAAAGAAAUAACUUCAGCAAUGGUGCAUCUAAUUGAUCAUCGAAACAAAGGCAAUUCCAAUUAUUUACUAAAAAAUAUGUUAUAACUGCCAAAGAAGCGAUGACAGUCAACCCCUCCUUACUGUGUCGGUGAUUAAGGUACGCCCGUUAAUCACUACUCUAAUUGAGAAAUAAUCUUAGGUACGCCCGUAAGAUUUAAUUUUCCAAUUGCCUUACAUAUUAGAGGAGCCCUAUUCUAACCAAAUAACACACUACCAGGGUUAUUUUAGAUUAGUCCGCGUAUUCCCUUGACACAAACCUAAUCAUGCCAAUUAUCACUAUUUUGAGACAAUUAAACAAUUACGGAUUUAACGUCCCAAUUGACAAUAGAUUAUCAAAUUAACUAAUUAUCCGGAUCCAAGACAAUCAAUUAAUUAAACAAUCAUAAGCACUAUAAUCAAAGAAUAUGCGGAUACCAAUAAAUAAAAAGAAAAGAUAAAAUUAAAUUGAUCUCACAGUUUUUAGGCGAAUCAAAGCAUCCGUUGUUUCUUGACUAGAGUGAGGAGAUUAGUUCAUAUUGAUGAAGAAAAUCCACAGAAAAUUGAAGGAAUAACUGCGGCCAUUGUACUUCAAAACUAGGAAAAACUCAAUUCGUUUAAUUGGUGGAAAGCUCUUGGCAUGCGCAGGGGGCAACCACAAAAGACAAAAGGAAAAAGUCAAAGAAAGCGAAAGGAAGUCCAUUGUUUUUCCUUGUCAUCACCAACGAGAGAACUACUACUAAAAAGCUAAGAAAGAAAAAAUCAAAGCUACUCUAAUGCUUGGCUCUUGUGCGGCGGCCCCCCUUGCGGAGAGGAUGACCCCCAGCCCUUCGUUCCUUUCCUCCUUUUAUGCUGUCUUUCGCAAAUUACCAAAAAAAGAUCACGCCUUGAUAUUCCAAAAAUACCCCUGGAUGCCUGCCCUUUGAGCUCUAUUUUGAAAAUCAUCAAAUUGACUCUUGUUAUGAUAUUUUUGAUCUACUCUCUGAAAUAAAUGCAAAUUACGAAAAGUGAGUAGAAUCUAAUAAUUAAUCCACAUCGAGUUAGAUAAUAGGAGAAAUUAACAAUAAAAUAAUUGAAUAAAUCGCAACCUAUCACUUCCCUCCACACCUAAAUCAUGCUUGUCCUCAAGCAUGAGAACAGUAAACAAACAUCAGUAUUUGACAAUGACUAUUGCUCUAUCUACCAUAUUGCCAAGAUACCAAGAAAAAUAAUAAUCAAGCAUCAAUGGCCAAGUCCAAGAAAAAUCACUCCGGUUAGCUUCUGAACCAUAAAUUCUUCCAAUUUCAGGUUAACUAAUCUAAGAAAAAGGAGUGGUCGCUCAACAUUUAUCAGUGAAUGGUCCAACUAUUAACCAAAAUCUCCAUAUUAAAUCCAUAAAUCGGCAAGCUGACUUUUAUUAUACACUAACACAACCUUCACUUUUUUAUCACGAUUUUUUGCUUUUCUCUUUUUUUGAUUUUUUUUUGCUUUUCUCAAUAGUAACAAAAGAUUUAGUCGCUAGCCAUUGGAGCCUUUUGACGCGAACUCUGACAUUUGUUAGAUAAAAGAGCCCGGUUACUCAGCUUCGAUCGCCACGUGACCACGUACUCAUAGCAAUUACUACUUUUUGACGCGAGAAUUGACACUUUUGGUGAAGAUCCCCUGUUACUAGGUAGUAAAGACUAGCGGAUUACAGUCAACUCUUAUUCACAGCCAAAUAACACAAAAACUCAAUAUAACACAAAAAUUAAAAGAAAAUUUGCAUCAGCUAGCCUCAUUUUCUAACAUGGAGAACUAAGAUUAAUAACUAGACCAAUUCACAUGAAAAUGCCAACAAUCAUUCCCUAUACUUAGGAAAGUUAACUAAAAAUUAUAAAAGUCACACAGUUGUCAAUAUUUACCACAGAGAUAUUCUUAGACUCAAGCACAUUCACUUGAUACACUUCCAUUACUAAAUCUUGGCAAUAGCAGAAAUAGAGGCAACAAUCCAACAUCAAACUUGGCAUCACAUACGAGCUAAUCACUAAAAAGAAAAAAAAGAAAAUGAAUGAAAGAUGGACAAAUAACAAACUAAAAAGAAAGAAAAAAAAUCUAAAAACUCAAAACUAAAGACACUAGCACCAUAACUGCUCCCCUCACACCUAAAUCCUACAUUGUCCUCAAUGGAGGAAAUAAAGUAAUUAAAGUGGAGAGAACAACGAAACUUCCCUCUCGAGUAGAUAAGGGGUAGGCAGGAACGGUGGAGGGAAGCCGAUGUGGUGGAAGUACGCGGCCAAAUUCUGAGACAUCCUUGCCACUUGGCGGGUGAUGUUCGUCACUCUCUCAACUACGUGGUGAAUCUCCACCUUGACGACUACACGGAGUGAUGGUGUGGCAAGGGGAAAGGCCGGCGGCGCUGCGGCUUGGUUGCGGACAGGAGCUUGCGACGCAUAGGUGGAGAGCGGCGGCGGGUAGUUUGGGCAGCAAGGUAGUGGCGGUUGAGAGUGAGAUCGAGGAAGAGGGAGCAAGGUGAGCUUUCCUACGAACAUGACGCGGGCACGUCAUGUAGGCACGAAGUGAAGAGCUCUCCAGGUUACUUGACGCGGGCACGUUAUGAGGAUAAGAACCCCUUCUGACGAAUCUGACCAUGAGCUCUUCAUGGGAUUUGACGCGGGCACGUCAUGAGGGCAAGAACCCCUUCUGAUGAUUCUGACCAUGAGCUCUUCAUAUGUCAUGAUGCAGGCCCGUUAUGAGGGCAAGAACCUCUUCUGACGAUUCUAAUCGUGAGCUCUUUAUACGUCAUGACGCGGGCGCGUCAUGACAGAAGGACACCUACAAAUCAUCAAAACUAAAAUUGAAACCCGAAAUCAGUCAAUCUCAAGGAAAACAUAUUUAAACUAUCACACGAAAUCAAACAAACAAUUAAAAGAAACAAUUGGAUUGCCUCCCAAUGAGCGCCUUUCUUUAAUAUCUUUGGCUAGAGAUUGUCAUGUUUGUUCAGGGAGGAUAAAAUCUUGUGGCUCGUUUCAGUGCUUCAUACUCUAUGUAAUCCUGAUAGCCCUCGUAAGUAGAGUAAUCCUUGAGCACACGAGCUACGGUCUUCCAUGGACUAGUAGAUGGCGACAACAAGUCAACAAUGAUCUGAAUCUCCACUCACUCCUCCAUCACACGCAUUUAUCGAUUCAAGAUAUUUUGCCAUCGCCACUCUUAACUUAUUUCUGUCAUGAAAUUUAAAAUUUUCUAGUAUAAUAAAAUCAAUCUCAGUAACAGGAAUUGAAGAAUAAGAGUCAGGAGAAUAUUGAUGAAUGAAUGGAUGAGAUGUCACCGCAUUUGAAGAUUGUUCACUGGAUUCAUUCUCUUGAAUGAGUUGAUACUGGGGUCUCAUUUCUUGCACUUUAGUUUCCUUUUCAACAGCAGCUUUAGAUCUGUUUUCUUGAAACUCUUGCAGUUCCAUGUCAUUUGGCCGGACAAUUGCACUCUCAUCUUCCUCAAGGUUGAUAUUGGUUUGUGCGGCAAAUUCUUCAAGGUGAGAAGCUAAUCACGUUAUCCUGGAUGAGAAGCUAAUCACGUUAUCCUGGAUGUAGAGUUGGCAAUUUGUCCCAAGUCCCAAUGGGCUACCCAAGCCCAAAGGAAUUUUGGGCGGGAUGGGUAUUAUAAUUUAGUAUUGGGUUUAAGUUGGGACACAUCCCAAUUAUACCCAGCAGUGAAUGUGAAAGGAUGGGAAAUACUUGGGUACCCACUGGCCCAAAUAUCUUCCUAAAAAAUAUACUUCGAAACUCCUCUCCUUUCUUCAUCCGCAGCUCCCUCAACGAUUCCUCCACCUCCCUUUCUUCCUCCGCUCUCCACGGCUACUCCGACCUCCGCUCUCCCGGUAGUUAUUUCAUCCUCAUAUACCUUCCUUCCUAAUUUACUCAGUUUUCUUGUUUAUAUUUGGGUAUUUUCCUAUUUGAUGUAGUGGGAAUUGCUGUAAAUGUGUUGUGAAGGAUAAGAAAUAUGUUUAAUUGAGGAAAUAUAGAAAAGCACCUGCUGUGAAUUGUCUGCUUCGCUAUUUGAUGAUGUGGGCAUUGCUGUAAAUUUUUUGUAGAGGAUGAGAAGUAUGUUUAUCUGAAGAAACUUGACAAAGCAGCUGAGAUGAUAAAAGUAAAACCCUCUUAAUUUCGGUACUAAGCAUCGGUACAAAUAUACCUAUAUGCUUUGAUCUGUUAUAUACAGCUGUUUCUAUCAUCUUUUUGGAUUGUGAAAUUGAUGUAUGGUAUAUUUCAAAAACUAGUUCGAUUCCAACCUUUUUCUUUUCAAGGGGACAUAUUGACGGAUACUUGCAUACUAGCAGGAUGUGUGGCAGUAAACCGGAGGAACCAGGUGAGAAAAUCUUCUGGAAGACUGAAUAUUCUGAGUAGGACUUUGCUCAGGCUCGCCAAACACGACUCCGAGUGGCUAAAACCCACAAGGUCACGGCUUACGUUGGUCCUUGACGGCUCACACAAAUUCACACCUCAUCCAAAUUCAUUUAAGUAUACAACUGCUUCUAGCCUUCUACUACUAGUCUGCUAGUAGCAGUACUAUAGUAGUAUACUUUAAGAUAAAUGGUGUUUAUUUUUCUAUAUGCCACAUUUGUUUGCUGCAUUCUCCUUUCAAACCAGUGAAAAGGGUUACAAGCCAACCUUGUUCUGCUGCAAGGGAAAAGCAGAGGAAAAGGACAGUGGCAGGUGAAUAUCCAAGCCAAUGCUGCUGCCUGCCUAAUGCCUAAUGUUGAUCAACUUUUUUAAGUUUAAUUUCCAAGUGCACUUGGGUUGGUUAAAUUUUAAAGUUUGAUCUCCAACCACUACUCCUAGGUUGGUUUUAUUUACUCAAUACGUUCGUUUUUGGCAAUGAAUUACAUAUUAUAUUAUUUGACCAAAGAGGUGCUAGGUGGUUGUAAUUUUUUGGGUUGUGUUCAUGCUAUUUAAUAGGUUCCAAUGGAUCAACAAGGUAGUUUAGAACCUGAAGAUGACUAUAUUCAAGCAAGCCAUGCAAGUUCUUCUAAGCGAGGAAGAUAUUCUAAAGUUUGGGAUGUUUUCAAAAAAAAGGAGGUUGAUCCUGAUGGAAGACAAAGAGCCGAAUGUAUGUUAUGUGGUGCUGUAUUACUGGCAGACGGCAUAUCAGGUACAUCAGGAAUGAACCGUCACAUAUCUAGAGGAUGUUCGAAUAGCAAAGAACAAGCAGCACAAUACUUGAUGGUUGACCAUGACGUGUAUCGAGAGCAUAUAUCUUUGGCAAUAGCACGGCAUAACUAUCCUUUUAGCUUUGUAGAACAUCAAGGUAUAAGGGACUUGCACAAAUUUUUGAAUCCAACUGUCCAAACUCUCUCAAGAAAUACAGCCAAGUCUGAUAUAUUAAAAUUAUACAAUAGGGAAAAGGAAAAAUUAAAAAAGGAAUUAGAGAUGAUUCCAGGUUGGAUUUGUUUAACUUCAGAUUUAUGGAGUUCGUUAACUACAGAUGGCUACAUGGCUGUGACAGGGCACUAUAUUGAUGAGAGUUGGACUUUGAGAAAAAAAGUAUUGAUUUUUCGCCACAUACCUCCCCCACAUAAUGGUCCACUUUUAGGUGAUCAGUUGAUUCAGUUUUUGAAGGAAUGGGGUAUUGAGCGAAAAAUUUUUAGUGUUACAUUAGAUAAUGCAAGUUACCAAAGUGGGAUAAUAGAAGCACUAAAGGAUCAUUUUUUGGUGAUAGAUUCUUUAAUAUGUAAUGGUGACCAUCUUCAUGUGCGUUGUGGUGCACAUAUUUUAAAUUUGAUAGUUCAGCAUGGUCUUAAAGCUAUUGAUUCUUCUGUGGUCAAGAUUAGAGAGAGUGUCAAAUUUGUUAGAGGUUCGGAGAUGAGAGGCAUGAAAUUUGCUGAAUGUGUGAAAUAUGUUUCCUUGGAUGCUAGCAAGAAAUUACAACAAGAUGUGCCAACAAGGUGGAAUUCCACUUAUUUGAUGUUGGAUAGUGCGUUACCUUAUCAAGCAGCAUUUCAUCGUUUGCAGAGAGUAGAUGGACUGUACGAACACUGCCCAUCAGAUUAUGAGUGGAUGAAGAUUAAGAAGGUUGCUGAAUUUUUACAACCUUUUUAUGAAAUGACAUUACUGUUUUCUGGGUCAUAUUAUCCUACUGCAAAUUUGUAUUUUCUCAAGGUGUGGAGAAUAGAAUUGUUGAUUCGAAAAAAUCUUCAUAGUUCUGAUGAUUUUAUACAUGGUAUGGCUGAGUUUAUGAAUGAGAAGUUUAAAAAGUAUUGGGACUGCUACAGUGUCAUUCUAUCUUUGGCUUUCAUUUUGGAUCCGAGGUAUAAAUUACGCUACUUGCAAUUUUGUUUUGAAAAGCUUGAUCCUUUGACUGCUGAGGAAAAGGUUAAAAAUCUUAAAGACAAGUUAGAAGCAUUGUUUGAGGUAUAUUUACAAGGCCAGUCUCUUGCUUGUUUAGAAUCCCAAGAUAGGAUUGCUAAUGCUGAAAAUGAUGGUGAAAUAAGGGAUGAGUUAGAUUUGGAGUUUGAUUCCUAUAAUAGCCAACAUGAGGCAUCUAUUUCCAAGUCCCAAUUAGGUAUUUACUUGGAGGAUAAAUUACUUCCAAGAGAUAAGAAAUUUAAUAUUCUUGAUUUUUGGAAAGGAAAUAUGCUGAGAUGUCCUGAACUUUCCUUAUUAGCAAGAGACAUUUUGAGCAUUCCCAUUACAACGGUUGCAUCUGAAUCUGCAUUCAGUCAUGGAGGUCGAAUCCUUGGAAAGUUUCGAAAUGCACUUUUGCCAAGCAAUGUUGAAGCAUUGCUAUGUUCUCGGGACUGGAUUUAUGGUGGCGAAGGUAAUAUUAAUUUGAAAUUUUAAAUGUCAAAUAUGUUUAUUUUCUUUUCUAUUAAUUUUGAUUCUUUUUAAAUAAUAGCAGGUUAUGAUGCUUCUGAGGUAGAAGAGGACGCAGAAAUGAGUGUUGAUGUCCAAAGAUUGGUGGCUAAACUUGGUAGUGGAGUAUAAACAUAUUUGACAGUUUGUAAUCUCAAAAGUUUAUAUUGCAUGUUCUCAAAAGUUUUCUUUGUCAACCUCUUUACUCUUUUUGCCCCAGGAAUCCAAAUCUUUGGUGGAUACCAAAGUCAAUGGCAACAAUCCGUGUUUUCCAUAUUGGUUGAGAAGAUGUCUAUUCUAUAGUACCAUUUCUCUGUUUCUCCCACUGUUAUGUGGAUUUUUAUCUUUUACAAGCCUUGGUGAAUGGAAAGAUCACUUCUUGAUGGAUAGCGUCUUGAUGACAGAGGCUUGAUUUUGGACUGAUGACUUCUACACACAGACUAGCUGCACAGUGUAGCAAUGCUUGUUGUAUGUAUUUAUGUGCUAUGAUAGAAGGUUUUGAAGUUCAUUUUGUUCUUAUCAAAAUGUAUGUCUUUGUGAAGUAAUUGUUGUUAUUUAAAAAGUGUAGAAGAUAUUAAAGUUAUUUAAAAAAUAAAAAAUGAAUUAAAGGAAAAAAAAUAUGUAGAAAAUAGAUUUGGGUUUGGGCGGGAUCAAUCUAAACCCAUCCCAAAGUGAUCCCGCCCAAGUUAAUCUCAUAUCACAUAUGGGUAAGGUUAGGCCCAAACCCAUAUGACUCGGUUCCAUAUUAAACCCAAGCAAAUCCCGCCCAUCCCGCCCAUUUUGCCACCUCUACCAGGAUAUCAAUUGAUGCAUUUGAUCCGUCAAGUUACUAAUGUUUACUUGUGUCUCCUGAUGAAAUCGAUAUGUAUUAGUAGCGAAUAAUUCAAUCAUUUCCUGAAGAGACAUCCCUGACAUGGAAGAUGGUUGUUGAGACUCUUGCUGUUGAAAAUCCAUUGGUCUGGUCGCAUAAUUAAAAUUGGAAUCAUCCCACCAUCCUUGAUCAUACCCGUUUGAAUAAGGGUCAUACCACGUUUGGUAUUGAGGUGAAAAAUCUCCAAAAGUAUCAAUUAAAGCACUCAGGUUAUCUUGAAAUGCAGGGCAUAUGUCGGUUGAAUAAUCUGGAGCAAAAUAAGUUCCACAAUUUGCAACAGCCAAUUGAUCAUUAGGAAAAACACGAGUUUCAUAACCCCAUUCAGGAAUAAAGUCCAGUCUAUCAUCAAAAUACGGAAUGUUAGCAGCCAUAAAUAAUAUAAAAAAAAGAGAAAAAUAAAUAAGAAGCAAAAACAAGAUGAACUCAAAAAGAAACAAAUUAAUUUGGCACCAGUCCCCGGCAACGGCGCCAAAAAUUGACAGGUUGUCAGCCUGUGCAAUAAUAAAAACCUGCUCAACUAAAGUUAAUUUCUGUAGAUAGUGGUAAGUAGGGUCGAAUCCACAGAGAUUAGGUGUAACUGUGUCUUUUCAAAUUCACAGUAACAAAUGGGGUGUUUUUGUGCAGAAGGUGACAAUCAAAGAACUUCAAAUAAAAUCUAAGAAUCUACUAAAAAUUAAAUAACAAAUUACUAAAAUCAAAUGGGUGAUAAUUAAGAAUCUAACCAAGAAAUAACUUCAGCAAUGGUGCACCUAAUUGAUCAUCGAAACAAAGGCAAUUCCAAUUAUUUACUAAUAAAUAUAUUAUAACUGCCAAACAAGCGAUGACAGUCAACCCCUCCUUACUGUGUCGGUGAUUAAGGUACGCCCGUUAAUCACUACUCUAAUUGAGAAAUAAUCUUAGGUACGCCCGUAAGAUUUAAUUUUUCAAUUGCCUUACAUAUUAGAGGAGCCCUAUUCUAACCAAAUAACACACUACCAGGGUUAUUUUAGAUUAGUCCGCGUAUUCCCUUGACACAAACCUAAUCAUGCCAAUUAUCACUAUUUUGAGACAAUUAAACAAUUACGGAUUUAACGUCCCAAUUGACAAUAGAUUAUCAAAUUACCUAAUUAUCCGAAUCCAAGACAAUCAAUUAAUUAAACAAUCAUAAGCACUGUAAUCAAAGAAUAUGCGGAUACCAAUAAAUAAAAAGAAAAGAUAAAAUUAAAUCGAUCUCACAGUUUUUAGGCGAAUCAAAGCAUCCGUUGUUUCUUGACUAGAGUGAGGAGAUUAGUUCAUAUUGAUGAAGAAAAUCCACAGAAAAUUGAAGGAAUAACUGCGGCCAUUGUACUUCGAAACUAGGAAAAACUCAAUUCGUUUAAUUGGUGAAAAGCUCUUGGCAUGCGCAGGGGGCAACCACAAAAGACAAAAGGAAAAAGUCAAAGAAAGCUAAAGGAAGUCCAUUGUUUUUCCUUGUCAUCACCAACGAGAGAACUACUACUAAAAAGCUAAGAAAGGAAAAAUCAAAGCUACUCUAAUGCUUGGCUCCUGUGCGGCGGCCCCCCUUGCGGAGAGGACGACCCCCAGCCCUUCGUUCCUUUCCUCCUUUUAUGUUGUCUUUCGUAAAUUACGAAAAAAAGAUCACGCCUUGAUAUUCCAAAAAUACCCCUGGAUGCCUGCCCUUUGAGCUCUUUUCUGAAAAUCAUCAAAUUGACUCUUGUUAUGAUAUUUUUGAUCUACUCUCUGAAAUAAAUGCAAAUUACGAAAAGUGAGUAGAAUCUAGUAAUUAAUCCACAUCGGGUUAGAUAAUAGGAGAAAUUAAUAAUAAAAUAAUUGAAUAAAUCGCAACCUAUCACAUAUAGUGCCCUUAGGAAUCAGGUUAGAAAAGCCAUUUUGAAUUGCUAUAUUGUUUGUUCAUUUUGUAACUCUAAUACCUCUUUCACAUUGCCUAUAAGUCAAAAUUGAAAAAAUAACAUUACAUUUUGGUAAGACACGGUCGUGAUGCUUUCUAUAAUUUAUGCUUACCCUAAAUUAAUUUCUAAUUAUCAAUAAAAAAAAUUGAAAAAUUAGUUAACCUAACUAGUCAAACCGAUCGGACUAAUCAACCAAGAAUCAUCAGUUUUUUUUAACUCCUUCAUUGGUCAGCUUAUUUUUGGCAACAUUGAAUCUUGAUCUUCUGAAAACGAAGUGAUUUCAGUGUAUAAUCCAAAUCAGACUAUUUCUCUAAAGAAAUUAGUUUAACCUUGUCCUUAAUUUUUCCAAAGAUCUGUAUCCGAAAUGUAAUAAUUAGCUUAUCCAUUAUGUUUGUCUAAAUAAAUUUAGAUAGGAUUAACUCAACAAAACCGCUUAAACAAUGAAGAGCAUUGUAGACACCAAAAUUUGUAUUUACUUUUAUUUUAUUUUAUUUUAUUAUUAUUAUUAUUUUAUUUUUGUUUUUUAAUUAUUAUUUAUUUAUCUAUUUAUUCAUUUCAUCUCAUGAUAUUUUUAUUUCUUAAGAAAAUCAUUUCAAUUCAUUUUUUAGAAAAUUAAAAAGAAAAGAAAAGAAAGGCAAGGCAGAAAAGAAAAGAAAAGAAAAAAAUCAAUCAAAAUCAAUUUUUGAAAAAAAAAAAAUCCACGUGCACCAUCCUUCUCUAUGGUUUCGUACCAGAAGCCAUGGAUAGUAGUACAAAAUUAUGUUGCGACAUCAAUUUGGCCUCUUUUCCAUUCUUUUUUUUUUUUUACAAUUUUCUUUCCUAGUACAAAGGCCAUCUGGCCUUAAUCUGAAACAUCAAGAAAGUUCCAGAAUUAAGAACUAUCUAGUGGCACAAAGAUUGCCAAAAAAGUGCAGCAAAAUUUGCACUAUCACUUCUAGGGUUGGGGGAAGGUCUUGUCUCAUAUAAAAGGCAGCGAAAUGCAGCAUUAGGGUAGAACAACGAGAGGGAAAUAGAAGAGAGGCGGCGGCAACACAAAAAUAGAAAGAAAAAGGGAGAGGAAAAAGAAAAAUGAAGAACAGAAAGAAGGAGAGAAACUGGGCAUGCCAACUACAUUGUUGUUACGAAUUCCCAGCAAAACAUCAGCAAAAUCUUCUCUACUUUUUUGUUCACUGCUCUCAUUAUUCUUCCCAUCACCAUCUAAAUGCUCUUCUAUAGCACCCUCAAGAAACUUAUCCAUUUCCUUGGCAAUUCUCUCCACUCUAGCCGUUAGACCACUAACACGAUCAAUCCAUCCAAGCCAUGGCAAAAAUGUCUCAAAAUCAAAUCCUCCCAAAACACUCACCAACUCACUCAUUAAUUUUCUAAACUUUCUCCCACUUUCUCCUUCACUAUACUUCUCCCCAAAAGCAGCUCUACUCACCACAUCACUCGUCAAGGCCAUGAACAUUUCAUUAAGAUCGACACCUGAUGAUGGUGCAGCAACUGAUCCUUCGCGAACUUUUGUGAUCAAGAGGUUUGUUUCCUCCUCUCUUAUGUAACGAAUGGAUUGAACCCCUUGUGUUACUUAGAAGGUGAUGCACACAAAUUCUCUUCAUUUGCUUCCAGUACUCUCCGUAGGGUGCCACUGAGACCUCCUUCAAAUCAUAUAAAAGCUUCCGAUUGACCUUAGAUUCAGGCCUGUUAAAGAAGUUCAAAUCAUGGGUUUUCAUGAUUAAUUCAGCUGCUUCAGCUGAUGAAACUACGAGCGUUUUGACAUUGCCAAGUUGGAGCAUCAUCAUUGGCCCAUGCUUUUGAGCCAAUUUCUGAAGAGAUCUAUGUGGAUGUGUGUUAGGAAAUUGACUUAAUUUCUUUUAGGCAGGUUUCUUGUUUUGUAUGGAAGUAACUAGUUCCCUAAUUAAUUUUACUUACUUGAAAUAGUAGCCAAGGAAUAUUCUAUUUAGUUUAGAAUUAGAAGUUAUUUCCUACAAGUGUAGGAAUUAGAAUUAAUUUCCUAUUGUUAUUUGGGUUUUGGCCAAAUAAUGUUCCAUAUAAAUAGGUAAGUUGGCAUACUACACAAGAACACACAAGAGCAUACAAGAGGCGCCAUGUAACAUUAUACAUGGGAUGGUGAAAGAGAGUUCUUGCGAGAUGAGAGAUAGUAUACAAGGAUUGGGUUUGGGUUCAAGUUGUAUUCUUGUAUAGAAUUUUCCUCUCAUAAUAAAGAACGGAUUUUCUCUCCGUGAACGUAGACUCAAUGGUGGACCGAACCACGUUAAAUAUUAUGUGUUGUUUAUCUUUCAUGCUUGUAGCUUGUUUGUCAUUAAAUUGUUGUGUGCUUGAUAUCUCAAUAAUUGUUUAUUCCAUGUUUGGAUCCUAACAAGUGGUAUUAGAGCUUGAUUGCGAGACUGGGCUGCUCACAAGCACUUGGAUCUCAACAAACUAAAUGGUUGGAUCAAGAGUUUGGUUGUUCAAGAUUGGAUCCUGGUUAACUAUUGAGAUCAAAUGGAUUAAUAGCUGUUACUCAUUGAACAAUUUAAUGAAUGGUGUCCUUAUUUCAAUAGUUUAGUAAAAAAACAUUGAUGGUGAAGGAUAGGAAAAUCGAAAAGUAUGGAGAUACUUGACGGUGAAUCUAAGCAGAUGAUUCAAGAGUCAAGGAAAAAGUGGAGCCCAAUGUUGAUUUUGGACGUGAAUCGGUGGAGAUUUUCUCAUAUCUCCAACGGUUGAUGCUUCAUCCUGGUGGAUUUUAGAUUUUGAUUCUGUUUUUUGGGUAGUGUGGUAUGUGUCCCAAAGAAACAAAGAGAUCUAAUUUCCAUGCGUCAGAAGACUCUGACAGUUACGAGUUUUUUGUUUUAGGUGGAGUCUUGAAAACCACACGUAGCGAGACAGUCCUGAGGAUGGGAAGAAGUAUGAUGAUUUUAUCACUUGGUUGCCUCAAUGAUUAUGGUUAGAGCUCACAGAUAAGGAUCAUAGAUUGCAAGUGGUGAUGAAAAAAAAUCCUGCAAAAAGAGAUAGUGAAUUGAAACCCUUCUCACGAGUCAACUAGAGGUUGAACUUGGGGUAACUACAUAUGUUAAUUUGCCAAUUGAAUGAAUUUGGUGUCAGGACUGUGUUGAUUUGGGUUGUAGUUCCGUACCAUAUUAUUUGGUAGUUGAAAGCAAAUGGUUGUUAAAAUAAAUUUUCACCAAGGUAGAAAUUUAUUAGAAAAUUGGCAUAAUUUCUUUUAGGUAGGUUUCUUAUUUUGUGUGGAAGUAACUAGUUUGCUAAUUGAUUUUAGUUACUUGAAAUAGUAGUCAAGAAAUAUUCUAUUUAAUUUAGGAUUAGAAGUUAGUUCCUACAAGUGUAAGAAUUAGAAUUAGUUUCCUAUUGUUAUUUGGGUUUUAUCCAAAUAAUGUUUCCUAUAAAUAGGUGAGUUGACAUACUACACAAGAGCAUACAAGGGCAUACAAGAGGCGACAUGUAGUCUUAUACAUGGGGUGGUGAGAGAAGGUUAUUGGGAGAUGAGAGAUGGUAGACAAGGGUUGAGUUUGUGUUCAAAUUGUAUUCUUAUAUAGGGUUUUUCUCUCAUAAUAAAGAACGGAUUUCUUUUCGUGGACGUAAGCUCAAUGGUAGAGUCGAACCACAUUAAAUAUUGUGUGUUGCUUAUCUUUCAUGCUUGUGGCUUAUUUGUCAUCAAAUUGUUGUGUAUUUGAUAUCCCAAUAGUUGUUUAUUCCGUACUUGGAUCCUAACAAUGUGUCCCAAGAAGAUGCAUGUGUCCCACAACUGGGAACUUUCAUGGUGAUGGAGGAAGGUUUUUGCUGCUGGUUUUUGUCGUAAAUUGCCAUUUUAUAAGAAAGAGAAUGAGUAACAAAGGAAGAAAAGCGAGGAAGAUUGGAUGCAAGAAAAAUGAGCUGAUUUUUUACUCAAAAAUUUGUGAAAAACUUGACUUCAUUUUAGCAGUGAACUUGAUCUCUUGUUCUACUUGUUUGGGUUGAGCUUCUCUUCUACAGCAUUAUGGGAUUUAUAGGGUAAACUUCUUUGUCUGUAGUUGUUAAAUUUGUCCUACUUGCGACCAAAUUUUUUUUUUCUUAAAAUGGAGCAGUCAGCACGGUAGCAGGCAGUAAGUCAGAAAAAAAAGGGACCCCUUCUUGCUGCCGUGCAUAUUCUCUGCUUCUCUCAAUCCCUCAACACGGAACGGUGGUAAAGUGGUGAAAGCUGAAAAGGGGACCCCUUCUUGCUCUACUUCAAGCUCAGAAUAACUUAUCACAGCUAUCCACGCUUUCUUUUUUUGAGCAUUGAUCCUGCAACUAUCACUCGGCUUCUUUGGUUGAACAUUUGUUUUCCGCAGAAUGUGUGAAGAGAUGAGAUGACGAAUGCGCUACUAUUUUAUUCACUUUGGUAUGGUUCCGUCAAAUCAAUUACUUUUUAUCAAACAAGAUCUUAUGCUUGUAGUAUUUGUGAUUCAUUCAAGCGCAGUUUCAAGAUUAUUCAGUUGUAGAAAGUUUUCGGAUGUACUUAUCCCGCAUGCAUAUUCUCUGCUUCUCCCAAUUAUAUUCUCCUUCUUUGUCUAGAAAUUCACUAUUCACUAUUCUAUGACAAGCACUGAAAUCUCCAUGUUCCCCUCCAAAAAUUUCUAGCUUCCCCAUGGUCCCCUCCAAAAAUUCAUCAAAUCCUGUCCAGGAAUCCUCCGAAAUCUCAGUUCAAUUUCUUCCUCUCCUGCAAAACGCUAGCUUGGUAACCUUCUUUUGUCUUAAAACCACAAAACCGUCAAACUCUUGAGUACAAAAGCUGAGGGUUACAGAAAACAGUUUGGUCAAGCACUGAAAACAAAUUUUGGUUGACUUUUUUGUUUUUUAAUUAGCACGGUAGCAGGCUCCAUUUAAAAAAAAAAAAAAAAAAUUUGGCCGCAAGUUGCCGUGCACAGUUAGCAUGGUAGCCUGCAACAAUAAAAAAAAAUUCCCUGCCAUGUUGAAUGGGCACGGCAGGUAUAGUUUUGUACAAUACGUUUGUCAGACAUACAUUCACUACAAUAAAAAUGACCUUUAACGACGUUUAAAAGUGUCAGUAUAGAUAAUCUAAACUGACAGUUUACCUUUUCUCACACCUCGGACGAGUGUUGUCUCUUCCAAUGUGGGGAUAGACUCGUACUAUUCAAUGUGUUAGGAAAACUAUGCUAUUAUAGCAUCCCAUCUGCCAACAAAAAUCUCUUUUCUUGACAAUUGAAAGUGUCAGGAUAUUGUCGAAGUUGUUGAGCUAUGUUGACACUUUUAACUACCAGGAGUUGUUUUUUCUUUUUCUUUUUAAAUAAAGAAGCAACCUGGUUGUGCUCCCUGCUAUACAUUCCGUCAAUUAGAUACCCAAAGGACUUGUAAAAUUAUCCCAAAGAACAGAAUGCAUAUAGUAAUUUAAAAGCAAAAGUCAAUGCUCAAAUAUCAUUUGUUGAACUAAAAUCAACAACAAGUACUAACAUAGCUAAUCAAAAGCCAAAACCAACACCAGCUAAUGUAACUAAUUGUCUACACCGUCAGUAUAUAAUAGCCAAAACCAACAUCUAAAGUCCCAAAUAGAAGUUCCUUUAUCUCUGGAACCUUGGUGCUCAAUGCGUUGUUAAGCAAAGUCUUGAACAGGAGCAGAAAGUUUAGUUCAUGUACGGCUUGGAAGUAAUCUGCGGCUGCUUGUUUCAAGCCUUGAGACUUGAUAGCACUCCAAGAAGGAACCACGCAUGGUGGUUUGUCGGCUCUAGUCAAAGAGCAACAUCAACAAGCUUCUUGCAAUAGGAAGAUUCUGUCUACCCAAUUUUAUCAGCACUCCAGCACACUACUACAAAAGUGUCCUUUUAUGACAUUCAAAAGCGUCAUUAUAGAUCUAUGUUAUGACGUUUAGGCUAUAAUGACGCUCUACUGAAAGCGUCAUCCAUUCUCGCGUCACGAUAGGUUUAUGACAGUUUUAAGUGUCCCAAUUUAUCAUUAUUAUGACAUUAUUAAAUGUCAUUAUUUAUGCCUAUUAUGACACUUUAUAAUGACAAGAAAUGCUUGAGUACAAUAACAUAUCACAACACUUUUUUAAUAUAAAUAGAUAGAAAUAUUAUGACACUUUUGAAGAGUAACUAGAUCAGGCCUUUAUGACAUUUUCUACUUGUUAGUAUAGCAUCCAAAUUAAAGUGUUCCAACUUCCUGUUGCAUAUUAUCUAACGUCAGAAAUCACAUUUCAUCCUGCUGCACAAGCAUCUCAGAUCCUAAAUUUUGAAGGAUUGUAACGUAGCUAGUACAAUAAUAUAAAAGAAGCAAUACAAUCAUCCAAACUUGAGCAAAAGUACAUCAACCAAAAAAUCCACACCAAAAGCGUCUACAAAUUACAUACUAAUUUAGAUGAUUUUAAAUUAGUCGUGUACAUAUGAAGGACACCUUUAAUAGCAACUCAACUACAAAGCAAGGAAGACGUCUUCAAAAAACUGCCACUUGACCCAAUGUUGCUUUAGUUUUCUUCAAUACUCACCUACAAGUGUCGUAAACCAAACAAGACAAAUUACAAUUCACACAGGCAAAUGAGAUGAUGAAUAAGAAACACAAGCAAAUAUAAGAGAAAAAGAAUCCACUCCGUGACUAGCAUAACUCCAAUCCCCACACGUGGACAAGCAAAAAUAUUCCAGCUUAUAAGUUAAACUGGAAUAAAAAUUCUCAAUCAGCUCUGGAUUGGCCUGCUCGGGAAGAAAGGAUAAUCCCAACAAAAAAGCUUUGGCUGUUGUGCAUUUGCUCUGCAGUAGUAACAUAAAAAUUCUGAAGCACACUUGAUAGUGGACAUAAAAUAAGUAACGUUAGAUACAGAAAAUCACUAAUGGUGCAUAACAGCAUGAUAACUGCUGAGCCCAGGAGAUUCAUCAUAAAUCAUAAAUGAACAAAAAUCAAACUAAAAGCUUUUCUGUUCUAAGUUUAAAGACUAUGCUAAGAGUGGGAAACCAUUUUACUAAUUACAACCCAAAGGUGACUGACAGGUUGUAAUAAGUAGAGCAAGAAGUUUAUCAGUUGAAACAAGCAAUAGAAGGACACAAUCACUAAAGAGUAGUCCUUCAAAGUAACCUCACAACACUUACUUUUCUUUUUUGCAUGUUUACCCGCCAUAAGUAUUUUAUGAUAAGGAAUAUUAUAAGUUAUGUAAAGCAUCAGAGAUUCAAGUCUCUCUUUCUUUCUUUCUUCUUGUUCUUCUUUUUUAUUUUUUAACACAACUACAUUGAAAAGUAGGUUCAUGAAACAAAUAUUAAAAUACAAAGAAACUGGAAAGUAUUAGGUACUUUAAUAUAAGGAACAACAUAUCUGGGCACUGACAUUGACAUUGAGCUUGCCAAUUGGGUAGCAGAAUCUGGGCAUUGAGGAAGUCAGGCCUACCCAAGACCCUUGGAUCCUCUAACUUAAUACAUGCCCUUUACAAUGGCAUUUGAGACAGUUUCUCGUAAUUAUAGUUUCAUAAUUUUACUUACUACCUUCAUCUUUGCAACAAAAUCAAGUUUCUUCAUAUCAGCUUACGAUCUCUACAUGUUUGUCUACUAAUGGUACAGAGCUACUAUGUUUAGAAAGUCAACAUAACCACUAGUUUGUCAGCUACCGAAGUUCAUUAAUAAUCAUCUAUCUAAUGCAGGUUGAAAUGCAAAAAGGCAACUACCAUACUUCACUUCAUGAUCUUUAGGUUUCUAGUGAAAUUCAAGAGGCAACAAUAAAUAGCAGGCUGAUUUAUUACAAAACCAGAAAUUCCACAAGAUAAGGAGCACGAAUAGUAAUACAAUAUGGAAAUGCGAAUUAACCCUGAAGUAAAGUUACAAUAAAACAUGGAGACCAGAAAUGCAUAACACAUUCACAUAGUUUUCUAGGAAGACAAGCCCCUAAUUAGAGUCAAACAAUCUCAGAUGCAGUAGGCUUAUCCCAUACUAACAUGUACCUUAUAAUAUCUGUUAGAAGUACCAUGUAUUCUCAUGAGCUCUACUAUUCUACAAGGGACUCUAUCCUGAAAUCCCAGCAAAAUGAGCAGAAACAAGCUCCAAAAAGUGAAACCGAUAUAUGUUUCAAACAAAAAAGGCCUAAACUAAAUGUAAGUUAGUUAGUUAGACACAAAUAUCCAACCAAUAGAAGCACAAUUUACAAACAUCAGCAAAAAAAUAGCUGCAAGAACCAACACAAAUAGACAAUACAUCUCUUUAAUCAGGACAAAAACAAGUUAAACUACCUGACACUAGCAUCGCCGACAAUUCUGAUGGCCAUUCCCGCGGAAAGGCCAGCGAGACCGCAAGCCAAGCCAGAAGAAAGAUGUGCAUAGCCAUCAAAGAGGUAAUAAGCUUUGGUCUUAGGAUUAAUUCCAGUACUGAUGAUGACAGCAAUAAUCAAACCGUAGAUACCCAGCACACCAGCCAUAACAACCGGGACGAUCGACUUCAUCACAAGCUCUGGCCGCAUCACCCCCAUUGAUUCCACUCCUACCCACUCUUCGCUGUCCCAUAAGCAGCUCCCAUGCCUAAAUUCCCAUAAUAAAUAGGAAAAAUGAAAAACAUAAAUCGACAUGAAAUUUGAUAAAAAAAAUGUAAACGUAGUUAUCUAUGUUAGGGUUAGGGAUCGUACAGGAGAAGACAAGGGCGGCAGCCGCGCUGAGGAAGCCAAAAAAAGGAGCAAUUUCCUCGCUGCUAAAAGUUGAUGACAUUUUUCUUCAGAUUAAGAUCGCUUUUAGGUUACAAACUAGAAAAUUGAUCGGAAAUUUGAUCGAAAGAGCUUUCCGGAAUUGGGGGCUCUCUCUCUCUCUCUCUCUCUAUUGCAGCGAUCCGAUUGGUAAUUUUGGGUGUUUUGACACUGCUGCGCUGUUCCGCUCCAGAUCACACGUUUCAAUUGGAAUGAUUGGUUUUAUCCGGAGAGGAAAAUUUGGGGGAUGAAAGAGUAAAGCUUGAGAACAGGUAGGUUCUGGAGAAGGGCUUACAAAUUUUUUGAAAAAAAGGCGCCUUAGUGGAGAGUUUCAGCAUUUUCUAUUUUUUUUUUCAAUCUGUUUCCAACCAUUACGAUGUCGUUAUGGUUUCUUCUUUUUCUUUUUAAUGACCAUUCCUAUUGCAUGUCAUAUUAAGAUUGUAUUAUAACAUUUUUCUAAAAGUGUCAUAAUAGAUGUGUCAUUAAAGACUAUUUUUGUAGUAGUGGCACUUGAGACAAUGCUUGGUACAUAAUUUGGCUCUAUGGAGAGUGAAACUGAGAAUACAACAAAAGCUUCCUUGUAUUGUUCUUGAGCUUCAAAUGAUUUACCUGCAAAUAUAAACGCAUCUUGUGAUAAUCAGAGGAUACGAAUAAACGCAUCUUACUUUUUUUUUUUAAUUUUCGCAACUUCUUUUAAAAUUAUACAUUAUCUUACGUGUUCUGAAUCGCUUAUUAAAUGUUGUUAUUUCUAGAAUUGGUUAAGCGAAAUCCCAGCUAACCACUUUGUCAGUCACUUUAAUAAAGCAGGGGAUUUAAUUGAACAGAAAGAAAGAAGAAAAGUGCGGUAACACUUCCAAUAAGGACACCAUAUCAAUUUCCAAAAGACAAAAGUAAAAAGACUAUAAUUCAGAGUACAGAAUAAUUGCAUUGGAACGCCCUCAGUUAACCUUUUCUGAAAUGGCACUAACCAAACAUGCAUCAAAAUAGUAUGAACUUAGACAAAAGCAAAUAAUCAUCUGCAACAGCAAAACAAUGCAUAUGAGCUUCUUCAUUUUCCCUUCAUACAAAUUAGAAAACAAAAGCCUAGUGCUUAUCUUCUUUGUACGCAGCAUUUGAGUUGCAAAAAAUACUGCUGUUCAUUCUACAUUUGCCAGCCCCUAGUAUUAUGCCAGGCUGUAAUCAUGUUGUGGAUUAUUUUCAAUUUUAGCCAGAGGAAAAACAAACAAAAUACAUGUCCUUUUGCCCUACUAGUUUUGGGAUAUUAUGCCAGUUAUUUCUACUACUCUGACAGGCACUGCAAUGCGUGCAUUGGAUUCUUCCACCUAUAAUAAGAAGCUCUAAAAAGUAGACAAUAAGGGCUUUUGUCAGGAUCUUUUCUUUAGCUAUGGAGUACCAUUAUUUUGUAGUCUUUCUUUGUGGAGAAGUCAAGAAUUGAACUCAUGAUCUCCAGAGCAUAGAGCAUGCAUUGAUUCCUUGGGCUAUCAAUCUCUUUUCCACGAGGACAGACUUUGCGACCACUAAUAAUAGCAACAGGGUCUAAAAUUAGUCAUUGGCACUUUCUGAGAAGGGGGACAAAAGUUAUCCACCACCAUGUUUUAGUACCUACAGUUUCAAGUAAAGAAAUAAUUAAUUACUUAACAAAAUGCAUAUUCAAACUGGAUGUGACAUGUUUUAGUACCUGCAAAGGAGGAAUAUAAAUUCCAGGUGCAAAUGAGAAUGAAGCAGUAACAAACCCAAGGAAAACGUACCCUUCUUGGCAAUUGAAGGAAAGAACGAGAUGGAGAAGCCCAAUGGCCACCACCCCAGUGAGCUGGGAACCUGACGAUGAGUGGGAACUCAUCAACGAUGACGGUUUCGUCUACAAACACAGGAAACGUUCCCGUAUCGACCUUCUUUCCUCCACUUCGGCAUCGGGGCUACCGGAUCCGGCCGUUGAAGAGCAGAACUGCCGGCAAAGGAAGAAAAGAGCUCUUCUCAAGCUCAAACACAAGUACCAACAAGAGAUCGAACAGUGGGUACAUUUGUCGAACACCUUGAAGGAUAUGCAGUAAAAAUCCCCAAUUGUUAUUAGUCAGCAGCAAAAAUAUCGACAACCCAAUGACGCUGCUACGUCGUCUGACCGAGUCACAACAACUUCCCCAGUCUCUCCGGAACAAUCGUCAGACUCCGCUUGCUGACAUCUUGUUGAUGAACUUCUCUUGCAAGUGGCCCAAAAAUCUAUAAUUGGAGAUGUAGCAAGGCUGUGCGAUGUGGCCGAAGGCUUGUGUAGCUCAAGAGAGGAGAAUUUUACGAAAUCCUUCACCGAGCUGCCGGUAUGGACGUCGAAGCUGCAUGAGCUAAUGACGUCACUCUACAAAUAUUGAUUUAGUUCAGGAGUAAAAUGUCUUUUUAAAGUUCCUUGUUCUACUCCAUUACAGACUUCUCUGCUAUCCAGGAAGGCCGAAAGGAGGGAGAUGACCAAGAAACCCUUGGGUUGGGCACUUGUCUAUAGCUGCUCUUUUGGAUGGAAGAAAUACGACCAAAAACGCCAUGCCAUGGGCCUUCUCACUCCAGAAAUUAUGUGAAAUUUUAAAAAGAUUCGAGAUGUAAUUCAUGUAUAAUAUGACUGGUUUGAUUGCUCUCUUUUCUGGGUUAAAAAAAAAAAAGAAAAGAACGAGAAGAAAGAGAAGAAUAUGGAAUAAUUUAAAUGAGAAUGAAAAACGAAGGAUGCGAUGAGGGAUUGGAGAUUGGAGAGCCAGAGGAAGAAAGGAGAGCAAGAGCGGCGGAGGAGAAAACAAGAGGUGAACUUGUGUUUGCCCUACUUAGGGAAGAGAAGAAAAAGAAACACGUGCACCUCACAUGAGUAUGACGAAAAACUUGUGAACAAUAACAUUUUUUCAAGUGUCAUGUUAGGUAGUUUAAAAGCACAUUAUUAUUCUUAUAUCAGAUAAAAUAAAAAAAUUAAAGUAUAUAUUAUUGAGUUGAUAAUAAGUGUCAUAAUAGAGGUACUAUAAUGACAAAAACCAACAAGUGUCUUUAUAGACAUGUCAGGAAAGGCCAUUUUUUAUUGUAGUGAUUUGACGGACUUUUUUUUUGGUAUAUUUUGAGAAAUUAACCCUAAACACCCAGUAUUUGGAUCGAGUCAGAGUUUGGCUAAGCCAAUGACAAUUUGUUUAUCCCGCAAUUGGUGGUCUAUUAGUCAAUUUCUUUGAGAUUAUUGAAGCCAUAACCAUCCUAAACAUAAACUAUUACUAGCGCCUUCUUGACCAAUCCUUGAGUUUUUCAUCACUAAAAAUAUUUCGGAGAGGUAAAAGAAAUCACAGAUGCAUGUGCCUGCACUAAUUUACAUUUUGGGUGGCUUCUUUUAUGCUAAUAUGAUUUAGUUAAAUUGUUUGGUAAUUAGUUUAUACGUAAUCUUUUUUUCAAACAUGUAACCUCGAAUAAAUUCAUUUCCAACUUGAUUUUUGACUAAGCAACAAAGAUAGCGAAUGUAGUCACUAAAAAUUCUGCAAAUUGAAAUGAGAGUAUACACAAAUCAAAUCAAAUCAAACUUUUAACUUUGAUUCUGAAGUUCAGAUACAAAUUUGAAUAACUUGAAUCAUAUACGAGUUUUAAAUUUGAGUUCAAAUUUGAUUUAACAUUGUAUUUGAUAUGAUCAAACUCAGAUUCGAAAGCUAAAAUUCAUUUUAUUUACUUAUUUUUAAUAUAAAACUUUUCUAUAUCAAAAUAAUAAAAAAUAUUUAAAAAUAUAAACAAAUUAUUCGAUCCUUAACAAGCUAAAUACUUGCAAGUUCAAAAUCAAUUCAAUACUUCAAUAGAAUCCUAAUUAUCUUUCAAAUUCAAUCUUGAGCUCGCUAAAAAUUGAAUUCAAAUUGAGGCCUAACUGUUUAUUAAGGGCUUGAUUCAUUUAUAACCCUAGUGUGGACUGUACAAGAAUUUUAAUCACAAGACUUACCAACAAAUUUACGAGAACUGGAUUUCAUAUAAUCUUCGCAUUCAUGAUCAUAAGCUCAUAGUUGGUGAGUACAUUGUUUGAAAAGAAAAACUAAUAAAUUGCAUGCUUAGAGUUUUUAGAUACACCCGAACUAAACUACAAAAGAAACAUAUAUCAUAACUAUGCAUACACCAAAACUCACAAUGAAUCCUCACAAUUAUCAUUUAUUUUAGUUCCGCAAUUCACACACUCAUCGGUAUGAAUUAAAACCCCAUAUGCAAGUGAUUCAAAAGCUAUUUAUGAGGCCAUCUUGAAAUAAUGUACCUUAGCAAGCUUCUAUUUUAUUACUUUUGGUGUCAAUAAUUAAAAGCUAAACAUUUUAACUAUUCUUCUUUUUCCAUUUUUUCCACGUGAAAAAAUAGUGACGUGACUACUAUAUUGAUACGGAAAAAUCAACUGUUAAUGUUUCAUAAGACUUUUCGUGAAUUGAUAAUAAGUUCACACCCCCUCUCUUCUUGAUUUAGAUUUGCAAUACCUAAUUUUAAUAGUACAAGCCAUAUAUGCACAGAUUUAGAUACAGUAUAGAUGACCGUAGGUUUUAGCCACCCCAAGGAAAUUUUAUAAACAAUUUUGUAAGGGUCCAAGUCUCUUGCUUUAGACUUGGACUAUUAGUAAACCAUUAAUCGAUUUUGCAGAAAAACACUGGCAAUUUUUAUCCUUGAUAUGCUUAUAAUGUUCAUAUUACUUCUGUCAAAGUUAUCCAGUCCAAAACAUACUGGAAUUUUAGGCACUACGCCACCCUAUGGAUUAUCUUGGUCCAUGUUUCUAUUACUCCCCUUUGUGGUGCCCAGAAAAGGUUAUUCAUGGCUAGGUUAUUAAUAUAAUAGGCGAGCUAGUCCGGAAAAAGAGAUCGUAUUGGAUUAGCUGUUUUUGAAAAACUUUGCUGUAGCAGAGUUUUUAGAAUAUAUUUUGGAAUAUUUUUAGAAAAUAUUUUGGGAUAUUUAAGAGUAGAAGAGUUUUUAGAAUAUAUUUUGAGAUAUUUUUUAAAAUUUUUAAAAAAUUUAAACUAAUUUUUAGAUUACCUUUUAGAAUACUUUUUAAAAAUUUUUAUUGUAUUUGAAAAACACUCCAAAAACAGGGGAUCCAAACAGAGCUAUCUUUAAGAGCUUGGAAACUAGGGGUGAGCAAACGGUACAAAUUCGGUAAUUCGGUUAGUUGAAUUCGGUGAAUUCGGUUAUUUGACUUAUAGAAAUCUAAACCGCUUUUAAUUUCGAAUUGACUAUAACCGAAUUCAUUUCGCAACUGAUUUCGAAUUCAAAAAUGGUAAUGAAUUCGUGACAGGAUUUUAAUAUACGUACAAGUUAAAAAAAAAACUGAAUUACACCCGUUCACUAUAAGUAUACAUGUUAACUAAUAGUUUAGGGUAUAUAUCGGGUCGAUCCCACAGGGAAGAGUGAACAAUUAUCGGUAUUACUAAAGCUUCUCUAUUAUUUAGACUAUCAAUGAAUUAUAACAAAUUUAACCUACUGAAAUUAUACAAAAUGACAAAUAAAAACUACUUAGGUUGUGGUAUCCCUAACUACUCAUGCAAGUGCUAUAUUUGGAUCAUUUAGUACUACAUCUAGGUUAGUUAUGGUGUAAUUUCCUUAUGCAUUUGAAUCCUCCUUUCAUAGUGAAUCAAUUACACUUAUAACUAAUCCAUACCUGUUCUCAUGAUUUUGAAAUUAGCUACAAGUUCAUUUCUUCAGUAAAAUUACAUGAAAUAAAUCACUAAAAACCACAUAGGUGCACCUCUACUUUCGUGAGUGUACUCCCUAUGUUUAGCACUUCUUGAACUAGUGUUAAAUCUCAAUUUUCAUUGCAGAAACAACACCUUAGAUAAUCACAAUCAAUGGUACCAGAUUAAUCAUGAUUUAAAGAGCCAAAGUGCUAAAUAACUUGCUCAAAUCAUAGCAAUCAAAUAACCAAAUAAUAAGCACUAACAAUUAUAGAAAGUUCAACCAAACCCAAGGCAUAAACUUUAGAGACACAUAUUGAACACAAAAUCCAGAACUUGCAUAUUAACUAUACUUAAGAAUCUGAUACAAAAGAUAAAGAGUUGGAAAAGAGAUAACCCAUGUCAUUUGAGUUUCAACUCCUUCUUCUUCAUCUCCAUCUUCAUCCUAUUCUAGUCAAUCUACAAGAAUGGAUGAACUAUACUAGUCUCCACUAAACUAAUCUAACACUCAGAAGAUGAAAGAGCUACAUUUCUACACUCCAAGCUUUCUCCCGUAUCUCUCUCUAUUCUCCCUUCAAUCUUGCAAGCUUUGACUAUAUCAAGGUGAAAGUUGGUCAAGAAGUGAGGUUUACACCUCCCUUUUACAGCUGGGAAUGUUUCUCACAUGUCUAGCAUCACAUGUGACUUAGUGGAGGUGAAAUUGAGUUUUCCGCGUAAAGAGCAGACUUCUCUGACCACAAUCCGGCCACAAAUCCGGCCAAGUUCCGGCCGGAUUGCUACAGUGACAUUUUGGUGCACUGUUGUUCAAUUUCCAGCUCUGCUCUAAUUUUGCAUCAACUUCAAGUGAACUUUUCUUGAUGAUAAAAGCUGAUUUAGCUCUUGACCAAAACAUAAAACUUGUAGCCCUUUGAGUUAACUUUCCAAUGCAUCAAGAAUCACCUCAUUUGGAUUUGUGUAGGCUGAUAAAUGACCGAAAUACCCUUGACUGCUCACUGCCCUGUUUCAGCUUCGACCAAUAGAAAUUAGCUACUGUAAUUCGGCUUUUUGACCUAGAAAACCUUCAAACUGGAUUCAGAUGUCUUCAUCAAAGUUGUAGAUCUAUCUCUUAUCUUCAAAUUGGUUUAAUAAUCAUCUCAAUCCGAUCAUUGUAGCUCAAGCUAUAGCCAAAAUACGAAAAUGUGUCAAAACUGUCAAAAUGCACAAAAUCCAAGUAAAAAGUGAUAAAAACCUCAUUUAACCACUUAAAAGCAUUUUUCACCAAUUAUAGCCAAAAUGAUUUAUUUUCUUCCAAUAAUAUACCCAAAGUGACUAAAAAUAAUAUAAAAAGUCAUACAAUUAUUACUUAAAUUAGUCACUUAUCAAUUCGGUCUAACCGAAUUCAUUUAUUAAAAAAAAAAAACUGAUGAGAUAACCCUGUUAUGGUCCUGAAGGAAGUGAUUGUGUAAUUUUUAAUUUACAAAUUAGGGCUCCUAAAUUAUAAUACGUUCAUUAUGCUCUUCAAUAAUUUAAAAAUUAUUAUUGAUUUGAUCCCCAAACUUAUUCAUAAUUUAACACAUUACUUAUGUUCUAAUCAUUUUGUGGUUUAAUUGGCAUUUAUUUGAUCACUUAUACCUAGAAUCCUUAGUCUAUGAUUUAAGAAACACAUAAAAAGUGAUUAAUUUAAACUAGAAUAUACCUUCGACUGUAUAAUGAUUAGUAAUAAUUUAUGAAUUUAUAAUUUGCCAUGAUUAAUAAUAAGUAAUGUUAGUUACAAACUUACAAAUUACAAUGAUUAGUGAUAAGUUAUAUUAGUUACAAACUUAUAAUUUAUUUCAAAUCAAAAUAAAACUUAUUUAGUUACAUAUGUUAUUGUGAAAGUCAAUACACUAGUACAUUGAUUUGCAAUUCAUAUGCAUUCACUUACACUGCUUAGUUGUCUUGUCUAUACUUAAAGCCUUAAGAUUAGUGAAUAGAGAAUAUGAAUUUUUAUGUUAAAUAUGUAAUGUAAAUUUAGAGCAUACUAAUACUUGCAAAUUAUAGGUUACGCAUUCAAAUAUUCAAUAAUUCAAAUAUAAAUGAUGUAUCAAAUUACCAAUAUCUAAAUUCUAAUUACUAAUUAUGUUUAUUGUUUAGUAUUUAGUAUUAUACAUAUAUGUUAUAAUUAUUAUCUAAUUCUAGUCAUGUUACUCAUGUAUAAAAUAAUAAGUAUUAUAGUUAUGUUAUAUUAUUAUGUAUUACUAUAUAUUUGUAUUAUUAUAGUCAUAUAACAAUUAACAAAUACUAAAAUAUAUUGCAUAUUAUUAUUAUAAGUACAUGAUUAUUAUUAAUAGCAUUUACCUAUAUAAUAUAAUAAUAUAUUAGUAGUAUAUACUAAUACUAAAUAGCAUUUAUCUAUAUAUUAUAUAAUUUUAUAAACUAAUUUGGUAUUCGAAUGUUGUAAUGCGGUACCCUAUUUCAUUUUACCGAAUUUGAAUGCGAAAUCGGUUAUUACCAAAUUCAUAAUCUCAUUACCUAUUUCAUACCAUAUUAGAAUUUGGUACGUACCGAAUUUGUACCAAAUUACCAAAUAUCCGAUUUCAAAUUACCAAAUUGAAUUUGAAUUGGAUUAUAAAUUCGAUGUGUGCCGAAUUUGCUCACCCCUAUUGGAAACUAUUCCAAUAACCAAUCACUACAGCCAUUAUUUUCCCGUCACUAGGGGGAAGACGUUAAUACCAGAGCUAUAGAUACAGGGAUGUUCAUCGUUUGAUGUAAAUUUGGUAACAUGGUAAUUAAUCCCGAUCAGCAAAAUCCACUCUUGGCUAGAGUUAAUAUUUUAGCAUCUUUGCCUAAUAAAAAGUUUAAAGAUCUAAGCUAAAAGCAAAUGAAAGCAUUAACAAAUUGAUUUUUUUUGGUCAAAAUCAAAAUCUAAAAUAGUAUAUGCUUCUCCUUGUGUUGCCCAUUCUACUAAUUUGGAAGUCCGUCAGAAGAAAGAAUUUCUGUUCUGGUUUAUUUUGGAACUCCAACUAAUUGUGGUACACUCUCCGUCAGGUAUUGGGAAUUCUCUUAAUGUGAUAAAAUCCGUCACCACUUAGGGUGUUAACAAGAAAAGAUAAUCAAAUAAAAAAGCCGGUAACUUGGAGAACUGAAUUGGUUCAAAUAAACAAAUAGGGUAAUCAAUUCAACAUUUUGAAAAUGGUUAGGCUACCCAAACCUAUUUGAAUAGGUCAGGGAAUGGCUUCUGAUUUUUGAAAAUCGCUUUUAUCCGAGCCUAUCCACAUAUGUAUAAGUUGGUUAAACCUCGAGUAGGAACCAUUUAGUCAAUCACCAUUAGUAAAUCAAGUUAGGAAGCCCAUUACACAUUUAUAUUUAUUUAUUUAUUUUUGGCUGUGAACAUAACAAGUAGUUAAUUUACCUAACCUCCCCAAUUCUUACAUUCACCGCCACUAAUUCCAUUCACUCUACUGGCUCUUGUUUCUUUGCCUCCUCCAAAUUUUCUUUUCUUUGCUCAUAAAGUUUGCAUGCUUUUUCACUAUACUCAUUUUUGUUUUUCCAAAUUUUAAAGCUUUUAUACUUGGUUGUGGACGAACCUAUUUGCAUUACUGAAAUACGAGUUUAUAGUGUUUUAAGAAGUGAAGAAGGUAAAAACAAAUGUUCGAAGCAUUCAGUAUUUUAAUUAUGUAAUGUGUCUUGAUCAUGUAUUAUUUGUGGGAUAAAACUUGUAAGGUGUAAAACUCGAUGGACCAAACCUUACUUGGAACUUGCAGAGUUAAAAAAACUGAGAGUAGUCGACAACUAUAAUGCAGGCAGAAGGUUUAGUUGAAAAUCGAUGCCAUUCAGAUGUCAUGCACCUAGAUAAUAUGUAAAGAACAUGUUCUGUAUUAACUCAUUAUCGCAAACAGCAGGUGAUUUAUAUAUCAAACUACGGAGUUUUUCUUAAUAACUCAAAUGUAAGUCAAUUAUUUUCCAGUAAAAUUGUUUAUGGUUCGGAAAUUUGUCCUAAUGCCGCCAUGGUAAUUUUCUACAUAUAGUGAACUCCAAAGCAAAUCAGGCGAUAAACUUAAGAAUGAACGGCCAACAUAAUACUUGGUGCACAAUAAGUCGACCAAGUUCCUUGAAACUAAUGUUGAGAUGGAGUAAAUAAAGUCAUUAACAACCCUUUAGGUUGAAGGUAAAAUGGGGAGAAGAGGGACCCAAAAGAAAUAAAACGAAGGGAGUGGAAUUAUACAUCUAUAGCAUGAACAAAAGUAAGAACUGGAAGGUGAGCAUUUAGGUUUUUUCUUAUUUGGUCCAUGUAAAAGAAGAUAUGAAUUGAUGACUUUGCCCCUCCAUAAGCUAGUGAGUAAAAAGCAAAUUGGUCCAACAAUCAAAGUACGACAUUGUUCCACGUAGAGGUGCCAAAUUAGUUUAAUUACAAAAGUUAAGGGAUAAUAUUAUCCUAAAUUAAAGUUGAAGAACCAAAAGUGGUCCCGUAAAAAAGUUGGAAGAUGAUUUCGAUCAUUUGCCAAAAAAAAAAAAAAAAAAUCAAUUGAAAGGAGCGCAAAUGUAACAUCUAUUGCAUGAAGAAAGAUAUGAAAUUGAACAUCUAUUGAUGCAUGCAUUACCAGCACCGCAACUCUGAAGAUGGAAACUUCUAUUUAAGCUGAAUUAUCAUCAUCAUCAUUAUUAGGGCAAAUUACAUUUUACCCCCUGUGGUUUAACAUUUUUUUUACAUAAUCCUCCUUUGGUUUCAAAAGCUAUACAUAAUCCUCUCAUGGUUUGGAUUGAAGUAUCAAAGUGAUGGAAAUAGUCAUUCAUAACGGAACUUCUAAAAAUGUCAAAAUUACCCUUAUAAAUACAUGACACACUAACCCCGUAUGAUUUUUAUAUUUUACCAUAUAACCCCCUUAUGGUUUAAUUAUUUUACCAUAUAACCCCUUAUAAUUUUUAAAAUAUACACAUAACUCCCCUUGGUUAAUAAAUAAUUUUCAACUUUAUAUAAGGGUAUUUUUGAUAUUUUAAGUGACUCCGUUACAAAUGAUCAUUCUCGUCACUUUGACACUUUAAUCCAAAUCAUGAGAGAGUUAUGUAUAGCUUUUGAAACCAUAGGGGAGUUAUGUAAAAAAAGGUUAAAUCAUAGGGGGGUAAAAUGGAAUUUGCCCUCAUUAUUAUUGUUAUUUAGGUAAGCUGAAUUAUUAUAUCACCAAAUUGUCACCAUGUUAAGCUGCAUUAUUAUAUAUAUCACCAAACUGGAGUUGCAACAGCAAGAAGAGGAACUUUUUUGUGAAUUAUUAAACCAUGCAUUCAGUCAUGUCCAAAUCUGUGCCCUUAGCUCCAUCAGACAAAUAACUUAAGCAUAAGAUUAGCUAAAACAUGCUCAUCUGUAGCCAUCGCGAAAGAGAUUCCAGGACAACCGCUUCUUCCGGCUCCAAAUGGAAUCAAUUGAAAGUCAUGACCUCUGAAAUCAAUGCCAGAAUUCAAGAAUCUCAGGCCUAAACUCAUCUGGUUCUUCCCAGAAUGAAGGGUGUCUUCCAAUGGCAAAAGCAUUGGUAAUGAUCACAGUUCCAGCUGAAAUGUCAAAGUCCAUUACUUUAGCGUCGUCGAUUGCCUGGCGCGGGACCAGUAAGGGUAUCGGCAGAUAUAAACGCAGUGUUUCUUUAAGCACUGAUUUCAAAUACUUCAUCUUUUCCAAAUCCUCAUCAGUGAUCUCUGGUCUGCCACCAGCAAUUCCUCUCACCUCCGUUUGUAGAUCCUUCAUCGCUUUUGGGUGCCUUAAAAGCUCUGUCAUUGCCCAUUCUAGCACGGUAUAGGUAGUUUCCGUUCCACCAGCGACAAUGUCCUAAAGCGAGAAGUAAAAUAAUAAACUUAUAAUUAUCUUGUCUUUCAAUUUUGGAAAUGAGAUGCACAUUUCACCAAGCAAAGAUUAAAGGAUUGAAGAUAGAAAAUAGGAAAUUUUAUCUUAGACUAUGCUCAUCAUAACACCAGUAUAUGGAAGUCAUAAAUUGGUCCCCCUGCGUAUUUUUAAAAAUCCCUCAAAGUCCUUCUUUUUUAAAAAAAAUAAAUAAAUCCCUCACAAGCCAUGUAAAUUUUUUGUUCUACAUAACCCAAUGGAAAAAAAAAAUUACUAUUAGAAGUUUUAUGCACUAAUGAGUCUAAAUGUAUAUCAGAAAUGUGCAAAAUUUAAAAAUCAAAAUCAUUUAUUUGAGUGUGUCUUCAUCUAAAACCAUUAGUCAAUGUAACAAAGUUUAAUCCUUAUAUUAUAUGGUGCUAUAAGAGUCUGAAGAAGUACUGUAGUUAAGUGAACAUUGAAAGGAAUAUUCAUGUAUGUGCAGAUUUCAUAGACUAGCCCUGGCUAUUACAGUACACUACUUGUGGAGAACCAGAAACUUGGUGCUAUUUCAGAAUGGUAGUUUAUAUCCGGUGGUUGCAGCAUAUCAUUGACACUAUUCGUCAUAUUGGAGCUUCACGGAGGGGUGUACCAAAAACGUACGAAAACUGGAAAUUGAUUGCUGAAUGGAGAAUUCCCCUCGAAUUGCAGAAAUUUUGGGAAAAUAUAGUAAAUAGGGAGGGGGUAGAAAAUCGAACAGAUUAUAAAUCCCAACUUGUGAAUAACUCUGAUGAACACCCUCACUUGACUAAAUUAGGAAAAUAGGGACAAAUUGAAUGAACACCCUCACUUGACCGAAUUAGAAAAAUGGGGACAAAUUAAAUGAUCCAAAAAAUGCCGAAAUAUAACCACUUCAAGGAUGAAAAAGGGCCAGAAAUCAUCCCUGCAAGGAGACAAUUAGAACGGUGGUUUUCUUUUAUUUUUCUUUUGGACAAAUUAUACUUUACCCCCAUGUGGUUUAGAGUUUUUGUACAUAACUCCUCUAUGGUUUCAAAAGCUAUACAUAACUCCCUCAUAGUUUUGAUUAAAGUGUCAAAGUGAUAGAAUUUGCAAUCCAUAACGAAGUCAUCUAAAAUGUCAAAAAUACCCCUAUGUAAAGUUGAAAAUUAUUUGUUAAAAAUAGGGGAGUUAUGUGUAUAUUUUGAAAACCAUAAGGGGGUUAUAUGGUAAAAUAUAAAAUCCUACGGGGUUAGUGUAUUAUGUAUAUUAUGUUUAUAUAUUUUGAUCAUUUCAACCAUUUUAAUUUUUAAACAAGACUAAUUUCGACAUUUUCAAAGAUUCUAUUACGAAUGAUCAUUUUCAUUACUUUGAUACUUUAAUCCAAAUUAUGAGGGAGUUACGCAUAAGUUUUGAAACUAUAGGGGGUUAUGUAUAAAAAUACUAAACAUAGAGGGGUAAAAUGUAAUUUGUCCUUUUGCCAAAUUUAAAGUUGUGGUUAAGGUGAGGAAUCGUUGGACGAACUUAAGAAUGCAGGGAAACCGGCAGAGAAUUUUAGAAAUUCUGGAUGGAGAAAACGAUAGAGUCGUAUGUUUAAGUUAUGGAAUUGCCGCGAAAGUCGCUCAAAAUUACAGCAAUCUCCACCAUUGAUGCUAUGAAAAUUGAUAACUAAUAUUGCUCAAAAUUAUAGCAAUUGCCAUUGAAAAAUUGGACCAAUCAGUUGCCGGAUAACAUCCAAUCAAUUUUGUAUAAUUCAGCAAUCCAAUUCCACUCAUUCACGUCUCGUCUUUAUAGUAGUAAGGAUAUAUAUAUAUAUGAUUUUGGACUGAUGUGAAAACACAGAAAAUUUUUCAACUCUUGAAUUCAGAUUAACGUUUUGUGGUUGUAGUUCUAUUUCUUUCUUGGAUGAAUAUACUACUUGAUUUUGCAUUUUCUAAGAAUUUUCAAUGAUCUAAAAACAAAACACCACAUCAUGAUGUCUUGAUAAACACGUAUACAAUAAGAACUUAUCUUAUUCUUAGCCCUGCUCUUAAAUAUUAACGACUCCGUAUGCUCUAAUUAAGCGAGGCAAAAUAUGCUUGAUCAUUUCUGUUUGAAUUAGCUGUUUUUAGGGGUGUUUUUAAAAAAUUUUACUAUAACAGAGUUUUUAGAGUAUAUAUUGGGAUAUUUUUAGAAAAUAUUUUAAAAUAUUUAAGAGUAGUAGAAUUUUUAAAAUAUAUUUUAAAAUAUUAAAAAAAUUAAAAUAUUUUUGAGAGUACGUUUUAGAGUACUUUUUUAAAAUUUUUAUAAUAUUUGAAAAACAGGACAGCAUGGAGUCUUUGAUUCAAAUGGAUGAUCAUCAACACAUUGCAGACAUAGUCAAAUCGAUCAUUUUCAGUCUUAACUUUUGCACAUUGCAGACAUAGUCAAAGGUAGAUUAGGUACUCUGUGCUUUUGCACUUGAGUCAAAAGGGCUGGAUGUUACAUCAUUUUGGAAUUAUUGAAUUAGUUUAUCAGUAGCAUAAAGUGGUGAUCCAGAAUAAUUAGUUGUUGAUUCUUUUUAAGAUUGAAUAUUACACAAAUAUAUCUCAAUAAUUGCUUCACCUACUUCCAAAAUAUAUACACAAAAUAUAUGUAAGACAUUUUUAUUCUUUUUUUUUUGCUUUGCCUACUUCCCUCCAGCCCAGUGCAAAAAAUUUACUAAAUAUCCGAAUUCUUCACACCCAUUUCUGAUAUGUUAUCAUGCUCAUCUAGGUGUCCAGCCAAACUUGAUGUGACUCAAAUAUACGUCGCUAACUUUUAAAAUAAAAAACAGCCAUAUUUUUACAAAAGAAAAUUGAAAUUAUUCAAAUCGUGCCAAAUUAGUUGCUUUGAUUUCUUGUCAAGAGAUGUAAAAUAAGCUAUCUUUAGAUUUUGUUCCAAAUGUCUAGCAGCCAAAAAGGAUGCCACGAACAAAAAGCUUCAGCAAUUAUCGCAGAAAGCAGUCUUCAAACUUCAGCCGCCAAAAUUAAUGAUAAUGUUUUGCAUAAUAGAGUGCUGUCGUGGCAUUAUUUUCUUCAGCAAUUAUUUUCUGUACUGUAACGAGAGGAAUUUUGCAAAGGCCAUAAAUACAUGAAGUUACUUGUUUUUAUUACAAGAAAGAAGCGGCCUGGGGAAAGUGCAUGAAGAGUGAGAAUCAAGGUUUCGGAACAUCUGUAACCGCACUGUGCAAUGGACGGUCUCAAAUCUGGUCAGAGAUUAGACCUUCUAUUGCACAGUGCAAUUGCAGCCCUUCUCAAGAAUCAAUCCAACAUUUGUAUCAAGACAAGAAUACAGAAUCUGCAGCAUUCGGCCAUGUGAAGAAUUCAAGAAAGUGGAGAUGGAAUAACAAGAAGAGGAAUUUUGCGACGAACUGCAACGUCAGGGCAUUCUGUCAUAUCCAACUCUUUUCCCUGUGCACCAUCAGGAAAUUGCCAAUCAAACUUGCUUACCAAAUUUGCCAACACAAGUUCAUUGCUGGCAACAGCAAAAGCGAUUCCAGGACAACCCCUCCUACCAGCACCAAAUGGGAUUAACUGGAAAUCAUGCCCUUUGAAAUCUAUAGACGAAUCCAUAAAUCUCUCUGGCAUAAAGUUCACAGGUUCAUCCCAAUAUGCAGGAUCUCUACCUAUUGCCCAAGCAUUGGUGAUCACCAUUGUACCAGCUGCAAUAUCAUAUCCCAUUAUUUUGACAUCUUCUCUUGCUUCUCUAGGAACCAGCAACGGAAUUGGAGGAUGUAAGCGAAGAGUUUCCUUGAUCACUGCUUUCAAAUAAUGCAUCUCGGCCAAGUCAUCCUCGGAUAUCUGUUCUUUGCCACCAACAACCCCUCUUAUUUCAGUUUGCAAUUUCUUUAGGAUAAUGGGGUGUCUUAAGAUCUCUGCCAUUGCCCAUUCUGCAACUGUAGCCGUGGUAUCAGUCCCAGCAGAGAAUACAUCCUACAGUCAAAAAGAUAUACACUUAAAAUCAAUGAUUUGUUGAUUGUCCGUGAGAAUGAUCAGAGAUGAAGCUUAAUGAUUUUAUAUUCAGAAAAAAUGAUUUUAUAGAAGCUUAAUGAUUUUAUACUCAGAAAAUGAAGCUUAAUGAUUUUAUAUUCACUGCGCAGAGAAAAUUGUGCUUACCAAUAUUAUAGCUUUGACGCUGUCCCUGUCCAUGGUUACACCUGUUGCGUUAUCUUUAUAGAUUUUCAGCAAAAUAUCAAGAAAGUCUUCUCUGCUUUCACCAUCAAUCGUCUCACCACUUGACCCGCAGGAAUAUUUUUCCACUGCACCAUCCAACCUUUCUUGGACCACGCCCUCCAAGAACUCAUCUACUUCUCUAGCAACGCGAUCCACUCUGGCAUCGUAACCAUUAACUCGAUUAAUCCAGCUGAGACAGGGCACAGAUUUGACUAAAAUUCCUCCGUUCAGUAACUCCAAGAAUUCGCCCAACAGCAGCUUGAAUUUCUUUCCAGUUUCCCCUCCACCGUAUUUCCUCCCAAAAGCCGAUCUGCAUACAAUAUCAUUAGUCAGCGAAACAAACAUUUCGCUCAAAUUCACAGGUGUCGAAUCCAAAGAAGCGUCUUUAAUCUUCUGCAUCAUAAUCGACGUUUCCUCUUCCCUUAUAUUACGAAACGCCUGAACUUUUUUGUUGCUCAGGAGCUGAAGAACACAAAUACUCUUUAACUGUCUCCAAUACUCGCCAUAGGGUGCUACCGAUAUAUCCUUCAUGUUAUAGAGAAGUUUAUUAGCUGUGCUCGAAAAUGGCCUAUAAGAGAAAAUCAAAUCGUGGGUUUUCAUGAUUAGGCUAGCUCCAUCAGCUGAUGAAACUACAACCGUUGGAACACUACCAAAUUUGAGAAACAUGAUUGGACCAUAUUUUUGGGCUAAGGAGUGGAGAGGAUAGUGAGGCAGUGAGCUUAGCUGAUGAAGAUUUCCAAUAAUCGGAAGUCCUGGUGGCGAUGGUGGCUGAUUCUUUCUCGAAUUUGAAACUAAUUUGAAGAGAAACCACAGUAAGAUUAAAGGGAAAAGGGAAAAAAAGAUUGGAUGAAACAUAUAUACAUCAAACUUUAGCUCCGAUACCAAGCCUGAUGAGCUUGCCAUUUGCUUUAAUCUCCCCUGUAUAAAUGCUCAGGCUACAAGACUCUGAUUUCAGACAAAAAUUGGAAAACAAGUACGGACAAGCAAAACCAUGCAUGAGUCUCCUAUUGGGGGCCAUUCUGGCCAAAUGGCCUGUGCUCAGAGGGUGCAAAGCUUGUUCUAUUGGCCAUGCAUGACGACAGAUAUUAUUCAGUUUAUGCAAGGAUGUGAGGUUUGUCAAAGGAACAAAAGUGAACAUGUACCAUAUCCAGGACUGUUACAGCCUCUCUCUAUACCAACUCAAGCUUGGUCUCACAUCACCAUGGAUUUCAUAGAGAAACUACCUUGUUCUAGGGGGUUUGAUACAAUUCUGGUGAUCAUAGACAGACUCACUAAAUUUGGUCAUUUUAUGGCUCUCUCACACCCAUUUUCAGCAACACAGGUAGCUCAGCUCUUCUUGGACCACAUCUAUAGGCUGCAUGGUAUGCCUGAAUCUAUCAUAACAGACAGAGACAGAAUUUUUUACUAGCAAGUUUUGGCAAGAAUUGUUCAGGUUGACUGGAACUGAGCUGCAUUAUAGUUCUUCCUACCACCCUGAAACUGAUGGCCAGAGUGAGAGGCUUAACCAAUGCUUAGAGACUUAUCUGUGAUGCAUGACGUGCGAGCUCCAACUCAGUGGAGUCAGUGGUUAAGCUUAGCAGAACUAUGGCACAACACCUCUUAUCACACUAGCCUAGGAGCUACACCCUUCGAGACUCUCUAUGGCUAUAAACCACUGUCCUUACCUAUAGGACUUUACCAGGACACUGUGGCACCAGCAGCCAGCACUAUGCUACAAACCAGAGGUCAAAUGCUGCAAAGAAUCAAGGAGCAUCUGUACCAAGCACAGAAUAGGAUGAAGGUGUUUGCUGAUAAACACAGGACAGAGAGACAAUUUGAAGUGGGGGAUUGGGUCUUCCUUAAGUUGCAGCCAUACCGUCAACAAUCUAUAGCAAUCAGAAAGUGUUUGAAAUUGGCUGCCAAAUUUUAUGGGCCUUUUCAGAUCAUAGAGAAGGUUGGUGCUGUGGCUUACAAACUCCAGCUGCCUGCAGGAGCCAAGAUUCACCCAGUAUUCCAUGUUUCACUCCUUAAACCAAAACUGGGGCCACAUCAACCUACUAAUCCUACGCUUCCAGAGCUUGACCACCAAGAUCAGUGCCUUUUGCAACCUGCUGCCAUUUUACAAAGAAGGGUCAUCCUACGCAAUACUGCUCCUGUCAUACAAUACCUUAUCAAGUGGCAUCAAUUGGGUGAAGAGGAGGCAUCGUGGGAGGAUCAAUCAUUUUUUAAUAGCCAAUUUCGAACUUCCAGCCUUGAGGACAAGGCUGCUUUCAGAGAGGAAGUAUUGUCAGGCAUAGGGACUUAAUUGCAAUUGGAUCGAAAGUUUGGAGGGCAUUAGUGUAAUUUCUCAUAUGGAGCCAAAUUUGUUAAAAGUUAGUUAUAACUGAUUUUGCUGAAAGAAUAGUUAGCUGCACGGAAAUUCUUGCCAAUAAGAUUCUGUCUGAUCAUUGAAGGUGUAUAAAUCCAGGCAAUAUAAUAGAUUUGGGGACAAGAAGAUUAAUCACAUUUAUUUCCCCCAAAUUCUCUGUCUCUCUCUUCCUUCUCCCUCUCUUUCCCUCCCAUUUCUCUUCUUCUACAUUCAAACCUUUCCACGCCUGCUGGUCUCAAUCCUUCUACUAUCACAUUGCCAAGGGCCUGACACAGUAGCCUUUUAGAAAGGUUUCUAACUUACAUGACAUGCCAUAGCCCAACAAUUAAAAAAAAAAAUCCAAGCACGUUGUUGGGCUUACAAUCCGACAGCUUUUCAGGAAAAUUCCCAAUUGGCUACUGGACUAGUCAACCCGGCAAUCCAAUAGUUGAAACAAAAAAAAAAGCCUUGCUUGUGCCGAGCUUAAUUAGCGUGACAGGCAUAGUUCUAUACCAUUUUCCUGUCAGAUCAACAUUCCUGCAUUUUUUUUUCAGCAAUAAAUAAAGGAAUUAGCCCUCAAAAAGUGACUACACUUCUAUGCCUUCAGACCCAGAAUAUUUUCUGCUCUGGAAUAGCCCGCAUGUUUUCUGAGUUUCCUUGACGUUGAUCUCAUAUCCUAUUCUACAUUUCUGAAGUCUAAGCACAUCAUCCCUGUUCUGUUUGAUAAUGCCUCCAUGGGUCCAAGAAUAUAAAGACCAUUUGCAUGAUUUUAAGAGAAAAAUGCAGUUUUGGUACCUAUACUUUGAUGCACAAGCGAUUUUAGUCCCUAAAUUUUGGACGAAAAUAAAUUUAGUACCCGAACUUUCAAAUUUUGAGCACAUUAAGUACCCUUGACGAUUUUUUCCCAAAUUGUUACCGGAAAAAGCCAUGUGACCGUCACGUGUUCGGCCACAAUUGUAUAAAAAAAAUAGAAAAAUGCAAUUUUGGUACUCAAACUUUGACGCACGAGCGGUUUUAGUCCCUAAAUUUUGGACAAAAACAAAUUUGGUACCUGAAUUUUCAAAUUUUGAGCACAUUAAGUACCCUUGACAAUUUUUUCCCAAAUUGUUACCGAAAAAAGCCAUGUGACAGUCACGUGUCCAGCCAUAAUUGUAUUAAAAAAAAGGCCAAAAAAAGGUCAAAUGCCAUUCUAAUACUAAGUAUUAAAUUUAAGGACUAAUAGCGUAAUAAAGAAAAAAUUCAAGGACUAAAUAACAUCACAUGAGUCAAUUAAAAAAAAAGAAGAAGAAAACGAUGUAAAAUUCUACCAAACUUAUUUCUAUCUUUGUUCCAUCUCUCUCUCUCUCUCUCCCCAAAGAAAACCUAAGAACCGAACUUCAACAAAAAUUCAAGUUGAGCAUGACGUGAUCCAGCAUAUGUCAAAGACAACAUGAAGACUGAUCUUGAUAAUUGUGUUCUUAUAGUUGCUCUUGUUCACCUCAUUUUCAUCUCCAAUCUUGAUACUGAGGUACACUUAAAAUUGCUUCCAGCUCUUUCCCAACUGUUUUUCCAUUGUGUCAGUAUCCCCUUCUUGUUAAAAUUGCUUCCAACUGCUUUGUCCAAGGACUAGUUCAAGUUUCUUGUAUCAAGUUAGGUAGCAGAAUACAUGACCUUUGUGAAAUACAGGAUUACACAUCAUUAUUUACACCUUUGUGGCUUGAUUCUUAGAUUAAUGUACUGGAAUUGGAGCUCAUUUGUAUCGGUUCUUGGGUUUUGUUGACUCAUGUGAUGUUAUUUAGUCCUUGGAUUUUAUUUAUUAUGCUAUUAGUCCUUAAAUUUAAUACUUAGUAUUAGAAUGACAUUUGACAUUUUUUUGGCCUUUUUUUAUACAAUUGUGGCUGGACAUGUAACUGUCACAUGGCUUUUUCCGGUAACAAUUUAGGAAAAAAUCGUCAAGGGUAUUUAAUGUGUUCAAAAUUUGAAAGUUCGGGUACCAAAUUUGUUUUCGUCCAAAAUUUGAGGACUAAAACCGCUCGUGCGUCAAAGUUUGGGCACAAAAACUGCAUUUUCUCUGAUUUUAAUUCCACGUGAACAGUUUCGGAUGUCAAUUUUUUAUUGAAUUAGAUGAAAUAUCAAUCAAACAGGUGAUUCCAACUUGCCUCUGACAAAGAUCAUUGAGACACUAAGCUCCUGAGUCAAGGACAAUAAAAUCGUUUCAACCAGUCGCUGAAGUAACUCUCGAUAAUUUUGGAUAUUGACAUUACGAUAAAAAAAAAUGAAAGUCCAAUCAAAUUAUACUUACUGAUUAAUGUCCACUAACAUUAGUUUCUGUUGGCCUGAUAAGUAUACGAGAGAAUGGAUGUUGACCUCGUACCCUUGUCAUCGAUUUGGCCAAUCAAAUCAAUGUACCUUUCAUUUUCGUAGCCUUAAUUUUUCUUUUUAGAAAACUCAGAAUUGCAGUGUGCUCUACUUGAAAGUGCAGGAGCAAAGUGCAUUUCCAUCCCACCAUUUCUUACUUGAAACAUCAGGUUUUGUACUCAUUUUCCUCUUUAGUAACUCUUUAAAUUUCUGGGCUUCCCUGUUCUAGUCUUGUUUUAUUGUCAUUGAUCAUAUUUGGCCAUUAAAAUUUAUGGGAUUGUCUCUUCUUUUCCCCCCUUCUGAUGGUAUAUUUUGUCACUGACCACAUUUCAUGUGAUUUUUGUGUAGUUUCGUGAAAAAAGAUUUAGGAUUCUUCAUUAUAUCAUGAAAUAAGGGAAUGAAAGUAAUCUAAGAAGUGAAGAAAGGCUUACCUUUUUUCUCAAACGUUUUUACAACACCACUUUGCAUAAAUUAGAAGUUACAGAAAAAGUAUUUGAUAGAGAUAAUAAAACAAAAGAAUAAGAAAUUUAUACAAAUGUAUCCUUUGGAUGGUGAAUAAAACCGAAGACAAAAGUUUUUUGCUGUAUCAAUUAGAAAAAUUUGUUAAGUGUCACAAAAUAUGACAAACUCUUACUGAUGUUAUGGUGCAGAGAAUACCUUUUGAGAGACAUACUAAAGCACACCAUCAUAGCUGUAUUCCAAAUGAAUACUGAUCUCCUCUCCAUUCCAGGAAAUUGCAAGGAAAAACUUCAAUGGAUCUCCUUGAAUGGCAGAGGGAAAGCUUUCUAUGCAUCAUAUUUGCAACAAUAUCAAUGGUUCUGGUGCUAAAGUUGCUGUUGAAGAAGAAGGAAAGCAGAAAUGGCAAACUCCCACCAUGUCCCCAAAACUUCCCAUCAUUGGUAACCUGCAUCUGCUUGGUAAUAUGCCUCAUGAAUCUCUUCACAUCCUUGCCAAGAAGUAUGGUCCUAUCAUGUUCUUGCAGCUUGGGCAGGUGCCAACAAUAGUGAUUUCAUCAGCUAUAUUAGCGAAGGAAGCACUGACAACCUUUGAUCUAGCCCUGUCAAAUAGGCCUCGAAUAUUUUCAGCCAAACACCUUUUCUACAACUGCACUGAUAUGGCUUUCUCUCCAUACGGUGCCUACUGGCGAAAUAUACGCAAAAUAUGUAUCCUUGAGGUACUAAGUGCAAAAAGAGUUCAGUCAUUUGGCUUCGCAAGGCAAGAAGAAGUUGCUAAUCUAGUUCAUCGUGUAGCAGAAUCGUACCCCAGUCCCACCAAUUUAAGCCAUAUGCUUGGAUUAUAUGCAAAUAAUCUCCUCUGUCGCAUUGCAUUUGGUAAAGAUUUCUCACACGGAGGAGACCAUGUUCGGCAUAAUUUUCAAAAGCUGCUUGAAGAGUAUCAAAUGUUGCUGGGAGGAUUCAGCAUUGGAGACUUCUUCCCAUCCAUGGAAUUUCUACACAAAUUUACCGGGAUGGAAUCAAGACUAAAAGACACUUUCAGACGCUUUGACCAGUUUUUUGAUGAGAUUUUGGAGGAACAUCGAAAUCCGGAGAACAGGAAAGACCACAAGGACCUGGUGGAUGUGUUACUUGAAAUACAAAAACAUGGGGAUCCUGAAACUCCUCUCACCACUGACAAUAUCAAAGCAAUAAUUUUGGUUAGUUAGAGCAAAGUUCUUGUUUCAUUCUUGACUCCAGCUUAAUCCUACUAGAAGAAUCAAAUGCUCUGCUCAAAACUAUUAUUUUCUAAUGCUGUCUUACUUAGCUCCAGUUUCUAAUUGCUUCGAUAUUGUUGAUGCAGGACAUGUUUGCAGCAGGUACAGAUACAAACUUCAUCACCUUGGAUUGGACAAUGACAGAGCUCAUAAUGAACCCCCAGGUGCUACGAAAAGCACAGGCCGAGGUCAGAAGUAUUGUUGGAGAAAGAAGAUCAGUUUCAGAGACUGACCUGUCUCACUUGCACUACAUGAGAGCUGUUGUGAAGGAAACUUUUAGGCUACAUCCCCAGCUCCAGUAUUACUCCCUAGAGAAUCCAUGGAGGAAGUGACAAUUGAUGGCUAUCCCAUUCCUUCCAAAACAAGGUUCUUCAUCAAUGCUUGGGCAAUGGGAAGAGACCCUGAAACAUGGGAAAAUCCAGACAUAUUUGAACCAGAGAGGUUCAUGAAUAGUCCUAUUGAUUUCAAGGGCCAAGAUUUUGAGCUCAUACCAUUUGGUGCCGGUAGACGAAUGUGUCCUGCUGUUACAUUUAGUACAGCAACAUUUGAGCUUGCUUUAGCUCAACUUCUGCAUAGCUUUGAUUGGGAGCUUCCUCCAGGAGUUAAAGCAAAAGAUUUGGACCUGACUGAAGCUUUUGGCAUCACCAUGCACAAAAUAUCUCCUCUCAUGGUGCUUGCAAAACCAAACUUUUCUGAAGGUCUCAAUGGAAAAUAGAGACCAAUCUGAGAGGUGUGAUUCCAUGAAAUCGCUUCUAAGGAAAAAUGCUAUGUCCCUGAACAACUGGUAUUUCUUUCGGUCAAAUUAUAUAGUCUUAAGUACCUUGAAUAACCGAAGGCGGGGCAUAUUCACAGUUAUGUCCAGUCUUUGUACCUGUUACAGGAAUCAAUGUGCAAUAGUACUAACUCUGUGUAUUCAGAUUUUGUAAUUAAUGCACCAACGACAAGCACCAGAAUGAAAGCUUAAUUGUGUCAGCUCCAAGUCCCCGAUAGGUAAAGAUAGAAUGACCAAAAACUAAAGCAAGUUAAACUAAAUUGUGCUUCAAUUAAAGAUUGCUUCAGAGCCGUCUGAAAAUUGAUAUGGUAGCAGCAAUAUAUAUUCACGAAAUACAUCUGCCUGUUCUGUGAAAAUUCACAACUAGCAAACUUCUCAAGUAUAAACUGGCCAACUUCUCACAGGUCCAGGCGGUUCUCGCAGCAAGAAUUCACCGAGACAACAUUAUUCCGCAAACACCUACAUUUCUUUGAAUACAUCCCACUAAUUGUUUGGAUCUUGAAAUUAAAUGUAGAAGAAAAUUGGAAGUCUUUGAUGAUCUCGCAGGCUUUUUUUUUUUUUAAUUAACCUCACAGAAAGGACAGUAACAUGGGCUUUAUAUUCAACUGUAAUUUUCCUCCUCUGGCUUCCUCAGGGAGGCAUUUUCUUUGAUAUCAUAUUGUUUGAAGGUCAAAAAAGUGGGGGAGUUAGUCAAGCAUAGAACUUGAAUCAAGACAAAUUGAAUAUCCAUCGUCAAUUGUAUCAUCAUAAUAUUUUUAGGUUCACCGGUAGUGUAGAAUCAGGACAAAAUGAUAAAAUCAGAAUUCAGUAUCUUCUUUAUUGGAUCCUAACGAGUGUCAUACAUUAGCGUGACGCGGAGUUUAAUCGAUCUACUCUCCUUGUAAUGUUCGAAACUCUAGUAUUUGGUUGGUGCAACUUGCAAGACUAUGCCGUCGGUAGAAACUAGAAAGUUGGAUCAUCCAAUUGAGCUACCAAUUUUCUAAUUAAUGGUCUCUCAAUAAAUUAAGCUAUAGUACAGUAAAAACCGUGUUUCUAUUUUUUUUUUUUGAUAAAAAUCAAAUUUCAUUAACAAAUUACAAGAACCGUGUUUGUACAUCGCUGCUUUAAUAGCCUGUUAAACAUGCACUAGAAAUUACAGAUUUGUAAUUUAAUCAAUAUAAUAGAUUUGAAAAAUUAUGAACAACUCUGAAAAAUACAAGAAAUUUUAAAGUUGUCUUCUAAUAGAUAAAUCACUGCAAUCCUCUCCUAUACAUGAUGCAAUCUAUUAAUCAACGGUUUUAAACUCCAAUGAUGAUGAUGACAUCUAUCAAAAUAGAUCAAAGAUCCAAAAAAAUUUUAGAUCUAACAACCAAAUCUGAAAUAAAUUUAGAUCUAAUCAACAAAAAAAAGAAAAAAAAAACAAAAAUCUCCACAAGAAUCUCUGGGGAAAUAGAAAAUUCUGUUAAUAGAAAAUGAAAACUCUUACUAAGAAAACUUAGGAGAGACUUUAUUAAAAAAUUAAAUAAAACAAACUGAAAUUCAUGGGACGUGGUCUCCCUCCUUAAGGGGAAGGCCUUUGAAAAGGGAAGAAGAAGAGAGAAGAGAGAAGUUGAAAACCAUGUUUCUAUUUGUUGUUGGUUUUAUAUCCAAAUCCUAUGUUUUGUCAUUGCACUACACUUGACAAUAAAAACAACUCCCAAAUUGGACUCAGCAAAACCUGGUUCUGCAUAAAUUCAAUGGUUAACUAAGCGUGUUUGCUGAAAUGGUAUGCUGAAAUGGUAUCCUUUCUUCUUCCUUUUCUUUCUACAUUCAACUCCCUACCCUCUGCAGCAUCAGACCUGAUCUAUGGCAAUUUUGCUAAUUGCCUAAUAAAGAUAGGGAUCCCCAAUGACCAAAUAUCAAGAAUUCUUUACAGCCCCAUGAAUGUUUCCUAUAAUUCAGAUCUACAAGCCCAUACAAGAAAUGGCCUUACACAAGGGCGACAUGUACCCCAAAACCACUUCUAGCCCCCUAUAAGGGCUACAAGCCCAUGUUUUUUAUCAUUACGGUGAAAGAAUGAGUGAAAUUCCAGAAAGUGAAGCGCCUUUCCCUCAUCGAUCUGGGAUCCUGUUCAUGAUUGAAUAUUCAGUGAACUGGCAUGAAGAAGAUCCUGCAUUUGCCAAGAAGUACAUAGAGCAGACAAGGGAACUACACAGUUUAUUGACACCUUUUGUUCCAAAAAGUCCUAGGCAGGCUUUUCUGAAUUAUAGGUACCUUGAUAUUGAUACUACAGGACAGACAAUGAGUUACAAUGAAGGAAGAGUUUAUGGGAUCAAAUAUUUCAAGGAUAACUUUUACAGAUUGGUGAAAGUCAAGUCCAUGGUAGAUCCUGAAAAUUUCUUCAGGAAUGAGCUGAGUAUCGGACUCUGCCUCUCAGGCCACUCUAAUGGGGGUACAAUAAUGCUACUAUUAUUGAAAAUUUCCAAAGAUAGUAUAGAUUUUGAUUUUCCAAAAGGAUUUCAUUGUGUUUCCACACAACAAUCUAACAACAGGAAAAACACAAAACAUGAUAAUUAAAGUCUCUAGAAUUGAAGUUGAUUGUAAUUAGUGUUGGGCUGGCCCAAACAAUUCUAUGUAUAAAUCCUUAUACUAUAUAAGAAUGAGUUUAAAACUUUAAUUUCAACAGCAAGAGUGGCCUUUUUUUUGGAAAUGUGAGAGUGUUUGGAGUGCAAUUAGAGUAUUGAAUAUGAGUCAUUAUAACUAAUUUAGUUUUGUUGUAAUUACUUGGAUGACCUUUUAAACAUUUAAAGCUAGGGAUAAGUUUGAUAUGUGACAGUGUUUGAUAUCCGAUUAAACAUCGGGUACAACUGAAUUCAGCUUGUGUUUUAGUGAAAUUACAUAAAUGCCCUUCUAAUCAUUUAAUUGUAUUAACAUCUAAGUCUUUUAAUUUCUUAAAGCCUUUCUCAUCAGUUAUUUGCAAAGUUAUGAUAUAUAGAUGUUAAAACACAAUUAAUGUCAAUUAGUAGAGAAGUCUGGUUUCUCGACCGUUACCCCCAUCUAUUCAAAUUCAUUUCAUUUACUUAUAGGUUUUGUUCCAGCACAAUCAUACAGUAUAUUGAAUUCGGAUAUUUCUACAUUAGCUACUCCUCUUCUCCAUUUUGCAACACCUUUUUCAAUAGGUAUGUUUUUUUUUUAACCAAUCUACUUUUUGGUUGUAAAAAAUCUGUAAUAUUGCAAGUUGUAUGUGCAAUAACUUUUUAGUGUUUUAAUUCAAUUGUCCAUGUUAGACAAGCUUGAUACGUAAGAGACCACAUUUGUUAAUUGUUAUUUAUGGUUUAAAAUAAGUUUAUCAUCAUAAAUUUUCCCAUUUAUAGAUUGCAUCUACUUCUUUUGUUGUUUUAACUAUUAGUUAGGGUAAUUUCAAAUCGUUUGCUACUUUAUUGACUAUUCCAUUUAGACAAUUUUUCACUUCAUCUGAUUUGCCAAUAUGUUUAACUAUCUACUUAAAACUAUUUGGCUAAUAAUCUAAAGUAUGUACCUCAUUACUUUUAAUUGUUUUUCUUGAAUUGAGUGGAUUAGGAUGCUUUAGUACUUUUUUGAGGUAAUUAUUCCUCUAAAUUAGCAUGUUAGUUGUUGUAUAUCUUUGCAACUAAUACAAAACUGAUAUUUCAUGAUUGUAACCCCUAUCGAGAAGGAGAUGCUUUGCUAUAUGUCCUAAAUCAUAUAAUAAAUUAUAAUUAAUUGCUUGCUCAAUGUGAAGGCCUCGUGAUGAUAUAUGUCCUUGGAAUCAAUAUAAAUUCAAGAAUUUGGCUUGCAAGAACCGAAAUUCCACUAGCAAUGAUUUCCUCAAGUAUGCUAAUUGUUCAAAUCUCACUUAUAUGACAAGAUAAUUUGGUGGAUUGCCCUCAUAUCAAGAUUAAAUUCAAACUAAAUAACAAAUUUUAAUAUCCCUAAAAUGCAUGAGCAGAUAUAAAUAGGUCUUUUAUUAUACUAGGUUAGAUGCAAAGUAGUUGAUCGUAUCUUAUAAUUAUGUUUUAUUGCAUAUUAUAUUUUUUGACACAAUAUGUAACUUAUGAUUUUUUUAAAUUUAAUAUCAUAUAAUAAAAUUUUCAUACUUCAAUUCUUAUACUAGAAAAUGCCAAAUAAUAAUUAUUAACCAUCUUUAAUUAUAGGCACUAAACUCCCACGCGUUGCGUGGGCUUUUCCCCCUAGUAUAUAUUAUAUAAAGAUAAAUAAUAUUUGCACUCUAAUAAAAUUCUCAAACACUCUAAACUUGUAAUUUUUUUGUUAAAAAUGAUAUAAAGAUCCAAAACCUAUAUUCUCUAACAAUGUGAAUAAAAAAACUACCCCAAGGCAUAGUAAAUGAUCGGUUUGCAUUAUUUUCAUAGAGACCACUACAGUUUGGAUUACAAAAUCUCGGUUAAAGUUGUAAAAGUCCACUAAAGAAUAAUGAACGAGUCCAAAAAUAAUGCUCAACUCCAAAUCAAAAUGACUAGUACUUAAGAAUUACCAAAUAAGUUAUACACAUAAAGAAUUUAUAGAAUAAUAAUUUUAAAAAAAUUUCCUCCAUUAUUAAUAUUACAACAAUUUAGGACUGAUAUAAGAAUAGUGAAAAUAAGACAAAUUGAAAAGAUGAAACAGGAAGAGUUACCGAUAAAUGCAUAGAUGGCCAAUUCGUCUCUUAGAAUAUUUUAUAUGUUUUUGUAUCAUUUCAUUAACCAAAAAAAAAAAAAAAAGAAGAGGAUGGAGUACUUAGAGCAUUUUUGGGAUUGCCAAUAUCAGUUGUCUAUAUUAAUAACACUCUAUAGAGUUUAUAAGUAUACAAUUAUAAUGUAAAAACCUAAUAUGUAUAAUUAUAUGAGAGUAUAUAGUUAUUAUUACAUAUUGUAUAUAUUUACAGCAUAUUUUAAUUAUGAACUUGUGCUCAGCCCCAAGUAUGCUCGGAAUUCCAUUAUUUUUGUGAGUCGAGUAUGAUCUUCACAGUAAGAGGUCAAAGCUCAAAACCCAGAAAUUCUAUUACUUUUGUGAUUCGAACCUCGAAAUGCCAAAGCCUACCUUGAAUAACUCGGUUGAUAGCCCUGGGUCUUUCUUUAACAUGAAACAGUGACUAUGAAGUCACGUAGUUGAUUACUCAAAAUUCUCCGUCACUUUCAUCCUUAACUUUUUAGUUGUUUUUUUUCCCCAAAUUAACAGCAUCAUCUAACCAUUCAUACAACAAAAAUUUAUUCUCUCUUGUGAUUCUCAACUAAAUAGGGAAAACGAGGGAAUCCAUUAAAUGAGGAGGCACUUGCAGUCAGAUUAGCUCUCCUAAUGGCCAAGGAAGCUGACUGCAGGAGAGUGGAAAUACAAUCUAACUGUAAAGCACUCAUUCAUAAGAUCCAUGCUCAGGAGACUCAGGUCAGUGAAACUGCAAAAUUCGGAUUCUUGAAUUGAGAGAGCUGUUUGAACAAUGUAUAUAUCCAAAGGAAAGAAAUGCUUGUAAUCAUAGGUAGCUCAAUUUGCACUUUAGUUAGUUAAUGAUGUCAAAUGGGAUUCUAGUAUUCCACUGUCACUUAUUUAUUUCUUUAAUCAAGAGCAUCGACCAAUUGCUAUUUCUUAAUGUCCAAAGUGAUAGAGAAAGAUUUUUUACAACUAUUGCCUCUCGGAUCUUCUAGUGUCACUGCUCGGGCCAUUGCCGGCCUGAGAUGGCUUCUUCAAAGCAUGCUUACAUGGUGGCCUGAAGGCGACUUAAAGUCACUACAGGAGGAGAAGGCGACUUUAAAAUAGUCAUUUGAGAUGGCGAUUUUGAUUUGUUUUUCUAUUUUCUUUUUCUACUUUUUCACCCAAAGUGAGUCAUCUAGCUAAAAUAACAAAGCGAGUCACCUUUAUAAAUGGCGAAAUCUCUACUGUUGGAAAACUUCAAAAUUUACUAUUAUUUUCAUAAUUUAAAAAAAAGGAUUAUUUAGGUAAUUCACUCCAUCAAUCCUAUUCUUGUAUUCGAAUCAUUCUACAACAAUUCAAUGAGGUAGCCCUCCUCAAGCUUGAUUUUGCCAUGCCUCCCUUGUUAGAAGCCACCGAGUUUAUCAAUCGUUUCUUCUCGUCCAUAUUUGCGGGAUUCCUGUUGCUUAAUCUUCGAAAAUUUAUCGUUUGGACAGUGAAAGAUUUUGGCUGCUGGUGGAAGAUAAACUAAUCUCUGCUUGAGCUGGCAAAUGCCAAUUAAGAUUGGUCUUUCAAUAAAUUAAGCCAUAUUUACGAUAUGUUUUUUGUUUUCUUGCUGGUUUGCGAGGAAUCUUGGGUUUAGAAGGCCAGUGCACAAACAGAUAAACAUGUUUUUCCUUUCUUGUUGGUUUGUAUAUAAAUUUAUGAACUUUGUUGGAAACUAAUAUUUGUUCACGUGAAAGUGGACGGCUAAAAUGCUAAAUCUUUUGUGUACAAUUGAAAAAAUACAUAGUUUUGGGUGUAUAAUUAUCGUAAAAAUUUAAUUACUACCUCAAAGAAAAAAAAAUACGUAGUUUUUGAUGUAUAGAUAUUGUCACCUUAUAGUAUAUUUAUGUAUAAACUCUUUUUAAAAAAAUUGGGAUUGUAGUUCAAUAGUUGGAAUAAAAUAAUUUCUUGAUAUAGAUAUGUGAAAAUGCUAUUUAUAAUUCUUUAUUUAAAUUAUUUAUCUAUUAAUCAAGUUGAAUAAUAUGCCAAAUGUGGAACAUGUCUACUGUUGGUUCUGAAUUAAUGAGCAAUUCACUCAUAGCCUAGGGGUGCAUAUUGCUAGUAACUUAAAUUCACCAAGUAUAAAUUGGUAUGGUACAUGGAAAUUGUGAUCAACACCAAGUCCGCAUCUUAGAUUGCCUGCAAUGUUACCCUCUCUUCUUCUUCUUCUUCUUCUUUUUCUUUCUGCAUUCAAUUCCCUAACAUCUGCAGCCUCAGACCUCGUCUUUGACAACUUUGCCCAUUGCCUUGCAGGAAAAGGGAUCCCAGAUGACCAAAUCUCAAGCAUUCUUUAUAGCCCCAUUAACGCUUCCUACACUUCAGUUUUACAAGCUUAUAUAAGAAACAGGAGAUUCAACACUUCCACAACCCCAAAACCGCUUCUCAUAGUCACAGCUUUAGAAGAAUACCACGUCCAAGCAGCUGUUCUAUGUACAAAAAGAACUGGGCUGGAACUGAAAAUCAGAAGUGGCGGUCAUGAUUUUGAAGGAAUCUCAUACGUUUCCAGUGUUCCAUUCGUCAUUCUUGACAUGUUCCACCUUAGUAGUAUUCAUGUUGAUAUUGAAAAUGAAAUUUCUUGGGUACAAGUUGGCGCGACACUUGGGGAACUCUACUACAGGAUUUGGGAAAAGAGUAAAGCACAUGCAUUCCCUGCCGGUGUAUGCCGAUCAGUAGGCGUAGGCGGCCACAUAAGUGGGGGAGGUUAUGGCCCUAUGCUACGCAAAUACGGCCUAACUGUAGACAAUGUUGUUGAUGCACGAAUCGUCGAUGUUAAAGGCAGGAUUUUGGAUAGGGAAGCAAUGGGGGAAGAUCUUUUCUGGGCUAUUAGGGGUGGUGGUGGUGCGAGUUUUUGCGUUGUUUUGGCGUACAAAAUCAAGUUAGUCAGGGUACCAGAAAUUGUAACAUUUUUCAGGAUUGUUAGGACCAUGGAAGAAAAUGUAACAGAUCUUGUUUAUAGCUGGCAACAGGUAGCCAACACGAUUGACAAUGAUCUCUUCAUCAGAGUUCUGGUCCAACCAGUUACUGAACAAAUCAAUGGGCAGAGUCAGACUACAAUUGGAGCAACAUUUAUAGCAUUAUUCCUUGGAGAUGCCGAUGGACUCUUAUCUGUUAUGAAUGGAAGGUUUUCUGAAUUGGGAUUGAAGAAACAGGACUGUUUGGAAAUGAGUUGGGGUGAAUCACUCCUCCGGUGGGAAGGUUACGCGAGUGGUACACCCAUGGAAGCUAUCCUUGACAAGACUUAUGCCAACUUCGCGAAGAGGAAAUCAGAUUAUGUGCAGAAUCCAAUUCCAAGGCAUGGGCUGGCCUCCAUAUUCAAGAAAGUGAUUGAGCUAAAUAAAACAGUACUGGAAUUCAAUCCUUAUGGCGGAAGAAUGAGUGAAAUUCCAGAAAGCCAAACGCCUUUCCCUCAUCGUUCUGAGAUCAUUUUCAAGAUCGAGUAUUUAGUGAUUUGGCAGGAAGAAGGUCCUAGAUUUGCCAAGAAAUACAUAGAGCAGACACGGGUGCUAUACAGUUUGAUGACUCCUUUCGUUUCAAAAAAUCCUAGGCAGGCUUUUCUGAAUUACAGGGACCUUGAUAUUGGAACCACAGACAACGGGAAGAACAGUUACAACGAAGGAAGAGUUUAUGGGCUCAAAUAUUUCAAAAAUAAUUUUUACAGAUUGGUGAAAGUCAAGACCAUGAUAGAUCCUGAAAAUUUCUUCAGGAACGAGCAGAGUAUACCAACUCGGCCCUCCGGCCAUUUUAGUUGGGGUAAAACUUUCAAGCUUAUUAACACUUUUACUCUUUUACGAUCCAGAAUUGGGUGCAAAAGUUAUUAUUUAAAGUUUUUGACUCGGCCUGGCUGCAUUUUUAAUUGAAGUACAGUUCUCAACAUUCAGGCCCAGUAUAUUUCUGGUCAGGAAUAGCCUGUGUUCUUUGUCUUUGCCUUGCCAGUUUCUUGCACUGAUAUCAUAUCCAGAUCUACGUUCCUGAUUGCUAUUUGCAACAUCUGUUCUACAAAUAGCAUUAUUGUUUUGAAUAGCUCGGGUCAAAAUAUAUUUUGUGUUACAAAUAGUAUAGUUUCAAAUGGCGUGUUCUAGUCAUUAUGUCUGUUAUACAAGGUUAAAUGUAUAAUAGUACUGAAUUGUUUGUUGCACUCGAGUUUUGGUUGUUGUAUAGACUUGUUUAAGGAGAACCAGGAGGAGAACACGCGCGAUGCGCGGUGAAAAUUUUCAUGUUUGCCCAGUUAUUCAUGGUACAUAAUUAAAUUUCAAGUUUGUCCAAUUAUUUAGGGUUUUCCAGUUAUACAAAGUACAUAAUUGUUGCAAAUUAUAUUAAGCUGAAUCAUAAAUAUUGUAUUCAUCCAUUCAAAAUUAGAUAAAGCUGUAUCGUAUUUAUCCAUUCAAAAGUUUCUAAAACAAUUAGCAAGAGUAAUUUUUGAUGAUACUGUAACUGUGAAGUGCAUCCAUGUUAGCAAACUUAAGAAAAUGGACUCUCAUCUAGAAAGAAAAUGAAAAGUAUAAUUGUAAGUUACAGACUUACUGGAUUUCUUUCUCCACCAAAUUUUACCAUUAGAAAGCAGUAUCAGUACAAUAUUCUUAAUGUUCCAAAAGGUAUAAAUUAUAAAAAUACAAAAAGCCUAUGAAAUGCCCUUUUUCUCUCAACUACUAACACCCAUGAAGACUUCUUUUUUUAAUGUAAAUAGUAAGAGAUGCAAGACUCAAACACAAUCUGGAGUGGAGAGCUGCAUAUGCUUCCAGUCUGUGAUAAGAUAAACAAGUCAUUAUCUCAAGUUUAGAAGCUUAUUGAUAUAGCAAAUGAGAUACGAUAAAGCAAAUGAAAUAGAUAUAUAAUGGAAAUAUUUUGGGUGCAUGAUAACAACAAAGAAAGGUAUCAAUACCUUUCAAAAUGGCAUUUGAGGCCAAAAUAUUCAUCCACCGACCCAACAAAUUUUAUCACUUUAAUCUUGUUUUCCUACAACAGUUGAAACUUAUUCAAAACUGUUUUUGAAUCUUGGAAUUAAAUCACCAAAUUGCAUUAGCUGUGACAGCUCCACCUCCCCCUAAGGCGAACCAAAGAGUUCGGCGGACCGCUUGCCCAACUCUCGCCAGGACUACGGAGUCGAAACUCACAAAUCCUAUAGUACGCGCGAUGGGACCCAAAGAAAAAUGAACAAUCGGAGACAACUAAGGUGAGAACAUGCUUACCAAACCAUAAGAUCUUAAUAUCUCAAAUGAAUACACUUAAUAGACAAGAUUAAACACUUAUACAUAUAUUUACAUCGGAGUCUUUAACAAAUUAACUAAACUACGAUACAAACCAAAGUAUUCAUACAAUUAAAAAUAUAAUUCGGGUUUCGGUUAUAAAAGAGCUUAACAAAAUAAUAUUUACACUAGCUCGACCCUUUCUUCCAAAAUCAAGGAUUCAAAGUUUGCCCCCUGAAAGGAAAACAAAGUUAACGGAAAGGGGGUGAGUUUACGCUCAAUGAGGUACCAAAAUAAUAGCAGUCAAGAAUCAUGGAGUUUCAUGUUCACUUAGUCACAUAUGCAUAUCACAUAGAGAAAUGAACAAACACCUUAGAUAGGAAUGAUACAGGUAGCUCUCAGGAGCCAAAAUUCCCAUUGCCAUACUUGAACCAAAUUCGUUGACUCUCCGUCAACGUAUAAAGAACAACCAUGUCCGUAGACCCCACUUUACACCAAAUUCCGUCUACCGAACAUACCCUUACCGGACCCGAACACCACAUACAGAACAGAGAUGGUAAUACUCGAGUAUACCGGAAUCAAGAGUCUCAAUACUCAAAGAUUCCCAGAAACAGACUACCGUGGCUCGUUAUCUAAUCAAUCAGGCCCUUGCCGGCUCGACUCGAGAGACUAACCACAGGUUUUGAGCUCAGAAAUCACUGAAGGGUCGUUGGAUACAAGCCUCCAAACAAUGUCAGAAUAGACUUAGAUACAGAUAACAGAGUCAAGUAUACACAGUAAAUAGGCAUACAGAUAACCAAGAGAACGAGUGUGAUAAAGUACACUCUCGUCUCAAACAGAAUAAACAGAUAGUACAGUCAUUCAAAUUACAGAUUUCAUGUACAGAAACCAAGUUAAACAACAAAUGAGGGGAGUGUUACACUCACCAGUUCCAGUACAGAUACUUCAAAAGUUUUUACCCAAAGUGGCUUUAAUCGCCAAGAAACCCUAAAAUAAUCAAGAUAAAACAAUUAUAGUUCGCACAUCUACAAACCCAGUAAAUGGAAUGCAUAAAUGAGACUCGACUACAUGUCGUACGCCUUUCCAGGUUAAGUACUAGUACAAAAGAAUAAAAUAUGACUUUUGAGCAAAAAGAUAACAAUUGGUCUUAGAGUUACAAAUAACUCCCAAAAUCCCUUCAUUUUUACCAAGAUCAAUUCAACUUGAAGGAAUCGCGUAGCCCUAAAAUUUUGGGCAGCAUGCCCUCUGUAUUUACCUAUUUUCCAAUCAUUUAUGGCUUCAUUAUUUUCCUUAACUCAGUCCAAUUCAACACAUAAGAAAUCUCAAUACAAUAGCCCUUCAACUAGGAUCAAGUUCAUCCAAAUACAAAGCAUAGUCUAGGAAUGCAAUUGGAAAUCAAAUUUUAAGGACAAAAGCUAAAUAGCAGGUUUGACGUCUCUUAGCGUAUCGGUCACAACCGAAGCUACACUUAUCGGAUUGGGGUGUAAUUUAUACCGUUUCGAAGCUAAGAUAAAGGCCUACAACUUUGAUGAAGACCACUUAGUCCAGUUAGUAGUGUAUCUAGGUCAAAUUUUCAAAUUACAGAACCAGCAUCUCACAAUCAGACUAGUUAACCGUACUAUGAUUAAAUGACAAUAACUCAGGCUACCGAAGUCCGAUUGAGGUGUAUCUUAUGGAGUUUCGAAGCCAAGAUAUAUACCUACAUUUCUUAUGAAGGCCUCAAAAGUUAAAUCAUGCAUUUUCAGAGUCAAAAUUGAAAUCUCCACGAAGACAGAAAACUAUCCGCGAAACAGGGGUUAUGGGCAGUCAAGGGUAUUUCAGUCAUUUCACAUGAUACAGUGCUCCGAUUGAGCUGAAAUUUUACAAACAGUUAUAAAACAUUAUUUCCUACAACUUUUAUGUUUUGUGCUAAGCCUAAUUCGUUCUCUAACAUGGUCAAACAGAACCGGGUAGAACAGGGUAAAUUGGAAACUUUAAAACUGAAAUUUAUGCACUCUAGUUGAAACUUUUUGAAGGCAAGCAAAACUAGCAUUUUCAAGCUCAAAAUUACUCAUGACAACUACCAAAUCAUGGCUAAACAUCAAUCAUCAUAUGAGGACAGAAAAUUUACUAUAAAAACUGAAAUUCACCAUGCCCCUACUUCAAACCAUAAACUUGUCCAUAAAGCUACAUAUUUAACCUUUCCAAUACACUAAUUAACAAUUAUUACAAACAAAGAGGGAUUUUGCAAGCAAAGUAUCUUGGAUCCUCAAGAAAGAUGGUGGUUUAGAGAUCUUCUUCCCAAAUUAGCUCCACAAACACCUUGAAAACUACCUUAACUAGUACUUUUAUGGAGUAGUUUGCGAUUUAAUCAGUUGGAACUCAAGAUUUGGACAAGAAAUUGAAGUGGAAGAUGAAGAACUCUCUUGGUUUCUCUCUCACUAAUUUCAGCCAAAGGAGACAAGAAAAUGAAUGAAUUUUGGUCAAAAAUCUGAUUUAGUAAAGUUACUAACCUUGGUCAAAAGUCCAACUUCUAAUAGCAUAGUGACACUUGGCUCCUUUUUAGGGUUUUAAUCUUAUCCUUUUGUCUACCAAUGGUGAUUUAUCUAGCUAACCUCUAAUUGUCUCCUAGCACCUUGUACAGUAAUAUUCCGUUAUACAAAACUUUAAUUAAUCAGCAAAAAUUUAUCGCACUUAACGCACUAACGGGCUCCACAUCCAUAAUACGCUUUAAACUGAAUAUGAACUAAUUUAAACUAGGAAAAUGAUUUAAAAACUCUACUCACUAAUAAAAUGUCUGGAAAAAUCAAUAUAAUAAGGUAUAAUGAAGAAAAUGCAUACGAGAAAAUAAAAUAAAAUAAUAUAAAAAAUAAGGAAAAUUUACGGGUCCUCACACCAGUUGGUUGGGACUCAUGAUUUUUCAGCAAUAAUUCAUUAUUUUGUUCAGUCAAGAGAAGACAUGCGAUAAAUUCAGAAUAUUUUUUAAAUCUCUUCUCUCAAUAUUGCUACUGCAAGAGCAUAUUAGAGACAUGAAAAGUAGAAAAUGUCUUCCCUAACAUAUCUUCAUCAGUGACUUUUUCGUCACAUAAUGAUAAUUGAGAAGUAAUUCUGAACAUGACUGAAUUAUAUUCAUUGACAGAUUUAAAAUCUUGCAACCGUAAGUGAAGCCAAUCAUAUCUGGCUUUUGGGAACGACCAACUUCAGGUGGUCGAAUCUUUCUUUCAAAUCUUGCUAAAGGACAAGAGGAUCUUUGACAGUAAGAUACUCUAUUUUUAAUCCUUUAUCUAAAUGAUGACGAACGAAAAUCAUAACUUUGGCACGGUUUUGGUUUGAGAAUUCAUUUUUUUCAACAAUAGUAUUACCAAAACCCAUUGCCUCAAGAUGAAUUUCAACAUCCAAUACCCAUGAUAAAUAAUUUUUUCCAGAAAUGUCAAGAGGUGCGAACUCUUGUUUUGUAAGAUUAGUCAUAAGAAAUUAAAAUAAGUUUUUGACUUAGAAAUUUACCUCGGAAGUCAUCUUUGGCUGUCAUAUUUUCUUUUUCAACACAUUGGUACCUUGCUUUCUCAGGAAAGUGGUAAUUAAGCUUCUAACAAGUUGAGAUCAUUCUGUGACAGAAACUCUUGUGCAGUUUCUUUUAAAAUUAGCAAAUCUGAUGAAUGGUGGCUCAUUAGUAAAAAAUAUUUCUUAGGACAGACUGCAUUUGUCAAACCAAAAUAGUUCUGCUGGGUUAGGAUUUUCCAAAUAUUAAGUUGUGGUUUUUCUCUUGCUUUAGGGUUUAGCAAUGGUGAUGCACAAGAAUCAUGAAGGACCAGCUGUUUUUGAGAUGCUGGACAGGGCUCUGGAAUUGGCUCGUUCCGAGAAAAAAGUCAAUGAGGAGAGGAACAUAAGAAUACUAACUGCACAGAUGCAUGUAGUAAAGGUAUCCAGUUGGACUUUCUUAUACAAGAAUUUGAAGCUGUUCAGAAAUUAGGAUCUAAAUCUAAUCAAGGAAUGAUGAUGCAUUCAAGUUCUGGGUCAUUAUGCUGUGUAUACAUUCUUGAAAAUGCAUAUCCACUUUAAGAUCAGAACAAUCAUGUUUUAGGAAAUAGCUAAAAUCCACAACCAGUAAGAGAAAGUUGGGGGGGGGGAGAAUCUACGUGAUGCCCUCGUGAUCAAAAGUCUAACAUCUAAAUCUACGUGAUGCCCUCGUGAUCAAAAGUCUAACAUCUAAUAUGUUUUACUUCUGCAGGGGAAUUAGAGGAGGCCUUGGAAAAGUUUCAAGCUCUUAUUAAUGAGAACCCAAGGGAUUUUCGCCCUUAUCUUUGCCAAGUAAGUGUUUUUGUUUUUGGAUUUUUUUCUAUUUUGCUUUUUUGGCAUUUCAUCCUUUCACCUCUGCUUGAUGAAACUUUCCCUCCAAUUAUGUUUCAGCAAGGAUAUGAAAAGUUUUUUUUUCCUUUUUUUUCCUAUUUGGCUUUUUUGGCUUUCAUCCUUUCACUCCUGCUUGGUGAAACCUUGCCCACCAGUUAUGUUUCAGAGGAUAUGAAAAGGACAUGGUGCUAGUCUGCUAUAUGUAUGACUGUAAAUUCACUUGUUUGACAUUGUCAGUUAUAAAAUUUUAGGAGCAAGCUGAAAGCUGCACAAAGUCACUCUUAAAUAACAAAAAGCUACUGAGCCACAAGAUUUAUUUUUCAAAUAUUAGGUUCAUGAGGGUGUUUUAAACUUUGGCAUCUAAAUGGACAAGGAAAAACAUCAAGAAAUUUUGGAGAUGACAUUGCUAGCUAUUUAUUAGUCUACCCUGAAACUACAUAAAAGACAAGUAAAGGAACAUCACAUAUUUGAUUUUUUUAGGGAGGGUCAGGAGCAACAGGGAAGAUUAAUGAUAUGGACUUUGGACCUUAUUUUGAUGGGAAAAGUAAGGUGAAUGGAACAAGGAAUGCCAUUCUCUUUUGUCCUUCCUAGAAAUGAGUUAAAAGGAGUAGGAGAAUGGCUUCCCUAGGUGAUGUACUAAUACAUUGCACUUCUUUUCUCCUCUUCCUGCUCUUUACCAAGCAUAGCCUAAGUGGCACCCCUGGCUAGGUCCUGGAAGGAGAGACAAUUGCAAUUUAGCUAUUGGCUUGGCUUACUAAAGUAGUUUUAAGAAAGUGAAACAAAUGUUGCACUUGCCAGAUGUAGGAAAUUAUUGAUCCCUUGGAUACGUCUGUGUGAAUGUGUAGGAUAAGCUCAUGCUGAACACAACAACAAAGAUCAACUUACCUCUCAGCAUAAGCGCAUGAGGCUCCUAUCUUUACUAGAUUUGUGCUUUUGAUCUCUAAUCUUCUCAAUAUAACUAAAGGCAUAUUGCUAAGAAGAAGGCAGUGGGAUGGCUAGAAUCCAGCACUAGGAGAUUGACCAUCUUAAAGGGCAAAGGCCAAUUGAAGUGCCUAGGCUGAUUGAAGUAGGUUUGUCUUGUGUAUAAACUCAUGUCUAAUCUUUUGGGGAAGCUAAAUGUCACAAAUAUGUAUUGAAAAAGGCGGUGUCGAACAGGACACAUUUCACUUUAUUCGCUUCACAUUUUUUUGGUACAGUGCUUUUGUGAAUUUGGGGUUUUUUGUUUUGCGCGCGCGUGUGUUCAUGAGCACAUUUAUGUCACGAGUUUGUUGACCAUUUCCCUUGGCUGUUCUGGCAGGGUAUAGUUUACAGCCUGCUUGACAAAGAGAAGGAAGCUCUAGAACAGUUUGAGAUAUAUCAAAGUCUUGUACCUGAACUCAUUUUUUCAAGGAGGCUUUGUUAGCGAAUAAUCCACCAUUUUUGGUCGUGGUGGAUCAUUAAAUGGUGACUUUAUAGCCAAAGCCACAUGAUCUAAUGAUGUGAGAAAUGAAAGUGACUUACCUAUCCCAAGUGUUUCAUAGAUAUUACCUUGAAUAUACACCACUUGAGAACUUACCAAAGGAAAUGUCAUAAGAGUAUCUUGGGCAGGAAUACCUUUAGAACCUAUACUUUCACUGCACUCCUCAAGAGGGGUGAAAAAUGAGUCAUUAAAACUCACCUCUUUAGGCUCAAAGUUAGUUCCAAAGAUAUUAUCAUGUGAAAUGGACAUUUGCUCAUUGAAACACAAUUGAGAUUCAUCAUUUUCAUCAAAAUGCAACCCAUUUUCACAUACAACAUUCCCAUCAUUCAUGCUAGGAUCAUUUUGCACAUUAUUAGAGGAAAUAACUUCACACAAUGCAUUCAAUUGCUCAUGUAUUCGACCAAAGUGAGAAGCUAAUUCAUCUAUUCUUUCCUCAAUCCUAUCAAAACGAUCGGAAGUUGCAUUUGCUAGCUUUUCUAUUGCUAAAUCAAAUUGAUUAGAAAAAUUUUCUACAGCUAGCUCCCAAGAUGCAUUAGAAUCAUUAGCUAAUGGUUCACUUUCUAACUCCCAAGGUAGAGGUGUAUUAGCUAACUUCUCUAUUGCCAACUCCCAAGAUGGUUUUGAUUCAUAUUGGACACUUUCAGGUUGGUGAUCAUAAAAAUAUGAAUUAUCACUAUAAGUACAUUGAUUAUUCCAACCAUAAGCAGGAGAAUUGGUCCAAUUAGCACUAUAUUGAUCAAAACAAGGAUUGUAAUGCUCUAAUUCAUCAUAAUAAUCCACAUUUUGUGCUUGCAUACAUGUAUUAGUAGCAUGAUAACCUCCACACAAGUCACAAAUCACAUGAUAAGAAUUAAAAGCAUUAACAUUCCUUCUCUGCUCAAUUUCAUGCAUCAUGGUGUCCAUUUGAACUUGUAACUUAAUUACAUCAAAUUUUGCCUUUAAGCACCUUAAACCAUCUUCAAAAGACAUACAUUCAGUAAAUUCUUGGUUACCUCUGUUGAAGGAGCUUUGCACUUCAUAACCAUCCAUUGCCAAUCUUCCACUUCUCAAGCAUUGUCCUCCAAAUUGACCUACCCUCCUCAUUACCUAAAAUUGCUUUUAAACAACUUAAGAGCAAAAUUAGUAAGAAGACUAGGUGAUAAAACACAUACACAUAUAAAAUACUAAAAUAACAGAAAAUAACAUUCACAAUAUAACUAAUAUUAUGUCUAAACUAAUAAAGUUGCUCUUCACACCGAUAUUGCCAAAUCUUCCCCGGCAACGGCGCCAAAAACUUGACGGGUAUUUUACAUACGUGCAAGCUAAAAAAUAUCGAAUUACACCCGUUCACUGCAAGUAUACAGAUCAACUAGUAGUUUAGGGUAUAUAUCGGGUCGAUCCCACAAGAAAGAGUGAACAAUUACCGGUAUUACUAAAGCUUCUCUAUUAUUUAGACUAUCAAUGAAUUAUAACAAAUUUAACCUACUGAAAUUAUACAAAAUAACAAAUGAAAGCUCCUUAGGUUGUGGUAUCCCUAACUACUCAUGCAAGUGCUAUAUUUGGAUCAUUAAUUACUACAUCUAGGCUAGUUAUGGUGUAAUUUCCUUAUGUAUUUGAAUCCUACUUUCGUAGUGAAUCAAUUAUACUUAUAACUAAUCCAUACCUAUUCUCAUGGUUAUGAAAUUAGCUACAAGUUCAUUUCUUCAGUGAAAUUACAUGAAAUGAAUCACUAAAAACGACAUAAGUGCACCUCUACUUUCGUGAGUGUACUCCCUAUGUUUAGCACUUCUUGAACUAGUGUUAAAUCUCAAUUUUCAUUGCAGAAACAACACCUUAAAUAAUCACAAUCAAUGGUACCAGAUUAAUCAUGAUUUAAAGAGCCAAAGUGCUAAAUAACUUGCUCAAAUCAUAGCAGUCAAAUAACCAAAUAAUAAACACUAACAAUUAUAGAAAGUUCAACCAAACCCAAGGCUUAAACUUUAGAAACACAUAAUGAACACAAAAUCCAGAACUUGUAUAUUAACUAAACUUGGAAUCAAAUACAGAAGAUAAAGAGUUUGGAAGGAAUACAACCCUUGUCACAUGAGCUUUCUUCCUUGCCUUCUUCAUCCUCCAUUUUCAUCCUAAUCUAGAUAAUAAACAAGAAUGGAAAAGCUACACUACUCUAUACUAAGCUAAACUAACACUAGGGAGAUGAAAGAGCUACAUUUCUGCAGCUUCAAGCUUUCUCCCGUAGCUCUCUUCUAUUUUUCUGCUAUGGACUCCAAUCUCCCCUUCUUGCAAUGAAUUUGGCUCUUUUAUGAUGAAAGGUGGUCAAGAAAUGAGGAUUACAUCUCCCUUUUACAGCUGGGAAUGUUUCUCACAUGUCUAGCAUCCAAUGUGAGUUGGUGGAGGUGAAAUUGAGUUUUAUGCAUACAGAGCAGCCUUUUCUGACCACAAUCCGGCCAGGAAUCCGGCCACAAAUCCGGCCACAUUCCGGCCGGAUUGCUACAGUGACCAUUUGGUCACUUCUGGUUCAAUUUCCAGCUCUGCUCCGAUUUUGCAUCAAAUUCCACUGAAGUUUUCUUGAUGAUAAAAGCUGAUUUAGCUCUUGACCAAAACAUAAAACUUGUAUCCCUUUGAGUUAGCUUUCCAAUGCAUCAAGAAUCAUCUCAUUUGGAUCUGUGUAGGCUGAGACAUGACCGAAAUACCCUUACCUGCUCAUUGCCCUGUUCCAGUUUCGACCAGUAGAAAUUUGCUAUUGUAAUUCGGCAUUUUGACCUGGAAAACCUUCAAACUGGAUUUAGAUGUCUUCACCAAAGUUGUAGAUCUAUCUCUUAUCUUCAAAUUGGUUCAAGAAUCAUCUUAAUCCGAUCUUUGUAACUCAAGUUAUAGCCGAAAUACGAAAAUGUGUCAAAACUGUCAAAAUACACAAAAUCCAAGUAAAAAAUGAUAAAAACCUCAUUUAAUUACUUAAAAGUAUUUUUCACCAAUUAUAGCCAAAAUGAUUCAUAUUCUACCAAUAAUAUAACUAAAGUGACUAAAAAUAAUAUAAAAUAUCAUACAAUUAUUACGUAAAUUAGUCACUUAUCAAACUCCAAAUUUUCUUUUCUUUGCUCAUAAAGUUUGCAUUUCCAAAUUUUAAAGCUUUUAUAUUUGGCUGUGGAGGAACCUGUUCGCAUCACUGAAAUACGAGUUUAUAGUAUUUUAAGAAGUGAAGAAGAUAAAAACAAAUGUUCGAAGUAUUCAGUAUUUUAAUUAAGUAAUGUGUCUUGAUUAUGUAAUGCUUCAAUUAUGGAUUUAGCAUGGUGAAAUCUUAGAAUUGUAGGAUUGGGUGAUUUUGAAUUAUGCAAUUUAUUGGUUAGGGCCAGCGAAGUGGCAGAUAGAUUGGCUGCUCGAUCCACGAACACCCAAGCUACUACGAGCAAUAAUUUUUCCAUCCACUUAGGGUUAAAAUUAAUAGCAAUCCCAUAGACACAGUAUAUGCUAGCUCCUCUUUGCUGUGCCCAUCGGGAAAAGUUAUUCAUAGCAUCCGUCCUACAUUAUCAAUGAGUAUUGAUGUCGGGUACCGAAAAUUCCAAAACCGUAUUAAAAUCAAGGUCAUUACACGGUUUAAGAUAAGCCAGGCUAUUAAAAUCUUCCCAGUUAAAUCCAGAUGAACAAAAGUCCUUGUAGCAGUCUAAAUCCAUUGCUAUUGAUAAUUAUACUGGCGGCUACAACAUUUCUUCCCCUGUUAGAUCGUGAUCAAUGUCCUUGCAGCUAUCCAUAUCUACUUACCUCUACUAUUGAUGAUUAGGCUAUGACGAGUCAAUGUUAAUUUUGGAUGUCGCUUGCAGCACUCUCAUGCAGUAAAUUUCCACUGAUUACUUUCAUCUCCUUGCAGCCCAAGUCAACUUAUGACUAGAAAAAUAUUAGAAUCCUUUUUGGAUUGCAUUAAUAUUUUGCACAAGUUUUUAUUGGGAAUAUUAUUUGUGGGAUUAAACUUGUAAGGUGUAAAACUCGAUGGACCAAACCUUACUUGGAACUUGCAGAGUUAAAACUGAGAGUAGUCAACAACUAUAAUGCAGAAGAUUUAGUUGAAAAUUGAUGCCAUUCAGAUGUCAUGCACCUAGAUAAUAUGUAAAGAACAUGUUCUGUAUUAACUUAUUAUCGCAAAACAGCAGGUGAUUUAUCAUUUAUUUAUCAAACUAUGGAGUUUUUCUUAAUAACUGAAAUAUAAGUCAAUUAUUUUCCAGUAAAAUUGUUUUUGGUUCGGAAAUUUGUCCUAAUGCCGCCAUGUUAUUUUUCUACAUAUCAUGAACUCCAAAGCAAAUUACGCGAUAAACUUGAGAAUGAAAGGCCGACGGAAUACUUGGUGCACAAUAAGUCAACCAAGUUCCUUGAUGUUAAGAAAUUGGCUUAAUUUCUUUUAGGUAGAAUUCUUGUUUUGUGUGGAAGUAACUAGUUUUCUAAUUGAUUUUAGUUACAUAAAAUAGUAACCAAAGAAUAUUCUAUUUAGUUUAGGAUUAAAAGUUAUUUCCUAGUCUAUACAAGUUUAGGAAUUAGAAUUGGUUUCCUAUUGUUAUUUGGUAUUUUUGGCCAAAUAAUGUUAUCUAUAAAUAGGUGGGUUGACAUACUACAAAGGGACACACAAGAGACACACGAGAUACACAAGGGCAUCAUUUAGUCUUAUACAUGGGGUGUGAGGGAGGGUUUUUGGGAGAUGAGAGAUGAUAUACAAGGGUUGGGUUUGGGUUCAAAUUGUAUUCUUGUAUAGGGUUUUCCUUUCAUAACAAAGAACGGGUUUCUCUCCGUGGACGUAGACUCAAUGGUGAAGUCGAACCACGUUAAAUAUUGUGUGUCGUCUAUCUUUUAUGUUUGUAGCUUGUUUCUUAUUAAAUUGUUGUGCACUUGAUAUAUCAAUAGUUGUUUAUUCCGCACUUGAAUCCUAACACUUGAAACUAAUGUUGAGAUGGAGUAAAUAAAGUCAUUAACAACCCUUUAGGUUGAAGGUAAAAUGGGAAGAAAAGGGACCCAAAAGAAAAAAUAAAAUGAAGGGAGUGGAAUUAUAUAUCUAUAGCAUGAACAAAAGUAACAAAUUGAACGUGAGCAUUUAGAUUUUUUCUUAUUCGGUCCAUGUAAACUUUGCCCCUCCAUAAGCUAGUGAGUAAAAAGUCAAAGGACAAAAUUGGUCCAAUAAUAAAAAUGGGGCAUUGUUCCAAGCAGAGGUGCCAAAUUAGUUCAAUCGCAAAAUUAAGGGACAACAUUAGCCUAAAUUAAAGUAGAAGAACAAAAGUGGUUCAGUAAAAAAGUUGGAAGACAAUUUGCAUCAUUUGCCAAAAAAAAAAAAAUCAAAUGAAAGGGGUGUAAAUGUAACAUCUAUUGCAUGAAGAAAGAUAAGAAAUUGAACAUCUCUUGAUGUAUUAAAUCAUGAUGUUAGCAACACCACAACUCUGAAGAUGGAAAAUUCUAUUUAAGCUGAAUUAUUAUUAUUAUUUAAGGUAAGCUAAUUUAUUAUGUCACCAAACUGGAGUUGGAACAGCAAGAAGAGGAACUUUUUUGUGAAUUAUUAAACCAGUACAUUCAGUCAUGUCCAAAUCUGUUCCCUUAGCUCCAUCAGGCAAAUCCCAGUCAAACUUAAGCAUAAGAUUUGCUAAAACAUGUUCAUCUGUAGCCAUCGCGAAAGAGAUUCCAGGACAACCCCUUCUUCCAGCUCCAAAUGGAAUCGAUUGAAAGUCAUGACCUCUGAAAUCAAUGCCAGAAUUCAAGGAUCUCUCAGGCCUAAACUCAUCUGGUUCAUCCCAGAAUGAAGGGUGUCUUCCAAUGGCAAAAGCAUUGGUAAUGAUCAUAGUUCCAGCUGAAAUGUCAAAGUCCAUUACUUUAGCGUCGUCGAUUGCCUGGCGCGGGACCAGUGAGGGUAUCGGAGGAUAUAAACGUAGUGUUUCUUUAAGCACUGAUUUCAAAUACUUCAUCUUUUUCCAAAUCCUCAUCAGUGAUCUCUGGUCUGCCACCAGCAAUUCCUCUCACCUCCGUCUGUAGAUCCUCAUCGCUUUUGGGUGCCUUAAAAGCUCUGUCAUUGCCCAUUCUAGCACGGUAUAGGUAGUUUCCGUUCCACCAGCGACAAUGUCCUAAAGCGAGAAGUAAAAUAAUAAACUUAUAAUUAUCUUGUCUUUCAAUUUUGGAACUGAGAUGCACAUUUCACCAAGCAAAGAUUAAAGGAUUGAAGAUAGAAAAUAGGAAAUUUUAUCUUAGACUAUGCUCAUCAUAACACCAGUAUAUGGAAGUCAUAAAUUGGUCCCCCUGCGUAUUUUUAAAAAUCCCUCAAAGUCCUUUUUUUAAAAAAAUAAAAAAAUAAAUCCCUCACAAGCCAUGUAAAUUUGUUGUUCUACAUAACCUAAUGGGAAAAAAAUUACUAUUAGAAGUUUUAUGCACUAAUGAGUCUAAAGGUAUAUCAGAUAUGUGCAAAAUUUAAAAAUCAAAAUCAUUUAUUCGAAUGUGUCAUCAUCUAAAAUCAUUAGUCAAUGUAACAAAGUUUAAUCCUUAUAUUAUAUGGUGCUAUAAGAGUCUGAUAAAGUACUCCGGUUAAGUGAACAUUGAAAGGAAUCUUCAUUUAUGUGCAGAUUUCAUAGACUAGCCCUGGCUAUUACAGUGUACUACUUGUGGAGAACCAGAAACUUGGUGCUAUUUCGGAAUGGUAGUUUAUAUCCGGUGGCUAUUGUACAGCAUAUCAUUGACACUAUUCGUCAUAUUGGAGCUUCAUGGAGGGGUGUACCAAAAACGUACGCUGAAUGGAGAAUUCCCCUGGAAUUGCAGAAAUUUUGGGAAAAUAUAGUAAAUAGGGAGGGGGUAGAAAAUCGAACAGAUUAUAAAUCCCAACUUGUGAAUAACUCUGAUGAACACCCUCACUUGACUAAAUUAGGAAAAUAGGGACAAAUUGAAUGAACACCCUCACUUGACCGAAUUAGAAAAUUGGGGACAAAUUAAAUGAUCCAAAAAAUGCUGAAAUAUAACCACUUCAAGGAUGAAAAAGGGCCAGAAAUCAUCCCUGCAAGGAGACAAUUAGAACGGUGGUUUUCUUUUAUUUUUCUUUUGGACAAAUUAUACUUUACCCCCAUGUGGUUUAGAGUUUUUGUACAUAACUCCUCUAUGAUUUCAAAAGCUAUACAUAACUCCCUCAUAGUUUUGAUUAAAGUGUCAAAGUGAUAGAAUUUGCAAUCCAUAACGAAGUCAUCUAAAAUGUCAAAAAUACCCCUAUGUAAAGUUGAAAAUUAUUUGUUAAAAAUAGGGGAGUUAUGUGUAUAUUUUGAAAACCAUAAGGGGGUUAUAUGGUAAAAUAUAAAACCCUACGGGGUUAGUGUAUUAUGUAUAUUAUGUUUAUAUAUUUUGAUCAUUUCAACCAUUUUAAUUUUUAAACAAGACUAAUUUCGACAUUUUCAAAGGUUCUAUUACGAAUGAUCAUUUCUAUUGUUUGGAUACUUUAAUCCAAAUCAUGAGGGAGUUAUGCAUAAGUUUUGAAACUAUAGGGUUUUAUGUACAAAAACACUAAACAUAGAGGGGUAAAAUGUAAUUUGUCCUUUUGCCAAAUUUAAAGUUGUGGUUAAGGUGAGGAAUCGUUGGACGAACUUAAGAAUGCAGGGAAACCGGCAGAGAAUUCUAGAAUUUUAGAAAUUCUGGAUGGAGAAAACGAUAGAGUCGUAUGUUUAAGUUAUGGAAUUGCCGCGAAAGUCGCUCAAAAUUACAGCAAUCUCCACCAUUGAUGCUAUGAAAAUUGAUAACUAAUAUUGCUCAAAAUUAUAGCAAUUGCCAUUGAAAAAUUGGACCAAUCAGUUGCCGGAUAACAUCCAAUCAAUUUUGUAUAAUUCAGCAAUCCAAUUCCACUCAUUCACGUCUCGUCUUUAUAGUAGUAAGGAUAUAUAUAUAUGAUGAUUUUGGACCGAUGUGAAAACACAGAAAAUUUUUCAACUCUUGAAUUCAGAUUAACGUUUUGUGGUUGUAGUUCUAUUUCUUUCUUGGAUGAAUAUACUACUUGAUUUUGCAUUUUCUACCUCUGAGUAUUGAUGUUGCAAUUUCGUUAACCUUCUAAUAAAUCCGCCAUUAGAAAUGGCACAACAAAAUCUGAAGGAUCUCUCCUCCAAAAGAUAUCAUCACAUAUGAAUUUUACCCAACUGAGCGCUUAGUACUUAAAACCCAAAUUGAUUAGAUGCUAAUAUUAGCUAUUGACUUGAGUAAUGAAUUGGCAAUACUGCAUAAGAAUACAAACAAAGAAGAUAAAGGAAGGAUAAUGUGAGUGGUCCUUGAGGCCUGCCAUGCAUCUCUCAUCUCAUCAAAAACUUUCCGUCCAAUGUAGAAAUAAUUAGACGAAUAAGGAUUUGGACGGCUAGCUUUCGCUACUCCUAAAUGGUUCACAUUUGAUGCUCGAUCUAAGAAUUUUCAAUGAUCUGAAAACAAAACACCACAUCAUGAUGUUUACCUUUGGCCAAUUGCUUGAUAAACACGUAUACAAUAAGAACUUAUCUUAUUCUUAGCCCUGCUCUUAAAUAUUAUUAACGACUCCGUGUGCUCUAAUUAAGCGAGGCAAAAUAUGCUCGAUCAUUUUCGUUUGGAUUAGCUGUUUUUAGGGGUGUUUUUGAAAAAUUUUAUUGUAGCAGAGUUUUUACAGUAUAUUUUGGGAUAUUUUUAGAAAAUAUUUUGAAAUAUUUAUGAGUAGUAGAGUUUUUAAAAUAUAUUUUGAAAUAUUUUGAAAUAUUUUUUAAACAUUAAAAAAAAUUUAGAAUACUUUUUAGAGUACGUUUUAGAGUAUUUUUUAAAAAUUUUUAUAAUAUUUGAAAAACAAGAGAGCAUAGGGUCUUUGAUUCAAAUGUAUGAUCAUCAACACAUUGCAGACAUAGCCAAAUCGAUCAUUUUCAGUCUUAACUGAUUGUGAUAGGUUAGACUAGGUAUUCUGUGCUUUUGCACUUGAGUCAAAAGGGCUGGAUGUUACAUCAUUUUGGAAUGGGUAAAAAAUAAAAAAGCCCCCUGUGGUAAACCUAAUACACAGAAAAGCCUCCCGUGGUUUCAAAAUAUACAACACGACUCCUCAUACUUUGAACUAAAUUGUAAAGGUGACGGAAUCCGUUAAACUUAACGGAAAUGGUCAAAAUGACCAAAAUACCCUGAUAUAAUUAAGCAAAAGACAGCUCAAAAAAAUCAUUUGUUUUAUUUUCUAAAUAGAGAGAAUUGAGGGUUAAGGGGUAGAAUUGGUAUAUUUGAUAAAAAAUAGGUAUAAAAAUUUUUUUUUAGGUUCCAAUUAGGGUUGUUGGUGAGCCGAGCUACUCGCGAGUAGCUCGCGAGUAGCUCGGUCAACAACUCGACUCGAACUCGGGUUGACCGAGUUCGAGUCGAGUUUCGAGUAACUCGACUCCAAAUCGAGUCGAGUAUCGAGUCCCAUUUUCCGAGCUCGUGGCUCGUCGAGUAGCUCGACGAGCCAGAGUUAAUUAAAUAAAAUAUUUAUAAUUUAAAUAAUAUAUAUUUAUUAUAAUUAUAAAAUGACUAUUAUGGGUAUAAGUUAUAUGAAAUUUACAAUAUUACCUUCUUUAUAAUAAAAUCCUAUAAUGGCAAAAAAGUAAUAACAUAAUUGUAAAAAACACUAAAAAGAAAAAAUGUCUAAAAAAAAAGGAAGAAAAGACUUUCUUCCUUCUCUCAGUUCUCUGUGCCGACUGUGCGACUUUCUUCUCUGUUCGAAGCCUAGCAAAAAAAUUCACUUUACCAAUCUACACCCUCACUCCGUUCGUCGCCGACGCCGUUGCUCGCCGCAUCUGUGAGACUCCAUCGCCAUCGCCAUCGCCUUAACAAGUCCCAAGUCCCAAGUCCCAAAUCGAAGCUGCUCUCUGCCUCUCCGGCCUCCGCCAGUCCGCCGCGCUGUACGUCUCCUGUCGGCUGUGUCCUGCCGUGCUGGUUCAUCGCUGCCGAGUGUCGAAGACGAAGCACCAAGAUCUCACUAGUUCAUCGCUGGUUCAUCACUGCUCAUCUCUGGCUCACUUAGGUAAGUGCUCCUCUGUUUUUGGCUCUGUGUCUCUGGCAUUAAAAUGGGCCAAGAUCGACUAGGAAACUUGUUAUCCUGAAUUGAUAAGGGGACGAAAUCUGAGCUUCCAAUUGCAAACUCUAACUGUUGUAGUAGUUUAGAUUAGGUGUGAUAUAACAUAAGCUUUGUAUUUUAUACACAAGAAGCUCUCUCCAGUUGUGCAGCCUUUAAAAGUUAAGGCCUUGGGGAAAAAUUCCACCUUUUACCCGUUAGAAAGAUUGGCCUCAUGCUUUUGAAUAUACAUGCCGCAUACGUUGAUUGAGCUGAAUGUCUUGGUUUCUGAUCAUUUUUGGGCUAGUUAUUGCUUUAAUUUGAGUGAGAAUCCGGCAAAAUUUUAAUGCCCAUUUACUGUUCGACAAAAUGCUUGAUUGAAAGUUUUAGUUGAAGGGUGAUUGGUCUGCAUUUUUGCACAUGAAAAAUACUGGCCAAGUCGGCCAGUUCACUUCCUCGCAUCUAAGAAUUUUUGGUGUGUUGAUGUCUUACAUUUUUCUGCUCCUUAUGCUUCCGGUCGAGUGAAUUCGAAUUGAUGUUAUGAGAGGGAGUGUUGUGAGUCUCAUUGUUUGUUGGAAUGGUUAGAAAUUGAAGCCAGAUUUCUGGUUGCUGUCUUGCUGAAUGGUAAUUGAUAUUUGCUCGUUGGAGAAGAUGAUCACUUGUCCAAAAUUGCAAUUUCAGUCCCUCCGUUUUCUUUUUGUUUAGUGAUUUGGUCCUGUCUUUUCCUGAGCUUCAUAUUUGCCUCCAACACCAUCAUAAGUCCCUUAAUUAGGUCCCUGCUUUGUUGCAUUUUAAUCCCUCAAGUCCCCCUUGUUCACCGUAGCCUCAAAAUUUGGAAAAAUCAAAUCCAUUUUGCCUUUCUUGAGCUUAAUCCUAUGUUUGCCUAUUUUAUAUGACUUUUUGGGAUAAAUUAAUUCUUGACUUUAGAUCAUAAUUGUGGCUUAAUAUUUUUUGUUAAUUUGUUUAUGUUAUUGGGUUUAGUAUUAUGGUUUAAGUUUUUUGGGUAAUUAUAUUUGAUUAGGCUUGUAAAAAUUCUUUUUCUUUUUCUGCUCCUUCUUAGACCACACUUUGCUGUUUUAAGUUAAUUUAUUCUUUUGGGAAGUUAUGUAACUUUUUUUGUGUUUUUACCUCUAUGCUUUUUGUAGGAAGCCAAGACAAUCAAACAAUUCGACUUGCCAAAGCUUUGAAGAUUUAUGUUUCUAAAUCUAGAUUAGCUCAUUAUUUGGACCUUGUUAAUUUAUGAGACGUAACUUAUUAUGUAUUGUGGAGUAUGUUUAUAUUUUAAAGCCUUUUUCUUUCAUUUGCCGAAUGUAUGACUAUUGUGUGAGCAGGCUGGCCGCUGGUUAAUGACAUGUUAAUGUGUAGGAUAAAUGUCUAGAAAACUUGUUUUUUGAGUGUGUCGUGUGUGGUAUAAGGUUCAGAGGUUUUGCUUGUGGGUUCAAUUCUUUUGCUCUUUCCUCUGUUUAAAAUGACAGCCUGGAAAGAGCCGUUGCAAUUUGCUGUAAAAGGCUCCAGCCUCUGGGAUUGCAUUUUAAUGGUGGUAUUGAGGUCAUCUUUGCUGGGUCAGGUUAGUGACAAGAGUUUUCAACUUCAUUCUUCUAUAUCCUGUCCAAACACUUGUAAUUCUGCUGGACUAUGGUCCAUUUCUGAACCAGGAACAUAUUUUUCUGACAUGUUCUUGUUUAAAGCAGCUUUCUUUAGUUAGUAAUUAGUGAUAUUUGUGGGGAAAAGGAAUUUCUGGAUAGAUCUUGGCAUUGGUUUCUGAAUUGAGCUUGAGGUAGUUGGGAUAUUGUGGCUGUUUGAGAUAAUUGUUUGUCUCUCAAUUUGGUGGCUCAGCUCAUGUUUUGCUGAGUUUUGAAAUUUUGUGGGGAAUUUUGGUUAGUUUGGGUACUUUUGCAGCACACUUAGGAACUAUGAUCCGAGGAAUUAGAAUCAUCCAUAUUUUCUGCUCUUGUGGGCACCUUACCAUUGGUGGGUAAUUGCUGAAUUUGAAAGUUUCAUGUCAAGCAAUCCAGCAAGUGGGAAUUUCCCUUUUUUCUUCUCUAUUCUUCUUUGUGGUGAAUCUGAUUUUUAGGGGUGUUAAAGAUGCUAACUGUGGGAGGUAGAAUGUGGAUACUUUUAGUUGUAUUUGUAUUGAUGAAUCAUGGAUUUUAUGCCUCAUUUACUCCAGCUGAUAGCUACUUGCUUGCCUUUGAUUCUUCCCAAAACAUCACCUUUGAUCUGUUUUUUUCGUCAAAUCGAGUCAAAAAGCUUGAUAAGACUCGACUUGAUAAGGCUCGAUUAAAGAUCGAGCCUUAUCGAGUCGAGUCUCGAGCCUGAGGAAAUUCUUCGAGUCGAUCUUCGAGUAUCGAUUUUCUUGGCUCGAUCGAGCUCGAGUCGAGCUCGAGCCUCUGUGUGUAUGAGUCGAGUCGAGCUCGAGUAUAGUGAUACUCGAGCUCGACUCGGCUCGAUUACAUCCCUAGUUCCAAUAAGUCAUUUCCGUUAAGUUUAACGGAUUCCGUCACUUUUACAAUUUAGUUCAAAGCAUGAGAUGUCGUAUUGUAUAUUUUGAAACUAUAGGGGGCUUUUCUGUGUAUUAGGCUUACCACAGGGGGCUUUUUUAUUUUUAACCCUUUUGGAAUUAUUGAAUUAGUUUAUCAAUAGCAUAAAGUGGUGAUCCAGAAUAAUUAGCUGUUGAUUCUUUUUAAGAUUGAAUAUUACACAAAUAUAUCACAAUAAUUGCGCAACGGAUCUUCUGUCCUACACUCUGUGCCACUUUUUAUUAUAUUGAUAUUUCUCCUGUAUAAACAUCACGUUUUAGUUCUUUUUUGCUUCACCUACUUCCAAAAUAUAUACACAAAAUAUAUGUAAGACAUUUUUAUUUUAUUUUGCUUCGCCUACUUCCCUCCUGCCCAAUGCAAAAAAUUUACUUAAUAUCCGAAUUCUUCACACCCAUUUCUGAUAUGUUAUCAUGCUCAUCUAGGUGUCCAGCCAAACUUGAUGUGCCUCAAAUAUACGUCGUUAACUUUUAAAAUAAAAACAGCCAUAUUUUUACAAAAGAAAAUUGAAAUUGUUCAAAUCGUGCCAAAUUAGUUGUUUUGAUUUCUUGUCAAGAGAUGUAAAAUAAGCUAUCUUUAGAUUUUGUUCCAAAUGUCUAGCAGCCAAAAAGGAUGCCACGAACAAAAAGCUUCAGCAAUUAUCUUAGAAAGCAGUCUUCUGCCCUCCAUGGAGCUGAAUUCCAAACUUCAGCCGCCAAAAUUAAUGAUAUUGCUUCUUGGUUGGAUUUGAUUAUCAUGUUGUGAUUGUAGUCUUGUCCCUUGGCAAGUUCAAAUUUUCAAUUUUCUGACAGCUAACAAGAUUGUUUAAAUCGAUUUUAUAAGGGAUUAUUUCAUAAUGCUUUGCAUAAUAGAUUGCUGUCGUGGCAUUACUCUAAUCCAUCCCAUCACAAGUUAUAAUUACUAUUGCACUAUUCACGAUAACAAGUUUGGUGCCUCCUCAUUUUUUCAGUUCAAAUCUGGUCAGAGAUUAGACCUUCUAUUGCACAGUGCAAUUGCAGCCCUUCUCAGGAAUCAAUCCAACAUUUGUAUCAAGACAAGAAUACAGAAUCUGCAGCAUUCGGCCAUGUGAAGAAUUCAAGAAAGUGGAGAUGGAAUAACAAGAAGAGGAAUUUUGCGACGAACUGCAACGCCAGGGCAUUCUGUCAUAUCCAACUCUUUUCCCUGUGCACCAUCAGGAAAUUGCCAAUCAAACUUGCUUACCAAAUUUGCCAACACAAGUUCAUUGCUGGCAACAGCAAAAGCGAUUCCAGGACAACCCCUCCUACCAGCACCAAAUGGGAUUAACUGGAAAUCAUGCCCUUUGAAAUCUAUAGACGAAUCCAUAAAUCUCUCUGGCAUAAAGUUCACAGGUUCAUCCCAAUAUGCAGGAUCUCUACCUAUUGCCCAAACAUUGAUGAUCACCAUUGUACCAGCUGCAAUAUCAUAUCCCAUUAUUUUGACAUCUUCUCUUGCUUCUCUAGGAACCAGCAACGGAAUUGGAGGAUGUAAGCGAAGAGUUUCCUUGAUCACUGCUUUCAAAUAAUGCAUCUCGGCCAAGUCAUCCUCGGAUAUCUGUUCUUUGCCACCAACAACCGCUCUUAUUUCAGUUUGCAAUUUCUUUAGGAUAAUGGGGUGUCUUAAGAUCUCUGCCAUUGCCCAUUCUGCAACUGUAGCCGUGGUAUCAGUUCCAGCAGAGAAUACAUCCUACAGUCAAAAAGAUAUACACUUAAAAUCAAUGAUUUGUUGAUUGUCCGUGAGAAUGAUCAGAGAUGACGCUUAAUGAAGCUUAAUGAUUUUAUAUUCAGAAAAAAUGAUUUUAUAGAAGCUUAAUGAUUUUAUACUCAGAAAAUGAAGCUUAAUGAUUUUAUUUUCACUGCGCAGAGAAAAUUGUGCUUACCAAUAUUAUAGCUUUGACGCUGUCCCUGUCCAUGGUUACACCCGUUGCGUUAUCUUUAUAGAUUUUCAGCAAAAUAUCAAGAAAGUCUUCCCUGCUUUCACCAUCAAUCGUCUCACCACUUGGCCUGCAGGAAUAUUUUUCCACUGCACCAUCCAACCUUUCUUGGACCACGCCCUCCAAGAACUCAUCUACUUCUCUAGCAACGCGAUCCACUCUGGCAUCGUAACCAUUAACUCGAUUAAUCCAGCUGAGACAGGGCACAGAUUUGACUAAAAUUCCUCCGUUCAGUAACUCCAAGAAUUCGCCCAACAGCAGCUUGAAUUUCUUUCCAGUUUCCCCUGCACCGUAUUUCCUCCCAAAAGCCGAUCUGCAUACAAUAUCAUUAGUCAGCGAAACAAACAUUUCGCUCAAAUUCACAGGUGUUGAAUCCAAAGAAGCGUCUUUAAUCUUCUGCAUCAUAAUCGACGUUUCCUCUUCCCUUAUAUUACGAAACGCCUGAACUUUUUUGUUGCUCAGGAGCUGAAGAACACAAAUACUCUUUAACUGUCUCCAAUACUCGCCAUAGGGUGCUACCGAUAUAUCCUUCAUGUUAUAGAGAAGUUUAUUAGCUGUGCUCGAAAAUGGCCUAUCAGAGAAAAUCAAAUCGUGGGUUUUCAUGAUUAGGCUAGCUCCAUCAGCUGAUGAAACGACAACCGUGGGAACACUACCAAAUUUGAGAAACAUGAUUGGACCAUAUUUUUGGGCUAAGGAGUGGAGAGGAUAGUGAAGCAGUGAGCUUAGCUGAUGAAGAUUUCCAAUAAUCGGAAGUCCUGGUGGCGAUGGUGGCUGAUUCUUUCUCGAAUUUGAAACUAAUUUGAAGAGAAACCACAGUAAGAUUAAAGGAAAAAGCGAAAAAAAGAUUGGAUGAAACAUAUAUACAUCAAUCUUUAGCUCCGAUACCAAGCCUGAUAAGCUUGCCAUUUGCUUUAAUCUCCCCUGUAUUUUGCUCAGGCUACAAGACUCUGAUUUCAGACAAAAAAUUGGAAAACAAGUAUGGACAAGUAUGGACAAGCUUGGCCACUAGCCAUUUGGUCCAGUGGCCAUCACCAUAAAAAGGUGAUGAUGGAGGUGCCAUCACCAUAAAAAGGUGAUGAUGGAGGUCAGGGGUUCAAUCCCUGCCUCCCACAAAUUUGCCACAUUUGUGGCGGUCUUAAUUGACCUUCAUCGAUGGAGUCUGUACUCACAUCGAACCCCAUCCUCUUCCCCUUAGACUAGGCUCGAACCCCAUCCUCUUCCCCUUAGACUAGGCUAGAUUAGGUUAUAGAACAUCUAUCGUUGCGACAAAAAAAAAAAAAAAAGUAUGGACAAGCUUGUGUCAGUUGGCAGGCGUGUGGUAUCUAUAUGGAUAGACUUGCAGAAAAAUGACAAAAGAGGAUGGAAAAAUAAGGACAAAUCUAUAAGGACAAAAUUACACUUUACCCCCUUAUAGUUUAGUAUUUUUGUAUAUAACCCCCCUAUAGUUUCAAAAAUUAUAUAUAACCCCUCAUGGUUUGGAUUAAAGUGUUAAAAUGACGAAAAUGAUCAUUCGUAAUGAAACUUUUUAAAAUAUCAAAAUCACCCUUGUUUAAAAAUUAAAAUGGUUGAAGUAAACCAAAAUAUAAAACAUAAUAUACAUAACACACUAACUCCGCAUGGUUUUAUAUUUAUCAUAUAACCCCCUUAUAGUUUAAUAUUUUAUCAUAUAAUCCCCUUAAAAUUUUUAAAAUAUACACAUAACCCUCCUGUGGUUAAUAAAUACUUUUCAACUUUAUAUAGGGGUAUUUUGACAUUUUAUAUGAAUCCGUUAUGAUAUUUUAAUUCAAAUCAUGAGGAGAUUAUAUAUAACUUUUGAAAUUGUAGAGGGUUAUGUACAAAAAUACUAAACCACAAGGAAUAAAAUGUAAUUGCCCGAAAAAAUAAGGACAAAUCGAAACCUCUUACAACAUGAGAACAUAUGAGAACAACAAGGACUGGUUUUUUUUUUUUUUUUUUUACUACGUGCAUCGAACUAAAGAAUUUCAAACAAAACUACAACUUAAAAUUUAUAACUCUGGGAUAGUAAAAAAAAGGGAGAGAAGCUAAAACAAUUUCACCUGAGUUUUUUAUAUUUUUAUUUCUUGAUUAGCUGUUUGUUUUAUUGAAUCUUGCUCGAUUCCCUUCACAAAUGAAAAAUAUGAUUAAACAACAACUGCAUUAUAAUCAAAAUAAUAGUACAACCCAAUACUAAAGAAUGGAAAUUAACAUACAAAAUGAAUCCAUAUGUCCAUAAUCCAAAAUGAAUUUGGCAAAUAGAGGAACAAAAAUAAAACCACAAUUAUAGGGUAAAAAAGAGGAAAAUAAUUAAUUCUUCCGCAUUUCAGCUUCACGAACAUAAUUUGGCGACGGAAAAACAAAGGGUAAAACAAUACUAUUGGUCCAAAAAGUAAACACCGCGGAUCGUAAGCCCCGUUCUGUUAGCCUCAAUGGACCAAGUGAAUAACUGUUUUUCGGCCAAGGUACUUCUGGACAAGAGUCACAGGGCUCCACACGCGUCUCCGCCCAUCACAUGAAUGUGAUAGCCUCCCAAGUCCAAGAAGUUUGCUUGUUUCCAAGCCUGUAUUUCUAUAGUAAAUGGCCCGAGGACUUUGCAGAGCCUGGCACCACAUAUGUGUUGACCUUGACCCGCUCACUUCGUCCGCGGUGCAAUGCUUCGCUGGACUUCAAAACAUAAAUUAAACAUGGGCAUACUCUUAAGAAUUCACGAUGUGGGCUCUGUUUUCAAACUCGGACCGGACCGGCCGGUCGAACCGGUUGAACCGGGAACCGGCCAGGUAGCCGGUCCGAGUCACAUUAGAAAACCGGAAAUUUAAAACCCGGUCAAAGCCGGUCAAAAACCGGGUUUGACCGGGUUUGACCGGGAAAAAACCGGUUUUUCCGGUUCAACAGUAUUUUUUUAAAAAAAAAAAUUCAAACUUUUUAAUAUUAUGUUUUGACCCCCUAAAUUGUUAAAACUUAUUGAUAUACCUCAAAUAUUUGAUACUUUAUAAAUAUUGUCCUAAAAUUUGAUGUUAUUUUUCAAUUAAAUUCAUAAUUUUAAUUCUAAACUUGUUAAUAUUUAUUAAAUAAUAUAAAUUGCUACUUGAUUGUUCUAAUUUCUUUGUAUUUUCUUGUUAAAUAUAUUUGAAACAUCAAAUAUAUAUGAAUAUGCCUUUAUUAAUAUCAAUAUAUUAUUAGAUAUUAUAUAUAUAACAUUUUAAUUUUAAAAUAAUUUUUAUUUAUGACGUCAUCCGGUUCGACCCCUAUCGACCCCCGGUCGAACCCAUUGACCCCUGACCCCUGACCUCGGCCGAGUCGCUAUCCGGUCCGGUUCUGAAAACAUAGGAUGUGGGAGGAGUUAAUUUCUACUCUUUAGCUAUUGAGCUAGCUAGGUAAUGGAUUCGAAAUCCCUUGCCUGCAUUUCUCAUCCAGAAUUUUUUGAAAUUUUUUCGCAAGUAAUUUUGUUCCCCUCAAGUUUUUAAUAGAUUAAUCGCGUUGAUCCCCACACUAGGCAAAACGUUAAGGUAGAGAAGUAAAAGAGCAGGGAAAACCGGUCUUCUCAUUAAAUUAUUCUAGCAGAAAUUUAAAGAUUGAAGAAUCCGAGGUCCGACGUGAUUGAACUUUCCACUAAAUGCCAAGACAUUGUGGAUGUUGCAAGUGUGCUAAGGAGGAGCAAAGUUUAGGUACUUCCGGAAUGGAUUAUUAUCACUUUACCUCCUUAAAACUAUAUCACUAUUAUUAAUUUACCUCCUAACAUUAUCUUUUAAUCACUUCACUUCUAUAGGUAAUUCAAUUCAACAUGUUAACAAAUUCUGAACAAAAAUACAUUUUUAUUUUAUAGUAUUAUUGCAUUAUUAUUAUCACUUUAUCUCUUGAAAUUAUAUUGAUACAGUCACUUUAAUAUUAUAUAUUUUAUCGAAUUAAGAUUUUUUUGGAUUUGCAGAAUUUUUGUGAAGAGUACACAUGCUUUGGCAUAAUUAGCACAUGCGUUUGGAAGUCGAACGGGUUGGAUCAAGAAUUGACACAAGUAAUUUGUUUAAUUAAUUUUUUUUUUUUUUUUGUAAAUAAGAGAUAUUGAAUUCAUGGCAUUCUACUUAUAAUUUCUCCCAUCUUAUCAUCCAACUCAAUCUUUCCCUCAAAUUAAACUUAUUAGAUAAAUUGUUGAUUAAACUUGCCAUCAAGUUCGAGCAAUAAAAGCGCAAAGCCACCCACAUCCACUUAUUUUUUUCAUGAGAUUUGGGUCGGACAAUCAAUUGGUUCUUCGUUCAAUCAGUUGAACCGGUCCUUCCAGUCCAAUUUUCAAAACACACCGCCUUCAUUCAUGUUCAUGUCCUCUGGUUUCCCUCCAUCAGGCAAUGCAACAUCAUACGUGCCCAAACAUGUUGCUCAAAUGAAGUCAUUAAUGGCAAUGCAAAAGGUCAUUAACGGCCACUAACUACCAAAUAGAAUUGAUCCAAAGCUGAACGUCGAAAAUCAACAUCAAAUGUGGAGAACCUUGCCCUGGAAUUCUUGCUGCUUUUCUCCUCAAUAAUGGAUUUUGCCAACUGCCCAAUAAUUCACAAAUAUUAAUUACAUGGUACGGCUGCAACAGGUCAUGGCCACAACGGAUCUUCUAUCCCACACUCUAUGCCACUCUCUGUCCCACUUUUUAUUAUAUUGCUAUUUCUUCUACAUAAAGAUCAUAUUUUAGUUCUUUUUUGUUUCCUUAAAAUUAAUAACUAUUAAUUGAGUAAUACACAAAAUUUAACAAACUCAAAAAAUUAAAAUGCAUAAAAAAUGAGAUUUUUUAUGAAUUUUUUGCUAUAUUUUUUAAUUUUCUAUUAUAUAUUACUUUUUUUAAGCUGUUGUAUUUAUUUUUCACUCAAUUAAUAGUUAUUAAAUUUUAAGGAAGUAAAAGAACUAAAACAUAUGUUUAUAUAGGAGAAAUAGCAAUAUAAUAAAAAGUGGGAUAGAGAGUGACAUAGAAUGUGCGACAGAAGAUCCGUUGUGGGUCAAGGCCCUUUUCGUUGAUGCUUGGAGCCAAGUUUGACAGGAACCACUAAUGGUGUAGGAACAUGAGCCAUAAAAACGUGGCCCCGUUUGGAUUGAGAUUUUUCUCAGAAAAAUUGUUACGUUUUCCGUGAACACAUUUUUCUAUCACUUUUUUAUCUCAUAUAUAUCAAAUCGCUACAGUAAUUUUUUUACAAAAAAUCCAGAAAAAUACAAUUUAAACGGGGCCAUUUUUCCGUUAUUCAUUUAUAACCCAUAUCAAAAGUCGGCAGCACUGGAUCCAAAGUGGAGCAACUUAAUUAUUAUUAUUAUCAUUAAUCUUUUGUCUCAUAGCUUUUCUAUACUAUUUUGCAAGCCUCUCUCAUGCAAAUGAUUUCAAUUGUACAAUAUAGAAAUUCAAUAUUUUGACCAAAUCCCUAGUCAUUAAGAGUAGGCAUUUAUAAGGAGUACAAGGGCAGAACAAUGGCAAACCGAAGGCACUCAACCUGUACAUAGGUGGUUCUAAGCUUCCUAUGUGUUGACCUACUUGAUAAGUUAUUUAGAUCACUCAAUUGUUUGUUCUAACCAUACUUGUACAUGACAUCAAGUAAACAUAAAACGAUGGAAAUAUGAGAACUUUUAUGACUAGCGUGAACUUCCACUAGAAAUAAGACACAAAAUAAAAAAGAAAGCAUAUGAAUACGAAGCCAUUAACAAAGAUAUGGAGUGGCAAUAGCAUGUAGAGGAUGUUUUCUGUGAACUGUGAUACCAGAUGCUUCAGUCAUGUCCAGAUCCUCUGGCUUCAUUCCAUCAGGCAAUGCAAAAUUAAAUUUGUUGACCAAUUUUGCCAAUGCAAGUUCAUUUACGGAUAUGGCGAAGUUGAUACCCGGGCAAACCCUUCGUCCAGAACCAAAAGGAAUUAACUCAAAGUUAAGACCUCGAAAAUCUAUUUUGGAAUUCAAAAACCUCUCAGGUUGAAAUUCCUCAGGGUUCUCCCAUAGAAUGGGGUCUCUUGCAAUUGCACUAGCAUUCACCAACACUAGUGUGCCUGCUGGUAUAUCACACCCCAUUAUUUUGAUGUCUCGAGUUGAUUCUCGAGGAACCAGUAAUGGAGCAGGAACAUGAAAUCGUAGAGUUUCUUUAAUCACUGCUUUUAAGUAUCUCAUCUUCUCCAAAUCAUCUUGAGUUAUUUCUGGUUUUCCCUGGGUCAGUUCUCUUACCUCAGCCUGUAAUUUCUGCAAGGUUAUAGGUUUCUUUAGCAGUUCUGACAUUGCCCAUUCCAUAACUGACUGUGUUGUGUCAGUUCCAUCGCCAAACAUGUUCUGCAUGACGGAAUGAAAGAAAGUGUUGCUUUAGAACAUGCAUAGAUGCGCCUUUUUUUUUAAUCUAAAUUUCCAAUUUCAAAAAAAAUUGGCACGUUUGCACCCAAGCAAUAAAUUUGUAUCAUACCUUUCCAAGGAAAAAGAAAAAUGAAGACAAAUUAACAAUAUUCAUACUAUCGCAAUAAGCGUUUAAUUACCACAUACAAGACGAAACAUUAUGUUACUUUUCCCUCUAAAAUGUUGAUUAUUAUUGCUCAUUUUUCCUCCAAAAUCUGCAGUUCUGGUAUGCAAUCCAAUUUUAGAAACUCAAUCGUGAAGUGCAAAAGCUGAAGAUUUACGUAGUAGAGUUGAACUUGUCAAAAGAUUAAUAGGUUUAGGUACAUGUAAAUUUAAAAGUUACCAUGUUAUACAUUUAUUUCAGUCAGAAGUUUAAUGCAUGUCAAGUUUUUUGCAUCACUGGACAGAUAACAAAUCCUUAAACCUUAUCGUUUUGGAAACAUUAAAUGGUCUCAAGUUUAAGUGCAUAAAGUUCGGUUAACCCAAGCAACCAUUGAGGAUUUUUUUUUUUUUUGAAAAUUUUUUACAAGAGAAGGUAUUCAAAUGCAAGGGAUGAAUUUUUCUUUUAAUCUGAUAACAAGGGAAGGUAUUCAAAUAUAAGGGACGAAAAUGAGUGUGAUUACAUACAUUCAUAGUAAUUUUGAUAUAAAUUAAAUAUACUAAAGAGUGUAUAUAUAUAGAGUUGUGUGGUAAUUUUAGAAUUUUUAUAGUGAGUCAACCCUUUUUGUAUGUUUAUUUAAUAUCCUUACCUCUUGUUUGGUAUGCAGUAAUGUCCAAAAUAAUAAGGUCUUCUACCCAAAAUGGCAGGGAUAAAUAUUUAUCAUUAUUCAUUCUUCAAUAUUUAGUGUGAUCAAUAUUUAGAUGUUAGAAUAGAAUACAAUUAAUACAUAUUUGACUUAAUUAUCCUAGAUAUGUUUAUGACUUUUAUUUUUUGUUCUAGUAUGUUAAUCUUUUGUUUACAUGGAAUUCGCUCAUUUUUUGCUUCAGAAUCUUUUGUUUACAUGGAAUUUCUACUAUGUAAUCUUUUGUUUUCAUUUUUUUAUGAAAUUCAAAAAAAAAAAAAUUCCAUACAACUGUUGGACAGAAUCAGGUCAAACCUGAUGAAUCCGAAAAGAAAACAAGCCGAAUUUAGGUCACCCACGGGUUGACCUAUUAACCUGUUUAUGAAUUAAAAAUAAUUUAAUAAAUAUAAAAAAAUUUUAUCCAUCUAAACUAAGUUAUUCUUUUUUUUCCAAGGUAUUAACCACUUAAUCCUAAAUAAAUUUGUUAAACUUGUGUGAAUCAUUAUGUUUGGACAAAUGAUGUAUUACAUUAUUUUCUAAUUUUAUAGGGUCUUAAUUUAUUUUAGAUCUGGUUUGGGAUAAAAACACUUUUACGGUAUUUUAAUUUAUUUCAGAUCUGGUUUGAAAUUGUUUUAUCGAGAUUUUUAUUACUUCAUUAUGCAAUUAGUCUUGUGAGAAAUUAGUUCUGUUAAAAACUACAAUGGUAAAUUAGUAAAUUGAAAUUAUGUUUCGGGUCAUUCAGGUGAUCCGCCAACCCGAAAAUUUCGGAUUCAGGUCAAAUAUUCUAACCCGUUGUGAGUUGACGGAUUGUGUUCGGGUCAGCGGAUUGUCUAUUGUACAUGGGUCUCAACCCGACCCGUCUACCCAUAUCUGACCCAACUGCCAUUCACAAGAUUUUAUGUUAAAGCAAGAAAAAAAAUAAAAAAAAUGAGUCAAACUCAAACAUAAACCGAUCAAACCGGACAAACCUGGUAAAACUCCAACUGUUGAACAGGCUAGCCACUAGAAAUUUUUUCCCUUUAUAUAAUUGGUAUUAUUCAAAUUUUCUAAUUAUAACUAAAAUGAGAAAACAUUUAAUUGAAUUAGUGGUUGAACCAUGAAGGCAUGAACAAAAAGCUCAUCCGGUUCAUUCAACCAUCCGAGUUUAAUAAUAUUGAAUUCAGUAAACCUUACAAACCAAAUAGAUUUUGAUCUUGCACAUCGGAGUAAAGGAGGAGGAUGCCAUUUACUAAGUUGUCAUGUCCAAGUCAACUAAACUAAAAACAUUUGUAUGACAGUACCAAACAAAAUCCAAACCUUCCAGCCCAGUGCAAGUCACUACCUUCAAAACUAGUACUAGAUGAUUUAUUACUAAUAAACAAAAUUCUUUUCAGAGUUGAAACUAAUUAUAAAUUCUCAUAGUGCGAUGCAAUUAAAGAGAUGGAGAGAGAUCUAAUUUACCAGGAUGAUGGCUUUCAUAUCAUCACGGCCAAAAGCGAAGCCGAUAGUUCUUUCCUUAUUAACCUCGAUCAGAAUGUCCACAAAGUCUAGGCAUCUUGCCUCAACGGAAUGGUCAUUUUCAGCCUCACCUUUCCUCUUAUUUAUGUGCUCUUCUAUCACACCCUCAAGAAAUUCAUCAAUCAGCUUAACAAAUUUCUCCACUUUCAAGUCCAAACCAUUGAAACGAUUAACCCAUGAAAGCCAAGGAAUGUAGUCUCCUACAUCAAAAACACCCAUUAACUCAACAAAAACCCUCAAAUUUUCCAUAAUUUUCCUCCCUUUUUCUUCCUCACUAUACUUCCUCCCCAGGGCAACCCUACAAAUUAUAUCAUUUGUGAGAGUUACAAAUAUUUCAGUUAAGUUUACAGGUGAAGAAGAACACAUCUGACUGAUCUUUUCGAUCAUGAGUGAAGUCUCUUCUUCUCUAACAUGCUGAUAUGACUGAACCCUUUUGUUACUCAAAAGAUGCAGCACACAAAUGCUUUUGGCUUGUCUCCAAUAGUCACCAUACGGUGUAAAUACUACGUCCUUACUUCCGUAGAAUAGUCUGUCUUUAACGCUCGAUUUAGGCCUGUUUGAAAAAACCAGAUCAUGGGUUUUCAUGAUCUGGCUAGCUGCAUCAGCGGAAGAGGCUACCAGCACUGGCUUGCUUCCAAAAUGAAGUAGCAUGAGUGGGCCAUAUUUUCUUGACAAUGAUUGGAGGGAUCUGUGCGGAAGCAAGCCAAGCUGGUGAAUAUUUCCAAUUAUUGGGAGCUUUGGUGGAGAUGGUGGUAGCUUUGUUUGGGGUUUAGAAACAGCAUGGAACCAUUUCAAAAGGGCUAGAAGGAAUACAACUGAGGAAACUGAGAAAAAUAAAAGAUCAAAAGAGAACGCCAUGGUCUAUAUGAUCUUGGGUUUGCCUAUUAAUGGGCUACUCUUCUUAUAUAAGAUUACAUACUGCUUUUAGAAUUGAAAUCCCAAUAAUACACCAGACAACAUUAGGAUGAUUUAAGCCGCGCGGUAUUGCAUAUAGGAGGGAUGAAUUAGAUAGUGCAGAUAAAGAGAGUGUAGGUGAGAGGUUUUAAAUUUAAAAUUUUUAUCUAAACUUAAAAGAAAAAAGGGGCCCACAUGUUACACAGGACAAAAUUAAUUGAUUGGUCUCUGAUUUAUCUUUUGGAGCUAUGGUUUUUUUGUCUGAUUUAUAUUAUUGGUCUCUGAUUUAUCUUUCCCAACGCUCUUGGACCUAUGGUAUUGGAAUCAUGGAGAAAACUCCUUCGUGAAAAAAUAACCAUUCACAUUUUGCAAAAUUUGAUUCCAAGAAAUAGGAAAAAGACGUUUAGCAUAGCAUAUCUUUUUCUCCUUGGAUGAAGAAAGCCGGAACAUCGAUUAUUCCCUUUCGGCCAUAGUCCACAGCCGGCAGUUGAUUCUCCUUGUUGCCACGCACGUCUUAUCAAAUUAUGUAACAAAAUUUCAACGGUUAGGUACAGAAAUAGGUAACUCCGUCUAGGUUGCCACAAUCAAUUAUAGCUAUCAUUUUGUGUCUUUGAAGAAAAUUUGACAUGCAAUUUUCGUAUUUUCAAGUUUGAACUAAUGUUUGCCAAUCCUAAGACUUACAAGUCUUGGAAAGUUGGGAGGUCAAGGGUUCAACCCUUACCUCCUGUUAAAUUUGCCACUUAAUUGUAACUGUCACUUUCAGGUGGCUUUCUUCGACGGAGUUUCUUGUCGAUUCCUCCUCCCCUUAGACUAAAUUAGAGUAGGUUAUACGACUAUUAUCGUUGCGACAAAAAAAAAAGUUUGAACUAAUGUUUAAUAGUAUAAAUGCACCAUAUGCUUGUGACUUGUGAGUUUGGAUUUUCUUUCGGAAUCUUGAGGAACUAAUAUUUGGAAAUUUUAUUAAUUAACUUUUUCUACCAAGGCACGAUAUUCUUCAACUCUAGAAAUAUUCGAAUAUAAAGUAUUACCUCGUUUGACAAAAAAAAAAAAAAAAAAAAAGAGUAUAGUGUAUUACCUCAUGAAAUGUAUUACCAUGAGCUGAUUAAGCUGUAAUUGGUUUAUGUUCAUAAUACUGGCUUCUGUAGGUGAGUGUGAUGGGACCAUCACAGAUCAAACCACGUGAUUUGAAGAUUAUGAGUUUUAUCUAUAGUAAAUUUGGCAAUUGUUACGCCUUUCAAAAACUAAUGAUUAGUCUAACUCAUUGGAUAAUCAAAAGAUUUUGCUUUACUUGGUUUUAUUUGUUAUACAAUAAAAUUUCUGCUCCAAAACGCUAUAUAUAGCAUUUGAAGCUAUGCUAAGAUGGAAUAGCCCCAUGGCACUCUCUCUGCACUCGUAAUAUCAUAGAGUAAUCAAAUCAUCAAACCAUUCAUAGUUUGCAUAAUAGCCCCCAAGAAACAGGAAAAAAAUGGUUUUGCUGAUAAAAGUAGGUCCUUGACGCAAUUAUGCACUGCAACAUCUUAUCAAAUGAAAGAAGUACAGUUUUCCAAAAUCAAUCAUAGGGAAUUUGAACUGUUAUUCCUUCGAAACGAGGGAUUUAAUUACAAUUUUCUGUUGUUUCAAAUUUUCAACUGUUAGAUACAGAAAGCAUCCUUCUCUCUGAUGUUCCCAAAUUGAUGCAAAUUCUACAUCCAACUCAGAGUUAUCCUGCAGCUGAACUGUUGGAUAGGCAUAAUAAGAGAUAACUCAGUAUACAAACCUUUUUUAAUUAUUGAUCAGUAGCUUAAAUACAAUUUGCCAACACUAGAUAUUUGCUGUCUGGUUAUUUGGAGAAUAGAUCAGUAUAAGGUCCACAUUUAUACUUGAAAAGAUAGGUAAAGAAGGCCUCUAACUUGUUUACCAGUUUUGCCAAUGCAAGCUUGUUGACAGCCACAACAAAGGUAGUACCAGGGCAACCCCUGCGUCCAGCACCAAAUGGAAUUAACUCAGAGUUAAAACCUCUCUGGCUGAAAUUCUGCAGGCUGAAUCCAAGCAAUGGAUCUCGUGCAAUUGCCCAAGCAUUUACCAUUACUGCUGCACCUGCUGGUAUAUCAUACCCCAUUAUCCUAACGUGUUUAGUUGAUUCUCGACGAACGAAAUAAUGAGAUUGAAGUAUGAAGUCGUAAAGUCUCCUUGAACACUGCUUUCAAGUACUGCAUUUUGUCUAAAUCAUCUUCACUGAUUUCUGAUUUUCCUUCAGUUAUUUGUCUUACCUCAGUUUGCAAUUUCUCCAGGAUUUUGGGGUGCCUCAGAAGUUCAGUCAUUGGCCACUCCAUAUUGCAUCAGUCCUGCACCAAACACGUCCUAAUCAUGGGAUUUGAAAAAGAAAAAGGAAAUGCUGUUUUAUUGAAAAAAAUGACAUUCAAAGUUGAAAAAAAAUGACAUUCAAAGUUGAAGAAAAUGACAUUCAAACACAUCUUUUCUAUUUCAAAGUUGACGUGGAUUUAUAUGAUUGUUUAUCUGAAAGUUAACGUUGAAUUGUAUACCAUAACAAAACAAAACUAAUAGGGUAGCAUAAUAAUUUGUUCUCUUUUUUUGAUACUCUGUGAUUGAUUUUAUCUCCUACCCUGCAAUUAAAAAAAUCUAAAAAGUGUGUUAGAUCACCUCUUUAGUUUAGAUGAGCUCGUCUUCCAUCUAACUCCUUAUACAACCCAUUUAGAUUCCCCCUCUCUCCUAGAAUAGGAUAGUAUAAAUGUAGCUAAUUGACAAAAAAAAAAAAAAAAAAAUUCUAAUUACGCAAAACAAAAUGUUUAACUCCAGGUACAAGUAGAAUAGAAUUUUAGUCUUCUACAAAAUACUGUUUAUUACUAAAGCUCUGUAUGGAUUAGAUAUUUUUAGACCUGAUUUUCAUAAAUUUUACUAUAACAGUAUAUAUGAAAAAAUUGUUACUAUAGUUUUUUAUUGAACUGUUUUUAGAAUUUUAAAUAUUAUUGUUGGGAUAUUUGUAAUAUAAAAAUCCCCCCUACCUCCACCCCUGCCCUCCUCCUCUCUUCUCUCUCACUUUUUCUCCCUUUCCUUCCUCCCCUCUCCCUUAACUUCUUCGAAAUUAGGAAAUGGAAGAAAGCCCAAUUUUAUUUUUUCUUUUUUUAAGUGCUAUAAUUGGCUAUUUGCCUAAUCUUGAAGAAGCAUAGGAAUAGUAAGACCAAGAUAAGGAGAAGAGACAAUGAAAAAUCCAAAAUGAACAAAUUAGCAAUGAAAAUGCAAAGGUCCUUGAUAAGCCUCUCGUGGUUAUGGUUGUGUUUAAAUAACAAAUCCAUGCGUGUGGCUUGACUCUUGAAUAUUUCAAACACAUAUUAUUGUACAAAAGUAAUUUUUUUUUUUUUGAGGAGAAACAAAAGAGUAAGUUGUCUUUGUCAAUAAUAAAUCUUGAAGAUUACCAUCGGAAUUGAACCCAAUUAAAGUUUUACUUACACAUAUAUACUCCUUGUUCAAAUUAUGUUUGGUUCAAUAAUGGAAUUACUUCAUACACGUGAACGCAGCAGUAUAAAUAUGUAGUCAUCGAUUAACAAUGGAGAAUUACUUAAAGGUUGGUAUAAUAAGAAUUGAACACUACAAUAGAGAAGGAAAAUAAACUGAACAAAGAAGAAAAAAAAAUAAAGGACAACAAAUUACAAUUAAUAGGAAUUUGGCACCGAUUUUUGUUAUUUUAUUUUCCCAAGUAAUUAAAAAGAUAAAAUUACUAGAUAAAAUAAAAUAAAAUAAAAUAACUAUAGGAUGAGAUAAGGGUUCCUAAUAAACUGAAACUCUUACCCAAACCACCUACUAGUAGGUAGUGCUAGGUUUAGGAUUUUAUUGAAACCUUAACAAGAAAAAUAACACCCUCCUUGCCUUUCUUUCGUCUGCCUCCCUAGAGCAAGAGCCGUCAGAGAAUAGAGAAGGAGAAGCAGGUGACACUGUCAAUCGAUCAGACGACUAGGCACAUAAACCUGUAAGUCCCGAGUUCACGUAAAAUUCCUCUUUUAAGUUUUAAUAGUUGAAUUAAUUGUCCUAGAAAUUUUACGAAUAUGGAUUGUUGCUAUAUAUAUGUAGACAUAUAUAUUUUUAGGAAGAUUUAUAAGUGGAUAUGUAGGAAUAGGGUGUUAGAUUUGAAUCUGUGAGUAAAUAGGUUGCCCAAAUCUGGUGCAGGAAAAACAAAAACAAAACAAAAAAAAGGGAAGAGAAGAGCUGCUGCUCUGUUUUGGCUAGGCGUUGCAGCAACGCCGCACACACAAAAAGGAAAGAGUGGGGGGCCGCCAUCUCUGGCGGCAGAGAAAGAAUUUGCAAAAGUUGGCAUUUCGGCCAACCCAUCACCGAAGCAAAAAAAAAAAAAAAAAAAAAAAAUAUUGAAUAUGAUGUCGCCAGCACUUGCUGGCAACAAUGAACAAAAAGUCAUGGUUCGCCUUUUGGCCAACCAAUGGAAGCAAAGGGUCGCCAGCAAGUCUGGCGACCAUGGUCAGACAACUGGUUGGCCAUGGGUUCAACCCGAGGACGGAGAAAAUUUGGCAAAUUAGACAGGGGCCAAAAUAUAAUAUAAAAUGUAGUAAAUGUGUAAUAAAUUAUAAAUUAUAGCUUAUCGUGGGUAUUAAAAAUUCAGGACCCAAUUUAAAAUAAUUGUUAGAAUUGAAAGGUUAGUCAUGUAAAAUUAUACUUAGUUAAUUACGUAUAAGAUACUUAAAUGGAAAUCUAAAAACAUUAACUCCAUUUGGACUAGCUGAUUUUAAGGGUGUUUUUGAAAAAAUUUACUGUAACAGUGUAUAUGAAAAAUUUUUACUUUAAAAUUUUUUUUGAAGUAUAUUUGAUAUAUUGUAUAGACGAAAUGUUUUUUGAAUUAUUGCAUAUUACUGUAACAUUGUAUUUGAAAAACUUGUUUUUGAAAAAUGGUCAAUCCAAACAGAGCGAUUGUAAUUUAGUCGUAUUAAGCCAAAUUGGACAAGGUGAGAUAAGUUUUAAAUGGCUAAACGAAAUGCUUAAAAUAAUAAUAAUAAUAAUGCUGAUAAUAAUACUAAUAAUAACACUAAUGAUAAUAAUCCUAGUAGUAAAUAAUAAUGUUGACGAUAACACUAAUAAUAACGAUAACAAUAAUAAUGAAUAAUUAUAAAUUAUAAAUAUGUAUAAUAAGAUAAUAGUCAAGAUAAUAAACAUGAUUAGGAAUAAUUAUUUUCUUUUAAAUUAUAAAACUUUACAAAAAGGCAAACUUUCCAAAUUAAGAAACUUUCUAAAAAUAGAAACUUUCCAAAUUAGAAAACUUUCCAAAAAUGGGAAUCGUCCAAUUUAGGGAAAAUGCUGUUAGGGUUCAUACAAUGGUCUAGACACGAAUAUUCGACUUACUCAGAGUUUGUAUGUUAUGUAUUUAUAGGAAAUAACAACUAAUUAGGAAGCUUAUGCAUUUGAUAGGUACGGUACCAGUUUAAGAGAUCUAAGGUAGUUCUACUCGAGCAGUCAAACGAAGGUAGGUGGUACUUACCCUUCUGAGAUUUCAAAGGUGCAAAAAUGAAAGUUUUGUUUUCAAUCUUGUUUUGUUGUGUUGACUCGAAACAUAUUUGAUUAAAUGUUUUACUUGGGUAUUGAUGAAGGUUAUAUUUUUACUAUAUAAAAAUGGACCAUGUGACUUAUUUGAAAUGUUUUGAUAUGUUAUUAUAUACCAAACGAGUUGAAUCUUUUAUGAAAUCAAAGAUUUAUGUAUAUGACGUGUGGAAUGAAUUUUUGACAAGUAAAACUCAAAACAGUCAUGGAAUAGACGGUAGGGGCUAUAGUCCUGCUUAAUCGUCAUGGUAGUCUAGUAUAAAGUCCGACCGAUUGACAAGGUCAUGGUAGUCUGGUAUAGAGUCCGACCGAUUGACAAAACCAUGGUAGCCUGGUAUAAAAUCCGGCCGAUUGGCAAGGUCAUGGUAGCCUGGUAUAAAGUCCGGCCGAUUGACCCAUGUAUGAAAAGAGGCCAAUCGGUAGUCAUGAAAUCUAUUGGUCGCCCACCUAGAAGGGGUUUAAUCUCUAAACUGAGUACUCAAUAGCCGAUCAUCACAUGUACUUGUUAUGAGUUAAUAUGAAAUGAUUUAUGAGUUAAUAUGAAAUGAUUUAUGAGUUGAUAUAGAAUGAUUUAUGAACUGAUCUGAAAUGAGACCUAUAAACUGAUUUGUGAAUUGAUUUAUGAGUGGAUAUGAAGAGACUUGUGAAUUGAGAUGAAAUGAUUUAUGACUUAUGAUUUUCCAUAUUCAUUUAUCAAUAGGGUGCUUUUAAAUUGCUUGCCACUUGUUACUACUGAUUGCUUUAUAAACGACGUUACUUUCAAAAUUAUGGAUGUGAUUGAUGCCCAAAUGAUUUGCUACGUAUCUAUAUGUAUGUAUCUAUAAAAUUACGAGUACAUGGUCCAACAGAGGGGUAGUUAUUACCUACUGGGUGAUUUGUCGCUCAACUCACUUUUUAUCAUUCUUGCAGAUUCUGAAGAGUAUGAGUUGGUUUACGUAGAAGACCCUGAGGACGACUUUUAUUAGCUUUAAGUGAAUAGAAGUUGGCAGGCUAGCUACUUCUAGUUGUUAGUCUUAUUUAUUUUCGAUUCCGCUGUUUCCAUUAAAAAAUAAAUAUACGAACAUAUUGGAUAUUCGUAGAUUACAUUUUUAUGAGAUUUGUACCGCAUUUUAUUUUAGUUAUAUUAUUUCGUACUUUUGAAGUUUAGACUAGUUAAAUGAUGCCUUGUAUUCUUGAGCGGGAUUUGAGAAUACGGCAAGAUGUCACGUGACGGGCACGUGCGGGCUCGGGGCAUGACAUUUUUAGUGGUAUCAAAGCUUAGGUUUUAUGAUCUGGAAGUGUGAGAAAUGAUGUGUGGAUAUUAAUGAUCUUGGAGAUGGAAAGGAGAUGCAAAACAGAUCAAGAGAUUCCUAUGAUAUUUAGUGGUAUUAUAGCUCAAGUUGUGAUAGAAUGAAGUAGGUGUAAAGAUACUGGAGAUAUUUGUGAUUUUGAGAAUUGGAAUGAAAUGGAUAAGGGAUUAAAAGAAAAUUAGUGACUCCAUAACAUUUAAUGGUAUUAGAAUUUUAGGUUACGAAUUUACUGGAAUGACCUCAGGUAUUGAGAUGGUGAUUACUUUUAGUAAGUAAGUGGUGACUAAAUGUAUAUGUUAAGUUGAAAAGGUAACCAAGCCCACUUGCCAAAUAUGAUUGACACUUACAAAAAAUAAUAAUAAUAAUAAAAGGGUAUUUAGGGUGUUCUUUUUGUAAGUUUUGAUCUCUAUAGUACAUUUGAAGUUUAUCAUUUACAUGUCAGAUUUAUGGAUGAUCUUAUGUCUAGUUGAAGUCUAGUAAAGAGAAAACUGAAAAUAUUGAGGAAAUUAGAGUGCACAACGAGAGUAUAAAUGAUCAACAAUAUGAUGUCAUCGAAUGCAAGCAAUAUACGUUGGAUCUUGGAAUUUUGUUGACUUAUUUUGAGGUUUACGAUAAUUAGAUCUAAUGCUCAAGACAUUUAUUAAAUUAGUUGAUAUUAUUAGUUCUGGUAUUAUUACAUCAUGAUCAGGCAAGACAUAUUUUAUAAAUUUCUUACAGUAUAUAACUUUACAUAAUUUUUACCUAAAAAUGAAUAAACGGUGAAACCAAAAUUUUAUUUGCACAAAUAGUUUUUAAUCAGAAUUUUUAAAUAUGUACCUUUACCUUACAGUUGCUUGGUAAGUUUAGUUUAUAAAUAUAUAUGUAUAUAUAUCUAUAAGAAAAAAAUAAAUACAUUGAAUAAUUAUAUCCUACAAUCUUGUGCAAAAUGUUUUUUUUAUACUCACCCAAUCUCAAAAGAGCUUUAGAUAUAUGUAUUCUACAAAAAAAAAAUUUAUCGUAUAGAAAAAUCUAACAAUAAUUCUUGAUAAAUUCUCUUUGUACUCUAAGUUCUAAUAGUAUUAGAAGUACAAUUAGUUGACUUAUGUUUCAAACACUGGUAGGCUUCUAAACUUGUGUGAGUUUGAAAUUCUAUGCAUAGAUAAUACUUUACCAAGGUUAUGAUAAAAUUAUUAAUCUCCUAUAUGAGAAUUUGGUGAUAAUUUUUGUACAAAAUUUUCUAUAUUUUUGUAUGACCAAGAAGUUUGUGAAAUGAUAUUUGAGAUAUUAAUGUUUUCAGAAAUUGAAUUGAGUUAGGAAAAAGAAAAUGACCAAAGGAAAUAAGAUUCCCAUGGCAUUUAGUGGUAAAUAACUCAAGUUAUAGGAUCUGGAAAUAGGAGUGAUGCUAUUUGAGGUAUUAUUGAUCUUUUUGGAAUUUGAAAUGAGGUAAAUAUGAGAUUUGAGGGAAGUAAAGGAUUUGCAUCACCAAUUACAAAUACAGUGGGCAAGAACCCAUAUAUCGAGAUAAGGACUACUUUUGCGAUAGUGGAUAAGUAAGUUGUGAUAGAAUGUGUGACAAAAGAAGAAAUGGUACUGUUAGUGUUUAUGGCAUCCUUUCUAUAGGUUGAUCUCUAUAGAGCGGUAUAAGUCGAUAUUUAAAAUGUUGGAUUUGUGAGAGAUAUUAUGUUCGUCUGCGCUAUAUAACUAUGAAGAUGGGAGGUAUAAGGAAAAAUAAGAGUGCGUAGCAGAAGCUUGAUGGAAUUAAAUAAGGAAAUCCAAUUUAGACAUUAUAGGAAUAAUCUCCAAGAUGUAUUGCAAGAACAUUGGGAAUUUUGUUAACUUAUUUUGAUGUUUAUAUCUUGUAGGUUUCGAGAUGUUUAUAUUUUGUUAACUUAUUUAAAAGGGGGAGAGAAUGUGAUAUCUUGUCUAAAAAUGAAUUAUGAAAGUAGUGUCGAAUUAGGACCCUAAAUUCACGUUUAGAUUUUAGUCGACCUAUCAAGAGAUUAUGGAGACUGAUAUCUAAGACUAAAUACCGUCUUCCACCCUCAGAUGAUGGACAGUCGGAAAAGACCAUACAAACUCUGGAAGACAUGCUCCGAGCCUGUGCACUAGACUUCGCAGAUAGUUGGGAUAGGUUGGUGAAACUAAUGGAGUUCUCGUACAAUAAUAGCUAUCAUAGCAGUAUAGGUAUGGCACCGUUUGAAGCGUUGUAUGGACGAAAGUGUAGAUCCCCCUUAUAUUGGGAUGAAAUAGGUGAGAAACUGAUCACUGGCCCUGAUUUGGUGGAACGAACUUUGGAGAAAAUUAAGAUUAUUCGGAAAAGAUUAAAAGUAGCUCAGGACCAAAACAAGAGUUGGGCGGAUUCAAAAAGGAGACCUUUGCAGUUCCAACAGGGAGAAAAGGUAUAUUUGAAAGUAUCCCUUACCAAGGGAGUGUUGGGAUUUGGACGAAGUGGUAAGUUAAGUCCGAGGUAUGUAGGACCUUACGAAAUACUGGAUAGAAUUAGACCUCUAGUGUAUCGACUGGCUCUCCCACCUGUUUUGUCAAGGAUACAUAAUGUUUUUCAUGUCUCCCAACUGAGGAGGUAUGUAUCAAACCCGAGCCAUAUUUUGGAGGACUAGCCCGUCGAGGUGAGGGAGAACUUAUCAGUGGAGGAAGUUCCUUUAAGAAUCAUGGAUCGGAAGGACCACACCCUAUGUCAAGGUGCAAUGGACGAAUCAUACACCACGAGAGGAAACGUGGGAGUUAGAAGAGGACAUGCGGAAUAGAUACCCAUAUCUUUUUGAUCAAGGUACGUAAGUUUCAAGAACGAAACUUUUUGUAAGCGGGGUAGAAUGUAAAACCCACAAUUUUUGGCACCGAUUUUUGUUAUUUUAUUUUCCCAAGUAAUUAAAAAGAUAAAAUUACUAGAUAAAAUAAAAUAAAAUAAAAUAACUAUAGGAUGAGAUAAGGGUUCCUAAUAAACUGAAACUCUUACCCAAACCACCUACUAGUAGGUAGUGCUAGGUUUAGGAUUUUAUUGAAACCUUAACAAGAAAAAUAACACCCUCCUUGCCUUUCUUUCGUCUGCCUCCCUAGAGCAAGAGCCGUCAGAGAAUAAAGAAGGAGAAGCAGGCGACACCGUCAAUCGAUUAGACGACUAGGCACCUAAACCUGUAAGUCCCGAGUUCACGCAAAAUUCCUCUUUUAAGUUUUAGUAGUUGAAUUAAUUGCCCUAGAAAUUUUACGAAUAUGGAUUGUUGCUAUAUAUAUGUAGAUAUAUAUAUUUUUAGGAAAAUUCAUAGGUGCAUCCGAAUGAAUAGGGUGUUAGAUUUGAAUCUGUGAGUAAAUAGGUUGCCCAAAUCUGGUGCAAGAAAAACAAAAACAAAAACAAAAACAAAAAAAAAGGGAAGAGAAGAGCAGCGGCUGCUGCCGUUGCUUUGUUUUGGCUAGGCGUUGCAGCAACACCGCACACACAAAAAGGGAAGAGUGGGGGGCUGCCAUCUCUGGCGGCAGAGAAAGAAUUUGCAAAAGUUGGCAUUUCGGCCAACCCAACACCGAAGCAAAAAAAAAAAAAAAUUGAAGAGGAUGUCGCCAGCACUUGCUGGCAACAAUGAACAAAAGUCAUGGUUGGCCUUUUGGCCAACCAAUGGAAGCAAAGGGUCGCCAGCAAGUCUGGCGACCAUGGUCAGACAACUGGUUGGCCUUUUGGCCAACCAUGGGUUCAACCCGAGGACGGAGAAAAUUUGGUAAAUUAUACAGGGGCCAAAAUAUAAUAUAAAAUGUAGUAAAUGUGUAAUAAAUUAUAAAUUAUAGUUUAUCAUGGGUAUUAAAAAUUCAGGACCCAAUUUAAAAUAAUUGUUAGAAUUGAAAGGUUAGUCAUGUAAAAUUAUACUUAGUUAAUUACGUAUAGGAUACUUAAAUGAAAAUCUAAAAACAUUGUAAUUUAGUCGUAUUAAGCCAAAUUGGACAAGGUGAGAUAAGUUUUAAAUGGUUAAACGAAAUGCUUAAAAUAUUAAUAAUAAUAAUGCUGAUAAUAAUACUAAUAAUAACACUAAUGAUAAUAAUCCUAGUAGUAAAUAAUAAUGUUGACGAUAACACUAAUCAUAAUGAUAACAAUAAUAAUGAAUAAUUAUAAAUUAUAAAUGUGUAUAAUAAGAUAAUAGUCAAGAUAAUAAACAUGAUUAGGAAUAAUUAUUUUCUUUUAAAUUAUAAAACUUUACAAAAAGGUGAACUUUCCAAAUUAAGAAAUUUUCUAAAAAUAGAAACUUUCCAAAAAUGGAAAUUGUCCAAUUUAGGGAAAAUGCUGUUAGGGUUCAUACAAUGGUCUAGACACGAAUCUUCGACUUACUUAGAGUUUGUAUGUUAUGUAUUUAUAGGAAAUAACAACUAAUUAGGAAGCCUAUGCAUUUGAUGGGUACGAUACCAGUUUAAGAGACCUAUGGUAGUUCCACUCGAGCAGCCAGACGAAGGUAGGUGGUACUUACCCUUUUGAGAUUUCAAAGGUGCAAAAAUGAAAGUUUUGUUUUCAAUCUUGUUUUGUUGUGUUGACUCGAAACAUAUUUGAUUAAAUGUUUUACUUGGGUAUUGAUGAAGGUUAUAUUUUUACUAUACAAAAAUGGACCAUGUGACUUAUUUGAAAUGUUUUGAAAUGUUAUUAUAUACCAAACGAGUUGAAUCUUUUAUGAAAUCAAAGAUUUAUGUAUAUGACGUGUGGAAUGAAUUUUUGAUAAGUAAAGCUCAAAACAGUCAUGGAAUAGACGGUAGGGGCUAUAGUCUUGCUUAAUCGUCAUGGUAGCCUGGUAUAAAAUCCGAUCGAUUGACAAGGUCAUGGUAGCCUGGUAUAGAGUCCGGCCGAUUGACAAAACCAUGGUAACCUGGUAUAAAGUCCGGCCGAUUGAUCCAUGUAUGAAAAGAGGCCAAUCGGUAGUCAUGAAACCUAUUGGUUGCCCACCUAGAAGGGGUUUAAUCUCUAGGCUGAGUAUUCAGUAGCCGAUCAUCACAUGUACUUGUUAUGAGCUAAUAUGAAAUGAUUUAUGAGCUAAUAUGAAAUGAUUUAUGAGUUGAUAUGGAAGAAUUUAUGAACUGAUCUAAAAUGAGACCUAUGAACCGAUUUGUGAAUUGAUUUAUGAGUGGAUAUGAAGAGACUUGUGAAUUGAGAUGAAAUGAUUUAUGACUUAUGAUUUUCCAUAUUCAUUUAUCAAUAGGGUGCUUUUAAAUUGCUUGCCACUUGUUACUACUGAUUGCUUUAUAAACGACGUUACUUUCAAAAUUAUGGAUGUGAUUGAUACGCAAAUGAUUUGCUAUGUAUCUUUAUGUAUGUAUCUAUAAAAUUACGAGUACAUGGUCCAACAGAGGGGUAGUUAUUACCUACUGGGCGAUUUGUCGCUCAACCCACUUUUUACCAUCCUUGCAGAUUCUGAAGAGUAUGAGUUGGUUUACGUAGAAGACCCUGAGGACGACUUUCAUUAGCUUUAAGUGAAUAGAAGUUGACAGGCUAGCUACUUCUAGUUGUUAGUCUUAUUUAUUUUCGAUUCCGCUAUUUCCAUUAGAAAAUAAAUGUACGAACAUAUUGGAUAUUCGUAGACUACUUUUUUAUGAGAUUUGUACCGCACUUUAUUUUAGUUAUAUUAUUUCGUACUUUUGAAGUUUAGACUAGUAAAUGAUGCCUUGUAUUCUUAAGCGGGAUUUGAGAAUACGGCGGAUGUCAUGUGACGGGCACGUGCGGGCUCGGGGCGUGACAUGAACUAUCAUCCGAAAGAAUAUACAACUCAAACUAUUAAUAUUAAGUUAUAAUUCAAAAAGAUAUACAGAAGCUAAAAUGAAUUUGGCUUAAUGCCAUUUCUCACCAGGUAAUUUAAUAUUUUGUCCUUCCUUCCAUGUGAUCGUGGGGGAGGUUUAAGCUUCAAAGGUCAAAGCUCAAAACUCCAAGUUGAUUGACUAUUUCAAAAUUUCAAUUGCAUGCUUUGCAUAUCGAUGCAGAUCAAAUCUAUUUUUUUCUGCAAUUAAAGGUAGAAUAUCAUUCGACUAUUACCAUUAUCAUCAGCAGAUAACAUUCUGAUAAGCAUUGCUUUGUUAAUUGUGCUACCACAACUGAGGAUAAUGCUAAUUGGUGUAUACAAUCAAUGCUUCAUGCCUCCUCAAUAAAACUAGUUACAGGGGGGAGAUGGGAGCAAAGAGCAAAUAACAGAAAUUUAUUGUGGUACCUAAGGAUAAAUUAAUAUACCAAACAUCAAUAUUAGAUAUCCACUGGCUGGAUCUUUACUGAAUAAAUCAGUAUAAGGUCCAUAUUUAUACUGGAAAGGAUAGGUAAAGAGGGUGUCUAACCAGAAUGUGGAAUAGCAACUGCAAACAGAGGAUUUUUUCUAUGGAUAGUGAGACCAGUGGAUUCAGACUUGUCCAAAUCCUUUGGUUCAAUUCCAUCAGGCAAUGCAAAAUCAAACUUGUGUACCAAUUUUGCUAACUCGUUAACGGCCACAGCAAAGGUAGUACCCGGGCAACCCCUUCUUCCAGCUCCAAAUGGAAUUAACUCAAAGUUAAAACCUCGAAAAUCGAUUGUACUGUUCAAGAACCUCUCUGGCUGAAAUUCUUCAGGCUGAUUCCAAAGCGAUGGAUCUCGUGCAAUCGCCCAAGCGUUCACCAUUACUCGUGUCCCUGCCGGUAUAUCAUACCCCAUAAGUUUAACGUGUUGUGUUGAUUCUCGAGGAACGAGUAGUGGGAUUGGCGUAUGAAGUCGUAAAGUCUCCUUGAUCACUGCUUUUAAGUAGUCCAUUUUGUCUAGAUCAUCCUCAGUGAUUUCUGGUUUUCCUUGAGUGAUAGGGUGUUAAUUGCUAGUAAUUUUGUUGUUAAUUUCCCCUUUUAUUCUUGCCAAAUAUUGUUUUAAUUAUUAAUAUUUACUUAUAUUUGGUAUUGGAACUUAAUUUCAGGAACAAAACAGAAAAUUACCAAAAAGGAGGGACUUUUAUGGGAAAUGGAGACUUCUAAGGACCUUGGACUCUUGAAUUGGUGGGGACCACAAGCUAGUGAAAGGCAUUUAGUCAUUUUGGCCUUUCAAAGAAAGCAACGUAGAGAGACUUGGACCAAGAAGUAAUUUGGAGGCUUUGUCCACAUGUGUGGGAACCACAGGAAAUAGCUUUUAGGCUUCUUUCUUUUGGCUUUUUAAGGGAAGACGUACAGAAGCAAAAGGAGAUCUUUUUUUUUUUAGACGGCUCUAGUUUAGCUUUCAGGAUAGCUUUAGUUUUUCUUUCUUCUCACUGGCCUCUGACACACGCCAGGUGUUUGACAAUAUUCCCCAACGGAAAAAACACCAUUUAUCCCUUGUUUUCUGGUAAAAAACCGCAAUGCCUUUGCAAUCCAUUAAUUCGUGUGGUGAUUUAAUUAUGCGGCGUGGUUAAGCCUUCCUUCUAGCCGAGGGAUCAACUGACGAAUUGGUUCAACGUUUACUGUGAGAUCUAAACCGUUUUUAAUUAUUUUCUUCAUUUAUUGGUAUUUAUAUGUUCCCUGAUUUUAAUUGUUAUAGCCUUAUGUAUGAUUGAUUAGUGCGCAAUAAUUGAUUAUUCACGUAGGCUAUUUUGCUAAAUAGAGGUAAUUGAAUCCGUAAUUGUUCGUUAUCUCUACCUUAGUAGCAACUGGCGUAAUUGGGAUUAUGUCAGGGGAGCAUACGAUCUAGCUUAAACAAACCCUCGUAGCGUGUUUGUUAGUUAGGAUUGGGCCUUUCUAAUUAUUAAUGCAAUCUAGAAAUUAAAUCCUACGGUCGUACCUAGGAUUGUUUUUGGGUUAGAGAAAUAGCUAACGGUCGUACCUUAGCUAUCGAUAAAUUAAGGAAGGGUUGGUUGUUUAGCGCGUGCGAGACAACUAUAACCAAUCUAUUAAUAAAUAUUGGAAUUAUCUGUGAUUCGAUGAUCAGUGCAUGAAUCAUUUCUGAAGUGUACCCUUGGCUAGAGUUUCUCCAAUUAUUUCUUCAAAUUAAUUAUUUUCUGCAGUUACUUUAUUUUUAGCAUUUAAUCGUGAAAACCCCCAUUUGUCUUGAUUCGAAAAGGAAUAAAUUUCUCUCCAGUCCCUGAGGAGACGACCCUACUUACCACUGUCUACUAGUUAGUGAAUUCAGUUAAAUAAUUAAUUCAAGUAUAUCGGAUUAAGCAAAUUCUUCGGGAAUAGGGUGAAUCAAGUAACCCAUUGCACACCUAGAGUCCCUGCUCCAGUACUAGAAUUGAUUAUUGACUGCUUCAGGUGGUAGUUAGGUUUUAUUUAUUAUUAUUGCACAGGUUCGGCACCUGUCAAUUUUUGGCGCCGUUGCCGGGGACUGGCGUCUGAAUUAUUUGUUUCUUUUUGAAUUCAGUUUUUUUUAUUUAUUUUGUUUUAUUUUAUUUUUCUUGAUAUUUUUGCUAGUUUAUGCCCCGUUCUUCUCGCACAGGUGAAUUGAUAUACGAUCCUGGGGUUGAGAAGGCAGCGCGUAGGCGAAGACAAGAACCCAAGAGACGAAAAGAAGGGCACUUAUCUUGUGCAAACGAGUCAGUAGAAGACGAAUUUAGCAUGGCCAACACCCAGACAUUAAGGGAGCUGGCUACCACAGACCUGACUCAUCAGCCCUUGUGCAUCACGUUCCCAACUCUGGCUGAAAAUACUUCUUUCGAGCUGAAAUUGGGGUUGAUUCAGCUCCUGCCUUCGUUCCAUGGUCUUUCUGGUGAAGAACCCCACAAACAUGUCAAGGAAUUCGAAAUAGUUUGCUCUAGCAUGAAACCUCCUGGGGUCACUGAGGAGCAAAUAAGACUGAGAGCCUUCCCCUUCUCUCUCAAGGAUGCAGCGAAGGAUUGGCUAUACUACCUACCUGCAGGUAGUAUCACCACGUGGGCACAAUUGAAAAAGAAAUUCCUCGAAAAAUUUUUCCCUGCAUCCCGGGUUGCGAGUUUGAGGAAGGAGAUUUGCAGCAUCAAGCAGUACUCCGGGGAGUCCUUGUACAACUAUUGGGAAAGGUUCAACAAGUUGUGCACUAGAUGUCCACAGCAUCAAAUUAGUGAACAAUUGUUGAUCCAGUAUUUCUAUGAAGGGCUCCAGUCAACUGACAGGAGUAUUAUUGACGCUGUGAGUGGAGGAGCCCUGGCAAAUAAAACACCGAGAGAGGCAUGGGAGCUCAUUGAAGCCAUGGCAGAGAACUCUCAGCAGUUUGGCUACCGUGAGAGUAACCCCCCUCGAAGGGUUAACGAGGUAGAAACGUCAUCCAUACAGCAGCAACUGUCAGAGUUGACGUCUGCUGUCAGGCAAUUAGCCAUGAGGGACACACCGCGAGCGAAGGUGUGUGGCAUCUGCACUAGCAUGGAUCACUGCACGGACACGUGCCCCAUUUUGCAAGAGGACGGGACGGAACAUGUAAACAUGGCCGGAGGCGUGCUCGCGCCCCGCAGGCAGUAUGACCCGUAUUCCAACACAUACAACCCCGGUUGGAGAGACCAUCCCAAUUUCAGUUAUGGGAACCGACCGCAAAAUUCACUCUCAAAUCGCCCACCAGGGUUUCAGCAACCAUGGCAGCAAAAGUCUCAACCUUUGUCCGCAAAUUCAAGUAGCUCUCUGGAGGAUAUUGUCAAGAGUCUGGCUACGACUACCGCCCAGAUCCAGCAAGAGACUAGACAGCUCCAGCAGGAGACUAGGUCAUUGACCACGAAUAUGGCUCAACUCCAGCAAGAAACUAGAGCCUUAACCCUGAGCACCACGCAGUUCCAGCAGGACACCAGAGCAGGCAUGAAGGAUAUGGAUGCUCGAAUAAGCCAAUUGGCCACUGCGAUAAAUCGCCUGGAGUCCCACGCUCAUGGAAAAUUGCCAUCUCAACCCGAGGUGAAUCCUAGGAAUGUAAGUGCUAUGACACUGAGGAGUGGCAAGGAACUGGAAGAGCCUAAAGUGAAAAAUUCAAAAAGCAAAAGUGAGGAGGAGAUAGAAAAGGAAAUUGAAGAGGAAGGAUGUAUCCGAGAAGAUCCUAAGGUAACCUUCACUUCUCCACCCACUACUACAUCUAACUUACCUCCUUUUCCUUCCAGGUUAGCGAAGACAAGGAAAGUAGAGAAGGAAAAACAACUUUUGGAUGUGUUCAGGAAAGUAGAGAUUAACAUCCCCUUACUGGAUGCAAUCAAGCAGAUACCGAAAUAUGCCAAAUUUUUGAAGGACUUGUGCACCCACAAGAGGAAGCUAAGGGGAGAUGAACGAGUGGCGGUGGGAGAAAACGUGUCAGCCAUGCUCCAAAGGAAACUCUCGCCAAAAUGUGGAGACCCAGGUAUGUUCACCAUUCCCUGCAAGAUAGGAGGUGCCUCGAUUAGGAAGGCAAUGUUGGAUUUAGGGGCGUCAAUCAAUGUAAUGCCUAAAACAAUUUAUACGUCCCUUAAUCUUGGUCCAUUAAAAGGCACAGGCAUUAUAAUCCAACUUGCAGACCGUACCAAUGCUUACCCAAAAGGGUUAGUUGAAGAUGUUUUGGUGCAGGUCAAUGAGUUAGUUUUUCCUGUAGAUUUCUAUGUCCUAGACAUGGGGGAUGAAAGGGCACUAAAUCCGUCUCCUAUUUUGUUAGGUAGGCCAUUUUUAAGCACUGUUAGGACGAAAAUAGAUGUAAAUGAGGGUACUUUUUCGAUGGAGUUUGAUGGAAAAAUUGUAAAUUUUAAUAUUUUUGAUGCGAUGAAGUACCCAGAUGAGACUAACUCUGUUUAUGCUUAAAGUGUUGUCGAGCCCCUUGUGCAGAAAAUAUUUGAAUUGGAUGGGGUUGAUGCACUGACAGUGGCAUUAGCCAAACAUCUUGAGUUGGGAGCAACUCCUGAUGUAGAAUUGAGUGAUGAGUUAUACCGGGCUGUUGGAGAACUGCAUUCGCUCCCACCAAUUUCUCCAAGGUAUGAGCUUACUUCUGUCUUUGUACCAGAAACUCAGGCAAGGUUGUUGCCGUCUAUUGUGCAGGCACCUGAAUUGGAGCUCAAACCUCUCCCAAAGCAUCUGAAGUAUGCUUUUCUCGGGGACAAGGAGACACUGCCAGUCAUCAUAUCUGCACAUCUAUCACCAAGGCAAGAAGACAACCUGAUUCGUCUUCUUCGAGAUCAUAAGGAGGCGAUUGGGUGGAGUGUAGCAGAUAUCAAACGAAUUAGCCCCUCCUUAUGCAUGCAUCGGAUCCGGCUUGAGGAUGAUGCAAAGCCAGUUAGACAAGCGCAACGGAGAUUGAACCCACUAAUGAUGGAAGUGGUGAAGAAGGAGAUACUUAAACUCCUAGAGGUGGGGAUCAUCUUCGCCAUCUCAUAUAGUCCUUGGGUGAGCCCCGUGCAAGUAAUCUCGAAAAAGGCGGGAGUAACUGUUGAGGAGAACCAAGAGGGUGAGAUGGUCCCGGUGAGGAAACCCACAGGAUGGCGCCAGUGCAUUGAUUACCGGCGUCUGAAUGCUGUGACAAAGAAGGACCACUUCCCUCUGUCUUUUAUUGAUUAGAUGAUAGAAAGGUUAGCUGGCCGUGUCUAUUAUUAUUUUCUUGACGGUUUCUCUAGUUAUUUUCAGAUCGCAAUAGCACCAGAGGAUCAGGAGAAAACUACCUUCACCGAGGAUCAGGAGAAAACUACCUUCACCUGCCCCUUUGGUACAUUUGUCUACCGGAGGAUGCCUUUCGGCCUCUGCAACGCCCCAGCAACUUUUCAGAGGUGUAUGGUAAGUAUAUUCUCCGAGUACGUAGAAAAGAUUAUUGAGGUGUUUAUGGAUGAUUUUAGUGUGUAUGGAGAUAGUUUUGAUGAAAGCCUUGAUGAUUUAGCUUUAAUUUUGAAAAGAUGCAUUGAGACAAAUUUGGUUCUGAAUUUGGAAAAAUGUCAUUUCAUGAUGGAUCAUGGCAUUGUUUUAGGGCAUGUAGUGUCGGCCAGAGGUAUAGAGGUAGACAAGGCAAAAGUCGAUAUUAUUUCUGCUUUACUUUACCCCGCAAGUGUGCGGGAGGUGCGCUCCUUUUUGGGUCAUGCAGGGUUCUACAGGAGAUUCAUCAAAGAUUUCUCCAAAAUUGGAGCGCCCCUGUUCAAACUGUUGCAAAAAGAUGUAGUAUAUGACUUCACCGAGGAGUGCAAGGUGGCAUUUGACAGAUUAAGGGAGUCAUUGACAUCACCACCUGUUAUCCAACCUCUAGACUGGAGCAUCCCGUUUGAGAUAAUGUGUGACGCGAGUGACUAUGCAGUGGGAGCGGUGCUGGGGCAACGGAUUGGCAGGGCUGCACAUGCAAUCUACUAUGCAUCAAAAGCGUUGAAUGGAGCUCAGCUCAACUACUCUACAACAGAGAAAGAAUUACUUGCUGUGGUUUUUGCAUUAGAAAAAUUUAGACCUUAUUUGUUAGGUGCAAAAGUAAUAGUUUUUUCUGAUCAUGCAGCCUUAAGGUACUUGAUGACGAAGAAGGACGCUAAACCAAGGCUUAUCAGAUGGAUCCUGCUUCUUCAAGAGUUCAACUUGGAGAUUAAGGAUAAAAGUGGGGCAGAAAACUUAGUCGCUGAUCACUUGAGCCGCUUACUUGCUCAUAAGGAGGAGCCACCAUUGAGGGAGGCAUUUCCAGAGGAGCAACUACUUGCCAUUAACUCGUCUACACCCUGGUAUGCUGAUAUAGUAAACUUCUUAGUGACCAAUCAAUUGCCUGCAGGGUGGCCAAAGGCUAAGAGAGACAGGUUGAAGAGUGAUGCUAAAUAUUACAUCUGGGACGACCCGUACCUGUGGAGACAAUGUUCAGAUCAAGUUAUAAGAAGAUGUGUAAAUGCGGGUGAAUUUCACUCUAUUUUGAAUUUCUGUCAUUCAUUUGCAUGUGGGGGGCAUUUUGGGCCCAAGCGAACAGCUCGCAAAGUGUUAGAGAGUGGCUUUUACUGGCCUUCCCUUUUUAAAGAUUCGUAUUUAUUUUGCAAAUCCUGUGAUAGGUGUCAAAGGGUGGGGAAUAUUUUUCGUAGGGACCAAAUGCUUCAAACCCCCAUGUUGUUUGUUGAAUUUUUUGAUGUUUGGGGGAUAGAUUUUAUGGGUCCUUUUCCCUCGUCUUUUGGUUUCCUAUACAUUUUACUUGCUGUAGAUUAUGUCUCUAAAUGGGUGGAAGCCAAAGCCACCUGUACUAAUGAUUCUAGAGUGGUUGCAGAGUUCUUAAAAUCUAAUAUCUUUGUCCGUUUUGGAAUGCCAAGAGCUGUGGUUAGUGAUAGAGGGACACAUUUCUGCAACAAGACUAUCACUGCCUUGUUUCGAAAAUACGGUGUACUCCAUAAGGUAUCCACACCGUAUCACCCGCAGGCAAACGGUCAGGCCGAAGUGUCAAAUAGGGAAAUCAAGUCAAUCUUGGAAAAGAUGGUGCGUCCGGAUAGGAAGGAUUGGAGUUUAAAGCUAGAAGACGCACUAUGGGCGUACAGAACCGCGUAUAAGACGCCGAUUGGGAUGUCUCCGUAUAGACUUGUCUUCGGUAAGGCUUGCCAUCUCCCCGUGGAGUUCGAACACAAGGCGUUUUGGAUAGUGAAACAGUGUAACAUGGGAUUAGACGAAACAGGGGUCCAAAGGAAAUUGCAACUACAAGAGUUAGAGGAGAUAAGAAAUGAAGCGUAUGAGAAUGCCACGAUCUAUAAGGAAAAGAGUAAAAUCUUUCAUGAUCAACAGGUUUCCAGAAAAUCUUUUGUAGUGGGGACAAAAGUCCUCUUGUAUCACUCGAGGCUUAAACUUUUUCCCGGUAAGUUGCGUUCUCGUUGGAUUGGUCCAUUUGUCGUUUCUAAUGUGCUUCAUUAUGGUGCAGUAGAGAUUCAAAGUUUAAAAACGGAGAAAAAGUUCGUGGUGAAUGGCCACCGUCUCAAACCUUGUUAUGAGGGGUUCUCUGUUGAAAAAGUAGAAGUUGAACACCUCCAAGAUCCACUUUAUCAUGCUUGAGGGUUUUGGCCAUGUCUAGCCAAAGACAUUAAAGAAAGGCGCUACUUGGGAGGCAACCCAAGACUAUUUGUUUCAGUUUUCAUGCAUUUUUGAAGUUUUAGUUAAGUAUUAGUGUCAAUUAAUAGUUUGAUGUUUGGUGACAGGGAAUUGGCAGUUAGACGUGCCCACGCCAGGUGGUCACGCCUGAGGGAAGGAAAUUUUCGUUCAGGAUCUGCGGACUCUAUAGCAGUUAGACGUGCCCACGCCAGGUGGUCACGCCUGAGGGAAAGAAAUUUUCGUUCAGGUUCUGCGGACUCUAUAGCAGUUAAGCGUGCCCACGCCAGGUGGUCACGCCUAAGGGGAAGAAAUUUCGUGUAGGUUCUGAGGACUCUAUAGCAGUUGAGCGUGCCCACGCCUGAGACAGGAGUUGCUUGUUUUUAAAAAAAAAAAAAAAAAGGGGUGAAAAGACGAAAUUGCCCUUACCAAAUGUAAAAAAAAAAAAGGCUAAACAAUUUUUCAAAGGGCACGAAACCCUACUCUCUUCUUCUUUCCUCUUUCUUCUUCUUCUUCCUCCUUUUUUUCUCCUUGUCCGCCGCCGCCACCCUGCAAGCCGCCGGAUCGCCGCAAGCCACACGGCCGCCCAUCGCGCCUGCUGCCCAGCCGCGCCUCGCCACCAGCAGAGCUCCAAUAACCAUCAGGCGUUCCUCCUCCCGCGCCGCACGACAGCCGCGCGCCUCCUCCGCGGCCAGCGCGCGACCAUCUGGGCAGGAGCCCCUGCGCGCCUGUUCAUCCUAGCAGCAGCACUAGGUCAGGCCCGCACACCCCAGCCUGCAUUCUGCGCGAUUUCCAGCUUCUGCACUCCAGCGCAGCCCAACACCACAGCCACAGCAGCCCGCGGACGUCGCGCGCCUCCUCCGCGCAACAGGCUAGACGACCUCCAUUUCUGCGCAGUCUGCGCGCGCGAUCCACGUGCGUGACCCAGCCAGCGCGCCAACUCACCCACUCAGCGCGCGACCAGAGGAGCAGCAGCCAGCUAGCUCCCGCGAACCAGCCACGCGCAACGAGGGGCAAUCGCGCGCCGCCUUUCUCCUUCUCUAGCGCCACCUGCGUUCUUUUUCUUUUCCACCCAUAGCAACUACCGGUUAUUCCCCCUGGUGAUUUCUUUCUUUAAUUUUCUGUCACUAUGUAGCUGAGGCCAGAUUACUAGCUUUUAUUAGCUGAUGCCAAAUUUUAAUUUCGUAGCUGAGGCCAGAUUGUUGAUUUGCUAGCUGAGGACAGAAAUUUUGUGCUUGUUUAGGUGUGUGGUAUAUAUAUCUGUGGUUGAUUGCUGACUAAUUGUUAAAUUUUGUCUUCAACCAGUGAUAUUUGGGGGAAGUUCUUAUUUGGGUUGCUAAUUUAAUUAAUUUCUGGGGGAAUUUUGUUGUGUUGCCUAACUAAUUGGUUUUUGAGUUGAAUUGGUAGUGUUUGGGAAAAUUUUGAUGUUUACAGGUUUAAUUAGUUUCUGGAGUGAGUUUAUUGUCCGUUUUUGCACUUGCCUGUGAUUGGAUGCUGUGACUGGGGAUCAUUUGCUUGGGUGGUUGUUUGUUGACAUAUUUUGAACGCCGUUUCUUUGCCUUUGUCUUGUCCACUGAUAUCCAAUGACCAAACCCAGACCCAAAGGCAAGAACAAGCCUUCCACUUCCACCCCUCAGCCUACGGUCCCCUUAGGGGGACCUGCCCCCUCGACUGAGCCAGGAGGGCCCCGUACCCGCCUUGGACGGAAUAGGGAGGUUCAUAUCUCCUCUCCCGCCCACUUUGACGGCAAUUUGACCUUCACCCGGGCUGCCGACAAGGAGCGGUAUGCCUCGGCUUGCACAAGGAAGAUUAUUCCUUGUAAAUACAUCCAUGGCCCUACACUUGAUAUGCUAAACCUGAGGGAUGAGGUCACGCAGCACUUGACUAACGUAGGCUGGACCCGCUAUGCUUCUAUCAUUUUACCUGCCUUCACUGAACUGACGUGGGAAUUUUAUGCUACUUUUGAGUUUAAUAUUCCUGAUGAAUUCUCCGUUACCACUCCUGGGGUAGUGAGGUUUCGAUUGAUGGGUAGGGAGUUUAACCAAUCUAUCACUGAGUUUAAUUUGGCUCUUAGGUUUAUUGAUAUUCCCUACUCCCAGAGUGAGGAGUAUAUGCACAGUGUGUGCGAGUACUCGGAGCCAUUUUUCUCUCAUUACAUUGAUUAUUGGAGAGAGUUGUCGGUUGACCGACACUGCUAUGACCCCAGUCAGUCUAAGGCUUCUUAUCUUAAGAGCGCCGCCUACCGUUAUUUACAUAGAUUCAUGGCCUAUAGUUUCUCAGGUAGGAAGGAUAGCUCGGGUACUAUGACCAAGCCCGAGUUCUUUUUCGUUUGGUGCAUGGUCACUCGGACUAGGGUCAAUUUGGGUAGCUGGUUUGCCCUCCACCUCCGAACUGUGCUAAGUAAGAAAAAUAAGCCAUUAAUCUUAGGCUCAUUUAUCACUCAGUUGGCUGUAAAUCUUGGGGUUUUGGACUUAAAUAAUCAUAACUUGCAUCGUGCUUGUACUAUGGAACCCCUCGAUUUGGUUUGUUUGGAAAAAAUGGGUCUUGUGAGACAGGUGGCGGGCGUUUUUCAGUUUGCUCCCCCGGGGCCAAUCUCCGUUCCUCCAAAGCGCAGAGCUUCCAAAACCGCUGACCCGGAGGCUGGUGGUCCUUCUACGGAUGCCCCCGGACCAUCCUCUUCGGCACCUCUACCAUCUUCCUCCGUCGAUAGCCAGCUUGCAGCUCUUCGAUUCCAGAUGCAGCACAUGGACACUCGCAUGGAGCGGAUGGAGUGUCAAAUAGCCGGCAUGGCUCAGAAUUUAGCAGAAUACCUCCACCACGUGGGUUUCCGCCCACCGUGCCCUCCACAACCUUAGUCCACCUCUGCCCUCCGCCGUAUUAAGGGAAGUGUUGUUGCCUUUCUCGUUUUAUUUUCAUCUUUAUCCGCUUCCAUUGAGGACAAUGAAAGGUUUAGGUGUGGGGGAGGGUUAAUUAUGCAUUAGUUGUGCUUUGAACUGUUUUAUGUGCAUUUUCCUUGCCUUAGUAGUUCCUUUCUUUAAACUGUGAUGACUGCAAUUGAGAUAUGAGUACGAGUAGUAAGUUCAUACCAUUGGGUGCUCUAUUUACCUCGAUGAUGGAUUGAUUGAUGAAUAUGCUGAAUUUGGCAUGAAUUUGAUCACUUAUGCGAUUUUUGGGCCUAAUUUUUCGUUUGUUGAGUGAUUAGUGCACAUGGUUUGUCAUUCUAGAACUUGCUCGAUUAUGCAUGUCAAUACCACAUUUAAAUGAGUUUAAUGCAUUGAAAUGAUAGGGCACCUAGGAAUGAGCCAUUUUUGGACUUUCUUAAAACCAAGCCUUGGAUUAUUUAUCACUAGGGAGCCAAGUUGAGCCUUAACCCUUAUUCUUCGCUUGAGACCCUAGUUUUAGCUGUAAAACCUCUUUUUAGACUUUCUUUUUGAACCUCGUGUGAAGAAGUGCUUUGAUUUCAUUAUACAGAAUUUUGGAGUAUUAUUUGAGAGGCAUUGCACCUAUCUAUGAAAAAAAGGGAAAAUGUGAAAAGAAGACAAAGUGCAGGAAAUCAGCAAGUAAAGUUGAUUUUUAUGGUGCUGGUUGGGAGUUAUAGAAAAAACAAUAAAAAACAAAAAAAAAACAAAAAAACAAAAGAAAAAAAAAAGAAAAAAAGAAAAAAAGAAGGGGAGUAGAUGAAUGAAAAGAUGAGAAAAGGCGAAGGUUGUGGCAAGUGCUAAUUCACUUCACUUGUGUGAUGGUUGAGAUGCCUUUAAGUUUCAAAUGUGCAAGAAUCUAUGUAAUGAAUUUCUGGGCACUUAUUUUAUACUUUUACACCAUUUUGACUCCUUUUUAUCCUACCUUCUCACCCUAACCCCAUUACAACCUUUUAAAGUCCCUUGAUUGCUGCAUUUAAAUUCAUAAGUAAGUGGUGGAGAUAUGAUAUAUGAGCAAGCUUAUGGUAGUGUCAUUCUAUUGUGUUGAUCUGAGAGUUAUCUUAUAUACAUCUCAUAUACAUUUUGGAGUGAUUGAGUGCACUUUAAACGGUGAGAAUUGUUGAUUUGGUAUACUCUGAUUUCGAUGAGGUUAUUGGGGAAUUUGGAAUGCCAUUCUUGGUAUGAACUGCUGUGGUUUGCUUAGUAUCUUUAUUGCAUUUCUGAGUUAAUCAUGCUUGAGGGCAAGCAUGAUUUAGGUGUGGGGGGAAUUGAUAGGGUGUUAAUUGCUAGUAAUUUUGUUGUUAAUUUUCCCUUUUAUUCUUGCCAAAUAUUGUUUUAAUUAUUAAUAUUUACUUAUAUUUGGUAUUGGGACUUAAUUUCAGGAACAAAGCAGAAAAUUACCAAAAAGGAGGGACUUUUAUGGGAAAUGGAGACUUCUAAGGACCUUGGACUCUUGAAUUAGUAGGGACCACAAGCUAGUGAAAGGCAUUUAGUCAUUUUGGCCUUUCAAAGAAAGCAACGUAGAGAGACUUGGACCAAGAAGUAAUUUGGAGGCUUUGUCCACAUGUGUGGGGACCACAGGAAAUAGCUUUUAGGCUUCUUUCUUUUGGCUUUUUAAGGGAAGACGUACAGAAGCAAAAGGAGAUCUUUUUUUUUUAGACGGCUCUAGUUUAGCUUUCAGGAUAGCUUUAGUUUUUCUUUCUUCUCACUGGCCUCUGACACACGCCAGGUGUUUGACAAUAUUUCCCAACGGGAAAAACACCAUUUAUCCCUUGUUUUCUGGUAAAAAACCGCAAUGCCUUUGCAAUCCAUUAAUUCGUGUGAUGAUUUAAUUAUGCGGCGUGGUUAAGCCUUCCUUCUAGCCGAGGGAUCAACUGACGAAUUGGUUCAACGUUUACUGUGAGAUCUAAACCGUUUUUAAUUAUUUUCUUCAUUUAUUGGUAUUUAUAUGUUCCCUGAUUUUAAUUGUUAUAGCCUUAUGUAUGAUUGAUUAGUGCGCAAUAAUUGAUUAUUCACGUAGGCUAUUUUGCUAAAUAGAGGUAAUUGAAUCCGUAAUUGUUCGUUAUCUCUACCUUAGUAGCAACUGGCGUAAUUGGGAUUAUGUCAGGGGAGCAUACGAUCUAGCUUAAACAAACCCUCGUAGCGUGUUUGUUAGUUAGGAUUGGGCCUUUCUAAUUAUUAAUGCAAUCUAAAAAUUAAAUCCUACGGUCGUACCUAUGAUUGUUUUUGGGUUAGAGAAAUAGCUAACGGUCGUACCUUAGCUAUCGAUAAAUUAAGGAAGGGUUGGUUGUUUAGCGCGUGCGAGACAACUAUAACCAAUCUAUUAAUAAAUGUUGGAAUUAUCUGUGAUUCGAUGAUCAGUGCAUGAACCAUUUCUGAAGUGUACCCUUGGCUAGAGUUUCUCCAAUUAUUUCUUCAAAUUAAUUAUUUUCUGCAGUUACUUUAUUUUUAGCAUUUAAUCGUGAAAACCCCCAUUUGUCUUGAUUCGAAAAGGAAUAAAUUUCUCUCCAGUCCCUGAGGAGACGACCCUGCUUACCACUGUCUACUAGUUAGUGAAUUCAGUUAAAUAAUUAAUUCAAGUAUAUCGGAUUAAGCAAACUCUUCGGGAAUAGGUUGAAUCAAGUAACCCAUUGCACACCUAGAGUCCCUGCUCCAGUACUAGAAUUGAUUAUUGACUGCUUCAGGUGGUAGUUAGGUUUUAUUUAUUAUUAUUACACAGGUUCGGCACCUGUCAUUGAGCUACUUGUCUCACCUCAGUCUGCAAUUUCUCCAAGAUUUUUGGGUGCCUCAAGAGUUCGGUCAUUGCCCAAUCCAUAACUGUGUGUGUUGUAUCAGUCCCAGCAGCGAACAUGUUCUAAUCAUAGAAAGUGAAGAAGAAAAACAGAUGUUGUUUAAUUGAAAAAGAAAAUGUCAUUGAAAGUUGAGAAACUAAUAUGAGGAAAACAUUUGUAAGAAGUUUAGCUCAUCAAUGGUGAACAUCAUUAAAUACAGAUAAAACAGUUUGGUUUGGCAUUGUAUCAAUUGAUGUGUUAAAGCUGAAGUAUGUAAUAUUCCUCAGCCUGCUAAUAUACAAAUAAGUGGUGCAUAAUACAUACUGCAUACUGAAUUUUAGUUGUAUACACAGUUCAUCAAAUAGUAUAAUUUUGUUCUACCUUCGAACAAGCUAAAACCUUCAUGGUUGAAAUUUCUGUAGGAAAAGCUCUACUUGUUAAUGCCUAUGAUCCUUUAUCCAAAUGUACUUAUCCGUGGAAUGAAUUACUAUGAAAAACCGUCCAACAUGCAAACCAGUAGAGAGGAAAGUAAUUCAUUGAAAAUUCUUUAGCAGACCCAUCUGCUUGGCAAUAAAUUUACACUUAUUUUCAAAAGUGUGUUCAACUACAUAUUAUUGUUAUUGUACUGGCUUCUAACAUGUAUGUGUGAGAUAGAAAAUAAUUGGAGAACGUAUUUUCAAGAUUAAAUUUGUGAAAACCAUCGCCAUCCAAACUAACCUUUAUUCAUUUAAAAAAGUAGACACAAAUUACACUUUAACUCGCUGUGGUUUAGUACUUUUUUAUAUAACUUCCCUAUAAUUUCGAAAACUAUACAUAACCCCCCUCAUGAUUUGGACUAAAAUGUCAAAGUGACGGAAUUUGUAAUCCAUAACGGAAUCAACUAAAAUAUCAAAAAUACUCCAAUGUAAAGUUAAAAAUUAUUUAUUAACCACAUGAGGGUUAUGUAUAUAUUUUGAAAUCCAUAAGGGGGUUAUAUGGUAAAGUACUAAAGUAUAAUGGGGUUAUAUAAUAAAACAUAAAAUUAUAUGGGGUUAAAGUAUCCUGCAUAUUAUGUUUCUAUAUUUUGAUCAUUUCAACCAUUUUAGUUUUUAAAUGAGGCUAAUUUUGAUAUUUUCAUAGGUUCCGUUAUGAAUGAUAAUUUCUUUCACUUUGACACUUUAAUCAAAAUUAUAAAAAGAGUUAUAUAUAACUUUUAAAACUAUAGGGAGUUAUGUGAAAAAUAACUAUACCGCAUAGGGGCAAACUGUAUUUUGUCCAAAAACUAGUUUGAAUAAUUGGUGCUCAUUAAGAGGGGGUUCAAGUAUUAGUUCUUUUUAAAAUGUGUAGUUAAUUUGAAAAAGUGUCUAAAUGCAAAAAUAUGCAAUAAUUGUGAUUGUGUAAAUUCACAUGAUAAAUUAUUUGUAAUUUAAAUGUAUUAAAUCAAUACUCACUGGACAACCAUUAGAAAAAUCUUUAAAAUUGAAUAAUAAAAUGAAGGUAUUCCAAGUUUAGAUCAGCUAUACACAAAAAGAUUUUCAAGAAAAGAGAGAUGGCAUUAAGCCAGUACGGUAGGAUAGCCUAAUGAGUUUAUGGUUGGAGUACCUAUAAACAAGAUUUCUUACCAAAAUGAUUGCUUUGAGACUGUCAAGUUCGAGUAUAAAGCCUGUCGACUUUUCCCCCUGAAUUUCAAGCAAGAUAUCCACCAAAUCUGAGCCUUUUCCCUCUAUACUAUCAUCAGUGUUAGCCUUUCCAUUUUUCCUAUCUUUGUGCUCCUUAAUGACACCCUCCAGAAAUUCAUCAAGUUGCUUAACAACUUUGUCCACUUUAUCAUCCAAAUCAUUAAGAUGUCUCAACCAUCCAAGCCAUGGAACAAAAUCUCCUAUAUCAAUAGUACCUAACAACUCAACAAAUUCCUUCAUGAUUUGCAUACUUUUGCUUCCAUCUUCCCUAUCACUGUACUUCCUCCCCAAGGCCACCCUACAAAUCACAUCAUUUGUGAGUGUCAUAAGAAGAUCACUCAAGUUUAUGGCUGAUAAAGGUGGCGAAGAAGCCGAAAAAUUUCUAAUUUUUUCAACCAUAAGUGAAGUCUCUUCCUCUCUUACAAAUCGAAAUGAUUGAACCCUCUUAUGACUUAGAAGCUGAAGCACACAAAUACUUCUCACUUGCCUCCAAUACUCACCGUAAGGUGAUGCUGCGAUAACCUUGCUGCCAUAUAGAAGCCUAUCACUCAUGCUUGUUUUAGGCCUGUUAGCAAAGACUAAAUCAUGGGUUCUCAGGAUUUCACAAGCUGCAUCAGCUGAAGAGGCAAUAACCACGGGCUUGCUACCAAAAUGAACCAGCAUGAGGGAACCAUAUUUUCUUGAUAAUGAUUGAAGUUUGCGGUGAGGAUAUAGCCCGAGUUUGAAAAGAUUUCCAACAACUGGAAACUUUGAUGGAGAAGGUGGUAGCCUUUGUUGGGGUUUAGAAGAAGCAUAGAACCGUAAGAAAAGGGCUAGAAGUAGCAAAGCCACGGGAAGAAGAGAGGAAAAUGUAAGAUCCAAAAUAAACGCCAUUACAUGCUACUCGAAAAUUGGAGAAAGGGCCAAAUCAAGAAAGCACAAGUUGAUUGUUGCUGCUACAAUUGGCUAUGUAUAUGCCUACUUGAUUAAGCCGAAAAGGAUCACCAGAACCUGCUUCUGUUCUGAUGAUCCUUGAAAUUUCACUUUGUGACGGUUGCAAAUGCAUCCUCAGUAAAUGAAUCAAAGAGCCACAUUGGAAACAAUAUCUAUAGGGCCUGGCCGAUUAUUUUGACUUUAGUGGCUGUACUGGAAGAACAAAUUUUGGAUGAUAAGUCCUACUCGUAAGCAAAUUCCAAAAAUUGGAUUGGACUUAUAUUCGCACCAUCAUACAUGUUGAAAUUGAUUAAGCACUUGGCAUUUGAGCUAUUAGUUUAGACAUUUUACAUCUAAAGAUUAGGGCAAAUUACACUUUAUCUCCAGUAAUUUAGUAUUUUUUUACAUAACCCCCUAUAGUUUCGAAAGCUAUACAUAAUUCCCUCAUAAUUUGUAUUAAAGUGUCAAAGUGGCGAAAAUGAUUAUUCGUAACGGAAUCAGCUAAAAUGCCAAAAAUAUUCUUAUAUAAAGUUGAAAAUUAUUUAUUAAUCAAGGGGGUUAUGCAUAUAUUUUGAAAAACAUAAGGGUUAUAUGGUAAAAUAUUAAAUCAUAAGGGGGUUAUAUAGUAAAUUAUAAAAUCAUACGGGGUUAGUAUGUCAUGUAUUUAUAAAGGUAAUUUUGACAUUUUUAAAAGUUUCGUUACGAAUGACCAUUACCGUCACUUUGACACUUUAAUUCAAACCAUGAGGGAGUUAUAUAUAGCUUUUAAAACUGUAGGAGAAUUAUGUAAGAAAAUGCUAAAUCACAGAGGGGUAAAGUAUAAUUUGUCCUAAAGAUUAUAUGACGUGGCACUUUGCUAGCAUAAUUUACUCAUUCACAAAAAGUUUGGGGAAAAAAAAAGAUCUCGUGCAAUCUUCAAAUUCCCAUUCAAUCUCCAAAAUCAUGUCAACACAAAUCUCACGGUGAUUAAAGCUAAUACUAAACAGAAAUCUUUGUUCGGAAGUUAACAAAGACUUUGGGGGAUGUAACUUCAGUAUGCAAAUGCGAAAUAUACCAUGAAUGAAUAUGAUUACCAACAUAACUUUUGGAGUCCAGAAGAAGCAUAGGAUUUUUGAAGAGGUCAAGCAUAGGAUUAAAACCAAACGAAGAAUUGAAGAGAGCAAAUUAAAAUAUCCAAAACUAAUGGGAUUUUGCUUCUUGCAAUUAGUGUUACACGAUUCUUCAGUGCCAUUGAUUUGAAAGAUCAGCAAUAAAACUGAAAAGGUUAUUGAUAGGCUUUUAGAUUGUGGUUAUGAAUAAUUUGGACGAGAAGCCCUUAAGUGUGGGCUCACUCUUGACCCGUCAAAAGUUCCAUAUGUCUUUCGGAAGAUGGCAAAGGUUAUCUUAUUGAUUUGCUUUCAUCCAAUUCCACACACCUAGUAUCAUUUAUGAUCUUGAAAUUAGCAGCAAAAAUAACAAAAAAAAAGGGGAAAGGUUUAUUUCCCUCUCGAAUAUUAAUAAUAUCAAUGUCACUGUAAAGCUUAACUAAUACGAUUAAAAUUAAUGCAGGCUAAAUAUAACAGGCAAGACAAUUUACAUAAGUUCUCAACUUGAUCUUGUAAAACUUGCCCUAGGACAUGCUAAACUUCUCUGUGCCAGGAGAGACACUAAGGCGAAUAUGGAGUGGCAACAAGAAGUAUAGGAAGUUUCCUAUGCACAUCGAUGCCACCAGCUUCAGUCAUGUCCAUGUCCUCUGGUUUUCCUCCAUCAGGCAAGGCAUAGUCAAAUUUGUGCAGUAAUUUUGCUAAUGCAAGUUCAUUGAUAGCCAAAUUUGUGCAGUAAUUUUGCUAAUGCAAGUUCAUUGAUAGCCAUGGCAAAGGUCUUACCGGGGCAUCCCCUUCAGCCGGCACCAAAUGGGAUCAACUCAAACCUCGAAAAUCUAUAUAAACCAACAUUCAGAAAUCUCUCUGGCUGAAAUUCCUCGGGCUUCUCCCAAUUGCCGCCCAUCCGUUGACGAUUACUCGUGUUCGAAUCGGUAUAUCAUACCCCAUUACUUUGAUGUCUCGAGGAACUAGAAAUGGAACUGAGAAAUGAAGCCGCAGAGUUUCCUUAAUUACUAGCUUUAAACACUGCAUUUUGUCAAAAUCGUCCUCAGUUAUCUCUGAUUUUCCUUGGCCUACAGCUCUGACCUCAUUUUGCAAUUUCUCCAUGACCUUGGGGUCUCUUAGAAGCUCUACCAUCACCCAUUCGAUGACUGUAUGAGUGGUAUCCGUUCCAGCUCAAACAUGUCCUAAUCAUGCAAAGUAGAAGCCAAUUGUGAAUAAGUUGAUGUAAAGCGCAGUUUUAUAUAUUAUAUGCCUUAAAGAGUGGUGACUCUUACCAUGAUCACGUGGGAUCCUUAAUCCAAUGUUGGACUUAUAUGUGAAUAAUUAUAUAUUAUAAAUUAUCAAAUAAGGUUAAAUCCAAUUAAAAUAAUCAAUUAUGAUUUGGGUUUUAAUAUAUCUAAUAUGAUGUAAGCCUUUAAUGUGUAGUAAUUUAAGGGUAAUUUCUAUUUCUAUGAUGGGUUGAAAUAGAAAUCUAAAAAAUAACAGAAAAGUUAUCUAUAAAUAAGGUUAUGAUCUCUGAGUCACAUGUAUUCUUAUUUGUUAUAUUUUUAGUACCACAAAAUAACUCUUUUCUGAUAUCCCAUCGUUAGGAAAGAUAUCAAAAAGAAAUUAAAGAGCUCUCUCAAGGGAUUAGCGAAUACUUGUUGACCUAGAAGACUAUUUCAAAAUCUCUAAGGAUUCAAGUGGCAGUUAGUCAACAUGAAUCCAGGUACACUUCCACAAUUUUACUGUUAAUUUAUUUCUUAAAAAUUACCAUAAAAAUUUUGGACUUAAUAGGUGAUGGUUUUCAUCAAAAUUUAAUGACAAGUAUCGAGCCUGUGCAAUAAUAAUUACCUGCUCGAAGAAAAUAUAAUUUUUGUGUAUAGCGGUGAGCAGGGUCGAAUCCACAGAGACUGGAGGAGAAUUUGUUUCUUCUAGAGUACGGAAAGCGGGGGAUUUUUAUAAAAUCAAGAAUAAUUAAACAACUCAAACAGAGAUAAAAAUCAAUAAAUAACCAAUUAAUAAAAAUAAUUCACGAAAGUAAGCAGGAAUUAAAUCGAUGGUAGACAAUCUCUAGUCAAAUAUACAACCUCGCAAACACAGUCCAUUUAUCCGAUCAUUGAUGAAAAGAUGGUUUGCUCAAUUCAUUAACAGGUUAGUUAUAGUCGCCAACAAGCUCUGACGACCAACUUUUCCUUAGUUUAUGGAUGACCAAGGUACGACCAUUAAUCACCCCUAACCAAAAAAUAACCCUAAAUAUGACCGUAGAAUUCAAUUUUUCAAUUGCCUUAAGAAUUAGAAAAGCUUAACCCUAAUCAAUAACACACUAAGAGGUUAUUUAAAUUAGAUUGCGUAUUCCCCUAACGUGUGUAAACGCCAGUUACCACUAAUAUUAAUCGACUAAACAAUUACAGAUUUAGUGAUUAAUUUGUCAGUAGAUUAUUAGGUUAUUUUGAAUAUCGGGCUCUAGACAUUCAGUUAACGAAAUAAUCUCUAGAAAUUAAAAUAGAGAAUACACAAAUAUCAAUAAAUUGGAGAAACGAGUUGAGAUUAGUUCGAUCUCACAGAUAUUCAAGAUGACGUCGUUGAGUUGAUCUCUGACUAGAUUAGGAAUUUAGCCACACCCCAUAGAGAAAUUUUCACGCGAAUUAGUAGAAUUCAUGAACAUCCAAUCUUGUUCCUUAAACAAUGUAAUAUGUUUCAUGCAAAAAGAGUAAAGGAACGAAGAAGGAAUUAUCUACUGUCUUGUGGCCUCCAAAAAGGACGAAAAGAGAAUGUCCCUAAUCUAAACAAUGACUAGUCUUUAUUCUCGUCUAUCUCCUCGUCGAAUAAGGAAAAGAAAAAAAAAAGAUAAAGCAACUCCCCAAUGUUCCUUGUUUCUUGUUUCCUAAUACUAGUAAACUACUAGUCACGAAAGGAAAGGAAUUGAUUUAGCACAUCUUGCAGCCGGAUUUGCAAAGAUUCUCGAAGCUUCCUACGUGCACAGCUUGUUAUUAAGAAAGUCUCCCUUUUUAGCAUUUUUCUGCCCCGCCUCCUGUAAUUAGGUCCAAAUACUAAAUAUAAGUAUAACUCAAUAAUUAAAACAAUAUUUGGUGAGGGUAAAAAGGAAAAUUAAUCAUAAAUUUCAUAACAAAUUACGUCCUAUCAGUUAAUAUAAACAAUCACCAUCAAUUAAUAUGAUUGAUUAUUAAAAAAUAAUUUGGUAUUAAUAAUUCAUAGUUUUCAAGUUAUUUUUAAUUAGAAUUAUUUUUGUUUUGAUUGUGCGGUGGUUAACAAUCUUGAAUUGUGGUUUUAAUGUAAUUUGUUUGCUUAUAUUUUCGGUAAAUUUGCACUGUCCAAUUCAUUGCUUUUAGUUACAUAUAAAUCCAUGGGUUUGUCGAAAUUAAUAAGCAUGAUGCACAAUAUUUGUGGUUUUAAGUACAGAUAUUUGCUUUGCUUGUUAUGAUUAGUUGGUACAUGGCUCAAAUACACAUGGUUCCAGGAUCUCGCAUGCUUGUCUUGUUUGAUUGUUGAAUUUUGUGAACCUCUUGAUAUGUUGGCACAAGUCAUAAUAUGUGGAACCCACAUACUUUCCAUGAUAUAAAUUAGGGAUAAUAUCAGAAACCUCCCCUGAGGUUUCUUCAAAUAUCACUUAGCUCCCCCCACAUUUUAGAAAUCUCUCUUACCAUCCCUCAAGUGAUAAUGGGUCAACAGUCAACAAGAAAUCUAAUCAGUUGCCAAUAAUACCCUUUGCUUUGCUGUUAACUUAUUCAGCUGAUAAAAUGCAAAAUAUGACUGAGAGAGCAAGCAUGGAACUGUAUAAAGCCCGGGAAAGCAUUGCCGCCUAGAAGCUGAGUUCUGUACGAAUUGCAUGGCGCCAUUUUGUUCUGAUAAGACAUCUAAUAGCCCGGGAAAUGAAGAGGAAUGAGAUACUACUUAUAACUGUGAUUGUUAUUUGAUAGUAUCUUUCUGGAAAUUGGUCCAUGGAUAUUGCAGAGGAGGAGAAAUAUUGCAAAGUAUUGAAUUGCAUGCGUUCGGUUGGAGUGAAAGUGAUUUUGUCAAAACUGAGCUGCACAACAGGUAAAAAUCUUCCAUUGCUAGUUGAUAUGAUCAACAUGUAGAAGGAGAACUUGUCGAGUGCCAUGAACUGUUCUUCAUCAGUUGCCUAUAAUAUCUCUGUUUUCUUGUGUUUUUUUGUUUUGUUGGACUUGCUCUGGCUGAGUUCUAUUGGUAGUUGAUAUGAUGAACAUGUAACAGGACAAAAUACAGGUGUCAUGAACUGUUCUUCAUGAUUUGCCUUUAAUAUCUCAGUUUUCCUUGUGUUUUUAUGGUUUAUUGGACUUGAUGACCAAGUUUAACAUCCAACCAGAGCCUUUGUAUGUGAUCCUUAUAUUAAGUAUUGUUAAUGUUGGAUGCUGUAAAGAAUGUCUGAUUUGAUGAACUAUGCUUGACCUUUAUUUUAUUGGUUCAAAAAAUUUGAUGAAUAUUGAGUUGAAGCUAAGCUGUAAUACAUAAGAACAGCUUAGCUUUGUAGCUUAACUUUGUAGCUUAGCUUUGCAACCUGAGUUUGACUUUGAUUAAGCAUGCGUGUGUUAUACUAUGUCCCUUGUGAGAAUAUGUGAUCCUUAUAGCUAUUGAUUCAAACUUUUCUUGCGAACACACUGAUAUGUAGGAUAGGAAGAAUUAUUGCACAUGAUAUUCUAGUCCAUUACAUGGGAAACACUGUCAGAAUUCCAAAUGUCGAUCCAAAGAACUACCAAUAUAUUGACCUUCUUGGUGAUGUCACUGAUAAGGCAAUGAAUGAUUUGCCUAGAAAUUUGAACAUGCUUGUGCAUAUGAAAUGUGUGAUUCCUAGGACAACAGGCUUUAUAGACAUCAGUAGUGACAAAUCAGUCCUUGAUAUGUUCAAACUUCAUGAAAAUGAUCUUGUUAUAAACUUGUACUUGCUGCACCUGGAUAUUAUUCCUACUACAGAGUAGAAUAUGGUAGACUAUAGGAAUAACCAACUUAUUGUGGCACAGAAAGACAUAGGAAUCGAAAAUGCUCCCAUUCGUGUAGUUGACAGUGAGGGUGAUGAUAAGAUUUAUGCUUCUAGUUCUGAUGACUCUUGGAAGGAUGACAUAGAUAGCGACUUGGAAGAUGUCGUAGCUAAAGAUAGGGCCUUAAUUUCUAGUAGUGAUAAGGAGGAAAAUGACUUGUCUGAUUAUGAGGAGAUAGAGGAUGCACCAGUUGUCCCUGAUUCAGAAUCUGACUAAGAGACUGAUCCUAUGAGAGCAAUCAUGCAGUCAAAAAUGUGGACUUACAAUCCAAGAGAGGACAUUGAGUUUGAGAAAGGGAUGCUAUUUACCAAUGUGAUGCAUUUAGAGCAGUGUUGAAGGACUAUGCUAUUCAGAAAAGAUUUCCAUUGGUGAGGUUGAAAAAUGAAAGAGCAGGUGCACUGUCAAGUGUGGUGCUGAGGGGUGUAGCUGGAGGAUUCAUGCAUCCCCAGUUUGUGGCGACCCCACUUCCCCCUAAGGCGAACCAGAGGGUUGGCGGGCCGUCUGCCCAACUCUCGCCAGGACUCAUGCAAGCACACUAACCCAAAUCCUUCCGAAGAUUUACCUCAUCUAUUACAAAGACGAUUCUCCCGAAAAAAAAAAUUACUAGGUCCACAUUAGCUCCAAAGAUAACCGUAAUUUAAAAUAGCCAGUCGACGGCUCCUAAACAUCUCACGCGUUACAUCCAAGGAAUAAGGUCGUACAAUUCCGGAUAUACAAUUUCAUACUCCACAAUUACAAACAUACAAGCCAAACAUUCGAACUAGGGUUUACACAUUUUCCAGUUUCAAGUGGCAAUCCAAAACCAAAAGUACGUUGUUUAAAUUGAAGCACAAUAGAAUCCACAAAAGAAGCCAUAAUAUUCAUUUACAUCCCAAAAAGAAACAUAGAUAAGUUUCAAGGCUUUCAAUUGCCAGAACCUGUCAAGGAAAACAAAUAAAUGUGGGGUGAGCUAAAGCUCAGUGGUGCCCCAAAACAUGCAAUUAAAUAAAACAACUAACACGUAUUGAUUUCGGCUGAAGUAAACAACUAGGAAAGCGCAUAACAGUAGAAAGUAGGAUACGGGGACUCUCAGGAGCCAUUUUCCGCGCUUGAUCAAAAUUUACCGUAGUUGACCCUCCGUCAACUCUCACUACUUACGGUCCAUGUAGAACUCCUUAUUUUACUUAACUCCGGCCACCGAUCAUACCCCAACUCCGGGCCCGCACGACAAAAUAAAUGAGAGCGGUAGUACUCGAGUAUACCCCCUGGAUAAACUAGUCGAGGGAUUCACCCAACGACGUCACAAACUAGUCGAGGGAUUUACCCAACGACGUCACAACACUUGAGAUAUUCACGAAAACAUUUCACGCAAGUCACCACUCGAACGGCUAGUGUGAUAAAGUACACACUGCUCACUUCGAUGGAUCAGAAACCAUUUUUGCGAUUACCACAUAUCAAGUCAAGGAAGCACUUUAACCAAAUAAGCAUAGAACAGGACACUUACCAAGAGUGAAGUUACUGAUCAAGCUGGGAAUCAAAGUCUGCGUUCUCGUUAAACCCUAAAAAAAAUACCAAAUUUUAAAACUAUAAGCUGGCUAUACUAGUUCCAGGAUUACGUAGGAAAAAUUAUUCGUAGUAUAGCUAGUUUAUUUUCUUGGAAUAAGUCAACAAACCAUGUAGUUUUAAAACUAGUAAAAUACUUUGUAAAGUUUCCUUAAUAUUACUUUUUCUUGUAAAAGUGUUACUAGAACUAAUUUACUUGAAAUAAGGUUUCUUGCCGAACAAGUUUUCUACGCUUUUAGCUAAAGUCACUACAAUCUCGUAUUUUGGAAAUUUUCCUCUAGAAAACUAGCCAGGGACAAUUUUUUUUUAACGAAAGAAAAGGAAUUAAAGCAAGGCUUGAGUUUUUGAACCGGGUGAAAUCAUUUCCUAAAAGUAGUAAGGCUAAUUUAAGCUUAAGUAGGAAACGUCGAGUCGGCAAGGUUUAGAAAAUCCUUACGCAAGAAUUUCUAACUUAAACGUACGAUACUAAGUUUUAUCGUUUACUGCUAAGCACAACUAUAUUUAAAUAAUUUACUUAAAACAUUCUCGAGUUCACAAGGUCGGAACGAGUUUCACAAUUUCGAUUCCACUUCGAAAUCACAUUAUAACUCAAAUUUGCCAACGCAUCAGAAUCACAUUUCAAUAGCAAGUCACUAGGGCUUCGUCAAUCAUUAGCCCUAGGUUUCAAUAAAUUCAUUUCUGAUCAAGAAUAAAAUAAAUGAUCAAGGGUUCAUCAAUCAUUAGCACUUGGUUUUGGCAAGCUCAUAUCACAUUUCAACUUAAUCAAAAUAAAUAUAAGGCCUCCAAGCAAUUCCAGUCGUUAAAUUUCAUCACACUUUAACACUUGUAUAAAAUCAUUCAAACGGCCAAGGGCUUCAUCAAUCAUUAGCCCUUAACAUCCAACAAUUAUUUCUUAUAACAAUAUAGCCAACAUUUCAACCAAACUUUUAUUGUUCAGAAACAAGGGUAACUUAAACAUUUUCCAGCAAUUGUUAUUCCAAACUAUCAAGAAUUCCAUCUCAACAUUUUAACCAUAGUAUAAUCAAAUUGUUAUCCCAAGGUGUACCUGCAUAACCCUCUUAAUAUUUCUUAAAGUGAAAUCAAUGGGCAUAAAAUAUUUUACAGCUCGAAACAGCAGUUUUAGAACUGAAAUUCGCCAAUGAACUCUGAAAAAUUCCUUUACUACUUCCGUUACUUCAAUUAAUUUUUUUUUCUUGUUUAAACCAAUCAAUUUUCUUCAUACAGAGUUUAAUUAUCUUGUUAUUAACUAGCUGAUCGUGUUUAUAAGUUCAAAACAACAAGGUUAACCAAGUAAAGCUGCGAUAUUCAGGAUCAAGCUCUCGGUAAAUCUAAUUUCUUGCGCACAUCAGAGUUUCUUUUUCUAAAUCACUCAUCCGAAUGCCUAACAUCAACAUGCAUGUUCCUAGAUGGCUUAAUCUUCUUGUUUUUGAUUGGUUAAACACAUAAUUAAGCUCAGAUUGUCACAGGUAAAUAAAUCAAGAGUUGCAUUAUCACUUCCCCUCUCGGCCAAACCCAUUCUCAGCGCACGUAAAAAUUUUCUUUUUUAAAACAUCAUCCGAACACUCAACUUCACAUGCAAGUCCAUAGCUUGCUUAAUCUACCUCUGGUUAACUAAUUUCAGUCCAGAAAAUUACCUCAGAUCGCAGCUCACUCGCGUGACAAGGAAACUGAAAAAAAAUUUUCUUCUCGGCUUUGCGCACAGCUUUGGGUUUGGUUGGUCUGAACUGUAGUGGUUGUUGCAGCUGUAGUGGUGUCGUGGUUGGAAGAUUGUUGCAGCUGGUGGAGGUUGAAGAGAAAACGGAGAGGACUCACUCACGAUCUCUCUCUUUCUUCCUUCAACUCCCGGACAGAACUAGAAAAUUUUUGCAGCUCGCGGUUUCUCCUCUCUCGGUUCCUCUUCUUUCUCUCUUCAAAACUCACGAGGUGGGGUGGAGAGUGAAAUGGUGGUGCGAGGUAAUGGUUAUGGAGAGGAGAGAAAGGGUGCGCGGUUGAGUGUGAGUGAGGUUGUGUGUUGGAGUGGAUAAAAUUUACAUUGGCCGAAUGGUGAGGUGAUUAUAAUGUUGUCCGGGAAAUUGGUUGGGUUUGCAUGAUAGUUUUGUGGUUGUAUGAGGGCAUUUUAGUCUUUCCACUUUUCUUCCUCAUCUCCACUUAAAUCCUCAAUUCUAACUUAAUUCCAAAAAGUAUCCCCAAGUGUGAUUUAAACGCCUGAUUAUACACCAAUCUUGCAAGACUUCAAUUGUCAUAAUUUUUUUUACGUCUUAAGUAUGUUUAGUGUACUUGUAUCAUGUUUAUCUAAAAUUUAUUGACUUCGUCUUAACGUGAAAGUUCUUAUAAGUAUCUAACGUUAUUCACUAAUUAGAAUUAAUUAUUGGAUUUCAAGUAAUUUAUUUUAAGGUAGCAAAAUUAAUCGGCUCAAGUAUCAUUAAUUUAGCAUAAUGGAAACUAAGUAUUCUAACGUUUUAUGUUAAGGCGGAAAAUUGAUCUAACUCUAAAGGUAUUAAUUUAGUCUAUCAAAACAAAACAAAAAAAAAAUUUCAUAGUUUAGAAAAGUUAUAUUAUUUUUCACAUAAAAUUGUUUUUACGUACUUAUUUGCAAACAAGUGAAAGUAAUGCUAAAAUUUAUUAAAGAAUUAAAUGAAAUGCAAAUGAAAUAUGCACUAGGGCUUGUAUAUAUUUUCGGGGUUCUCACACAGUUGGUGAUACAACCACAUUCAUGGUUAAGACAUAUACACCUGAGCAUACAUGUGUCAUGAAUAGGAAAAAUUCAGAAGCAACAUCAGAUUGGAUUGCAAAGAAGUUAAUUUCUGUUAUGAAAGAUCACCCAGAGAUGAAAAGCAAGGUAGUAAAGGCUGAAAUGCAGAAGCAUGGAGUCUUGCCAAGUAGAAUGCAAAUUUACAGGGCAAAAAAGAAAGCCUUGGAACAGAUAGAAGGAUCACACAGUGAGGCCUAUGGAAAAUUACCAAAAUAUGCUGAACUGUUGAGGAUGCACAACCCAGGAAGCAUCAUCAAAAUUCAUUAUGAUAGGCCAAAUGUUCUGGUAAAGCCUAAAUUUCUGAGAUUGUUUGUCUCUUUCAAGGCACAAAGAGAUGGUUUCCUGGCAGGUUGCAGGCCAUUUAUUGGCUUUGAUUGAUGGUUGCCAUUUGAAAGGUGCAUUUGGGGGCAUUCUGUUGACUGCUGUUGCUCUUGAUGGGAACAAUAGUUUGUUUCCAUUAGCUUUUUCUGUUGUAGAGUGUGAAAACAAGGAAGCCUGGAGUUGAUUUUUUUAUUAUUUCCAAGAAUUCUUUGGACCAUUUCCAGCCAAUAUUCCAUUCACCUUUAUGAGUGUAGACAAAAGGUAUGUUUUAUAUUUCUGUAUUUUUCAUGUUCAGAUUUUCUCCAUUGCUAUUAUAGUGGUUGAAUCAAGUAUUUGAAGGAGUUUGUUUUUGAAACUUCUGUAUAGGGACUCAACCUUGCUUAUGAGGAACAAGUGCCUAAAGCUGCUGCACGAUAUUGCUGUUGGCACGUCUACUGCAACUUCAAAGUCAAAUUUAUAGGAUUGCUGCUAAGGAGAUUUUUUUGGCAAGCAGCUAAAAGUUAUGAUUUGAUAGGACACAAUGAGGCUAUGGAAAGAAUAAAAAAUAUUAACAUAGAUGCUUGGAGAUACUUAGCAAACAUUCCUAAGUGUAAUUGGGCAAGGCAUGCAUUUUCUGUUAAAAUUAAGUGUGAUCAUGUCACCAAUAAUUUCACAGAAUCUUUUAAUGCAUGGGGUUGGAGAACUGAGGGAAAAGAAUAUACUUGCUCUGGCUGAAGGACUGAGGCAAAAAUUCAUGAAAAAACUGCAUAAGAGGUAUCAAAAAGGCUGCACAUGGACAUCUAGUGUUACUCCACAUGUUAUUGGCAAGCUGAAGAUAUUGCAGCUGAAUCAAGAAGGUGUUUACUGAUAAUGGCAAGUGACAACACGUUUGAAGUAGCAGACUAUGAUAAGUCCUAUAUAGUCAAGUUGAUUGAAAGGAUAUGUGAAUGCGGGGCUUUCCAGUUGGCUGGCAUUCCUUGCAAGCAUGCUGCACUAGGAGCUAUUUAUAGAAGGGAGAAACUGGAACGCUAAUGUGAUGCAGCCUUUUCCAUUGAUCAAUACUUGAAAACGUAUGCAUUUAUGAUCAACCCAAUUCCACAUAUGAAUAGGUGGCCUCCAAUGGAAAAUGUGACACCGGUAGUAGUUUUGCCACCACCACUUAGAUGAAGCGCUGGUAGACCAAGAAGAAAUAGAAGAAGGGCACUUGAUGAAGGAGCUCCUGCACCUCAACACAAGAGAUCAAUCAGUUUCAGGUGCUCAACGUGCGGCAGGUUUGGACAUAAUAGGAGAACUUGUCAACGAGCUCCUGUUGCUGAGAAAAGAGGCAGCAGUACUUCUACAAAUCAGGUAGCAAGUCGAAGAGGAAAACCAGGAAGAGGCAUUGCCAAUACUGGAUUAGCAGGAUCUGUUCUAUGGGUAAUUGAAGCAAUGUCAAAUUAUAGUAUCUUCAUGUGUAUUAAUUCCUUGCAAAUGAGCUUAGCUUUUUGAUCUGAUUUGUCAGGAACAUGCACAAGGAAAUGUCCCAGUCAUUGUAUCAAGUCAAGGCAGUAAUGGAAGCACUCAAAAUCAUGUUGCUGGAGCUCAUGUUCAACUUAAUCAUUCUGCCUGCACUAGUACUAAUACCAGAAAGGUAUAGUUAAUCAGAAAUUAGAUUCAGCACCUAUUGCUAACUGAUAAGUGACUAAUUUACGUAAUAAUUGUAUGACAUUUUAUAUUACUUUUAGUCACUUUGGUUAUAUUAUUGGAAGAAUAUGAAUCAUUUUGGCUAUAAUUGGUGAAUAAAUGUUUUUAAGUGAUUAAAUGAGGUUUUUAUCACUUUUUACUUGGAUUUUGUGUAUUUUGACAGUUUUUGACACAUUUUCGUAUUUCGGCUAUAACUUGAGUUACAAUGAUCGGAUUGGGAUGAUUCUUGAACCCAUUUGAAGAUAAGAGAUAGAUCUACAACUUUGGUGAAGACAUCUAAAUCCAGUGUGAAGGUUUUCCAGGUCAAAAUGCCGAAUUACAAUAGCAAAUUUCUACUGGUCGAAGCUGGAACAGGGCAAUGAGCAGGUAAGGGUAUUUCAGUCAUAUCUCAGCCUACACAGAUCCAAAUGAGGUGAUUCUUGAUGCAUUAGAAAGAUAACUCAAAAGGCUACAACUUUCGUGUUUUAGACAUGAGCUGGUUCAGCCUCUAACAUCAAGAAAAGAUUGGUUGAAGUUGGGCCAAAAACAGAGCAAGUGAUCCACACUCGGAUCCACUAUUCAUCCGAACCCUCGGUUGUUUCUGGGUUAGUGAUCCGAGCUCGGAUCCAUACGGAUCCGAGGUACUGUAGCAGCUCGGAUCACUGGUCAGAAAAGGCUGCUCUGUACGCGUAAAACUCAAUUUCACCUCCACCAACUCACAUUGGAUGCUAGACAUGUGAGAAACAUUCCCAGCUGUAAAAGGGAGAUGUAAUCCUCAUUUCUUGACCACCUUUCAUCAUUAAAUAGCCAAAUUCAUUGCAAAAAAGGAGAUGGGGAGUUCAUAGCAGAAAAAUAGAGAGACAUACGGGAGAAACUUGAAGUUGCAGAAAUGUAGCUCUUUCAUCUCCCUAGUGUUAGUUUAGCUUAGUAUAGAGUAGUGUAGCUUUCCAUUCUUGUUUAUUAUCUAGAUUAGGAUGAAGAUGGAGGAUGAAGAAGGCAAGGAAGAAAGCUCAUGUGACAAGGGUUGUAUUCCUUCCAAACUCUUUAUCUUUUGUAUUUGAUUCCAAGUUUAGUUAAUAUACAAGUUCUAGAUUUUGUGUUCAUUAUGUGUUUCUAAAGUUUAUACCUUGGGUUUGGUUGAACUUUCUAUGAUUGUUAGUGCUUAUUAUUUGGCUAUUUGACUGCUAUGAUUUGAGCAAGUUAUUUAGCACUUUAGCUCUUGAAAUCAUGAUUAAUCUGGUACCAUUAAUUGUGAUUAUCUAAGGUGUUGUUUCUGCAAUGAAAAUUGAGAUUUAACACUAGUUCAAGAAGUGCUAAACAUAAGGAGUACACUCACGAAAGUAGAGGUGCACUUAUGUGGUUUUUAGUGAUUCAUUUCAUGUAAUUUCAUUGAAGAAAUGAACUUGUAGCUAAUUUCAUAACCAUGAAAAUAGGUAUGGAUUAGUUAUGAGUAUAAUUGAUUCACUACGAAAGUAGGAUUCAAAUGCAUAAGGAAAUUACACCAUAAUUAGCCUAGAUGUAGUAUUCAAUGAUCCAAAUAUAGCACUUGCAUGAGUAGUUAGGGAUACCACAACCUAAGGAGCUUUCAUUUGUUAUUUUGUAUAAUUUCAGUAGGUUUAAAUUUGUUAUAAUUCAUUGAUAGUCUAAAUAAUAGAGAAGCUUUAGUAGUACCGGUAAUUGCAAUCUUCCUUGUGGGAUCGACCCUUAAUACCCUAUACUCGCUCACGAUUCGUAUACUUGCGAUAAAUCGCGUGUGGGGUAUUUAGGAGUUUAUAAAUGUAAAACUUGAUUAGGAUGAGCUUAAUUGUAUAUGUAUACUCCGCGCACGUCAAGUUUUUGGCGCCGUUGCCGGGGAAGAUUUGGCAAUAUCGGUGUGAAGAGUAACUUUAUUAGUUUAGACAUUUUAUUAGUUAUUGUGUGAAUGUUAUUUUCUGUCAUUUUAGUAUUUUUUAUGUGUAUGUGUUUUAUCACCUAUUCUUCUUACUAAUUUUGCUCUUAAGUUGUUUAAAAGCAAUUUUAGGUGAUGAGAAGGGUAGGACAAUUUGGAGGACAAUGCUUGAGAAGUGGAAGAUUGGUAAUGGAUGGUUACCAAGUGCAAAGCUCCUUUAAUAGAGGUAACCAAGAAUUUACUGAAUGUAUGUCUUUUGAAGAUGGUUUAAGGUGCUUAAAGGCUAAAUUUGAUGUUAUGAUGUUACAAGUUCAAAUGGACACCAUGAUGCAUGAAAUUGAGCAGAGGAAGAAUGUUAAUGUUUUUAAUUCUUAUCAUGUGAUUUGUGACUUGUGUGGAGGUUAUCAUGCUACUAAUACAUGUAUGCAAGCACAAAAUAUGGAUUAUUAUGAUGAAUUAGAGCAUUACAAUCCUUGUUUUGAUCGAUAUAGUGCUAAUUUGAGCAAUUCUCCUGCUUAUGGUUGGAAUAAUCAAUGUACUUAUAGUAAUUCUUCAUAUUUUUAUGAUUAUUAGCAAUAGAAAAGCUAGCAAAUGCAACUUCCGAUCGUUUUGAUAGGAUUGAGGAAAGAAUAGAUGAAUUAGCUUCUCACUUUGGUCGAAUACAUGAGCAAUUGAAUGCAUUGUGUGAAGUUAUUUCCUCUAAUAAUGUGCAAAAUGAUCCUAGCAUGAAUGAUGGGAAUGUUGUAUGUGAAAAUGGGUUGCAUUUUGAUGAAAAUGAUGAAUCUCAAUUGUGUUUCAAUGAGCAAAUGUCCAUUUCACAUGAUAAUAUCUUUGGAACUAACUUUGAGCCUCAAGAGGUGAGUUUUAAUGACUCAUUUUUCACCCCUCUUGAGGAGUGCAUUGAAAGUAUAGGUUCUAAAGGUAUUCCUGCCCAAGAUACUCUCAUGACAUUUCCUUUGGUAAGUUCUCAAGUGGUGCAUAUUCAAGGUAAUAUCUAUGGAACACUUGGAAUAUGUAAGUCACUUCCAUCUCUCAGAUCAUUAGUUCAUGUGGCUUUUUCUAUUAAGUCACCUUACAAUGAUCCACCAAGGCCUAAAAUGGUGGAUUAUUCGUUAACUAAGCCUCCUUGAAAAAUGAGGUGAUAUAGUCAAGCUAUUGACUUUAAAGAAGCGCUUAUUGGGAGGCAACCCAAUGCUUGUUUAAGUUGGUGUUACUUUGGAGUGAUUUUAUGUUUAAAGUAUAAGUUUGAGUUAUUUUGUUAUUUUUCAUUUGUAGGUUUUGGAAAAAGAUGCAAAAGUGACCAAAUGAGGUGAAAAAGGCGAAGUUUGAUCAAAGAUCUCAAUACCACAAAUUCAGUAAUUGUGAAUUUUGAUGCAUUAAAGAGGUUUAGAAUGCAUGUUUAGAUCAUUUUACAUGUGCGUGAAUGAUUUAUUUUGACAUAGAAAUGAUCUAGGGUGUAUUUUGAAGAAUUGAGGUCAAACUGAAAAUUGCAAAAAUUCUGCAAUAAGUGCAGAUUCAAUGGAUCCAAGGCCUCGGAUCCAUAUGGAUCCAAGGCCUCGGAUCCACUUCUGCAAUCAGAGAAAAACUUCGAGCUUCUUGAUCCGAGCUCGGAUCCAUAUGGAUCCGAGGCCUCGGAUCCACUUCUGCAAUCAGAAAAAAUUUGAGCUUCUUGAUCCGAGCUCACUUAUCAUGAUCCGACAUCGGAUCCUUUCAAAAACGACCUCGGAUCCUUUCCAAACGAAGCCUCGGACCACUUUUCUUCAUUCUUCCCUCUUUUUCCUCCUUCAACUCCACUUUUCUUCUUGUUGGUUGCAAGCUUUUAUUCUUAAGAAUUGUAUUUUUGUUUUUUUUUCAAGGUGCAUUAAUUGAAGUCUCCAUUCUUUCAAGUAAAGUUGGAAAUUCAUCACAUUGCCAUGGAUUCGGAUCACGCAAGUUCAUUAGGGGAGUAUUACUUUCUCUUAUUUUCGUUAUUUUUCCUUUCUCACAUUGAGGACAAUGUGAAGUUUAAGUGUGGGGGAGGAAAGUAUUGAACUUGCAUUUACUUGCCAUGUGAUGAUAUUUUGUGGAUAUAAAUGCUUAGAAAUAUUGGAGUUAUGUUUGAAUUAUUUGCCAUGUGGAUAAUUUGCCUGAAAUUGGGUUUGUUGGCAGGGAGUUUUCUUCCAUUUAUACGGGGAAACUCCGUCAAAAUUUGUCUAACAUCUUGUCCAAUAUGUCACUAUGGCCCAAAAGUUCUUCAAAUUUUUGCAUUUUCAUUCAAAAAGGGCUAAUUUGUUCCAACUUUAAAUGUUUUUAUUCUUCCAAUUGUUGAAACUUUAUGUGUAUUUUGGAAGGUUUAGUCCUCAUUUAACUUGGAAAUAGUUAUUAUGCAAUUAGAAUUUUUACAUUUUAGAAAGUAUUUUUGGUAAAGUGAGGAAAAUUAUGCCUAUAAUUUUACAUGUUUAAUGAGAUUUCUUCUCUUUACUUAAUUUUGCAAGUAAGUGAUUGACAUAGUUGAUAAAAGGUUAUACUCCUCCUUUGAUUAGUCUUAUAUAUUUUCUAAGAGGGAAUAUCUAUUUAUUGUCCUUUAGUUUAAAAAAUAAAAAAAAAAAAAAAAAAAAAAAAAAAAAAGAGAAGAAAAGAAAGAAAAAAUUAUUCUACUCCAAUGAUUUUUGUACCGAGUAACCGGGGGUUGGCAUCUACAAAUGUCGAUUUUCGCGUAAAAAGCUACUUGAAUUAAGAGUAUGCAUUGCAACUUGAAUAAGUGAAAUGUUGAGUAACCGGGAAUCUUCACCUAAAAGUGUCGAUUUUCGCGUAAAAAGGCAUUCUCACUAAUUAAGUAAAAUUAGUAUGAAUAAAUCCCUCUUAGAUGUAAAAUUUUGAGAAAAGGAUGAUUAUAGGAGGAGGAAGGCUAUAAAUCGACUAUGUGGGUUGCUUAUUUGUGAAAUUAGGUUAGGUUAAGAGAUUAAGUUUAACUUGUUGAAUUUAGGGUAUAAUUAUCUUUCCUUUACUUGAUAUUAUGAGUAUUUAGUGUAAAUUGAAUAAUUAUAUAAUAAUUAUUUUCCAAGUCUUGAGGAAUUAAAUUGGACAAAGUGCAUAUAUUGUUUCACCUCUUGAAUCAUUGCAUUUGAUUAUGUGUGAAUUGCUUGAGGACAAGCAAUGAUUUAAGUGUGGGGGAGUUUGAUAAGUGACUAAUUUACGUAAUAAUUGUAUGACAUUUUAUAUUACUUUUAGUCACUUUGGUUAUAUUAUUGGAAGAAUAUGAAUCAUUUUGGCUAUAAUUGGUGAAUAAAUGUUUUUAAGUGAUUAAAUGAGGUUUUUAUCACUUUUUACUUGGAUUUUGUGUAUUUUGACAGUUUUUGACACAUUUUCGUAUUUCGGCUAUAACUUGAGUUACAAUGAUCGGAUUGGGAUGAUUCUUGAACCCAUUUGAAGAUAAGAGAUAGAUCUACAACUUUGGUGAAGACAUCUAAAUCCAGUUUGAAGGUUUUCCAGGUCAAAAUGCCGAAUUACAAUAGCAAAUUUCUACUGGUCGAAGCUGGAACAGGGCAAUGAGCAGGUAAGGGUAUUUCAGUCAUAUCUCAGCCUACACAGAUCCAAAUGAGGUGAUUCUUGAUGCAUUAGAAAGAUAACUCAAAAGGCUACAACUUUCGUGUUUUAGACAUGAGCUGGUUCAGCCUCUAACAUCAAGAAAAGAUUGGUUGAAGUUGGGCCAAAAACAGAGCAAGUGAUCCACACUCGGAUCCACUAUUCAUCCGAACCCUCGGUUGUUUCUGGGUUAGUGGAUCCGAGGUACUGUAGCAGCUCGGAUCACUGGUCAGAAAAGGCUGCUCUGUACGCGUAAAACUCAAUUUCACCUCCACCAACUCACAUUGGAUGCUAGACAUGUGAGAAACAUUCCCAGCUGUAAAAGGGAGAUGUAAUCCUCAUUUCUUGACCACCUUUCAUCAUAAAAUAGCCAAAUUCAUUGCAAAAAAGGAGAUGGGGAGUUCAUAGCAGAAAAAUAGAGAGACAUACGGGAGAAGCUUGAAGUUGCAGAAAUGUAGCUCUUUCAUCUCCCUAGUGUUAGUUUAGCUUAGUAUAGAGUAGUGUAGCUUUCCAUUCUUGUUUAUUAUCUAGAUUAGGAUGAAGAUGGAGGAUGAAGAAGGCAAGGAAGAAAGCUCAUGUGACAAGGGUUGUAUUCCUUCCAAACUCUUUAUCUUUUGUAUUUGAUUCCAAGUUUAGUUAAUAUACAAGUUCUAGAUUUUGUGUUCAUUAUGUGUUUCUAAAGUUUAUACCUUGGGUUUGGUUGAACUUUCUAUGAUUGUUAGUGCUUAUUAUUUGGCUAUUUGACUGCUAUGAUUUGAGCAAGUUAUUUAGCACUUUAGCUCUUGAAAUCAUGAUUAAUCUGGUACCAUUAAUUGUGAUUAUCUAAGGUGUUGUUUCUGCAAUGAAAAUUGAGAUUUAACACUAGUUCAAGAAGUGCUAAACAUAAGGAGUACACUCACGAAAGUAGAGGUGCACUUAUGUGAUUUUUAGUGAUUCAUUUCAUGUAAUUUCAUUGAAGAAAUGAACUUGUAGCUAAUUUCAUAACCAUGAAAAUAGGUAUGGAUUAGUUAUGAGUAUAAUUGAUUCACUACGAAAGUAGGAUUCAAAUGCAUAAGGAAAUUACACCAUAAUUAGCCUAGAUGUAGUAUUCAAUGAUCCAAAUAUAGCACUUGCAUGAGUAGUUAGGGAUACCACAACCUAAGGAACUUUCAUUUGUUAAUUUCUUGUAUAAGUGCAGUAGGUUAAAUUUCUUAUCAUUAAUUGAUAGUCUAAAUAAUAGAGAAGCUUUAGUAGUACCGGUAAUUGCAAUCUUCCUUGUGGGAUCGACCCUUAAUACCCUAUACUCGCUCACGAUUCGUAUACUUGCGAUAAAUCGCGUGUGGGGUAUUUAGAAGUUUAUAAAUGUAAAACUUGAUUAAGAUGAGCUUAAUUGUAUAUGUAUACUCCGCGCACGUCACUAACUAUUCUAACUGUUGACCAGUCAUUAGUUUAAUAACAUUUGUUGCAUGGCUUCAGAGAGAAGGGCCAAAUGCAGGGGUUGGAACUAUUGUUGCUAACACCAAUAAGAGAGCCUGACCUUCCAUUGUUGUUGGCUCAGAACAAACUCCAGCAGUCACUGCAUCUUCAAUAUCCACUUCUGCUGGUAUGGUAUCUCACAUUGACAAUAGCAGCAUCAGUAUGAGGUUCUAAUUAGUACUAGUAUUAUGAGUUUUGCUUUGGGAGACUAAUCUGGUAUUUUUGUAUACGUAGCAUUCCUCAUCAUCUAGAAUGAUGUUUUUAGAUGAUGUUUUCUGAGAUUCUUGUUGAUUGCUACAUACUUUUGUUUAGUUGUAAAUAUGGAUGCAAGUGGUUAAUUGCAUUCCCAGUCCCAGUGAACGACUUCAAAGACAUAUGUUUUGGUACUUAUGUUUGGGAAUUGCAAUUUACUCUUGCCAAGUAUGCUCUGCUGCUACCCAUAGAUCUUGCAAAUAUGACUUAUUACCUUUAUGUAUGGAAUUUGCAAGCCUUCAAAGAUGUCAUGCUGUUGUUUUUUUUUUUUAACUCUAUGACUCUGAUUCCUCAGGAUUACGUGUGAAACUAGUACUGUUGUUUUCCAAUGAACUUAGCAGGAGAGACACAUUGUACCUAAGGAACUGCACCUGAUAGCUUAAUGCAUUUUUUGUCAAGUAUGACUUUUGGUAUAACACUGAUAGGCAACAAAUAUGGGGGGCAUACGUAUGAAGUAAAACAUAGCUUCAACUCUUUUUCAUAUAGCUUAACAUCAUGUCCAAGUUACACAUGCCUUUUGGUUCUUUCAUUUAUGACCAGUAAGGCUCCAAAUAGCUUGGAACACAUCUACUAUUACUGGAACAAGAAACUGUGAUUGCUUUAACAAUUUGAAUGAAAAGAAAAAUUGCUAAGAGUACAAGAUUGAUGAUGAACAAGAAAGUGAUACAUGCAUUCUGUUGAGGCACAAAAGUUACAUUCCUGAUUUGCUUUCCUCAAUGGAAGCACUGCAGAAUCAGCAUCAUUUCUUGUACGCUGCACUUCUUCACCUUCAUUUCUUUGCCUCUGCAACUCUUCGCCUUCAUUUCCUUCAUACCACUGGAAGUAGUUGCACUUUGAACAACUAAAAUAUAGCUUAUCCGGAUUUCUUUCACUCUCUGAGAUUCGUAAUGUGGCCUUGCGGUUGCAUUUACAAUACCGGUUCUUCAUGCUUAAUGAUAAAGGUGAAUUGUAUGACUGACCUUGGAAGGAUGAACUAGCCAUUUCUUUGCUUACUUUCCUUUUUAAGUUUUGCAGCUAUUUCAUGCGGUUCCCUUACCUUUUAAUACCACUGGAAGUAGCCGUUGCUUUUCCUUCACCUUCAUGCGGUUCACUCAAAAUAGCUGUUGCAUGUCCAACGGCCAUGUAACAGUGCUCAUACCAGAAAAUUUAUCUCCAAUUCAUAUUUUCCACCUACUGCAACUUUGAUAUGUCACAGGAUUCAGUCAAACUAAGGGUAUGAAGGGAAUUAAAAUACUCUCCCUCUUCCAAAACCAAUAUUCUAAUGUUACUUUUGCUCAGAGGGGCUGACAUUGUUAAGAAAAUGUCAAUUCAAAGGGUGGUAAGAGAGAUUUCUAAAAUGUAAAGGGAGCUAAGUGAUAUUUGAAGAAACCUCAGGGGAGGUUUCUGAUAUUAUCCCUAUAAAUUAACUUGAUUUCUGGUUUCGGGAAGUUGUUCGUUUUUUCCCUAUUUCAACAGAAAGCCUUGCGGCUUGUUUUGUUAGUUUAUUCAUUCAAGAGUUUUGAUUAACAUAAUAUUUAGUAGGGCCUGCAUGAUAUGUAACUUAUUAAUAUGUUAAGGAAAUUAGGGUUUCUCUAAUUUGUGUGAACCCUAAUAAAGUUAAACAACACAUUUAAGCCUUUGAAAAAAAAAAGUCCAUAAGAUUGGUUCACUAAGUAUAUAGUCUUAUAAGACAUUUAUGGAUUUCAAGAAAAUUUUGAAUUUGAAUGAUAAAUUUGGGUUAAGUUAUAGAUAUGGACUUUUAAUCCAAUAAAUCUUGAUCCAUUUGACUGGUUUGACUAGAAUUUGGCUUGUUUGACUAUAUUUGACCAGAAUUGAUUAGUUUGACAAGAUUUGACCAAUUUGACUGGUUUGACCACGUUUUGAUCAAAAUUGACUAAAGUUGAUUUUGAUCAAAAUUUUUGUGUAUUUCGUGUAAUUUUAAAUUUGAAUAUUGGUAUGAUUAUAUAUAUUUUAGAAUAAAUUAAUUGAAACAAUAUGUAACUAAAGUGACAUCUUUUGUGAUUUAAUUUAUUUUAAAAUAUACCUAGUUAGGUACUUGUAAUUUUGUUAAUAUUGACUCAAAGGAAGGUCAAUAUUUAACAAAAUUGCAUGUGCAAUUGUAGUAAUAAACACGUGAUGAUUAUUCAAAUUUUUUCGUGUGAAUUAUAAAUUGGCCCAAAGAAAAAUUUAUUUUUGACAUGUUAUUAUUGUCAGUGUUUAUUAUUGCAUCAAGAUAUCAUUUAGAAGUUAAUAUUUUUAUUCAAAAAUAAAAUAUUAAUGAAAUAUUGGUAUCUUGAGAUGGGGUUACCUUUAUUUAAAUUUAUUAUUAUUUUUUGGUGAAUGUGAGUUUGAUUUAACUAUUUUAUGUUUUCUGCUCAGUUUCGAAUGAUCUUACAAAUAUUACUACCAAUAUCAAUAAUAUUUCUAUGCUGAAUGGCUUUCUUUUGGACCCUUUUAAGGCAGCUCCCAAACCACCGGAUUGUGACGCAGCUGCAACCGCAAUCACUAGCAGCAGUUCGUACUCAUUAAAUGAUCACUUUAAUUAAUUGGGGACUGGUUAUUUUUUUUUUUGCUUUUUUUUAACGUAUGUGCAUCAUCGAACUAAAGAAUUUUAGACAAAACUACGAGUUAAAAUUUGUAACUUUGGAAGAGUUAAAAAAGGGAGAGAAGCUAAAACAAUUUCACUUGAGUUUUUAUUUUAUUUUUAUAUCUUGAUUAGCCGUUUGUUUUAUUGAAUCUUGCCCAAUUCCCGUCACAAAUAAAAAAAAAUAUGAUUAAACAACAACUGAAUUGUAAUCAAAAUAAUAGUACAACCCAUACUAAAGAAUGGAAAUUAACAUACAAAAUGAAUCUAUAUAUCCAUAAUCCAAAAUGAAUUUGGCAAAUAGAGAGAACAAAAAUAAAACCACAAUUUUAGGGUAAAAAAGAGGAAAAUAAUUAAUUCUUCAACAUUUCAGCUACAGGGCCAUAAUUUGGCGACGGAAAAACAAAGGGAAACCAAUAAAACAACUCUAUUGGUCCAAAAAGCAAACACCACGGAACGGAAGCCCCGUUCUGUUAGCCUCAAUGGACCAAGUGAAUAACUGUUUUUCGGCCUAGGUACUUCUGGACAAAAGUCACAGGGCUCCACACGCGUCUCAGCCCAGCACAUGAAUGUGAUAGACUCGCAAGUCCAAGAAGUUUGCUUGUUUUCAAGCCUGUAUCUCUACAGAAAAUGGCCCGGGGACUUUCCUGGGCCUGGCCCCACAUAGGUGUUGACCUUGACCAUCUCACUUCGUCCGCGGUGCGACGGUUCGACCGACUUCGAAGCAUAAAUUAUACUUGGGCAUACUUCUUAAGAAUUCACGAUGUGGGAGGAGUUAAUUUCUACUCUUAAGCUAUUGAGCUAGCUAGGUAAGGGAUUCGAAAUCCCUUGCCUGCAUUUCUCAUUCAGAAUUUUUUGAAAUUUUUUCGCAAGUAUAGUUUCCCUCAAGUUUUUAAUAGAUUAAUCGCGUUGAUCCCCACACUAGGCAAACCCUUAAGGUAGAGAAGGAAAAGAGCAGGGAAAACCGGUCUUCUCAGUAAAUUAUUCUAGCUGAAAUUCAAAGAUUGAAGAAUCCGAGGUCUGACGUGAUUGAACUUACCACAAAAUGCCAAGACAUUGAGGAUGCUGCAACUGUGCUAAGGAGGAGCAAAGUUUAGGUACUUCCAAAAUGAGUUAUUAUCACUUUAUCCCCUUAAAAUUAUAUCAUUAUUAUCAAUUUACCCCCUAAUAUUAUCUUUUAUUCAUUUCACUCCUAUUGGUAAUUCAAUUUAGCAUGUUAACAAAUUCUGAAUAAAAAUAUCUUUUUAUUUUAUAGUAUUAUUACAUUAUUAUUAUCACUUUAUCUCUUUAAAUUAUAUUGAUACAGUCACUUUAAUAUUGUAUAUUUUAUCGAAUUAAGAUUUUUUUGGAUUUGCAGAAUUUUAGUGAAGAGUACACAUGCUUUGGCAUAAUUAGCACAUGCGUUUGGAAGUCGAACCAGUACGAGUUGGAUCAAGAAUUGACACAAGUAAUUUGUUUAAUUAAUUUUUUUUGUAAGUAAGAGAUAUUAAAUUCAUGACAUUCUACUUAUAAUUUCUCCCGCUUUGCCAUCCAACUCAAUCUUCCCCUCAAAUUAAACUUAUUAGAUAAAUUGUUGAUUAAACUUGCCAUCAAGUUCGAGCAAUAAAAGCGCAAAGCCACCCACAUCCACCUUUUUUUCAUGAGAUUUGGGUCGGACAAUCAAUUGGUUCUUCGUUCAAUCAGUUGAACCGGUCCUUCCGGUCCAAUUUUCAAAACACACCGCCUUCAUUCAUGUCCGUGUCCUCUGGUUUCCCUCCAUCAGGCAAUACAACAUCAAACUUGCCCAAACAUGUUGCUCGAAUGAAGUCAUUAAUGGCAAUGCAAAAGGUCAUUAACAGCCACUAACUGCCAAAUAGAGUUGAUCCAAAGCUGAACGUCGAAAACCAACAUCAAAUGUGGAGAACCUUAAUAAUGGAUUUUGCGGCUUUUCUUCUCAAUAAUGGAUUUUGCCAACUGCCCAACAAUUCUCAAAUAGUAAUAACAUGGUAAGGCUGCGACAGGUCAUGGCCCUUUUCGUUGAUGCUUCGAGCCAAGUCUGACAGGAACCAAUAAUGGAGUAGGAACAUGAGCCAUGAAAACGUUAAUUUUUUCCGUUAUUCAUUUAUAACCCAUACCAAAACUCGGCAGUACUGGAUCCAAAGUGGGGCAACUUAAUUUUUAUUAUUAUCAUUAAUCUUUUGUCUCAUAGCUUUUCUAUACUAUUUUGCAAAUGAUUUGUCUCAUGGCCUCUCUCAUGCAAAUGAUUUCAAUUCUACAAUAUAGAAAUUCAAUAUUUUGGGCAAAUCCCUAGUCAUUAAGUAGGCAUUUAUAUGGAGUACAAGAGCAGAACAAUGGCAAACCGAAGGCACUCAACCUGUACAUGGGUGGUUCUAAGCUUCCCAUGUGUUGACCUACUUGAUAAGUUAUUUAGAUCACUCAAAUGGUUAAUAAAAUUGGAGAUUGGAGAAUACAUAUAUAUAUAUAUACUAGGAGAGGAAUGCCUGCGCAUCGCGCGGGUGUUUGGUGCCAGUGAUUAAAAAAGAUUUUACGGUAGUUCAAGCGAAUAUCAAAAAACUCACGCACAUUAAGUAACACUAUGAAGUAACAAAAUAUCUAAUGUAUACUGUGAGAUAGAGAAGGAAAUUAUGCAUGCUAUCUUGCUUGGUUCAUAUAUUUUGUAACAAACACUUGUAUAUGAGCUUUUCAUUAAUAAGACUAAAUGAACUUUAAAUAGAUACCCUAACGAUUCAGAGAAUGACAAUAAACAAAGUGAUUAUCCACUUAAAGAUGCAUCUACACAACAUUCUUGUUGAUGAAAGUAGCCAACUUUUUUAGCAACGACAAAGUCUAACCUCGAAAGGUUUGGUUCCAUCAGAGGAUUCAACAAUGGAUCAUCAACCCCCGUAGAUUUUGGGUAAACAUAAUGCCAAAUGCCCUUAACAUAGGCGUUCGCCUGUAAUUUCAUUAACUCAAUACUGAUUAGAUUUUUUCCCAAAAAAUAAGGACAAUUGAGAAAAAUCACAUCAAAAUCAAAGUCGUCUAGUAUCUCCAACCAAACCCUUGAUGCCAUGUGUAUGUUCUAAAUUACCACCAGCAUUAUACCCACCAAAAAACACCCUAUCAAAGCCAGCAUAAUCCCUAAGCCAUACCUCAGGACCCUCACCAUUUGAAUGAGGGGCAAUCCAUUUGACUGCAAUCUAAGAAUCUUCAUAAGCAAUAGGCAAAGGAUGCUCAGGGCGAGCUGAUAGUUAAUUGAAAUUGCUACAACACUAACUUCUGCAACUACUACAUUAAGGUGCGCGUGAUAUGUAGGAGAGAAGGCAUAUUUGAUCAAAAAGCCUCCACCAUGUAAGUAGACCAAAAAAGGAAGUUUUGUAUCUCCAAACCUAUUCCAACAAAACCACACCAUUUAAAUUGUAUAGAACAACCAACUUUGUGGGGAAACAAUAAUAUCAACAUUAAAUUGUGCUAACAGACUAUCCAAUUUUGGAAUGAAAGCAUUUAGCUAACAAUAGAAAUUAUGAUUUUACAAAGCAAAUCAUACCAUUAAAAAAAAUGAAACCUCACCUCAAGUUGAACCACCAAGAAUAGCUUCACCAGAGAACCAUAUUGAAAUCCAGAGUAUAAUUACAAUACAAAUAAGUAUUUACCGGAAGACGAAAGGAACAUGACGGAAGAAUGUGAAGGGGAUAUUUGAAGAAUUGAAGUUGAAACUAAUGCUCAAUCAUAAAUUCCUUAAUAAACCACAUUGCCCUUGCUUUAAUUGAGAUGAAAAUGACGUUUGAAGUUCUUCAAGUUAUAAUAGCAAAGUAAAAUUAAUAAUUGAUACAAACCAUAAUGAAUGUCUCUGCAAGGACAUUUAAGUAAUUACGUCAAUAAAGAAGCUUUAUGGGUUGUACCCAUUGUAGAAAAGAUGACCAAAUAAUCUCACAUUCCCAAACUACCCAAACCUUUGAACAAAUCAUCACUGCAUCUUUUAGAAUAUAAGGACAUUUCAGUAAACACAAUAAUAGACAUGUUAUCUAAAGUAGUACCCAAUACUAUAACUACACUCAAAACAACCUCACAAUCCCAAAAUAUCCCUACUCUUACAGUUGAAAUUCAAAGCCAUUCUUUGACCCAAACUCAUUCUUAUAUAGUAUAAGGAUUUAUAUAUAUAUAUAUAUAGUUCCUUCCAAUCUAACUACACUUGUACAUGACAUCAAGUAAACAUAAAACGGUGGAAAUAUGAGAACUUUCAUCACAAUGGAAAAUGUGGUCUCCCACUCCUUAUUACGAGUCACCAGCGUGAACUUCCACUAGAAAUAAGACCACAAAAAUAAAAAAGAAAGCAUACGAAUACAAAGCCAUUAACAAAGAUAUGGAGUGGCAAUAGCAUGUAGAGGAUGUUUUCUGUGAACUGUGAUACCAGAUGCUUCAGUCAUGUCCAAAUCCUCUGGCUUCAUUCCAUCAGGCAAUGCAAAAUUAAAUUUGUUGACCAAUUUUGCCAAUGCAAGUUCAUUUACGGAUAUGGCAAAGUUGAUACCCGGGCAAACCCUUCGUCCGGAACCAAAAGGAAUUAACUCAAAGUUAAAACCUCGAAAAUCUAUAUUGGAAUUCAGAAACCUCUCAGGUUGAAAUUCCUCAGGGUUCUCCCACAACAUGGGGUCUCUUGCAAUUGCACUAGCAUUCACCAACACUAGUGUGCCUGCUGGUAUAUCACACCCCAUUAUUUUGAUGUCUCGAGUUGAUUCCCGAGGAACCAGUAAUGGAACAGGAACGUGAUAUCGUAGAGUUUCUUUAAUCACUGCUUUUAAGUAUCUCAUCUUCUGCAAAUCUAGUUGAGUUAUUUCUGGUUUUCCCUGGGUCACUUCUCUUACCUCAGCCUGCAAUUUCUGCAAGGUUAUAGGUUUCUUUAGAAGUUCUGACAUUGCCCAUUCCAUAACUGAAUGUGUUGUGUCAGUUCCACCGCCAAACACGUCCUGCAUGACGGAAUGAAGGAAAGUGUUGCUUUAGAACAUGCAUAGAUGCUUUUUUUUUUUAAUCUAAAUUUUCAAUUUCAAAAAAAAAUGGGCACCUGUCCAAAGAAAAAGAAAAAUGAAGACAGAUUAACAAUAUUCAUACUAUCGCAAUAAGCGUUUAAUUACCACAUACAAGACGAAACAUUAUGUUUAGGUACAUGUAAAUUUAAAAGUUACAAAAGUUUAAGUGCAUAAAGUUCGGUUAACCCAAGCAACCAUUGAGGUUUUUUUUUUUUUAACAUUUUUUACAAGAGAAGGUAUUCAAAUGCAAUGGAUGAAUUUUCUUUUAAUCUGAUAACAAGGGAAGGUAUUCAAAUACAAGGGACGAAAAUGAGUUUGAUUACAUACAUUCAUAGUAAUUUUGAUAUAACUUAAAUAUAUUAUAGAGUGUAUAUAUUCAGAGUUGUGUGGUAAUUUUAGAAUUUUUAUAGUGAGUCAACCCUUUUUGUUGUUUAUUUAAUAUCCUUACCCCUUGUUUGCAGUUUUGUCCAAAAUAAAAAGAUCUUUCUACCCAAAAUGGCAGUGAUAAAUAUUUAUCAUUAUUCAUUCUUCAAUAUUUAGUGUGAUCAAUAUUUUGUUGUCCGAAAAGAAUACAAUUAAUACGUAUUUGACUUAAUUAUCCUAGAUAUGUUUAUGACUUUUAUUUUUUGUUCUAGUAUGUUAAUCUUUUGUUUACAUGGAAUUUUCACAUUUUUUGCUUUCAGAAUCUUUUGUUUACAUGGAAUUUCUACUAUGUAAUCUUUUGUUUUCAUUUUUUAUAUGAAAUUCAAAAAAAAUUCUGCACAACUAUUCAAAAGUCAAAGAAUAAAGUAUCUCAAAACAUUUGUUUGCUUGAAAAAAAAGAAAAUUUUAUUUUACAUAAAAGAAAAUUUUUUAUUAAGCUCACAAAUGUCUUAAGAUAUGGUGAUACAGUGAAAAGAUUUUGAUAAAUUUGAUAUCCUGCUAUAUUAGGCAUUCUAAGAUGAAAUUGGAAAGAACUUUCUUUAAAUUUUUUGAGGAAUAGAAUUUGAGAAAAAAAAGUUGGAAUAAACAUUUCAAAGGGAAAGGAAUUUCCCUUUAAAUGAUUUAUACCAAACUUAGCAUGUAAUGAAUAAGUUAUAAAGGCUUUUUUCGAGUCUAUUCCUACCUACAAAACAUAGUGUUAACGUAUGGAAUGGAAUCGAUGUUUCCAAACUAUUACUAGACUGACCUAGCUAGACUGAUUGAUUGAACCAAGGACCAACUCUAUCACAAGAUUCUAUGUUAAAGCAAGAAAAAAAAAUAAACAAUGAGUCAACCUUAAACAUAAACUGAUCAAACCGGACAAACCUGGUAAAACUCCAACAGUUGAAUAGGCUAGCCACUAGAAAUUUUUUCCCUUUAUAUAAUUUGGUAUUAUUCAAAUUUUCUAAUUAUAACUAAAGUAAGAAAACAUUUAAUUGAACUAGUGGUUGAACCAUGAAGGCAUGAACCAAAAGCUCUUUCAUUGAACCAUCCGAGUUUAAUAAUAUUGAAUUCAGUAAACCUUACAAACCAAAUAGAUUUUGAUCUUGCACAUCGGAGUAAAGGAGGAGGAUGCCAUCUAAUAGGUUGUCAUGUCCAAGUCAACUAAACAAGAAACAUUUGUAUGACAGUACCAAACAAAAUCUAAACCUUCCAGCCUAGUGCAAGUCACUACCUGCAAAACUAGUACUAGAUGAUCUAUUACCAAUAAACAUAAUUCUUUUCAGAGUUGAAAUCAAUUAUAAAUUCUCAUAGUACGAUGUAAUUAAAGAGAUGGAGAGAGAUCCAAUUUACCAGGAUGAUAGCUUUCAUAUCAUCACGGCCAAGAGCAAAGCCGAUAGUGCUUUCCUUAUUAACCUCGAUCAGAAUGUCCACAAAGUCUAGGCAUCUUGCCUCAACGGAAUAGUCAUUUUCAGCCUCACCUUUCCUCUUAUUUAUGUGCUCUUCUAUUACACCCUCAAGAAAUUCAUCAAUCAGUUUAACAAAUUUCUCUACUUUCAAGUCCAAACCAUUGAAACGAUUAACCCAUGCAAGCCAAGGAAUGUAGUCUCCUACAUCAAAAACACCCAUUAACUCAACAAAAACCCUCAAAUUUUCCAUAAUUUUUCCUCCCUUUUUCUUCCUCACUAUACUUCCUCCCCAGGGCAACCCUACAAAUUAUAUCAUUUGUGAGAGUUACAAAUAUUUCAGUUAAGUUUACAGGUGAAGAAGAACACAUCUGAUUGAUCUUUUCGAUCAUGAGUGAAGUCUCUUCUUCUCUAACAUGCUGAUAUGACUGAACCCUUUGGUUACUCAAAAGAUGCAGCACACAAAUGCUUUUGGCUUGUCUCCAAUACUCACCAUACGGUGUAAAUGCUACGUCCUUACUUCCGUAGAAUAGUCUAUCUUUAACGCUCGAUUUAGGCCUGUUUGAAAAAACCAGAUCAUGGGUUUUCAUGAUCUGGCUAGCUGCAUCAGAUGAAGAGACAACCAGCACUGGCUUGCUUCCAAAACGAAGUAGCAUGAGUGGGCCAUAUUUUCUUGACAAUGAUUGGAGGGAUCUGUGUGGAAGCAAGCCAAGCUGGUGAAUAUUUCCAAUAAUUGGGAGCUUUGGUGGAGAUGGUGGUAGCUCUUUUUGGGGUUUAGAAGCAGCAUAGAACCAUUUCAAAAGGGCUAGAAGGAAUACAACUGAGGAAACUGAGAAGAAUAAAAGAUCAAAAGAGAACGCCAUGAUCUAUAUGAUCUUGUGUUUGCCUAUUAAUGGGCUACUCUUCUUAUAUAAGAUUACAGGCUGCUUUUAGAAUUGAAAUCCCAAUAAUACACCUUACAACAAUAGGACCAGAAAUGUAUAUUUAAUUAUUUAGCACAAGGGAUGAUUUGAGCCCGCAAGUUACACGGGGAGGAAUGAGUUGGGUUGUGCAAAGAAAAGGAGUAUAAGUAAAAGGUUUGGAUGCUAACUCACUUACACUAAAAAGAAAAAAAAAAGGAGCGCAUACGUUACACAAGACAAAACUAUUGGUCUCUGAUUUAUGUUUUGGAGCUAUGGUAUUUUUGUCUGAUUUAUGUGAUUGGUCUCUGAUUUAUCUUUUGGAGCUAUGGUAUUGGAAUCAUGGAGAAAACUCCUUUGUGAAAGAAUAUCCAUUCACAUUUCGCAAAAUUUGACCCCAAGAAAUAGAAAAAGACUAGCUUCUGAUGGGAUCGGUGCAUCAGAAAAAAGACGUUUAUUUUUUUGUUCCUUGGAUGAAGGAAGCCGGAGCAUCAAACAUGCCCUUUCGGCCAUAGGCCAUAGCCCACAGCCGACAGUUGAUUCUCCUUUUUGCCACGGACGUCUUAUCAAAUUAUGUAACAAAAUUUCAACGGUUAGGUACAAAAAUAGGUAACUCCGUCUAGGUUGCCCAAUCAAUUAUGACUAUCAUUUUGUGUCUUUGAAGAAAAUUUGGCAUGCAAUUUUCCUAUGGGAUAAUUUCACAAACCUCCCCUGUAGUGUAUGACAAUUUCACUCGACUCCCCUCAAAUUUUACAAAUUACACUGACCUCCCUUAUUACAAUAAAAUGACUAUAAUGACCUUCACUUAAUAAAUAAUUCAUAGUAUAAUGAAAUGAGAUUAAAAAAAAAAUAAAAAGAAACCUGACUUCUUUGACUAUAUUAUUUAUAAGUUAUAAUCAACGACGAUUCUAUGUCACUUACUGUCACUCCGUUCUCAUCCAUCAACCCCUUCCUCUUAUAACUCGCUUUUAAAUUACUACCAACCAUUGCCUAUAACUACAGCCAAUUACAUCACAAGUGAUCUCUCAAACUCUAUUAUAUAUUUCUACUCCUCCUUUCUUCUCUUUGGAAUUGCCAAAUCACAAGUUUAGUUGAGGAAUUAGAUUUGAUGGUUGAAACAAAAUCCGAUUUCAUGGUCAAACUAAAAGGAGAUGAAGAGCCACACAAUAACAAUGGAACAAAUAAUGCUGUCAUUGGCCAAAAGAGAAAGAGAGACUGAAAUUGAUAAAUUUGCUAACCUAUCUAUCAUCUAUCAAAAAAACUUUUUAACACGUUAAUAAGUACAUUUAUAUUUCUUUUUAUGCUUGACAAUUGCUGGUUGUGAUUCGCUAUGGAGAUAGAGUUUCUUCUCUGUAUUUAAAAUGUUAACAUAUUUGGGGAUUUGAUGGUAGGCUAGAUUAUUUUAUUUUGAGAAGCUGUGAGCAUUGGGUUUGAAAUUUAGGGUGUGAUUAGUUGUAAAUAUAAAUUUGAUUUCGGGCAAAAUGAAUUUCUUGAAGAUCUGUAUAAUAAUAAUGAUGCCUUCCUUCUCUUAAACUUGAUUACUCCAAUCCAUACCUAAAUCUCCCCUAAGGAUUUUCUUCAAGACCAUAAUGUGGCUCAUAUAGUAGGAGUUAGGGUUGCAUACGAACAGAGUCGAGUCAAACUUUGGUCUAAUCGAGCCGAACCUUAACUUAGUUUUAUUGAAUUUAAACUCAAACUCGAGCUCAAGGAGCUGACAAUUUUGAAACUGGAGCUCGAGCUCAAAAAAUAAAAACAAUUAUUUUAUUUUUUAAAAAAUAAAUAAAAUAAUAUUUUUUCUUAAUAAAUAUUAAAAUAUUAAUGAUAUAUAUGUAAUUUUACUAUUAAAAUAAAAAAAUAUAUAUGUACUUGAUUUGAGCUCGAGUUCGAGCUCGAUUUCGACUCGGCCAACUUGAGUUCAAUAUUGAUCGAGCUUGAGUCGAGCUUGACUCGAGCGGCUCGUGAACAGUUCGAUUCGUUUGCACCCCUAGUAGGAGCUGAGCUACUUAGAUGGAAUCAAAUCAUGGCAUCCUAUGUUGAAAAUUAUGCAAAUAUAAGGGUAGUUGAUUGUGAUUUAUCAUUCCAUGAAAUCAUACAGUAAGAAUAUUUCUGAAAGAUGGAACGAAUCUUCAAAAUUGAAUGCAUGCUUUGGGAGAAGCAAUUUUAUGACUAUGAUGAUGGAAUUUCUUGAAUUUAGAAAUUGGAAUUAGACUAUUUGUUAGGCUAGUUUGUUAGUAUAGUGGGUUUUGUUGAAAUAUGGAAGAAAUCAAUCGGCAAAAUAAUUUUUGUUUUAUUUUUUGAUAAAAAGGGUAGUUUAGGAUUUUUGAGAAAAAUAUAGGCUUUUGGACCUAUAUUGUUAUAUAAAUAGUAAAAGCAAUGGAUAUAGGUGUAAUUUAAUAAACUUGAGAGGAGCUCUCUGCAAUUGUCAGAAUCUUAGGGGAGGUUUAUGAAAUUAUCCCUUUUCGUAUUCUUAAGUUUGAACUAAUGUUUAAUAGUAUAAAUGCACCAUAUGCUUGUGAGUUUGAAUUUUCUUUCGAAAUUUUGAGGAACUAAUAUUUGGAAAGUUUAUUAAUCAACUUUUUCUACCAAGGCACAAUAUUCUUCAACUCUAGAAAUAUUCGAAUAUAAAUUAUUACCUCAUGAAAUGUUUUAUCAGGAGCUGAUUAAGAUGUAAUUGGUCUAUGUCCAUAAUACACUGGCUUCGGUAGGUGAGUGUGAUGAGAUCAUCAAUGAUCUUACCACGUGAUUUGAAGAUUAUAAGUAUUAUCUAUAGUAAAUCUGACAAUUGUUAGGCCUCUUAAAACUAAUGAUUAGUCUAAGACCCUAUUUGAUAACUCAGUUCAGCAUUUAAAUUUAAUGGAUUCAAAUCUUAAUAUAUUCAAACCGUUGAUAACAAAAAAUUGAACAUUUGAAUAAUUAAAUGACACUGAAUUUUUUAGACAAAAUUUGCUCCCAAAAUUAAGUGAUAAACUAUUCACUUAUCACUGAAUGUGAUAUACACUCAAAUGUAUUAUAUUUAAUAUUUAAGAAUUCAUUAAUUUAAUAGAUUCAGACUUUAAAUUUUAGAUUUCAGAUUUCAGUUUUAUCAAACAACUCAUUGGAUGAUCAAAAGAUUUUGCUUUUACUUUGUUUUAUGGGAUAAUAACAUAAAACUCCCCUAAGGUUUCUCUUAAUAUCAUCUAACACCUCUAAAGUUUUAAAAAAUAUUACUUACAUCCAUUUUGUUAUUUGUGUUACAAAAUUAUUGAAAAAUCUAAACUGUCCUUUCGCUUGCUAAAUAAAAAUGCUCUUAAGCCACUUUGUUUAUUCCAAGAAAGCCAUCACCUAAAAAACAAUUUGUAGUAGUACCACUGCAUCACAAUGCUACAGUCCAUAAAAUAUAAAUUUAAAAAACAAAAAAGAUAUUUACAAAGAAAAACAUUAGCAUAAUUUAACUCUAUAUGCUCAAAAUUAAUUUCUUAUAAACCAUUGUUUAUUCCAAGAAAAUCAUCACCUAAAAACAAUCUAUAGUAGUACUACCACAUCACAAUGCUACAGUCCAUAAAAAUAUAAAUUUGAAAAGCAAAAAAGAUAUUUACAAAGAAAUACAUUAGUGUAAUUUAACUCUAUAUGCUCAAAAUUAAUUUCUUAUAAACCUUAGAUUUUCUUCCAACUUAUUGUCAAUCCAUGUCCAAGCCUUUAAAUUAUACUGAUCAUUAUAAAAAUCAAUUCAAAAUAAUCAAAGAAAUCAUACCCCCACUCUAUCACAAUCACAAAAUUUAAAAGAUAAAUAAAAUUGAAUUUACUAUUACUUAUAAAUAAAAAAAUCAUAUAGUCAUCCAAAAAAAAAAAGAAUAAGAAAGAAUGUUGGAGAAAGAAGAAAUAGAAGAAAGUGACUUGUGUUACCUUUUUUUUAAAAUUUUUUGAGCUCCAUUUAUUUGAUAUGUGAAUUACGUAUUGAGAGUUAAUCUAGUUUUUUUUUUUUUUUUGCAAUUAUUAGGGGACAUAAGUGAUAUUUUCAAAACCUUUGGAGUGCCAAGUGAUAUUAGUAGAAAUCUCAAGGAAGAUUUUUGAUAUUAUCCCUUGUCAUGUUUGUUAUACAAUAAAAUUUCUGCUCCAAAAAGCCAUACAGGGCAUUUGAAGCUAUGCUGUUGCUGAGAUGGUAUAGUCCCUUGGCCACUCUCUCUGCACUCUUAAUAUCGGCCCUCCAAUAUCAUAGAGUAAUCAAAUUAUCACAAACCAUUCACAUUCAAAAAAAAGAAGUUUUGCGGAUAAAGCAGUUCCUUGGCGCAACUAUGCACCGCAACAUCCUAUCAGAUGAAAGUACAGUUUUCCAAAAUCAAUCGUAGGGAAUUUGGACUGUUAUUCCUUCGAAACGAGGGAUUUAAUUACAAGUGUCCGUUGUUACAAAUUUUCAGCUGUUCCCGAAUUGGUGCAAAUUCUACAUCGAACUCAUAGUUAUCCUGCAACUCCCAUGUACCAAUUGCGUAGUCCUAUGCUAUGAAUUGUUGUAUAGGCAUAAUAAGAUAUAACUCAGAAUACAAACCUUUUUUUGAAUUAUUGAUCAGUAGCUUAAAUACAAUUUGCCAACACUAGAUAUUUGCUGUCUGGUUAUUUGGAGAAUAGAUCAGUAUAAGGUCCACAUUUAUACUUGAAAAGAUAGGUAAAGAAGGCCUCUAACUAGAAUGUGGAAUAGCUACUGCAAAUACAGGAUUUUUUCUGUGGUUGGUGAGACCAGUGGCUUCAGACAUGUACAAAUCGUGUGGUUUAGCUCCAUCAGUCCAUGCAAAAUCAAACUUGUAUACCAAUUUUGCCAAUGCAAGCUCGUUGACAGCCACAACAAAGGUAGUACCAGGGCAACCCCUGCUUCCAGCUCCAAAUGGAAUCAACUCAGAGUUAAAACCUCGAAAAUCGAUCGUACUAUUCAAGAACCUCUCUGGUUAAAAUUCGGCAGGCUGAUUCCAAGCAAUGGAUCUCGUAAAAUUGCCCAAGCAAUUACCAUUACUGCUGCACCUGCUGGUAUAUCAUACACCAUUAUCCUAACGUGUUUAGUUGAUUCUCGACGAAUGAAAUAAUGAGAUUGGAGUAUGAAGUCGUAAAGUCUCCUUGAUCACUGCUUUCAAGUACUCCAUUUUGUGUAAAUCAUCUUCAGUGAUUUCCGAUUUUCCUUCAGUUAAUUGUCUUACCUCAGUUUGCAAUUUCUCCAGGCCCCAGAAGUUCAGACAUUGGCCACUCCAUAUUGAAUCAGUCCUGCAGCAAACACGUCCUAAUCAUGGCAUUUGAAAAAGAAAAAGGAAAUGCUGUUUUAUUGAAAAAAAAUGACAUUCAAAGUUGAAAAACUUAUAGGAUAAGAAGAUAACCCUUAUUAACGUCAAACACAUCUUUUCUAUUUCAAAGUUGACGUGGAUUAUAUGAUUGUUUAUCUGAAAGUUGAAUUGUAUACCAUAACAAAACAAAACUAUAGGGUAGCAUAAUAAUUUGUUCUAUUUUUUGAUACUCUGACAUUGAUUUUAUCUCUCACUUACAAUUAAAAAAAUCUAAAAAGUGUGUCAAAUCAUGUCUCUAGUUUAGGUGGGGUGCUUACCUUUUCCUUAGGUGUAUAGACUUCAAUUUUGAAGGUUCUUGAUAAUAUCAAGGAAAGGUUUAUUUCCUUAGCUAAGGGAAAUGUUUAUUUCCCUCUCCAAUAUUAAUAAUAUCAAGGUCACUGUAAAGCUUAACUAAUACGAUUAAAAUUAAUGACAAUUAUUUGUUAAUUAGUGCAAAGCUUAACUUAUACGAUUGCUUAGUGCCUUAGUUGUCUUUUGAUUUUCUUAUUGAGCAAUAAGAACGCAAACCAACCUGCUAGUGAAACAUGAAUUCACGAGUAACACUCUAAUAUUAAAGUGAUAGACCAUAAAAAUAGUGAGUGUAGGCAACACUAAUAUCAUCACCCAACCACAUAGCUACCAUCUCAAUGUUACAUAUUUCAGGGAGAAUUUCCAAGAGCUACAUGCAGGCUAAAUAUAACAGGCAAGACAAUUUACAUAAGUUCUCAACUUGAUCUUGUAAACCUUGCCCUAGGACAUGCUAAACUUCUCUGUUCUCUGUGCCAGGAGAGAAACUAAGGAGAAUAUGGAGUGGCAACAACAAGUAUAGGAAGUUUUCUAUGCACAUCGAUGCCACCAGCUUCAGUCAUGUCCAUGUCCUCUAGUUUUCCUCCAUCAAGCAAGGCAAAGGCAAAUUUGCGCCGUAAUUUUGCUAAUGCAAGUUCAUUGAUAGCCAUGGCAAAGGUCUUACUGGGGCAUCCCCUUCAGCCGGCAACAAAUGGGAUCAACUCAAACUUUGAAAAUCUAGACCAACAUUCAGAAAUCUCUCUGGCUGAAAUUCCUCGGGCUUCUCCCAAAGCAAAGGGUCUCUUCCAAUUGCCGCCCAUGCGUUAACGAUUAGUCGUGUUCGAAUUGGUAUGUCAUACCCCAUUACGUUGAUGUCUCGAGUUGAUUCUCGAGGAACUAGAAAUGGAACUGGGAAAUGAAGCCGCAGAGUUUCCUUAAUUACUAGCUUUAAACACUGCAUUUUGUCAAAAUCAUCCUCAGUUAUCUCUGAUUUUCCUUGGCCUAUAGCUCUGACCUCAUUUUGCAAUUUCUCCAUGACCUUGGGGUCUCUUAGAAGCUCUAACAUCACCCAUUCCAUGACUGUAUGAGUGGUAUCAGUUCCAGCUGCAAACAUGUCCUAAUCAUGCAAAAUAGAAGCCAAUUGUUAAUAAGUUGAUGUAAAGUGCAGUUUUAUAUAUUAUAUGCCUUAAAGAGUGGUGAUUUUUACCAUGAUCACGUGGGAUCUUUAAUCCAAAGUUGGACUUAUAUGUGAAUAAUUAUGUAUUAUAAACUAUUAAAUAAGGUUAAAUUCAAUUAAAAUAAUUAAUUAUGGUUUGGGUUUUAAUAUAUCUAAUAGGAUGUAAGCCUUUAAUGUGUAGAAAUUUAAGGGUAAUUUCUAUUUCUAUGAUGGGCUGAAAUAGAAAUCUAAAAAAUAACAGAAAAGUUAUCUAUAAAUAGGGUUAUGAUCUCUAGAUCACACGUGUUCUUAUUUGUCGUAUUUUUAGUCCCUCAAAAUAACUCUUUUCUAAUAUCCCAUCGUUAGAAAAGAUUGGUGGCUGUCAAACUACAAAAAAUAAAAUUUAUAUGAAGACCUACUCCCAAAACCGAGCGAAUAUAGUGGUGAGUAGGGUCUCCUCAGGGAACUGGUAGAUUUAUCACACACAGAGAAUUUGGGGGGUUUUAGAAAGGAAGAUAAAGAACAAAUUAAAGAUGUAAGGUUACUGAAUUUUCAACUGCAAGAAGUGCAGUAACUACAGAAUACAAUAAACAAUUAAUUGAUACAACCUAGUUAAGGAGAUAAUUUCGGCACCGGCACACGCAAUUGAUCAUAGAUACCUGAAUCAAUUCACACGUUCGCAAAUAAAUUGGUUAAAGCAAUUUAACAACUUCCAAACUACCAAUCUCUUCUUAAUUAUAUGGUGGUUCACAGAUGCUCAUAAACCACUCCCUUAUAAAAUAGACAACCCCAAAGACGCUUGUGGGAUUUAAUCUAUUCACAACUUUAGGAAUUAGAGAGACCCGAUUCUAAUUAACAAACACAUGUGGGAGUUCAUUUAAACUAGAUUAACUAUUCCGAUGAUCCAGAUUAAAUUACUUGCGAGGCAAUGAAAUUGUGCCGUUUGCCACUAAUUUUAAGACGAUCAAGUGAUACGCUCCCCCGUCUUAAUUGGCAGUAUACUAUUCAGACAAUUGAAUAAUUGGCCACAUUAAUCCAAUAGAUCCAAACAAUAAUAGCCUAUUGAAACAAAAAAUAAUUAAAUACCCACGAACACAGAAUUCAAAAUAGCGCAAAAUAAUUAAAAAGAUCUCACAAUUGUCUGUGCACCGAACUUUGAUUAUUCCUCAACUAGAUAAAGGAGUUUAGCCUUGCCUCAUGAUGAAGACACAAUCCAAAGCUUUAAUGUAAUUUUUGUUCAUGAAAAAAGUAAAGCAACUCGAAAUCCCAACUCACGUUAGGAAGAAAAGAAAAAGAUGACAAGUCCGUCUACUAGUCGGUUGCUUUUGCUCUUUUAAAGUAAUUUCGCUGUCGCCGUCGCCGCUCUUUCCUUAUUUUUCUCCUUGAGUUGUUGCCAAAAGAGUCUCUGAAGAUGUUUCCUAAUCCUACGUAGCUUCAGAACGUAUCUCCCAACAGUAGUGGCGGCUUCCAAGAAUAAGUCUGCGGUCCGUCCUUUUCACACAACUCUGCGGUCUUUGACAUAGGUACGCUUUGGAACGACUAGUCUUCUGGAAUUUGGCCUCUUUUCAUCACUUUUGACACCAAUCAUCUGCAACUAACACAAAUACCAAUUACGAGUAGAAACCCAUUACUUUACAUAAUAAAUGGCUAAAAUUGAGAUCAAAUAUCAUCAAAUAAAAUACACAAUUGUCUCACUAUCAAAUCCCCCCACACUAAGACAAUGCUUGUCCUCAAUGGAGUAAAGAAAAAUAGAAAUAAAAAAGAAAGGAAUGGGAGCUUCCUUAAAGGCCAAACAAGUGCACGAAAGCAUUAUGGGGGAGGAGGGUGAGGCGAUUGAAAGCUAAUGUGGGCAAAGAAGGCUACCAAAUUUUCUAUCUAAAUAGUAGAACGGACCUGCAAGGCUGCGAGGCAAUCAUCCAAACGCUCAACUCGGUCGCCCAACUCAUGAAUGGAAUUCUGCAGAGUACAGAAUUGGGUGUCCCAAGAGAAUGGAGCAGUGGAGAAGGAAGGACCUUCCUGACCAGUCUCUGAGGUGGGCUCAAUAAGAGGGACCCGGGGUUGGGGCACACUAUCUCCUGGAGGUGUUAUCUGAUAGGCAUCACCCACCUUGCGAAUAACACCAUUCGCUCCAAACUGUACAGGUCCAAAGGCUCAAGCUCGCGAGCCAAGGUGAGCUUGUGGUCCUUAUCAAGGUCCAGCACACCCAAAUGGACCGCCAAAUGCAUGAUGAGCGAACCCAUAAUCAAGGGCUUAUGGCGCUUGUGAAGGAUGAACUGCAACUGAGAGGCCACCUAACAGCCAAAGUUGACCGGCACCUUAUUACGCAUACACCAGAGGAAAUAGAGAAAAUAGAAUUCCGCUUUGGCGAGAGUGCCAGAGGAAUCCUUCCAUCCCGAGAAGUUAUAGGCCAGAAACCUGUGAAUGACUUUCAGCACUGGAUUUUUGAGAUACAAGGCCCUAGACUGACUCAGGUCGUAGAACUGAGUGUCUGUGGACCACUCCCUCCAUAUUUCGAUAUAGUUGCUCGCAAAGGGUUAAGUGAAGUCACAAGCGCUAUUGAUAUAAGUCCCAGAGGUAAGGGUGUCCUCACUCACAAACCCCAAAAUCAAGUUAAACUCAUUAAUGGAAUGCUCUUGUGGGGUACCCCGCAGCCUAUAUUUGAUCACCCCCGGUGUGUCUAAAGCUAGAAAAUCAAACUUCUUAAAUUGGAAGGUGGUGUAAAAUUCAUAACAAAGUUACUCAUACGAAGGAUAGUUAAUAUCCAGGUAUUGAUCCCACCAAAUGGCAGAAAGCAACUGCUCUACUUCCCUAGCAAUGUUCAACUAGUCGAGAGUCGGGGGAUGGAAACACUUACAUGGGGUGAAUGGACGCACCACUAAGGAGCUCAAUCAUUCCUUCUGCUUCGGGGUGAGAUCCUUUAGAGGUUUCUCCCACACCCCAGGAGACAAAGUACUCCUAGACAGUCCUAAUUGGGACCUAGUGGGAGGUUGAAUCGGGGCCCGCUUCUUCCGAGAGUUGGAACCUGAUGCAUCAGAAGGGGUGGCUUUUUUUGAAGCCAUAUAAGGGCAAAGAUGUCUAUUACACAAGCACAGAGCCGACAAGAAAACACCAAAUAGAGAGAAGAGACCACAAAUGACAACACCCACAGUCAACGAACAAUUGAUGGAGAAGAAACAAAGAUACCCCACUAGCGUCACCAAGGCAAAUAAAAGUGAUAAAGGCAGACACGGAACGCUCCCGAAAUAUAGUCAACAAUCAAAUUCACCCAAUCACAACCAACAAAUAUCCCCAACCCAAUAAGAGGAUGAAAUUAAACAGGAGAAACUCUAUUUUUGAGUCACUAGUUGGAAAAAAGAAGAGUAGAUAAGGGUACCACUCUGCAAAGCCGCGGAGAUCAGCUACAGCGAGCGGAUUCCAGCGACGGUCGGGGCGGCAGUUGGAGAUGGCAGCGGCGGAUGUCCGUGGGUUGCGUGUAGGAAAUCGAGAGGCAGGGUGGCAAAAGGAUGGCGGUGGCACGCUCAAAGAUAAUGGGUUGCGUUGUGGGUGAGGCGGUAGUGUGCGCGAGGAGGAAGUGAGCAGUGGCGGAUGUUGGUAGUGGCGGAGGGCCGCAGUCGCGCUUGAGAGAGAGAAUCAGGCAGUGACGGAGCGGCGAUAGCAUCGACAUCAAUCGCACAAGAAAGAAAGAGACGCGUGCAGUGGCGGCGAUGGCGAUGGCGACGAUGGUAUGCUGCGAAAAUGGGGGGAACCAGGGAAGACAAAAGGAGAAAAGACAAGAAAAGAAAAGAAAAAAAUAGAAAAAUAGGGUUUAGAGUGGGUCCAGUCACUUUUUACUUUUGUUGUCGCAAUGAUUGGAAGGCGCGGGCAUGCUCUGGAAGCCGAAGUCAUCUGCCUCCCUUGUUGUAACAGGACCAAUGCGAUUCAUUGUGCGGCGUGGGCACGCCUUAGAAGCUUAAGUCUUCUAUUCAUCAAUGUUUAAACGCACCCAUUUGCAUUUAACACAAUGUGUGAGCACGUCUUGGAAGGGAAAGUCUUCUGCCCAAGAAUAUUGCCUCUAAUCUAAAAUUAAACUUCACAGGACAUAUCCAUGACCUGAAAUAAAGAAUUUCUGUCAAUAGGAACCCAAACACCCUAAUUUUGAACACAUAAAUAUGAAAUAAAAACACAAACAUGACUAAAAAUUGAAACUUUUGGAUUGCCUUCCAAGCAGUGCCUCUAUUUAACGUCUGUGGCUAGACCAAAAGUAAUUUAACAAAUUAAUUAGAAUAGGGGUCGAGCAAAUGGACCUCCUCCAUAGUGCCAAUUUCUGAAACAUCAAUAAACGGCUUGAGAUGAUGACCAUUAAUCUUAAAACUUUUGCCAGUCUCUAAGUUUCUAAUUUCAACUACACCACUAGAAAAAACGUUGGCAAUCACAUAUGGUCCAAUCCAUCGGGACUGCAACUUACAUGGCAUGAAUUUCAACCGAGAGUUUGUGCGUUCUUUGUAAAAUCGUGCAUUGUCGCAAGCCUCCAAGCAGAUCUCCUCCUACUCUUGAAGUUAGAGCUUUCUUUUCUUGCCGUCUCUAUCCGUGUUCAAAUUACACUGUUUAACUACUCAAAAUGCACAAUGUUCAAUUGCAACAGGUAAAUUACACAUCUUAUCAUAAACCAACCUAUAUGGAGACAUUCCGAUUGGUAUUUUAUACGCCGUGCAAUAUGCCCACAAUAUAUUAUCCAGUCGGGUACUCCAAUCCUUGCGAUUUUGGUUGAUCAUUUUCUCCAAAAUACUUUUAAUCUCGUGAUUAGAGACCUCCGCAUGCCCCUUGGUCUGCGGGUAGUAGGUAGUACUAACUUGAUGGUAAACUCCAUACUUACGCAUCAAUACUUCAAUGGUGCGAUUGCAGAAAUAAGUAUCUUGAUCACUGAUAAUCGCUCUUGGCACACCAAACCUACUAAAGAUAUUGGAUUUAAGAAAUCUUGCAACGACUCGUGAGUCAUUAGUUCGGGUAACCUUUGUUUCUACCCAUUUUGAUACAUAGUCUACUGUUAACAUAAUAAAAAGAAUACCAAAAGAACUGGAAAACGGUCCCAUAAAAUCCAUACUCCAAACAUCAAAGAUUUCACAAAAUAACAUAGGAACCUGAGGCAUUUCAUCUUUGUGGGAUAAACUCCUAAACUUUUGGCAUUUUUCACAUCUUUUUGCAAAACAAGUAAGCAUCAUGAAACAAGAUUUGCCAAUAAAAGUCAUAAUCAAGUAUUUUUUGAGUAGUUCUUAUAGGACCAAAGUGACCGCCACAAGCAUAAUUAUGACAAUGAGUAAGUAUAGAUUGAAUUUUUUCAUUUGAAACACAUCGACGAAUAAUCUGGUCAGAGUUUAUUUUUCACAAAUAGGGCUCAUUCCAAUUGUAAUAUCGAGAGUCCAAUAUUAUUUUAUCCUUCUUAUUCUUACUCAUACCACUUGAAAAUUUGUGACUAACCAGAAAGUUAACAAUAUCAGCAUAAUAGGGUUCCUCACCUCUAAAUUGAAACAAGUGUUCGUCUAAAAAUAUCUCAAAUAUGGGCACUCUCCCUUCUUCUCGAAUCAAUCGGCUCAAAUGGUCUGCCACUGAAUUAUCUACCCUCUUUCGAUCUUUGAUCUCCCAAUCAUAUUCUUGCAGCAGGAGUAUCCAACGAAUGAGUCUUGGUUUGGACUCCUUCUUUGCCAAAAGGUAUUUCAAGGUUGCAUGAUCAGAGAAAACUGUUACUUUCGAUCCUAAUAAAUACGAUCGAAAUUUCUCAAAAGCAAAAAUAAGUGCUAAAAGCUCCUUCUCUAUGGUGGUGAAGUUGCAUUGAGUCGGCGACAAUGUUUUUUACGCAUAGCAAAUGACAUGCCUACACUUUUCACUUCGCUGACCGAGCACAGCUCCCACUGCAUACUGACUAGCAUCACACAUAAGCUAGAAUAACAUGCUCCAGUCCGGAGGUUGAAUGAUUGGUGUCGUGGUCAACAUACUUUUUAGUGUAUCAAACGACAUUUUACACGUAUCUCCAAAAUCAAAUGGUGCCUCCUUUUGAAGUAGUCGGGACAAUGGUUGUGCAAUUCAUGAGAAAUCCUUGAUGAAUCAUUUGUAGAAUCCUGCAUGCCCAAAAAAACUACGAAUCUCCUUGAUAUUAGUAAGGUAAGGUAAGCUAGUAAUCAAAUCAACCUUUGCUUUAUCAAUUUCGAUACUCCUAAACGAAAUGAACAUGACCUAAGACUAUACAUUCCUUAACCAUAAAAUGACAUUUUUCAUAAUUAAGAACCAAAUUUGUUUCAAUGCAUCGCUGUAAAACUUUUGUUAAAUGAUACAAGUAUUGAUCAAACGAAUCACCGUAGACUGUGAAAUCAUCCAAUGAAUAUGUCAAUAUAAUUUUCAAUCAUGUCAGAAAAAAUACUCAUCAUGCAUCUUUGAAAUAUUCCUGGAGCAUUACACAACUCAAAAGGCAUAUGGCGAUGGGCAAAAGUGCCAAAUGGGCAAGUGAAAGUGGUUUUGUGCUGGUCCUCCUGGGUAACAGUGAUUUGAUAAUACCCAGAAUAGCCAUCAAGGAAGCAAAAAAAAAAACACUUACUUGCCAAUCGCUCAAGCAUCUCAUUGAUGAAUGGUAAUGGGAAAUGAUCCUUCCUUGUGACCGCAUUCAACUUCCUGAAGUCUAUACACAUUCUCCACCCAUUUUAGAGUCUCAUUGGCACCAACUCAUUCUUCUCAUUCCGCAAAAGUGUAAUUCUAAUCUUUUUAAGGACGACAUGCACUGGACUUACCCACUCGCUAUCGGAGAUAGGAAAAAUAAUUCCUAACUCCAAUAGUUUGAGAAUCUCCUUCAUUACCACCUCUUUCAUGGCUGGGUUAAGUUUCCUCUAAUGUUCCCUUACCGAUUUUGCAUCUGGUUCAAGUAGAAUAUGGUGCAUGCAAAUGGAUGGAUUUAUACCUUUGAUAUCUGCCAACAUCUAUCCAAUUGCAGGUUUAAAUUCUCGCAACACUCUUAAGAGUUUUUCUUCUUGUACUGCUGUCAGAUCACUUGCAACGAUGACCGACAGAGUGUUAUGAUCUCUCAGAAAAGCAUACUUCAAAUGCUUUGACAAUUCUUUUAAUUCCAACUUGGGUGCCUGUUCAACAGAGGGUAAAAUUCUCUCAUUAGAAAUAGGUAAUGGUAAAAAUAAGUCUACUGACCUGUUGGAAAAUGCAGGAAGUGAAUGAAGUGAUAUAAUUGCUUCUAUGGUAUCCCCAUCAUCUGCUCUUUUCACUUCCUCAUUCGUCUUGCUCUAUUAUAACACAAAUUUCAGCUUGUUUUUCACGAGAUUCUGUUCAAAAUAAUCUUGCACAAUGGAAUUAGUGACACAAACACAAUUAACAGACUCAGUAUCAUCCGGGUAUUUCAUUGCAUCAAAAAUGUUAAAAGUGACUGUUUCCCCGUUCAAAUUCUACCGAUAGGGUACCUUCGUGCACAUUUAUCUUUGUUCUAACAGUACUCAUGAAUGGUCUACCUAGAAGAAGUACAGCUGAAUUGGCUGAGUUAUCAUCAUUCAUGUUAACAAUAUAGAAAUUCGCAGGAAAGAUAAACUCAUUAACUUUCACUAGAACGUCUUCAACUACACCGUCAAGGUAAACUUUGACCUAUCGGUUAAUUGAAUUAUUACCCUUGUAUCCUUUAAAGGUCCUAAGUUUAAGGCCCUAAUUAUGGACAAAGGCAUGACAUUGAUAGAUGCCUUUAGAUCAAGCAUACCUUUUUCUAUCCUCUUCUGACCUAUGAUGCAGGGUAUAGUGAACAUACCUGGAUCCUUGCAUUUGUGCGACAACUUCUUUGGAAGAACUGCUGACACAUUCUCACCUACCUUCACUUUGUCUUGAAAAUUCAACUUGUUCCGAUUAGCAUAGUUAUUAAACCCAACUCGACCCGGUGGUCGAACCAGUCAAACCAGUGAAUCGGCCAUUGGACCGGACCAGAUUUCAAAAUCACAUCGUUUGGGCAAGGGGACCGUUGACUAGUCGACGACCCGGCGGUCCGACCGAAUUAAAUUGAAAACCCGGCCAAUUUUGUCAACAAAUCCAAUUUUGUGGAAAAAUUUUAAUGCCUUCUUUGGAAUUUGAAUCUUAGACCUCUGCCCAACACUACAACAUACUUACCACCAGGCUACUUCGAAAUAUGCUAAGAGAAUAGCUUUAUUAUAAUAUAUAAAUAUUUUUUUAAUUCUAUCUUUUUUUUCUCUAAAACAAAUAUAUUGGAAUCUUUUAAUAAAAACUUAUUACCCUCCAAACUCUAUAAGUUAUAAAAUGGAUUUAAAAAAUAACAUAUUACAUAAUUCAUUUUAAAGACAAAUAUUAUUUUUAAUAAUUUUUUACACUUAAAAUUCAUAAAUAAGCUAGAUAAUUGCACUAAAUAUAGAUAAAAUUUUACACUUGAAAUUUGGUAUUUACUAAAUAAUUUUAUAUUUGAUUGAUUCUUAUAUGAAUUAAUUAUUUUAUAGCAAAUUAAAUUAAAUGAGCUUUUGCUAUUGCAUUAUUUAUUCCAAUUUAUAUCAUAUAUCUUAUAUAAAAAAUUAUGAAAUAAAUAUUUAAAUAUAUUAAGUAACCCACCGGUUCAACCACUCAUCCACCGGUUGAAUCAGUAACUCGUUGACCCAGCUCCUUCGCCGGAUUCCUUCCCAAAUUGGGUUUAAUAACUAUGCCGAUUAGUACACAAUCCCUUCAAAAACUUCGCAUAUUUAGGCAACUGCCUAAUGGCAUCAAGCAAAGGGAUGUUGAUUUUCACUUUCCUAAAGGUAUCUAAAAUCUCCUUCUCAGACUCCUCUUUCUUGGCUUUAGCCAACUUACCAGGAAAAGGAAGGUUAAUAUUAAAUGUCUUAGGAGCAUUUUACUGGUGACUUACCUUUUUCUCUUCACGCUCCCCAGACACUUGUUCAUCUUCAACUCCUACUGCUUCCGAUUCUGAGGACUGCACCUCCUUGCCACUUUAUAGAAGCACUGCACUGACAUUCUUCUUUGGAUUGGGAAUUACCUAAGAUUGUAGCUUCCCUUUGUCAUUCUCAACGCUGCUCAUUGAAGAUGCCAGUUGUGACAUUUGCGUCUCCAAAUUCUGAAUGCUAACGCGAGUCUCUUGUUGAAAUCUCUGCGAGUCCUCCUGCAUUUGACAAGUGCUAUUAGCUAGAGAUUUGACCAUAUCUUCAAAGGACAUACCUGAAUUAAAUGCAGAUGAUUGUUGUACUAGUGGUCUCUGCAGGAAUGAACCAAGGGACUGCGGCGUGAGCAGCCGAGGCGGCCGUGGACUGCGGCGAGCUUCGGGCAGCAGCGGCGCGCUGCGGUGGGUGGCGUGCGGUGCGAGACGGCAGCGCGCGCGAGGGAGAUGGGCUGGUGGAGCGCGCGGCGGCAGUGAUGGAGAUCUGCUGGUUGGCAACAGAGGAAGCGUGGGUUGCGACUGAUGGUUGCGAAUCGAAGAGAGAGGGAGAGAGCUCGCGGCGGGAGCGGAGAUGGUGGGAGGGCGGCGCGGCUCUCGGUCGGCGUGCGCAGAGAGAAGGGGAGCAGCGGGGAAGAAAGAAAGAAAAGAAAAAGAGAAAAGAAGAAAGAAAGAAAAGAAGAAAAGAAAGAAAAGAAAAGAAAAAAGAAAAAGAGAGAAAUUGAUGUUUUUUUUUUUAAAUGUUUCUUUUCUUUUCCUUCCAAUUAUGAGGCUCUUUGAGCCACGGAAAUAAAUUUUUUAAAAUUUGGAAACUAAAGCUACGGUGAUAAGAAAUGUUUAUUCAAAUUUUUUUUUUUUUUUUGAAUCCCUACCUUUCCCGCGAACGUGACGCGGGCACGUCAUGAGGGCAAGAGAGCUCCCAGAAGUUUCAGAAGUUUCAGAAGUUUCUGAUCGUGAGCUUCCUGCACAUCUCCACGCGGGCGCGUCAUGAGGGCAAGAGAGCUCCCAGAAGUUUCAGAAGUUUCUGAUCGUGAGCUUCCUGCACAUCACCACGCGGGCACGUUAUGACUGAAGGGCACCUAUAGAUCAGCAAAAACGCAAAUUGAAACCCAAAAUCAGUCUAAUUCAGGGAGAACACAUCUAAACUAUCACACGAAAUUGAACAAACAAUGAAAAGGAACAAUUGGGUUGCCUCCCAAUGAGCGUCUUUCUUUAAUGUCUUUGGCUAGACAUCGUCCAAAACUUUGCUUAAACUAAGCAAAUCGAGUCUUCCAAGUGCACCAUCUCCACCCGUUCAAUUGCAACCCCUUCAUAAUACGGCUUGAGACGAUGACCAUUCACUACAAAUUUCUUCUCAGUCUUCAAACUUUGGAUCUCUACUGCACCAUAAUGAAAGACAUUAGUCACAACAAAAGGACCAAUCCAACGAGAACGUAACUUACCUGGAAAUAACUUCAAUUUGGAGUGGUACAGGAGAACUUUUUGCCCACACUCGAAUGUCCUCCUCGAGAUCUGUUGGUCAUGAAAAAUCUUAUUUUUCUCCUUAUAAAUUACCGCAUUCUCAUAGGCCUCAUUGCGAAUCUCCUCCAACUCCUGUAAAUCCAAUUUCCGUCGGGCACCGGCCUCUUCUAAGUUCAUGUUGCAUUGCUUUAUCGCCCAAAAAGCCUUGUGCUCGAACUCCACUGGAAGAUGGCAAGGCUUACCAAAUACUAACCUAUAGGGAGACAUCCCUAUAGGCGUCUUGUAAGCGGUCCUGUAUGCCCACAAAGCAUCUUCCAACCUUGAACUCCAAUCUUUCCUAUCGGGGCGCACCAUUUUCUCCAGAAUAGACUUAAUCUCCCGGUUUGAUACCUCCGCUUGACCAUUGGUCUGAGGGUGGUACGAUGUCGAGACCCUGUGGAGUACACCAUACUUGCGAAACAACGCAGCUAUGGUUUUGUUGCAGAAGUGCGUCCCCCUAUCACUGACAAUGGCUUUUGGCAUUCCAAAUCGUACAAAAAUAUUAGACCUAAUAAAAUCUGCAACUACCUUCGAGUCAUUAGUCCGAGUGGCCUUAGCCUCCACCCAUUUGGACACAUAAUCAACUGCCAGCAAAAUAUACAGAAAACCAAAUGAAGUAGGAAAAGGCCCCAUGAAAUCUAUACCCCAGACAUCAAAAAUUUCUACAAAAAUCAUCGGGACUUGGGGCAUAUGAUCCCUACGGGUUAUAUUACCUACCCUUUGACAGCGAUCACAUGACUUACAAAACACAUAGGCAUCCUUAAACAAUGAAGGCCAAUAAAACCCACUUUCUAAAAUCUUAUGAGCAGUCCUCUUGGGUCCAAAAUGACCUCCACAGGCAAAAGUAUGACAAAAAGCUAGAAUCGAUUGAAAUUCCAUUUCACUUACACAUCUCCUCAUUACCUGAUCUGCACACCUCUUCCACAAGUACGGGUCAUCCCAGAUAAAAUACUUGGCGUCGCUCUUCAAUUUAUCCCUCUUCGAUUUUGGCCAACCUGCAGGAAAAUUACCAGUUACCAAAUAAUUGACCAGGUCAGCAUACCAAGGCAAUUUAGAAUGUAAGGAAAAUAAAUGCUCUUCAGGGAAUGCAUCCUUCAAUGGCUCAUUGUCCUCCCCGACUGGUAUGCGACUCAAAUGGUCUGCUACUAGAUUUUCUGAGCCUUUUUUGUCCCUUAUCUCAAGGUCAAAUUCAUGUAGUAGCAAUAUCCACCUGAUGAGUCUCGGUUUGGCAUCCUUCUUGGUCAUUAGGUACCUUAACGCUGCAUGAUCAGAAAAUACAAUUACUUUAGCUCCUAACAAAUAUGACCUGAAUUUUUCUAAAGCAAAAAUAACCGCAAGAAGCUCCUUCUCAGUGGUGGAAUAAUUCAACUGGGCUCCAUUCAAGGCCCGAGAUACGUAAUAGAUGACAUGAGCCGCCUUUCCUACUCUUUGCCCCAGGACAGCCCCAACAGCAUGAUCACUGGCAUCGCACAUGAUUUCAAAUGGCAAACCCCAAUCGGGGGGCUGGAUGAUUGGGGGUGAAGUCAACAAUUCCUUCAGCUUGUCAAAGGCUCUCUCACACUUGUCAUCAAACUCGAAGGCUACAUCUUUUUGCAAGAGUUGGAACAAUGGGGCCCCAAUUUUUGAAAAAUCCUUGAUGAACCUUCGAUAAAAACCUGCAUAACCAAGAAAAGAACGUACCUCCCGCACACUAGCGGGGUAACGCAAAGCAGAUAUAAUAUCUAUUUUAGCCCUGUCAACCUCGAUGCCCUUAGACGAUACAAUAUGACCCAGGACUAUCCCGUGCUCAACCAUAAAAUGACAUUUUUCCCAAUUAAGCACAAGAUUAGUCUCUAUACACCUUAUCAGGAUCAAUUUCAGGUUAUCUGGACAUGUAUCAAAACUAUCACCAUACACACUGAAAUCAUCAAUGAAAACUUCAAUUAUCUUCUCCAUAUAUUCAGAAAAAAUACUUACCAUACACCUCUGAAAUGUUGCAGGUGCAUUGCACAACCCGAAUGGCAUUCGUCUAUAGGCAAAGGUCCCGAACGGGCACGUGAAGGUUGUCUUCUCUUGAUCCUCCGGUGCAAUUGCUAUCUGAAAAUAUCCUGAAAAUCCAUCCAAAAAGUAAUAGUAAGCCCUACAAGCUAGACGUUCAACCAUCUGAUCAAUGAAAGGGAGAGGGAAAUGGUCCUUUUUAGUGACGGCGUUUAGCCUACGGUAGUCUAUACACUGCCUCCAUCCAGUGGGUUUGCGCACUGGCACGAGCUCACCCGUUUGGUUAGCCUCUACCGUCACUCCUGCCUUCUUUGGGACUACCUGGACCGGACUCACCCAAGAGUUAUCAGAUAUUGCAAAGAUGAUCCCCACAUCUAGCAAAUUUAAAAUCUCUUUCUUUACAACUUCCAUCAUGAGGGGAUUGAGCUUCCUUUGAGCCUGCCUAACAGGUUUGGCAUCCUCAUCUAGUCUAAUCCGGUGCAUACAGAUGGCCGGGCUGAUUCCCUUAAUGUCCGCAAUUGUCCAACCUAUCGUCUCUUUAUGCUCUCUAAGGACCCGGAUCAGUUUCUCCUCCUGGGUUUUUGACAGUGCCGAUGAGAUAAUCACCGGGAGUGUCUCAUUAUCACCCAGAUAUGCAUAUUUCAGGUGCUCUGGUAGAGGUUUCAACUCCAGUACAGGUGCCUGCACCACAGAUGGCAAUACCCUCUGGUGAGGUUCGGGAGUAAAAAUAGGUAAGACUUCAUACCUUUCGUGGUGGUCUACAAUGAGUGUAAUGCACCUAUUGUGCAUUUUUUAUCUUCACUCCACUCCACCUCAGGAGUUGUUUCCAACUCGAGGUGCUUGGUCAAAACUACCUCCAACUCAUCCCUGCCAACAGUUUCAAAUACUUCCUGCACCGCAGGGUCAAUAGCACUCACAGAGAAAACUGAGCUAAAGUUGGAGUUUGAGGGAUAUUUCAUAGUAUCAAAGAUAUUAAAGUGCACAAUUUCCCCAUCAAAUUCCAUGGAUAAGGUACCCUUAUUAACAUCAAUUUUUGUUUGUGCUGUGCUCAUAAAGGGUCUACCUAACAACAAAGGUGAGGGAUCGGGGGAGUGAUCAUCAUCCAUAUCAAGUACAUAAAAAUCAGCUGGAAACACCAAAUCAUUAACUUUCACCAACACAUCUUCAACCAACCCAUCAGGAUAUGCAUUAGUGCGGUCAGCUAAUUGAAUGAUUAUUCCAGUUUCUUUUAAUGGACCUAGCUUUAGAGAAGCAUAUAUAGAUUUAGGCAUGACAUUAAUUGAUGCUCCCAAGUCCAACAUGGCCCUUCUAAUCACAGUGUUCCCUAUCUUACAGGGGAUAGUAAACAUACCUGGGUCCCCGCACUUGGGUGGAAGCUUUCUCUGCAGGACCGCUGACACAUUCUCCCCAACAAUAACCCGUUCAUCUCCCCUCAAUCGCCUUCGGUUGACACACAAGUCCCUUAGGAAUUUGGCAUAUUUUGGUACUUGUUUGAUUGCGUCUAAGAGAGGGAUGUUUAUCUCAACCUUGCGAAAAACCUCCAAAAUCUCCUUUUCCAUAUCCUGCUUCUUCGAUUUUUCCAACCUGCUAGGGAAAGGAGGCGGGUUAGUUUUAGCUGUAAUUAUUGGGUCAGGAAGUACCUUUGGAUCUGCACCAUUGCUGUCCUCCCUUUCAAGCUCAUUUUCGAUCUUUUCCUCAUCCUUAUCCUUAGGGAUCACAGGUUCAGACCCCUGAAUUUCCUUCCCGCUCCUCAGGGUCAUGGCGCUCACAUUCUUCAGGUUCAACUCAGGUUGAGAUGGCAGCUUCCCUUGGUUCUGGGAAUCCAAACGGUUGAUUGUUGUGGCCAUUUGACUUAUCUGAUUCCUUAUAUCCUGCAUUUCGGAGUCCGUCCUUUGCUGAAUUUGCACCAUGGUUGUCAUCAUUUGUUGAUUUUGCGCCAUGGUUGUCAUCAUUUGUUUCAUCAUCUCCUCCAAAGAUGGACCAGAGCUUGGGGGCGGAGGUGGUCGAGGUUGGUAUUGCUGCUGGUACCCCGGUGGCUUAUUUGGCACAAAGUUAGACUGCCUGUUCGGUGUAAAGUUGGGUUGCCUAUUCCCUCCAUAACUGAGGUUGGGAUGAUCUUUCCACCCGGGGUUGUAGGUGCUUGAGUAAGUGUCGUACUGCUUCCUUGGCGCGGGCGCGUGGUCAGCCAUGUUCACCUGUUCUGCAGUUUCUUCCUGAAUCAUUGGGCACAUAUCUGCAGAGUGACCUAUACCAGUGCAAAUCCCGCAUACCCUGGCUUGUGAUGCAUUUCUCACAGCCUGUUGCCUAACAAACGCGGUCAACUCAGUUAGCUGCUGCUGCAUGGAGGGUGUCUCUACCUCAUUCACCCUGCGUAUUGGACAAUCCUCUCUCGUACCGAAUUGUUGUGAAUUCUCUGCCACACUCUCAAUCAACUCUCGUGCUUCUUGAGGGGUUUUGUUCACCAGUGCCCCUCCACUUGCAGCAUCAAUUAUGCUCCUGUCCCCAAAAAGGAGCCCCUCAUAAAAAUACUGAAUGAGCAACUGCUCACUUAUCUGGUGCUGGGGACACUUGUGCAACAAGAAGUUGAACCGUUCCCAAUACUCAUAGAGUGACUCCCCUGGGUGCUGCUUGAUCCCACAAAUUUCUUUCCUCAGACUUGCAGCCCUGGACGCAGGAAAAUAUUUAUCCAAAAUUUUUUUCUUCAAUUGGUCCCACGUGGUGAUGCUACCUGGUGACAGGUAGUACAGCCAGUCCUUCGCAGAAUCUGUCAAGGAGAAGGGAAAUGCCCUCAUUUUUAUCUGCUCUUCUGUAAUGCCCGGGGGCUUCAUACUGUUGCACACGACAUCAAACUCCUGCAGAUGCUUAUACGGCUCCUUACCUGGUAAACCAUGAAAAGAGGGUAAAAGAGAAAUCAAACCAGAUUUUAACUCAAAUGAAGUGUUUUCACUCAAACUCGGGAAAGUAAUGCACAAAGGCUGCUGAUUUAAAUUAGGGGUAGCCAACUCCCUUAAUGUUCGUGCAUUAGCCAUGGGAAUUUCUUCUUGCUCCGAGUCACUCGAAGUGUCACCAAAUGAAUCUGUUGGUUCAACUCCUGACUCAGGUCUCUGAGAUGUAGCACUGGAGUGCUCCUCUCUGAGCUGUCUGGUUUCCUUCCUCGUUCUACGCGCGGUCUUCUCUACUUCAGGGUCAAAAAUCAAUUCACCUGUACGAAAAGAUCGAGGCAUACACUAGAAGAAAACCAGAAAAUUAGGACAAAAAAUGAAUUUAAAAAGAAACAAAUAAUAACGCCAGUCCCCGGCAACGGCGCCAAAAAUUGACAGGUUGUCAGCCUGUGCAAUAAUGAAACCUGCUCAAACUAAAAGUAAUUUCUGUAGACAGCGGUAAGCAGGGUCGAAUCCACAGGGAUUGGGAGUAAUUGUUUCUUUUCAAACUCACAGUGACAAAAGGGGGGUGUUUUUGUGGAUAGGCAACUAAAAAUAAUUAAACAAUCCAACUAAAAAUAAAUAAUUAACUAGCACAAGUUUAGCAGGAAUUAAAUCAAGAAUAAAUAAAUUCUAGCCAAGGACGCAACUACUCUGGCACAGUCCAAUCAUCCGAUCAUUGAUGUAAGAGAUGUUCACUUAAUGUAUUAAUAGGCUAGUUAUAGUCUGACGACCAAUUUUUCCUUAAAUUAUUGAUAACAAAGGUACGACCGUUGAUUACCCCUAAUCAGCAAAUACUCCUAGGUACGACCAUAGGAAGUAAUUUUCCAAUUGCAUUAAUAACUAGAAAAACCUAGCCCUAAUCAAUAACACGCUACGAGGAUUAUUUAAAUUAGAUCACACGUUCCCCUAAUGUGUAAACACACCAGUUGCCACUAAUAUUAAUCAAUCAAACAAUUACGGAUUUAAUUGACUAAAUUGGCACGAGAUUAAUAAAUCACAUUGAACACCGGGCCCUUGACAUCCAAUUAAUAAAAUAAUCCCAUGAAAAUUCAAGCAGACAACGUGCAAAUAUUAAUAAAUUAAGGAACACGUGAAAAUUAAUUAGAUCUCACAGAUUUUCGGGACUGCGCCGUCGAGUUGACCCUUGACUAGAUGGAAGGCUUAGCCACGCCGCAUAAUGAAAUCACCACACGAAUUAAUAAAUUGAAAAGGCAUUGCGUUUUCUAUUAGGAAGUAAGGAAUAAAAGGUGUUUUUCCCGUUGGGGAAUAUUGUCGAACACCUGGCGUGUGUCAGAGGCCAGUCAGGAGAAGGAAAGAAAAACUAAAGACUAGGCUAAAAACUAAACUAAAAGAUAAACUAAAAACUAGCCAUGUCUUCUUUCCCUACGUUCCCUAUUUAAGAAACAAAAGAAAGAUAGACUAAAGCUAUCUAGGUGGUCCCCACACAUGUGGACAAAGCCUCCCAAGUACUUCUUGUUCCAAGUCUCUUUUACGUAGCUUUCUUUGAAGAGCCCAAAUGACUUAUAGCUUUGUGGUCCCCACCAAUCCAAGGGCCCAAGGAUUGAAUCCCUUAGAAGUCUCCAUAUUCUUCAUAAAAUCCCUCCUUUUUGGUAGUUUUCUGUUUCAUUCCUGAAAUUAAGUCCAGAUACCAAAUAUGAGUAGAUAUCAGCAAUUAACACAAUAUUUAUCAGGGGUAAAAGGGGAAAUUAAUAAUAAAAUUACUAACAAAUUAUACCCUAUCAGUCUCUGCAGGAAUGGUUGUUGAAAGCCUGAGGGAUUUGGAGCAUAGCUGAAGUUGGGGUGGUUCUGCCACCUCGGAUUAUAUGUGGGCGCAUAUGGGUCAUUUCUCCUUUGGGAUGGUCCAGGCAAACCUCCCAUGGCACUGGUUUGCUCGUGAGGGUCUUCUUAGAGGGUCGGGCACAUAUCGGUCGCAUGUUCAGGGGCAGCACAUAUCCCACAUGCUUUAGUUGCAUGUACUUGCCCUAUAGCCAUUUGACGAACUAAUGUAGUUAGCUCCGUUAAUCUAUUUGCGAGGUCAGAAUGAUUUACCUUAUUGACCCUUCUAGUCACUGCCUCAAAUCUGACUCCAAACUGUUGAGAAUUCUCAGCCAUGUUCGAGAUAAGGCGUUUGGCUUCAUCUGUUGUCUUAUUUACUAAAGCACUGCCACUCGCUGCAUCUACCAUACUUCUAUCCAUGGGUAGCAGUCCCUCGUAAAAAUACUAGAUCAGCAAUUGGUCAGGGAUCUGAUGGUGCAGGCAACUAGCACACAACUGUUUGAACCGCUUCCAAUAUUCAUAGAGAAUUUCUCCAUUAGCCUGCCUAACUUCACAUAUUUCCUUCCUGAUGUUGAUGGCCCUAGAGACUGGGAAGAACUUCUCAAGGAAUUGCCAUUUCAAUCUUUCCCACGUAGUGAUGGACCCCAAUGGCAAGUAAAAUAACCAGUCCUUAGCCUUGUCUACUAGGAAGAAAGGAAACGCGCGCAGCUUGAUUUGUUCUUCCAUAACUCCAUGAGGUUUCAUGGUUGAACAUACUACAUGGAAUUCCUUCAAGUGCUUGUGUGAGUUCUCACCUGCAACACCGCGAAAAGUAGGUAACAAAUGAAUCAAUCUUAAUUUUAAUUCAAAAGCCUACUCAGUGUCAGGAUACGUAAUGCACAGAGGCUGUUGGUUAACAUUUGGGGUUGCAAGUUCCCUCAAAAUCCUUUGGGCUACCAUUGUUUCGUUGGGUCCAAUCAAGUCUGCUUCCAAUUCAACGGAUGAAUCACUUAAGUCAGAAUUUUGUUCCAGUCCGAGAAGUAUUGCCGCUGAAACUUGUUGCUUUUGCAACUUAGUCUCCCUCCUUGCUGCUUUCUCGAUCUCUGGUUCAAAUUCGAGUGUUCCUGUACAGGAAGAUCGAGGCAUAAAACAUGGGCUAAACAAAGCCUGUGCAAUAAAUAACUUCAAACACCAGAUCCCUGACAACGGUGCCAAAAUUUGGUAGCUGUCAAACUAUCAAAAAUAAAAUUUAUAUUAAGACCUACUCCCAAAAUUGAACGAACAUAGUGGUGAGUAGGGUCAUCUCCUCAGGAAACUGGUAGAUUUAUCACACACAGAUAAUUUGGAGGGUUUUAGAAAGGAAGAUAAAAAGAACAAAUUAAAGACGUAAGGUUACUGAAUUUUCAACUGCAAGAAGUGUAGUAACUACAGAAUAUAAUAAACAAUUAAUUGACACAAUCCAAUUAAGGAAAUAAUUUUGACACCGGCUCACACAAUUGAUUAUAGAUACCUGAAUUAAUUCACACGUUCGCAAAUAAAUUGGUUAAAACAAUUCAACAACCGCCAAACUACUAAUCUCUCCUUAAUUAUAUGGUGGUUCAGAGACGCUCGUAAACCACUCUCUUGUAAAAUAGACAACCCCAGAGACGCUCGUGAAAUUUAAUCUAUUCACAGUUUUAGGAAUUGGAGAGAUCUAAUUCUAGUUAACAAACACACAUGCGGGCUCAUUUAGAUUAGAUUAACUAUUCCUACGAUACAAAUUAAAUUACUUGCAAGGCAAUGAAAUUGUGCCGUUUGUCACUAAUUUUAAGACGAUCAAAUGAUACGCACCCCCGUUUUAAUUGGCAGUAUACUAUUCAGACAAUUGAAUAACUUGCCACAUUAAUCCAAUAGAUACAAACACUAAUAGCCUAUUAUAACAAAGAAUAAUUAAAUACCCACGAACGCAGAAUUCAAAAUAGCGCAAAACAAUUAAAAAGAUCUCACAAUUAUCUGUGCACCGGACCGUGAUUAUUUCUUAACAAGAUAAAGGAGUUUAGCCUUGCCUCAUCACGAAGACGCAAUCCAAAGCUUUAAUGUAAUUUUUGUUCAUGAAAAAAGUAAAGCAACUAAUCUAGCAACCUCGAAAUCCCAACUCACGUUAGGAAGAAAAGAAAAAGAUGACAAGUCUGUGUACUAGUCGGUUGCUUUUGCUCUUUUAAAGUAAUUCCGCUGCCACCUCUCUAGCCAAUCAAGUGGUUUGUAUCUAUAAGGGAUCCAUUUCCUUAUUUUUCUCCUUGAGUUGUUGCCAAAAGAGUCUCUGAAGAUGUUUCCUAAUCUUACGCAGCUUCAUAACGUAUCUCCCAACAAUAGUGGCGGCUUCCAAGGAUAAGUCCGUGGUCUGUCUUUUUUACACAACUCUGUGGUCUCUGACGUGGGCACGAUCUAGAAUGACUAGUCUUCUAGAAUUUGGCCUCUUUUCAUCACUUUUGACACUAAUCGUUUGCAACUGACACAAAUACCAAUUACGAGUAGAAACCCAUUACUUUGCAUAAUAAGUGGCUAAAAUUGAGACUAAAUACCAUCAAAUAAAAUACACAAUUGUCUCAUAAUCAAAGAUAUCAGAAAGAAAUUAAAGAGAUCUCUUAAGUGAUUAGCGAAUACUUGUUGACUUAGAAAAUCACUCCAAUAUCUCUGAGGAUUCAAGUGUCAGUUAGUCAACAUGAAUCCAGGUACACUUCCGUAAUUUUACUGUUAAUUUAUUUCUUAAUAAUCACCAUAAAGAUUUUGGACUUCAUAGGUAAUAGUUUUCAUCAAAACUUAAUAUAAACAACCACCAUCAAGUGGUAUCAGAGCAGGAUAUGGUUGAUUAUUAGGAAAUAAUUUGGUAUUAAUAAUUCAUAGUUUUCAAGUUAUUUUUAACUAGAAUUAUUUUUGUUUUGAUUGUGCGCUAGUUGACAAUCUUGAAUUGUGGUUUUAAUGUAAUUUGUUUGCUUAUAUUUUCGGUAAAUUUGCACUAUCCAAUUCAUUGCUUUUGGUUGCAUAUAAAUCAAUGGCUUUGUCGAAAUCAAUAAGCAUGACGCACAAUCAAGUAUAGAUAUUUGCUUUGUUUGUUAUGAUUAGUUGGCACAUGGUUCAAAUGCACGUGGUUCCAGGAUUACAUGUGCUUGUCUUGUUUGAUUGUUGAAUUUUGUGAACCUCAUGAUAUGUUGGCACGAGUCAUAAUAUGUGGGACCCACAUACUUUCCAUGAUAUAAGUUAACUUGGGGCUUGUUUGGAAGUGAAGUUUUUGGCCAAGUUUUUUAGCUACUAGUUUUUUAACAACUUUUGCUACAGGAACCCCAAAAAACUUAUCAAAAUUUUUUACCUACACACUUUAAAAUAAUAUACAAAAAAUUUCCCUUCAAUUUUUCUUCUUUUUCCUCCCCACCCAACCGGCCACAACCUCCACCACCGCUUCCGGUGCCGGUAAUGAAAUCUCAACACCCCAAGCUAAAAAUUGCACCCCGUCCACUUUUUUCUUGCGGGUUUUUUCGCAACUGUACUCAAACAGUGCUCAGUCCGACCACCACCACUUCUCCAACACUCCCUUUCCCGGCCACCUCUGAUCAGUCAACGCCAAAACCAACAUCACCACCACCACCACCACCACCACCACCACCUCCUCCUCCUCCUCCUCUCCCUCCUCCACCGUCUUCCUCUCAUCCACCACAUGCACCGACCAAACCCGAUUCGGAAUCAUCCUCAUCUUCCUCAAACACCUCCCAGAGCUUCACCCAAUUGAGGUUCCCACUGACUAACUCCCUCAUCUCUCACCAUUUUAUACACCCGUAUCAGCAAACUCAAGAAAAGCCAAAGAUUUCGGAGCCCACCCCACCAAGAAAAGCGCCUGAUUCUCUGCCGCCGCCGCAACUAUCUGCUACCAAGUUGGAAGAAACUUUUCAUGUUGCGGAGCUUCAUUUCAGCUCUGGAUCCGACGAAGACAAGCUCGGCGCGCUACACCUGCUAGAAAAGUCACUCGUUCCAAACCCACGCGCAGUCGCGGACGGUGGAGAUGCAGGGGCAUGCCCGGCUACGGUCAUGAAAUGGGUAGUGGGCUGUCUAAAAGAAAGGGUCAUGGCUAAGUCGGCGCAGUCGAAGCCGAGGCAGUUGGGGUUGUGGUGGACGCAAUGGCGGAUUUGGAGGGUGCGGUGGCAGAAAGGUCGUUGGCAGUAUUGGAGUGGGGGAACUUUUGCAGGGGUGGGGAAGGGGGGUGGCGGGCAGAGGGAGAGAGAGGGAGAGCUUUUGCAGGGGUGGGGGAGGGGGGUUGCGGGCAGAGGGGAGCGACGGGGGAGCUUUUGCAGGGGGCGGCGGAGGUAACGGGGAAGAAGAAGAAGAAGAAGAAGAAAAGAAAAAGAAAAAGAAAGAGAAAGAGAAAAAAAAAGAAAAGGAAAAAAAAUUUCACCUUCACCUUACAAAAAUUUCUACAAAAUUUUUUCAAAAACUUCUACAGUACACUACAGUAAAGUUUUAGACAAACUCCCAAAAAACUCAGGUUCCAAAUAGGCCCUUGAUUUCUGGUUUUGGUAAGUUGUUCGUUUUUUCCCUAUUUCAACAAAAAGCCUUGCGGCUUGUUUUCUUAGUUUAUUCAUUCAAGAGUUUUGAUUAACAUAAUAUUUAGUAGGGCCUGCAUGAUAUGUAACUUAUUAAUAUGUUAAGGAAAUUUGGGUUUCUCUAAUUUGUGUCUAAUUUGUGUGAACCCUAAUAAAGUUAAACAACACGUUUAAACUUUUGAAAAAAAAGUCCAUAAGAUUGGUUCACUAGGUAUAUAGUCUUAUAAGACAUUUAUGGAUUUCAAGAAAAUUUUGGAUUUGAAUGAUAAAUUUGGGACAAGUUAUAGAUAUGGACUUUUAAUCCAAUAAAUCUUGAUCCAUUUGACUGGUUUGACCAGAAUUUGGCUGGUUUGAAUACAUUUGACCGGAAUUGAUUAGUUUGACAAGAUUUGACUGAUUUGACCACAUUUUGAUCAGAAUUAACUAAAGUUGAUUUUGAUCGAAAAUUUUGUGUACAUCGUGUAAUUUUAAAUUUGAAUAUUUGUAUGAUUAUAUAUAUAUAAGAAUAAAUUAAUUGAAACAAUAUGCCACGAAAAUGACCUCUUUUGUGAAAAUUAAUUAAUUUUAAAAUAGAACUAGUUGGGUGCUUGUAAUUUUGUUAAUAUUGAUCAGCCCAAAUGAAGGUCAAUAUUUAAUAAAAUUGCAUAUGCACUUGUAGUAAUAAACACGUGAUGAUUAUUCGAAUUUUUUCAUGUGAAUUAUAAAUUGACCCAAAGGAAAAUUUAUGUUUAACAUGUUAUUAUUAUCAGUGUUUAUUAUUGCGCCAAGAUAUCAGUUAGAAGUUAAUAUUUUUAUUCAAAGACAAAAUAUUAAUGAAAUAUUGGUAUCUUGAAAUGGGGUUACCUUUAUUUAAAUUUAUUAUUAUUUUUUGGUGUAUGUAAGUUUGUUUUAACUAUUUUAUGUUUUCUGUUCAGUUGCGAAUGAUCUUACAAAUAUUACUACCAAUAUCAAUAAUAUUUCUAUGCUGAAUGGCACAAAUUUCAAGUUCUAAAAAGAAAAUCUCUUAAUUGUUCUUGGAGUAAUGGAUCUCGACUUUGCGUUAAGGGAUGAUUUUCCUCCACCUCUUAUAGAUUAGAGUACAUUUGAUGAAAAGAGGAAUAAGGAAAGGUGGGAGAGAUCAAAUCGCCUGUGUUUGAUGAUCAUUAAAAAGGACGUUCCAAAAGCAUUCAGAGAAACAAUAUCAGAAACGACAAUUAUGGCAAAGGCGUUCCUCCAGGACGUUAAAAAAAAGUUUGUCAAGAACAAAAAGUUUAACAAAUAAUAUAUCUCAAUAAUCACUUAACUAAUACGAUUAAAAUUAAUAUAUCUCAAUAAUUGCUUCACCUACUUCCAAAAUAUAUACACAAAAUAUAUUUAAGACACUUUUUUCUUUUUUUUUUCUUUUUAUUUUUUUCCUUCGCCUACUUCCCUCCAGUCCAAUGCAAAAAAUUUACUAAAUAUCCUAAUUCUUCACACCCAUUUCUGAUAUGUUAUCAUGCUCAUCUAGGAGUCCAGGCAAACUUGAUGUGCCUCGAAUAUAAGUCGUUAACUUUUAAAAUAAAAACAGCCAUAUUUUUAUAAAGGAAAAUUGAAAUAAUUGAAAUCGUGCUCAUUUGAUUUACUCCAAUUAAUCUAAGGCACAAACAAAAUUAUGUAAUCGAAAGUGCCAAUUGCAGAAGUCCUUAUUCCUUGCCGUACAACUCCAUGUAUCCCAAUUGCUAAACUCGUAGAUACAAGAUGACUUGUAAUGAACUCUAUUUGUCCGUGUAGUUGACUUGAUUGUAUUGGAUGUUUUAUUCUUUAAGACGUGAUGCUGUUGCAAAAAUUCAAUAUAUAUAUAUAUAUAUAUGUAUAUAUAUCUAUCUUAGGUCCCUUUUCAUUAACUGUAAGGGCAAAGGGGGCCUUUUGAUCAUCAUUUCGAUUACUAAAUUAGUUUUUUGAUUUCUUGUCAAGAGAUGUAAAAUAAGCUAUCUUUAGAUUUUGUUCCCAAUGUCUAGCAGCCAAAAAUGAUGCCACGGACAAAAAGCUUCAGCAAUUAUCUCAGAAAGCAAUAUUCAGCCCUCCGUAGAGCUGAAUUCCAAGCUUCAGUGGCCAAAAUUAAUGAUAUUGCUUUUUGGUUGGAUUUGUAGUCUUGUUCCUUGGCAAUUUCAAAUUUUCAAUUUUCUGACGGCUAACAAGAUUGUUUAAAUCGAUUUUAUAAGGGAUUAUUUCAUAAUGUUUUGCAUAAUAGAGUGCUGUGGUCGAUUGGAAGUUGGCAUUACUCUAAUCCAUCCCAUCACAAGUUAUAAUUACUAUUGUACUAUUCACGAUAACAAGUUUGGUAAACUUGUAAUAAAAACAAAAAAGCUUCGGGACUGAUCUAAAAUGUUUGGACUGAAUUGGUAAUUCCUCAAUGUACCUACUUAACUACAACCCAAGAAAAAACUAAGGGCUUUUGGUUUAGCGAUUUUUCAUAUAACUUCUCUAUAAUUUCAAAAACUAUAUAUAACCCUCUCAUAAUUUAUACUAAAGUAUAAAAAUGAUGGAAAUGACUAAAGUGACUAAAAUAUAUAAGCGAAAUAUGUAUGACACUUUAACUCCGUAUGGUUAUAUAUCAAAAUUAUCAAAAUUACCAUUGUUUAAAAAUUAAAUUUACUAAAGUGACUAAAAUAUAUAAACAUAAUAUGUAUAAUAAUUUAAUCCUGUAUGGUUUUAUUUUUUACUAAAUAAUCCCCUUAUGAUUUAAUGUUUUGCCAGAUAACUCCCUUAUAUUUUUUUAAAUAUAUACAUAAUCCCCCGUGGUUAAUAAAUAUUUUUGAACUGUACAUAGGUGUACUUUUGACAUUUUAAUUGACUAUAUUGUACAAUGUAGAUUCCAUUAUUUUGACAUUUUAAUUCAAACCAUAAGUAAAUUAUGUACAGCUUUCGAAAUCAUAGAGGAUUAUGUGAAAAGACGCUAAACCAUAAGGGGAAAAAUUUUACCCAAAAAUCAAUGAUGUGAUUGUGAAGACAAUAGCAGUCAUCCAUCUUCUCAUCGAACCAAAUGAUUAACCAAAUUUGCUGUCAUCUUUAGAUUAGUAUUUCUAAACAGAUAUUCUACUCGAAUUGAUGUACCAAUUGUAGAUCCAGGAGUCCUAAAGAGUCAUUAAGCAUGAUUGUUCUAUACUUCAACUGUGAACAACGGGCUUAAGGAUCGAAGGCUCUAAUUGUGAUCUGUAAUUUAUAUGAUCAAACAAUUAUUAUAUACUCAACAAACAACAUGUCUAUGCAGUAACACAACUGAUCUGCAUGGGGGUAUCAUUCAAUUGCAGAUUUCACCAUGAAUGUUAUGUUUUCGCUCAAAAUUUAUUUCAACCAUUCAAAAUUGAAAUGGGGUGAUCUCAACCAUCAAUCUUACCCUAAUUUCAAAAUCCCAUCAUUCUUCCGGCGUACACUUAUUCCCUUUUUUUAAAAAAUAAAAAUAAAAAUCGAAGGUUAUGAGUUGCUACCAAACUAAUUUUAACAAUUAUAAGAAAACGAAAAGGAAAGCUUAGUUCUACCCACUGUAUACCUCCAAUUAGGUCCAUUUGUUAAUAAACACCAGCAUAUAGCCACUCUAUGCCUCUAAUUUUAGUCUAAAUUUUUUGUUUUAACUUGGUCCUUUAUGCCUUUGUACAUUGUCCUAAAAUAAGGAGCCUGUCAUUUUCUAUACUACAAUUUUUUGAAGAUGAAAUGAAGUAGGAUUACUGCAUAAACUAUGUAGUUGAGCCGGAAACUUUCAGUUCAAUUGGUUGGUUUGGCUUAUAGAGCCAACGAGACUUUGAUCUGGUAACUAAAACAAAAAAGAUUGAAGUCCCAAGAAAAAUGAUUCCGGUCUUUGGCAUUCGAACAAUGUGAUUACCCUAUCAAUAGUCCUUUUCCGUGGAACAAAAUUAUAGCAGAGAUGAAAGAUUUUCUUUAUUUUCUGUACUGUAACGGGGAAAUUUGCUAAGGCCAUAAUUACAUAAAUUUACUAGUUUUUAUUACAAGAAAGAAGCGGCCUGGAGAAAGAGCACGAAGAGUAAGAAUCAAGGUUUUGGAACAUCUGUAACCACACUGUGCAAUGGACGGUCUCAGAUCGAGUCGAAGGAGGCCGACUAAGUUUGCCAGUUUGGGAGGUUGAUGAAAAAAUGUUCCAGACUUACCACGGCUCCUAGGCCAAAGAUGAGACCUUGUAUUGCACAGUGCGAUUGCAACCCUUCUCAAGAAUCAAUCCAACACUUGUAUCAAGACAAGAAUACAGAAUCUGCAGCAUUCGGCCAUGUUAAGAAUUCAAGGAAGUGGGGAUGGAAUAACAAGAAGAGGAAUUUUGCGACGAACUGCAACGUCAGGGCAUUCUGUCAUAUCCAACUCUUUUCCCUGUGCUCCGGGAAAUUGCCAAUCAAACUUGCUUACCAAAUUUGCCAACACAAGUUCAUUACUAGCAACAGCAAAAGCGAUUCCAGGACAACCCCUCCUACCAGCACCAAAUGGGAUUAACUGGAAAUCAUGCCCUUUAAAAUCCACAGAGGAAUCCAAAAAUCUCUCUGGCUUAAAGUUCUCAGGUUCAUCCCAAUACGCGGGAUCUCUACCUAUUGCCCAAGCAUUGAUGAUCACCAUUGUACCAGCUGCAAUAUCAUAUCCCAUUAUUUUGACAUCUUCUCUUGCCUCUCUAGGAACCAGCAACGGAAUUGGAGGAUGUAAGCGAAGAGUUUCCUUGGUCACUGCUUUUAAAUAAUGCAUCUUUUCUAAGUCAGCCUCAGAUAUCUCUUCCUUGAGACCAACAACCUCUCUAAUUUCAGUUUGCAGUUUCUUUAGGACGAUGGGGUGUCUUAAGACCUCUUGUCAUUGUCCAUUCUGCAACUGUUGCCGUGGUAUCAGUUCCAGCAGAGAAUACAUCCUACAGCUAAAAAAUGUGCACUUGUACAGUAAUUUUGUUGAUUCUCUUGACCAAAGCCCAAAGCUUUUUGGCAAUAGUUUUACAGUAAUUUUGUUGAUUGCCCGUGAGAAUGAUCAGAGAUGACGCAAUGAGUUAUGACUGAGAAAAUGAAGCUUAAUGAUUUUAUAUUCACUGCAGAGAAAAUUGUGCUUACCAAUAUUAUAGCUUUGACGCUGUCCCUGUCCAUGGUUACACCUGUUGCGUUAUCUUUAUAGAUUUUCAGCAAAAUAUCAAGAAAGUCUUCUCUGCUUUCACCAUCAAUCGUCUCACCACUUGGCCUGCAGGAAUAUUUUUCCACUGCACCAUCCAACCUUUCUUGGACCACGCCCUCCAAGAACUCAUCUACUUCUCUAGCAACGCGAUCCACUCUGGCAUCGUAACCAUUAACUCGAUUAAUCCAGCGGAGACAGGGCACAGAUUUGACUAAACUUCCUCCGUUCAGUAACUCCAAGAAUUGGCCCAACAGCAGCUUGAAUUUCUUUCCAGUUUCCCCUCCACCGUAUUUCCUCCCAAAGCCGAUCUGCAUACAAUAUCAUUAGUCAGCGAAACAAACAUUUCGCUCAAAUUCACAGGUGUCGAAUCCAAAGAAGCGUCUUUAAUCUUCUGCAUCAUAAUCGACGUUUCCUCUUCCCUUAUAUUACGAAACGCCUGAACUUUUUUGUUGCUCAGGAGCUGAAGAACACAAAUACUCUUUUAACUGUCUCCAAUACUCGCCAUAGGGUGCUACCGAUAUAUCCUUCAUGUUAUAGAGAAGUUUAUUAGCUGUGCUCGAAAAUGGCCUAUCAGAGAAAAUCAAAUCGUGGGUUUUCAUGAUUAGGCUAGCUCCAUCAGCUGAUGAAACUACAACCGUUGGAACACUACCAAAUUUGAGAAACAUGAUUGGACCAUAUUUUUGGGCUAAGGAGUGGAGAGGAUAGUGAAGCAGUGAGCUUAGCUGAUGAAGAUUUCCAAUAAUCGGAAGUCCUGGUGGCGAUGGUGGCUGAUUCUUUCUCGAAUUUGAAACUAAUUUGAAGAGAAACCACAGUAAGAUUAAAGGAAAAAGCGAAAAAAAGAUUGGAUGAAACAUAUAUACAUCAAUCUUUAGCUCCGAUACCAAGCCUGAGGAGCUUGCCAUUUGCUUUCAUCUCCCCUGUAUUUUGCUCAGGCUACAAGACUCUGAUUUCAGACAAAAAAUUGGAAAACAAGAACGGACAAGCUUGUGUCAGUUGGCAGGCGUGUGGUAUCUAUAUGGAUAGACUUGCAGAAAAAUGACAAAAGAGGAAGAGGAUGGAAAAAUAAGGACAAAUCUAUAAGGAGAAAAUUACACUUUACUCCCAUAUAGUUUAGUAUUUUUGUAUAUAAUUCUCUUAUAGUUUCAAAAAUUAUAUAUAACCCCUUUUACUUUGGAUUAAAGUGUCAAAAUGACGAAAAUAGUCAUUCGUAAUGAAACCUUUUAAAAUGUCAAAAUAACCAUUGUUUAAAAAUUAAAAUGAUUGAAGUAACCAAAAUAUAAAACAUAAUAUACAUAAUACGUUAACUCCACAUGGUUUUAUAUUUAUCAUAUAACCCCCUUAUGGUUUAAUAUUUUAUCAUAUAAUCCCUUUAAGAUUUUCAAAAUAUACACAUAACCCUCCUGUGGUUAAUAAAUAAUUUUUCAACUUUAUAUAGGGGUAUUUUGACAUUUUAUAUGAAUUCGUUAUGACAUUUUAAUUCAAAUCAUGAGGAGAUUAUAUAUAACUUUUGAAACCGUAGGGGGUUAUGUACAAAAAUACUAAACCACAAGGAAUAAAAUGUAAUUGCCUGAAAAAUAAGGACAAAUCGAAACCUCUUACAACAUGAGAACAUAUGAGAACAACAAGGACUGGUUUUUUUUUUUUAUUUUUUUACUACGUGCAUUGAACUAUAGAAUUUCAGACAAAACUACAACUUAAAAUUUAUAACUUUGGGAUAGUAAAAAAAGAAAGGGAGAGAAGCUAAAACAAUUUCACCUGAGUUUUUUAUAUUUUUAUAUCUUGAUUAACUGUUUGUAUUCUGAAUCUUGCUCAAUUCCCGUCACAAAUGAAAAAUAUGAUUAAACAACAACUGCAUUAUAAUCAAAAUAAUAGUACGACCCAAUAUCCAUAUAUUGGGAACAAAAAUACAAAAUGAAUCCACAUAUCCAUAAUCCAAAAUGUAUGGAAAUCAACAUACAAAAUGAAUCCAUAUAUCCAUAAUCCAAAAUGAAUUUGGCAAAUAAAGGGAACAAAAAUAAAACCACAAUUAUAGGGUAAAAAAGAGGAAAAUAAUUAAUUCUUCCGCAUUGACGUUUAAAAUGAAUUCCGGUCUAGAAAAGCCAGGAACAUAAUUUGGCAACGGAAAAACAAAGGGAAACCAAUAAACAAUACUAUUGGUCCAAAAAGUAAACACCACGGAUCGUAAGCCCCGUUCUAUUAGCCUCAAUGGACCAAGUGAAUAACUGUUUUUCGGCCAAGGUACUUCUGGACAAGAAUCACAGGGCUCCACACGCGUCUCAGCCCAUCACAUAAAUGUGAUUGACUCCCAAGUCCAAGAAGUUUGCUUGUUUCCAAGCCUGUAUCUCUACAGUAAAUGGCCCGUGGACUUUCCUGGGCCUGGCCCCACAUAGGUGUUGACCUUGACCCGGUCACUUCGUCCGCGGUGCAAUGCUUCGAUGGACUUCAAAACAUAAAUUAAACAUGGGCAUACUUCUUAAGAAUUCACGAUGUGGGCGGAGAUAAUUUCUACUCUUAAGCUAUUGAGCUAGACCCCUAGGCAAAACCUUAAGGUAGAGAAGUAAAAGAGCAGGGGAGGGAAAACCGGCCUUCUCAGUCAAUUAUUCUAGCAGAAAUUCAAAGAUUGAAGAAUCCGAGGAUGCUGCAAAAUGCUAAGGAGGAGCAAAGUUUAGGUACUUCCAGGAUGCGUUAUUAUCACUUUAUCCCCUUAAAACUAUAUUACUAUUAUCAAUUUACUUCUUAAUAUUAUCUUUUAGUCACUUCACUCUUAUAAGUAAUUCAAUUCAACAUUUUUUAUAUACAAAAAAAUUAAACAAAAUACCUUUUUAUUUUUUUAUAUUAUUACAUUAUUAUUAUCACUUAUUAAUAGUACGAGAACUUCCACUAGAAAUAAGACCACAAAAAUAAAAAAGAAAGCAUAUGAAUACGAAGCCAUUAACAAAGAUAUGGGGUGGCAAUAGCAUGUAGAGGAUGUUUUCUGUGAACUGUGAUACCAGCUGCUUCAGUCAUGUCCAGAUCCUCAGGCUUGAUUCCAUCAGGCAACGCAAAAUUAAAUUUGUUGACCAAUUUUGCCAAUGCAAGUUCAUUUACGGAUAUGGCGAAGUUGAUACCCGGGCAAACCCUUCGUCCGGCACCAAAAGGAAUUAACUCAAAGUUAAAACCUCGAAAAUCUAUAUUGGAAUUCAGAAACCUCUCAGGUUGAAAUUCCUCAGGGUUCUCCCACAACAGGGGGUCUCUUGCAAUUGCACUAGCAUUCACCAACACUAGUGUGCCUGCUGGUAUAUCACACCCCAUUAUUUUGAUGUCUUGAGUUGAUUCUCGAGGAACCAGUAAUGGAACAGGAACAUGAAAUCGUAGAGUUUCUUUAAUCACUGCUUUUAAGUAUCUCAUCUUCUCCAAAUCAUCUUGAGUUAUUUCUGGUUUUCCCUGGGUCACUUCUCUUACCUCAGCCUGUAAUUUCUGCAAGGUUAUAGGUUUCUUUAGAAGUUCUGACAUUGCCCAUUCCACAACUGACUCUGUUGUGUCAGUUCCAUCGACAAGCAUGUUCUGCAUGACGGAAUGAAAGAAAGUGUUGCUUUAGAACAUGCAUAGAUGUUUUUUUUUUAAAAAAAAAAAAUCUAAAUUUCCAAUUUCAAAAAUAAUUGGCACGUUUGCACCCAAGUAAUAAAUUUGUAUCACACCUUUCCAAAGAAAAAGAAAAAUGAAGACAAAUUAACAAUAUUCAUACUAUCGCAAUAAGCGUUUAAUUGCCACAUACAAGACGAAACACUAUGUUGCUUUUCCCUCUAAAAUGUUGAUUAUUAUUGCUCUUUUUUCCUCCAAAAUCUGCAGUUCUGGUAUGCAAUCCAAUUUUAGAAACUCAAUCGUGAAGUGCAAAAACUGAAGAUUUACGUAGUAGAGUUGAACUUGUCAAAAGAUUAAUAGGGUUAGGUACAUGUAAAUUUAAAAGUUACCAUGUUAUACAUUUAUUUCAAGUUUUCUGCAUCACUGGACAGAUAACAAAUCCUUAAACCUUAUCGUUUUGGAAACAUUAAAUGGUCUCAAGUUUAAGUGCAUAAAGUUCGGUUAACCCAAGCAACAAUUGAGGAUUUUUUUUUUUUUUUUGAAAAUUGUUUACAAGAGAAGGUAUUCAAAUGCAAGGGAUGAAUUUUUCUUUUAAUCUGAUAACAAGGGAAGGUAUUCAAAUAUAAGGGACGAAAAUGAGUGUGAUUACAUACAUUCAUAGUAAUUUUGAUAUAAAUUAAAUAUACUAAAGAGUGUAUAUAUAUAGAGUUGUGUGGUAAUUUUAGAAUUUUGAUAGUGAGUCAACCCUUUUUGUAUGUUUACUUAAUAUCCUUACCUCUUGUUUGGUAUGCAGUAAUGUCCAAAAUAAAAAGGUCUUCUACCCAAAAUGGUAGGGAUAAAUAUUUAUCAUUAUUCAUUCUUCAAUAUUUAGUGUGAUCAAUAUUUAGAUGUCAGAAUAGAAUACAAUUAAUAAAUAUUUGACUUAAUUAUCCUAGAUAUGUUUAUGACUUUUAUUUUUUGUUCAAGUAUGUUAAUCUUUUGUUUACAUGGAAUUCGCACAUUUUUUGCUUUCAGAAUCUUUUGUUUACAUGGAAUUUCUACUAUGUAAUCUUUUGUUUUCAUUUUUUUUAUGAAAUUCAAAAAAAAAAAUUCCAUACAACUGUUGGACAGAAUCAGGUCAAACCUGAUGAAUCCGAAAAAAAAACAGGUCAAAUUUAGGUCACCCAUAGGUUGACCUAUUAACCCGUUUAUGAACUAAAAAUAAUUUAAUAAAUAUAAAAAUAUUUUAUCUAACUAAACUAAGUUAUUCUUUUUUUUUUCCAAAGGCAUUAACCACUUAAUCCUAAAUGAAUUUGUUAAACUUGUGUGAAGUUGGAAUCAUUAUGUUUGGACAAAUGAUGUAUUACAUUAUUUUCUACUUUUAUAGUGUCUUAAUUUAUUUUAGAUCUGGUUUGGGAUAAAAACACUUUUACAGUAUUUUAAUUUAUUUCAGAUUUGGUUUGAAAUUAUUUUAUCGAGAUUUUUAUUACUUCAUAUGUAAUUAGUCUUAUGUGAAAUUAGUUCUGUUAAAAACUACAGUGGUAAAUUAGUAAAUUGAAAUUAUGUUUGGAGUCAUUCGGGUGACCUGCCAACCCGAAAAUUUCGGGUUCAGGUCAGGUAUCCUGACCCGUUACGAGUUGACGGGUUGUAUUCGGGUCAGCAGAUUGUCUAUUGUACAUGGGUCUCAACCCGAUCCGUCAACUCAUAUCCGACCCGAUUGCCAUUCACAAGAUUUUAUGUUAAAGCAAGAAAAAAAAAUAAAAAAAUGAGUCAAACUCAAACAUAAACUGAUCAAACCGGACAAACCUGGUAAAACUCCAACAGUUGAACAGGCUAGCCACUAGAAAUUUUUCCCUUUAUAUAAUUGUUAUUAUUCAAAUCUUCUAAUUAUAACUAAAAUAAGAAAACAUUUAAUUGAAUUAGUGGUUGAACCAUGAAGGCAUGAACCAAAAGCUCAUCUGGUUCAUUCAACCAUCCAAGUUUAAUAAUAUUGAAUUCAGUAAACCUUACAAACCAAAUAGAUUUUGAUCUAGCACAUCGGAGUAAAGUAGAAGAAUGCCAUUUAAUAAGUUGUCAUGUCCAAGUCAACUAAACUGAAAACAUUUGUACGAUAGUACCAAACAAAAUCUAAACCUUCCAGCCUAGUGCAAGUCACUACCUUCAAAACUAGUACUAGAUAAUUUAUUAGCAGUAAACAUAAUUCUUUUCAGAGUUGAAACUAAUUAUAAAUUCUCAUAGUGCGAUGUAAUUAAAGAGAUGGAGAGAGAUCCAAUUUACCAGGAUGAUAGCUUUCAUAUCAUCACGGCCAAGAGCAAAGCCGAUAGUGCUUUCCUUAUUAACCUCGAUCAGAAUGUCCACAAAGUCUAGGCAUCUUGCCUCAACGGAAUGGUCAUUUUCAGCCUCACCUUUCCUCUUAUUUAUGUGCUCUUCUAUUACACCCUCAAGAAAUUCAUCAAUCAGUUUAGCAAAUUUCUCCACUUUCAAGUCC
This 200088-nucleotide long non-coding RNA is filed under the name Coffea arabica (coffee). RNAcentral's name for it is "long non-coding RNA (CARA_LNC003139)". Lineage: Eukaryota; Viridiplantae; Streptophyta; Magnoliopsida; Gentianales; Rubiaceae. The record is from RNAcentral.